RNAcentral lists this long non-coding RNA (274674 nucleotides) under Ananas comosus (pineapple). RNAcentral's name for it is "long non-coding RNA (ACOM_LNC010724)". The record is from RNAcentral. Lineage: Eukaryota; Viridiplantae; Streptophyta; Magnoliopsida; Poales; Bromeliaceae.
UUUUAACAAAUUAAUCAUUACCAUUCGUGGGAUUUGACAUAUUGAUAUAUAAGAAUACUAUUUUUUAACAGAUUGAUCAUAAUGAGAUAUUUUUUUAACAAACUGAUUAUAACCGUUCGUAGGGAAUAUUCGUUUAUUCCUUUUUGGAUUCCGUCUGUCGUUGUCGGAAUUCCUAUACGCUUUUAUAUAUAGUAUAGACAUAUAUAUAAAAUUGAGCUGUUAUACUUUUAAAAGUAUCAAGUUAUAGUGCUUAUAGUUUUCGGCUCUUGGAUGUGCAAUUAGGAUGUUGGUCGGUCCCUAGAGUUGAGUAAGUGGUUGGUUAAAUCGUACAAUCUAAUGGGUGAAAAUAGUUAACGGGAUAGCUCUAACGGCGGAAAACUUAUAAGCAUCGUGUGCUUGGUGCUUUUAAAAGCACUAUAGCCAGACUCUCUCUUUCUAUAUAUAUAUAUAUAGAGAGAGAGAGAGAGUUCGCCUAGGGUGUUUUCGGAAGUAUAAAGUAGUUCGUGCUUCUAACUUUUUUAGUUCUUAGAUCAACCCGCUUGUCCAUUUUUAGUCCUUGAAUUAAUAUUAUUUUUCUAGGAAAACUACUAAUCUUUAGGAGGACUACUCAACCCUUGGGGGACUACUAUCAUCCCAACUUUAUAAUCCUUGAUCUAAGGGCGAAAGUCAAAAGCACUAAUUCCUAUGUUUCCGAAAGUAUAGUAACUCUACAAUAUAUAUAUAUAUAGUUGGACUGGGCUACUAUUAGUAGCAAAAUUUUAUUGUUGCUACCAGUUUUUUAGCUUUUGGAUCAACUAUUUUCAUCAUUUCUAACAAUUGGAUUAAAUACUAUAACCCAGUGGGGACCACUCAACCCUAGGGGGACUACUCAACUCUAACUGCGUAAUAUCAUCCUAACCCUACAAUUUUUCAUCCAAGGGUUAAAAACUUGAUAGCAAAAAGAGGGUUUUACUAUUAAUAGUAUUCCAGUCUAAUUCUCUCUCUCUCUUCUCCUCUCCCCCCUCUCUCACUCUGUCGUCUCGCUCCGUUCUCCGGUCUCUCUCUAUAUAUAUAUAUAUAUAUAUAUAUAUUAUAGAGUGAGGCUACUAUGCUAUCGGAAGCACGGCGCCUUCUGUGCUCCACUCAUUUUCGAUGUUUGUGACUUUCGAAUCGUCGAUCGGCUCCGUUAAAUUUGACCUAGAGUAUUGAAGUAUCUAGAAAAUAAAUUUUAUGAUUUUACGAUAUCAUUUGCCUAGUGAACGAGAGGGCUUAAAGAUCAACGGCUGAAAUAAAAUCUUAUAAAAUUGUAAUAAUAUGACAUUAAAAUUUUAAAUCAAAGAUAUUGAUCUUGUUUUUAGAUAUUUAAAGAAUUUCUAUCAAAAUUUCACGUGAUUUGGAUUAUUCUACACCGUUAACUUGCAAACGGCUCACUACCACCAUUGCAAUUUUGAUUUUGAGCCCUACGAUCACUAGGCAAAUGAUAUCGAAAAAUAUAAAAUUAUUUUCUAGGUGCUUCAAAUACUCUAGAUCAAGUUUAACGGAGCCGAUCGACGAUUCGAAAGUCGCAACAUCGAAAACGACUGGAAGCACGGAAGGCUCCGUGCUUCCGAUAGCAUAGAGCCUCACUCUAUAUAUAUAUAUAUAUAUAUAUAAUAUUAAUAUAUAUAUAUAUAAAGAGAGAGGAGAGAGAGAGAGAAGAGAGAGAUGCGCCCGGCGCGCGUAUCUGGCUGGUAUACUAUCGGUAGCACGGAGGUCUCCGUGCUACCAAGUUGUUUUCAAUGAUGCGGCUUCCAAAUUAACGAUCAGCUCCGUAGAUCUACACUAUUAAAAAUAUUUGGAAACUAAAUUUUAUAAUUUUUCGACAUCAUUUGGCUAAUGAUCAAAAGAUUUCAAAAUUGACAAUUUUAAUGGUAGAUGUGAUGCAUUUGUGAAUUUAACGGUAUAAAAUAAUUCAAAUCUGAUGAAAUUUUUAUAGAAAUUUUUUUUUAUUAUUUAGAGUAAGAUCAAUAUCUCUGAUCUUAAAUUUAAGUUUUUUAUCAUUAUUUUUAGUUUGCAAAUAUUUUCAAUAGUGUAGAUUAAGUCUAACGGAACCAAUCGUCGAUUUGAAAACUUCAUCAUUGAAAAUAAUUUGGUAGUACGGAGGCUUCCGUGUUACCGAUAGUAUACCAGCCUAGCUCUUGUAUCGCAUCUACCAUUAAUUUUCUCUCUCUCUCUAGAUAUAUAUAGAGAGAAAGUCCAACUGUGGUACUUCCAGUAGAAUAAAGAAGUUGAUACUUCCAAUUUUUUUAACCCUUAGAUUAAUCCCAUUUCUAGCUAAGCUUAUUUUUAACUAAGUUUAUUUCCAAAUGAAAUAAACGAAGCGGGUAGCAUGCUACCUAUCUCUAAAAAAAAAAAAAAAAAAAACCCUUAGAAUAAUCCUUUUCAUCGUUUCUAUUCAUUGAAUUAAUAUCAUUCCGUUAGAAGAACCACCAAACCCUAAGGUAUCGUUUGGUUUGGAAAUAAGGAAAAGGUGGCUAUGAUUAUAUAUCCGCAUUUUACUUUCUCAUUAAUAAUUCAAUAUGAAACAAUCUACAUAUUAAGUAAUAUAAUUUGUUACUUUAACAAAAAGAAACAGUACUCAACAGGCCAACUAAUAAAAAGUGAAAAUGAUCCGGUUCAUCGAUACGAUAAAUAUCAAAAAAGAGUCGAGAAAAAGAAAAAAAAUAAAGCAUGCAAAUGCUAACGUGGUUUAGCCAUUUGCCUAAGUCCGUACGAUCCAAAAUUAAAUUAGAAUUUUCUAGAGAGAUGCCAUGAAUUGUAAUUAUUUUAACUCUAUUAGAAAUAGAUUACAAUUUAAAGUUGGUCUAAACAAAAUGGGUCGGCUUGAUUUAGUGCACAUGUUUAGAGCCGGGUCGGACUGAAUCUUCUAAGCCUCCGGCCCAGCACGGCCCUCCUACCCGAAGGCAUGGGCCGUGCCCGGGACUUGCCCCUUAAUAUUUUUUUGUUAUUUUUAAUUUUUUUAAAAAUAUUAUAAAAUUUAAAGAUAUGAAAAAUUAAGAGUCCGGCCGGAAUGAUUUUAAUAGCAGCAAGUGCUUGAUGCUACUAAAUUUUUCACCGUUAGAUUUAUUUCUUUGACCAUUUCUAUUCAUUAAAUCAUACGAUUAAACUAACCAGACACUCGAUCUCAGGAGAUCGCUACCAUCUUAACUGUACAUUUCUUUAUCCAAGAACCGAAACUUAAUAGCAUCAAUUACUUUGUGCUAUUAAAAGCAUUCCAGCCUAAUUCGAAAGAUUAAAAUAUUUAUAUUUUAAACUGAUAUUUUGAUCAGAAAACUUAAAAUUUAUUAAAAAAAUAUUAUAAGAUAACAAAUAGUAUAAUUUUUUUAAAAAUAAAAAUUUUUAUUUUUGUCACGCCCCGGAUGUCUCGUUCCCCGGGCACGCCGACAAAUCCGCCGUAUACAAAAAAAAUUUUCUGUAUACGAAGCGUCAACAGUACCUAUAGAUAUGCAAUACUACAAACAGUAGCAUAGAGCUGCUAAAUAAACAAAAGCUAAACCAACUGAGCUUCAUGUACAUAGUUCAGAAACCAAAAUACAACGUUACUCGCACUGGCGAGUUAAGUACUAUGUACAUAAGCUCGAAGUAAAACAACUACCUGCUGUGGGGUGCCUCUAGCUCUGUCAGUCGGGUAGGGCUCUAGCUCGCGACGCCCUUGCCUCGAUCCUGAUCCGCGGAAGGCGCAGCAGCCAAAACCUGUGGCUCUGCAAAAACAUAGGUAACAACUGGGCGUGAGAACUACUGUUAAAACAAGUAGUCAUCAGUGGGUACCGCCCAAAACAACAUCGGUCCACCCACUAAGUCUACAGAAGGGAGUAAGAGUAGUCAGAAAAGCAGGAAAUAAACUCUACCGCUAUCGAUCACUACACUAUCAUGCUCUACACUAACCAACUGUAGGAAAUGUCAAAUCUGACCCAAUCCAAUCGGGACUGUAAGCAUACCCGUCCCCGGGACUGUGAAUACACCCGUCCCUGCCCCGUUGCGACUAUCGGGCUCUAUCCACACUAACUGGUCCGUGGAGAGCAAGUCCAACUGGCAUGAGCGACACCAACGCGAAAGCACAAAGCCUGACUCCGGAGUGGCACUCGUGGGCGCUACCCAACCGAGUAUGCAGCGUAUCUCUGUCGAGCUCAAUCAGGCUCCAACUAGCCAAAGUCAAGUGAACAGGGUCAAAACAGGUCUACAAACCAAACCCACGUGCCCUCGGCACAAUCUGUGACCAAAACAAGAAUCUGGGUCCACCGCUAACCCGAACGGCACCCAACGACCCGAAACAGCCUAAACUCUGCUGAAAAAUAAGCUCGGCAUCCCAGCACGAGCGUAAAUGCCUUCUAAACUACCCCAGGUAUCCAUCGCAACGAUACUGCAACGAUACAAUCGAAUCACGGCUCCUAGAGCUAAAUCUGGUAGUUUAAGCAUAUGACGAUUCCAAUCGUGUUUUCUCCUAAGUCAAAUCCCAGUCCAACAUGUACAUUUAAGAUUUACUAGUCAUGUUCUCAAUACUGAUUAUAUCCAGGAUAGCAUCACGAAUAUCAAGCUACAACAUGAUUACCGAAACUAAAAAUCAUACAUGUCGACAAUUACGGUACUUAGGAAUAAACCGAUGUAAACCCACCUCGAAAGCUAUCCCCUGGCAGCGGUACACUCUCACAGCUGUGGCGCCACCUGCUGGGUCGAUCGUAGCCCUUCGAACCCAAGGAUCGCGCUAACUCCAAGCUCUACACCAAACAAUUCACCGUUUCAGUCUAGUUUUCGCAGCAGUGGAGUACAACAAGAAUUCGACCAAGCUAACCUUCACCAAAAUUCACAAGUAAGGGCUUCGUAGAUUUCUCUCGAAGUUCCGAAUCCAACGAACCAAGUCUCGUCGCAAUCCGAUACUCCUACGUCGAGAACGAGCUGAAAUACUAACAGUCGACGGUGGAUUUCAGCAAACAAUAAUUUACCGAGUUGAAGUAGUAAAAACUUGCCCAAAAUCCAGGAAAAUGCUGAAUUACUCACCUCGACAACACCGGGCACCGCUGCGACAGAAAAACGGCGAAAACUUCUGCUCGCCCGGCCUUCUCGCGCUACCGGGCGUCAAACACGAGCUCGAACGACUCCGCGGCGCGAUGUCGACGAUGAAAUCCGAACUCCACCCGAGCUCCACCGUGCACAAGAACCCAGCUAGAGAGAGAGAGGAGAAUAAGAAAAGCUUCCUCUCUCUGCUCUACACCACACUAUAAAGAAGGAGAGAAAGGGGUGAUACAAACGAGGUGGAGAAAUUACCUAAUUACCCUGUCACCUACCCCCUUGUACCGGUACACGGGCUCCUGUACCGGUACAAGAGCCAACCCGAGAGCAGUUGAGCCAUUGCGCGAUGGUUGUACCGGUACAGCCACGCUGGUUGUACCGGUACAGCAAGCAGAGAAUGCUGCUGUUUUGCAGAAUUCUUCGCGAUAAGCUGCCCUCGCAUCGCACGGAGUCCGUUUUACGUCUAUUUGACGCCAACGCGACUCGGACUUGUCCCGACACUCUCCAGAGUUGUCGACAAGCCUCCACAGCCAUACACCAGGGAUUUCACAAUUUUUAUUUUAAAAUUUUGAAUUGGGAGGAGUUCUUAUCUGUUGGACCGAAACAUUUCUGGUCUGUUGAACCAAAACCCACUCUCCUCGCCAGGUUCGUGCUGGCCCGGUUGGCAUGGCCCAAUCGGGUUGUGCUGUGUUAGGCUAGGGGCCGCACCCCUAGUCUGACUCAGCACAACCCGACCCGCAAUCGGUCAGGCCGUAGUAGCCAACAGGCCCAAGGGCAAAGGCGUAGCACGACCUUCACUAAUGGGCCGGACUGGCACAAGUACUGUAGCAUCUGUGCCGUGCUCCACGGCCAGUAAUCAUGCCCAGUCAGGUGGCCUGGCUCUUUUGAAUGAGAGAGUGUUGAGCCGAGCGCGCACGCGCGCGCGCCAGAGAGAGAGAGACGAGUUGAAAUUUUUGGUAUAUAAUUUUUUAAAUUUUCUUUUGGUAUUUUUACACCCGACAAUUUAGAUUUUUUUUUUUUUGUUUUUGUCAUGAAUAAUUAGUAUUAGAGUAAAUUUGAUGUCAGAGCAAAUCACAAAUUCAUAAUAUAUAUAUUUAUUAUUCUUAAUAAUUACUCAUAAUAAUAAUAAUGUAUGCAACACCAUACAUAUAUAACUUCCUAAGUACAGUAAUUCGGAGUUAUCGAUUACAUACGAAGGUCAGGAAAGGCUACCUUUAACAUACCUGCAUACACGACCCUAAAUACUAAAAGCUAUAUAUGUUAUACGUAGGAAAUACACACAUAGUACGUAGCUAAUAGGUAUACAUCACAUCACCCGCAACGUACAUUACUCGGUCGGCGGUUUACACAAGCAGAGGAGCUUCAGGAUGCUCUUCAUGACGCCACCGCAUUUUGGCCCUCCUUUCGGAUUCUCAUUGGCGGCGCAAAACCCCUCCAUGGAGAUCGAUCGCGUAGUAUAUAUAUCUGUAUUUAUUUAUUUUGCGACGACAAUUCACAAGCUAGCCACUGCAAUGCAAUAUAUUGGUAGAGAAUAACUGAACAUAUUUAUAUUUAUCCUAUCAUGAACUAAGGAGGAAGGUGGAAUGUUCGUUUCCAGGAAAAGAAUUGAGCAGUGCAUGGGAAUUGGGUUAGCAUGUAAGUUUAUUUACCAUCCACUUUCCAGUAAAGAUCCACUGCAACAAAUCUUGCUCUCAAAGACACUUUAGACAAUAACUAGUGACGUUUUAAAAUAUCGGUAAGAAUAAUCCUGACGUUUGUAAAAAUGUCGAGCAAAAAAUCGUUAAGUAAACAUGUCGGAAUAAAUAUAUCAACGCUAGCUUUAAUAUAGUAUAGAAAACUUUUUAUCUGUAUAUAAAAAAAAUAUGUUUAUUAGUAACGCAUAAUUAUAAUGUCGGUACAUGCCAAAUGUUGAAGACGCUAAAAUAGAGCGUUAUCAAAAAAAAAUAUCGUCUAAAAUAUAUUUUGUUGUAGUAUGAAUUUGUUUAUGCAUCUCAACAUGCAUAUGCUUCCAAAGUCCAAACAGGACUCCUGUGGUUUUACCUAAGAUUAAUCUAAUUGUGGGUUAACCAAAUGUUGCCAUGCAGGCCAUGUUGGGGUUUUGAUUCUAGGUUAAACUUUGUUGAAUUGAUUAAAUUCAGUUAAUAAAUUUAUUUGUCUAUAUAAAAAUUAACUUAAAUUACGUACGAUAAUCUUAUUCUUAGCUUAAUGGUACAUUAUAUAUAGUUAAUAAUAGAAUGGGACCGUUUAAGCAUAUACCUGCAUCUUGUUUUUACAUAAAAAAUGAGAGAACCAAUCACAAUCCAAAAUAGUAAAAUUUAUUUGUUUUAUAUAUGUUGUUGUCAACGAGUAACUUUUCUAUGAACAUCGAAAAUAUAUCAAGUAUAAUUUAAUACGGCUAAGUUUCAAUUAAAUUGAACUGUUAUUAUCUGUACAUCCAUAUAUAUAUAUAUAUAUAUAUAUAUUUUUAUAUAUAUAUAUAUAUAUAUAUAUAUAUAUAUAUAUAUAUAUAUAUAUAUAUAUAUAUAUAUAUAUAUAUAUAUAACCUAAUCCAAAUUUAAGAUUUGAAAAUCCAAAUACAAGAUAUAUAAAAUUUAAAAUUAUGAAUUACGAAUUUUAAAUUUUAAUCGAGAAUCAAAGAGAAAAAAAAUUUUAGUUCAAAAUAGGAAUCGUAGUUUAUUCUUUCCUUGAUUCUUUUCUGACUAUUGCAUUUUCUUUCAGCCAACUUUUACAGUCUUUUUUCGACUUCUACAACUCUAAAUUCCAGUGUUUCUAUGGUUGAUUCUGCUACUGUUGCAUUAACUGCAUAUACUUUGAUUUGUUUGUUAUUAAAAAUUUUUUAAUAUUUCUCAUGUAUUUACUAUUUUGUUUUUUUUAGCUUUUUUUUUUUUACGAGAUUUUAAAUAUUUUUUCAGUUUAACUAUCCAUCAAAUUUUCUUCUCUUAUAGUUCUAUUUUUUUUUCUCUUUAUCUGUUCUCUAUGUUGGAAAUAUGAUAUAUUAUUUACAUUGUGAUGACUAUUAUAACUUAAAGAGAAUGAAGAAUAAAUUUUAGUACAAAAACUAAAAUUAGAUAUCGAAUAUUAUCUACCGUCACAUUACGCGGCUUGCUACACUAGUAAAAUAUAAUAUGCCAUGUAUUGAAGUGCACGUGUGCACACGGGACGCGUGCAAUAAUUUCGCUUUAUCAAUUGAAUCUUACUUAAUUAAGAGUGCACUUCUCUUCGAAACAGUAAAGUGUGAAGUUUCUAUAUAUUCCUAGUAAUUUUAUACUAUUCCUAGUAAUUUUACAGUUCCCUUCGAAGAACGUACGUGGCUGCAGACAUGGAGAAGUCGGAAAAACGAAAUAACAUUGGACCCCCCCUCCUCACAAAAUUCAAGCUAUUCGAUUAAUUCCCACUUUCCACAAAAUUCAAGCUAUUUGAUUCCCACUUUCCAUUAAUGAUCGGUUACUACAUGACGUUUAGGGCACGUUUGGUUCGCACUAUGAAAGAUUACUAGGAGUAAAAAGAUAUCCGAGAAUCUUAUUUCUAUUCAUUCUAUUACUAAGAAUGUGGCAUUCAUGUGUUUGGUUCGCACGGUCAUAUUAUUUAGUCAUGUUAUUUAAGUUUACAAAAAAUAUACAAUUUAUUUAUUUAUUUCUUUAAUUAAUUUUAGAUAAUGCUACCAAAAAUUUCAACAUCUUUUUAGAAAAAAUAGAAAGAAAAUAUAGGUUAGAGAGAGAGAGCAUAAUUAAAUAAUAGGAAGAAAAAUAGAAUCGACAUUAGAGGGAGUGAGGGAGUUGAAAUUUUAGAAAAAGAGAGGGAGAGAGAGCUUAGUUUAGAGAGAGAAAAAGAGUUGAAUUUUAGAGAGAAAAAGAUAAGUUUAGAGAGAGAUAUGAGGUUAGAGUGUAAAGGAUAAUAAUACUAACUAGCCGGCGGGUAGAGAGAAAAAAAGAGAUUAUACAUAUUAUGAUUACCCAAUUUAUUAAUAUGAGGAUACCCACUCUCCCGCAAGGGAAUGAGAUUAGUACUUUGAGAUGAAUCUUAUUUCCAAGUGAAUCUAAUAUUACCAACUAGAUUACUUAGUGCCUUUAGCCAAACACCGUCAUAUUUUUUUAUUCUCAUUGCAUUAUUAGGAAUCUUAAAAAGAUAGCGCGAACCAAACGCACCCUUAGUUCAUUUCACUUUGUUAUUUUGUGAUUCGUAUCCAAAUAUCAAAAUCGGAUCGAGUUUGCUUAUUUUACUGGUUUUUCGAAUUAUUCUUAUCUUGUUGCUUCUAUGUACGUAUCUCGCAUUUUCCCACUGAGUUCUCGCCUUCUCCCAUGCAUCCACACUCCACACACUUCAAAACCCCUCAUCUUCUACCGCACGUCACACUCCAAAACUUCGAAAACAUAAGUGAAAAUUCUAGAGAGAAAACGGAGAGAGAGGAUGAAGAAAUUUUUGUUUUCUCGUACGUUUAAAAUUCGAAAGAAAAGGAUAGUAUUUAUAGAUUACCCUAACGUAGACGCACCAUAGGGCAACAUGAUUUAACUAUCACUAAAUAAAAUAUUAAAACAAUAAUUUUUGCAAACUAGAAAAUAGUUAAUUUUUGAAUUAAUAAAAAUACACAUAACCUCUAGAAGACAAAUUAAAAUGAAAAAUGUCAGCAACACACCCCAUAUAGGGGUAUUACACCCUUGCAUCCAAGGGUAUAUUUUUUAUAUCUUCAAAUUUUUAAUAUUAAAAAAAAUGUUAAUAAAAUACUAACAAAUAUAAAUGAAACAUAAUUUUUUAAAAAUUAGGUUUUAUAUAUAUAUAUAUAAAACAAAUAAAUUUUACUAUUUUGGAUUGUGAUUGGUUCUCUCAUUUUUUAUGUAAAAACAAGAUGCAGGUAUAUUCUUAAACGGUCCCAUUCUAUUAUUAACUAUAUAUAAUGUACCAUUAAGCUAAGAAUAAGAUUAUCGUACGUAAUUUAAGUUAAUUUUUAUAUAGACAAAUAAAUUUAUUAACUGAAUUUAAUCAAUUCAACAAAGUUUAACCUAGAAUCAAAACCCCAACAUGGCCUGCAUGGCAACAUUUGGUUAACCAACAAUUAGAUUAAUCUUAGGUAAAACCACAGGAGUCCUGUUUGGACUUUGGAAGCAUAUGCAUGUUGAGAUGCAUAAACAAAUUCAUACUACAACAAAAUAUAUUUUAGACGAUAUUUUUUUUGAUAACGCUCUAUUUUAGCGUCUUCAACAUUUGGCAUGUACCGACACCAUAAUUAUGCGUUACUAAUAAACAUAUUUUUUUUCAUAUACAGAUAAAAAGUUUUCUAUACUAUAUUAAAGCGUUGAGAUAUUUAUUCCGACAUGUUUACUUAACGACUUUUUGCUCGACAUUUUUACAAACGUCAGGAUUAUUCUUACCGAUACUUUAAAACGUCGCUAGUUAUAUAUUGUCUAAAAUGUCUUCGAGAGCAAGAUUUGUUGCAGUGGAUCUUUGCUGGAAAGUGGAUGGUAAAUAAACUUACAUGCUAACCCAAUUCCCAUGCACUGCUCAAUUCUUUUCCUGGAAAAGAACAUUCCACCUUCCUCCUUAGUUCAUGAUAGGAAAAUAUAAAUAUGUUCAGUUAUUCUCUACCAAUAUAUUGCAUUGCAGUGGCUAGCUUGUGAAUCGUCGUCGUAAAAUAAAUAAAUACAGAUAUAUAUACUACCCGAUCGAUCUCCAUGGAGGGGUUUUGCGCCGCCAAUGAGAAUCCGAAAGGAGGGCCAAAAUGCGGUGGCGUCAUGAAGAGCAUCCUGAAGCUCCUCUGCUUGUGUAAACCGCCGACCGAGUAAUGUACGUUGCGGGUGAUGUGAUGUAUACCUAUUAGCUACUAUGUUUGUAUUUCCUACAUAUAACAUAUAUAGCUUUUAGUAUUUAGAGUCGUGUAUGCAUGUAUGUUGAAGGUAUAGCCUUUCCUAACCUUCGUAUGUAAUCGAUAACUCCGAAUUACUGUACUUAGGAAGUUAUAUAUGUAUGGUGUUGCAUACAUUAUUAUUAUGAGUAAUUAUUAAGAAUAAUAAAUAUAUAUAUUAUGAAUUUGUGAUUUGUUUUGACAUCAAAUUUACUCUAAUACUAAUUAUUCAUGACAAAAACAAAAAAAAAAUCUAGAUUGUCGGGUGUAAAAAUAUCAAAAGAAAAUUUAAAAAAAUUUCAACUCGUCUCUCUCUCUCUCUCUUUCGCGCACGCGCGCGCGCGCGCUCGGCUCAACACUCUCAUUCAAAAGAGCCAGGCCACCUGACUGGGCAUGACUGCUGGCCGUGGAGCACGGCACGGAUCCUGGCCGUUAGUGAAGGUCGUGCAACGCCUUUGCCCUUGGGCCUGUUGGCUACUACGGCCUGACCGAUUGCGGGUCGGGCUGUGCUGAGUCAGACUAGGGGUGCGGCCCCUAGCCUAACACAGCACAACCCCAUUGGGUCAUGCCAACCGGGCCAGCACGAACCUGGCGAGGAGAGUGGGUUUUGGUUCAACAGACCAGAAAUGUUUCGGUCCAACGGAUAAGAACUCCUCCCAAUUCAAAAUUUUUUUUAAAAAAAUAAAAAUUCUUAUUUUAAAAAAAAUUAUACUAUUUGUUAUCUUUUAAUAUUUUUUUAAUAAAUUUUAAGUUUUCUGAUCAAAAUAUCAGUUUAAAAUAUAAAUAUUUUAAUCUUUCGAAUUAGGCUGGAAUGCUUUUAAUAGCACCAAAUCAUUGGUGCUAUUAGGUUUUGGCCCUUAGAUAAAGAAAUGCACGGUUAAGAUGAUAGCGAUCUCCUGAGAUCGAGUGUCUGGUUAGUUUAAUGGUAUGAUCUAAUGAAUAGAAAUGGUCAAAGAAAUAAAUCUAACGGUGAAAAAUUUGGUAGCAUCAAGUACUUGCUGCUAUUAAAAUCAUUCUGGCCGGACUCUUAAUUUUUUAUAUCUUUAAAUUUUUAUAAUAUUUUUAAAAAAAUUAAAAAUAACAAAAAAAUAUUAAGGGGCAAGUCCUGGGCACGGCCCAUGCCUUCGGCUAGGAGGGCCGUGCUGGGCCGGAGGCUUAGAAGAUUCAGUCCGACCCGGCUCUAAACAUGUGCACUAAGGGGCUGUUUGGUUGUACGCAUUUGCAACUGCAGUGCAGUUGCAAAUGCGUGCAGCCACAAUUCCUUUGUUUGGUUUAGUGUAGUUGAGUUCAACUGCUGCAGUUCCAACUGCACAAGAAGGCCCAAAUGCUGCAGUUGGAACUACAUCCAAAUUGGUCGUAGUUCCAACUGCAGCAGUUGGUGAGGGAUAGGAUCACCCACAAAUUAAUAAUAAUAAAUAAAUAAAUAAAUAGCUAAAUAAAUAAAUAAUAUAUGUAUAUAGGUAAAUAAAAAUACUUAUAAAUAAACUCAUACUAAUAAAAUUUUUUAGACAAUACAAGCUUUGUGCAAAAAAUUAAUUUUUUUAAAUUUAUUUUAUUUAAAAUAUAAAUAUAGUUUUUUUUUCUAAAUUUUUAUAGAAUGUGAUCGUGUAUGUUAAUUUAAUAAGUUUUAAUUAAUUAUAAUUAUUAAAAUUGAUAAAAAAAAAGAGAGAAUCGCUUAAAUUUUUAAAGUUUGAUUUACAUAUUAAAAUUAAAUAAAUUAAAAAUUUUAAAUGUGUCGAUUAAUAAGUUGAAGAAUUAUUGAAAAAUAUAAAAAUAUUAUAUAUAUCUACUUAUUUAUUUAUAAAUAGUAAAUUUAAAUAAUUAAUAAAUUUAUACAAUUAUUUUAUGUUUAGUGAAGGUAACCUCACCACUCUAUCUGAAGAGGUGACAAAAUUCAUAAAUACAACUAUCAGCUUCAUAUUACCAAACAGAAGAAAUGUAACUGCAGCAGUUGCAACUGUGUAAAACCAAACAGACUAGGUGUAGUUAUAACUGCAGCAUUUGCAACUGAAUGUAUUUACAAGUACACUGUUUCUGCAACUACAUCCAACUAAACGGCCCCUAAAUCAAGCCGACCCAUUUUGUUUAGACCAACUUUAAAUUGUAAUCUAUUUCUAAUAGAGUUAAAAUAAUUACAAUUCAUGGCAUCUCUCUAGAAAAUUCUAAUUUAAUUUUGGAUCGUACGGACUUAGGCAAAUGGCUAAACCACUUUAGCAUUUGCAUGCUUUAUUUUUUUUCUUUUUCUCAACUAUUUUUUGAUAUUUAUCGUAUCGAUGAACUAGAUCAUUUUCACUUUUUAUUAGUUGGCCUGUUGAGUACUAUUUCUUUUUGUUAAAGUAACAAAUUAUAUUACUUAAUAUGUAGAUAGUUUCAUAUUAAAUUGUUAAUGAGAAAGUAAAAUGCGGAUAUAUACUAAUGGCGGCAUAGAUUUGGCUGAAACUUUUUAACAACUUAUUUCAAUAAAAGAAAAUUAUGAAAAAUAAGAAAAUAAAAAAUAACUAUAAAAUUGGGCACGUUAGUGAAUCUUAAAGCAGCAUGAACGACAAAUUAAACCUUUACACAUAUUGUGGCUCCCAUACAAUUUUCGUUCCGAAGGAGGUUUCUACCUUGCGAUAUGAAUCAUAUAAUAUAACACAACCAAAUAUUUGUUUCUUUGGUGUUUGUUGUGUGAUUGAUUCCCAAUUAAUUAGAAAAUAUGCAUGUUCUACGGAUUUAACUUGAUAAGCGGAAAGAUUUGAUUUAAUUCUAUAAAUGGUAUUUUAUAAGAUAUACUGAUUAUGAUUACUACUAAGUUAUUUUUGAUGAAUGAAGCAUUUGAGGUUUGCUUGUUUAAACAAAGGAUUUGUAAAUAAUUUUGAACGCUAGUGAGCUAUGCUAAUUAAGGUAUGCAAAAGAGCAGUUCAUUUAAGAGUUUGCCUAAGGAAAACAUAAUAAUAUUAGCUAAAGUUAAUUUCUAAUUUAGGAUUAAUUAUAUAUAGCAGCUAUUUAAUCCUUGUACUUUUGACUUUGAUAUUGGAGAUCUUAAACUGUUGACAAUGUUUUGCUUUAGCGUUUAUGCAUAUUAAUUAGUGCUAUAAAUUAUUGCUUAAUUAUACCUAGUACAUUUAUGCAUUUGCUAAUCAUAGAUUUAAUCAUUGCUUAUACCUAGUACAUUUAUGCAUUUGCUAAUCAUACAUUUACAUCGAUUAUUUACCCUUUAUCAUAUUUGGCUCGAUCAUCCGUUGCUUUAUAGUUUUUCUCUCUCUCUUUUUUUUUUUUUCUUUUUUUACAAUUAAGUUAUCGUAUGAAACUGAUGAAAGAUCGACGAACUUGUAAUGUACUAAAAUUUUAAUAAAUCAUACCCAAGCAACAAAAGUUUGAAAUCUAAAAUGAAACAAUACUUGUGAAAGUUCAACCAAACACAAUGAAUGGUGUGGAAAAUCAAAUCGAGUCAAACCGAAAUUUUUCGGCUUGAUUUGGACAAAAUAUUUGGACUUUUACAUAGAGUUUGCAUAAUAUACUAGUUAAUUUAACUUUUCAUUUAUCAAGCUAAUUUAUCUAAAUUAAAUUUCAUAAAUUUUUUUAUAUAAUUUAUCUAGUAAUCAAGCAGUCUCAAACACAUGUUAUAUAUAUCGUUGAAAUUUGUUGAUUUUGAGACCACUUAAACAGUAAAUAAAUAAUAUGAAAAAAUUAUGAAAUUUGCUCUAAAAAGUUCAUGAGAGGUUGAUUUUGCUUAACGGUGUCAAUCGUUGACUCGGAUGCUUCACUAUGGGAUAUGGCGCAAAAGUAUUCUAGCGCAAUUCUACAUAUAUUUAUAAAUACGUACUUAUGCACAUACGCAUAGAUACAUACACGUAUACGAUUGAAAAAAUACAAAAGGGUGUUUUUGGUUUGAUAAGUUUCAAUUUGCAACCCAAAAUCAAGUAAAUAUAUUUUAAAGUUAAAACUAAACUAUUUACAACUAAAACCAGACAGAGCCAAAUGAAUCAAUUAAAAAUUUAAAUCAAGCCAAACUUUCCAUGCUUUCGACAAAUUUUUGGCGGAUUAGGACGGAUCAAGGGAAGAAAAAGAUCUCCCUUUGUUUUCUGCUCUAUUUCUUUAACGAUUUGAAACAAAUUCAGAAAAAUUAUUUUUAUUUUUAUUUUUAACCCUUAGGGUUAUUUAUUCGUAACGAAUCGGAGCGAGAGCUCUACUAAUCCCGAUACAUUUGCAUGGCACCGGUGCUUAUUCUCCAUUAGUUAAGUGGCACGUGACCAUCUCACGUGCUCGACAAAUACCCCUUUUUCAUCCUAAGAUUUCUCUUUCUCAUCAAAGGAUCUUUGUCCCCCUUAAUACAAAACGUCAAACCUCGUGCCAUCCAACUAGGGGUGUAAAACGGGCCGGGCGGCACGUGGGCCGCCCGGCCCGGCACGGCCUCGGGCCGGGCUACAACACGGCACGGGUACUGUAGCAUCCGUGCCGGGCCGGGCCGGCCCGAGCCUUCGGGUCGUGCUGGGCCGCUCAUAUGUGGCCCGACCCCGGCACGGCACGGCCUCGAUACGGCCUCGGGCCGUGCGGCCCGAGGUCGGCGGGCGGCCCGGCACGGCGGCCCGUUUGGGGCCGUGCACGCGGGCCAGCACGGCCCGGGCCUCAAGGGCCACCGAGGCAAAUGCAUUUUUUUUUUUUUUUUUUUUUUUUUUUUUUUUUUUUUUUUUUUUUUUUUUUUUUUUUUUUUUUUUUUUUUUUUUUUUUUUUUUUUUUUUUUUUUUUUUUUGGGCCUUGAGGCCUAGCUCCUGGAAGGAAGGAAGGAAGUCCCUCCUCCCCAGGAACUCUCUCCCAAGGUCCAACCUUCGGGAGAGAGGCGCCAUAGCACUCCUCCCGCAGCAGCUCCCCCACGGCCCCACGGCGCCGAACCCCGAAAGCCCUCGCCCGCCCUGUCGCCCCGCUCCGGCACCCGGCCCCAAAUCCAAGGCCCCACCCGUUCCGGCGUCCCUCCGCCUCCGACCUCUCCCCCCGGCUCCCCGACCUCUCCUCGCCACCUCCUCCGAGAUCCCCUCCACCGAGCCCCCUCCUCCCCCGAAAGCCCGACCGCCCUCGAAAACCUCCGCGCCUCCGUUAAUUUUUUUUAAAAAAAAUAAUAAAAUUUUUUAAAAUAAAUAAAUAAUAAAUAUUUAACUACAUCAAAUUUUUUUUAUAAAGUUUUAAAUAAUUUAAUCAAAUUUUUUUAAAAAUUUAAAAAGGGGCCGGCCCGAAGCACGGCCCCGCCCGGCACGGCCCAUGCCUUCCGUGCCGAGGGGCCGUGCCAGGCCGAAGGGUAGGAGUUCGGGCCCGGCACGGCCCGGCCCGGAUUUGGUCACGGGCCGGGACGGGCCAGGCCCUAGCCCGUUUCGGCCCGAAAAAUGUGGACCGUGCCUGCCCGGCACGGCCCACAUUACACCCCUAUCAUCCAACUUGGUGUACAACACGUGUAUAAAUUCUCUGCAGAUUCAGUGCACAAAGAAACAUUAUAUUUAGCGAUGAACUAUACUUUUUAUUUUGAAAAUCGGUGCCCUACACUUUUCGUUUGUAAGCCAGUACAGCACUCGCUUUCCUCUGAUAAUGAGCAAGCUACCUUUAACUUGCUAACGGAAAGACUAAGGGAGCGUUUGGCCUAACUUUUAAAAAACUUUUUUGGACUGAAAAGUGAUUUUCGGCUCAAUAGAACGUUUGGCAACUCACUUUUAAAAUCUGAUUUUUCUUUUUAGAAUCAGAAAACAGAUUUUGAAGACCUCAAAAUCAGAAGCAGAAAAAAGCUGCUUCUUGAAGACUGAUUCUGAUUUUGGAUUUAAACUUCAAAAUUUUAUUUUUAUUUUAGUUUUAAUAUUUAAAUUUAAUUUUAAUUUUAAAUUUUGAAUUUUAAUUUUCAGAUUCAUUUUCAAAUUUUUAAAUUUUAAAUUUUGAAUUUUAAAUUUUGAAAUAUAGAUUUUAAAUUUCAAAUUUUAAUUUUAAAUUUUAAAUCUCAAAUUUUAGAUUUUAAAAUUUCAAAUUUUAUUUCAAAUUUCAGAUUUUAAAAUUUCAAAUUUCAAAUUUCAAAUUUCAGAUUUUAAAAUUUUAAAUUUCAAAUUUCAAAUUUUAAAUUUUAAAUUUAAAAUUUAAAUUUCAAAUUUUAAAUUUCAAAUUUGACAAUUUAGAUUUUAAAAUUUAAAUGUAAAAAUUUAAAAUUUUUAAAUUUUAAAUUAUAAAUUUUAAUCUUCAAAUUAUAAAUUUCAAAUUUUUAAAAUUAAAAAUUUAUAAAUUUUAAUCUUCAAAUUAUAAAUUUAAAAUUUUAUAAUUUAAAAUUUAAAAUUUUAAUUUUUAAAUUUUAAAUAUUCAAAUUUUAAAUUUUAAAUUUUAAAUAUUCAAAUUUUAAAUUUUAUAUUUUAAAUAUUCAAAUUUUAAAUUUUAUAUUUUAAAUUUCAUAAUUAUUUUAAAUUUUAAAUUUUAAAUUUAAAUUUUAAAUUUAAAUUUUAAAUUUAAAUUUUAAAUUUAAAUUUUAAAUUUUAAAGUUUAAAAUUUAAAUAUAUUUUUAAAAUUAAAUCGCUUUUCAAACAGCUUUUCAAAAUUUUUAAUUUGCCAAACAACUUUUUAAAAUCACUUCAGAAAAAAUCACUUUUAUCUAAACUCUGCCAAACGCUCUAUACCUUUUCCGCAAAAUCACUUCUCCAAACCAAAAUCACUUUUCAGAAAUUACUUUUUCAGAAGCUAGGCCAAACAGGUCCUAAAUUGCAAUGAAAAGUGAGAGAGAAAGAGCUUUCCAAAAUCAAAAUGUAAAAUUUUCAAUCUUGGUUCUCUCCCUACCGAAUUCCUAAAAAUAAGAUUCAUUAUUUUAGAGAUAUAAAAAGAAGAAAAAAAAAAUAUUUUGUCUAUUCGAUCCGAAAAAAGCAGCGGGGAAUGCACAUUUUCUUGAAACAUUUUCAAAACUUCAACUCAUUGUUUUCCAACAUUGAAAGGAUUUUUUUUUUUUUUUCACCGACCGUCCCUAGAGUAAGUAACAAAGGGCUUGGUGGUUGGUAUUUGAGACCCAAGUUCGAAUCUUAGUUGAUUCACAUUUCUAGCUAAAUUUAUUUUUAAAUAAAAUAAACGAAGCGGGUAGUGUGCUAUCUAUCUCUAAAAAAAAAAAAAAGAAAAUAAAAAGAAAAAAAUAAUAAUUUUUUUUUUGAGAAAAAGUUAGCUUGCUAUCCGCUUCAUUCAUUAAAAUUAUGAACUAAACAACAUGGGUGAGGUAAUAGAUCUCAGUCGAGACGAAAAAAAAAAAGGUUUAACAAAAUACUAAGUAGCUACUUUGCUGAGGUGAAUUCGUCCCACAAGUUUUUCAAGUACCUGAUCUUAUUAACUGCUAGAAAAGGAUCCGCGUUAAUCUUUUGAAAAAUCGUAUCAUUUCCGACCUUCCAAAUAACCCACCAGCAGGCUAUCAGUCCAAUCAGCUUAGAGCAAGUAGGUUGAUUUCUACAUCUUAAAAUUCACUUAUCCUAGAUGGGGGACACUUCGACACCUAGGCCUAUCGAUUGAACAACCUCCAAUGCUAUUACUAUUAGGAAUUUACUAAAUACGCAUUGGGUGAAUAAAUGGUCCAUAGUUUCAUCUUCAAAUAUGCACAGUACACAAGCUAUAUAGUUCCCAACCAUCCUCUUUUAAGUAGGUUGUCCGCCGUAAGAUAUCUCUUCUUAAGGACAAGCCAGGUAAAGGUUUUAACUUUUAAGGAUAUUCCAAGACUCCGAAAUUUACUAACAUCCUACAUAUCUCUCUCAAAAAAAAAAAAAGUACCGAUAAGAAGAGUGUAUUUAUUUAUCGCACUUAAGGGCUCAAUCAUAGUACUUACAGAUUUCGAUCUAUUUUAGCCAAUAAUAAAUAGCGAAUUUAGCAUAAAAAUUUAUAGAAAAACAUAACUUAAUCAAAUUGGGCGAAAAAUCUUGUUGAGUUUGACAAUUUUAAAUCGCCAUGAAAAAUUUUUCAAAUAAGCAUAAUUUUUUGUUGGAGUGUCCGGCAUGUUUGUUUCAUCGAAACUGGACUUUGGGUUGAAGUGGACUUUGGGUUAAACUGGAGUUCGGUGAAAACUAUUUCUUUCUUGCUGUUUGUUUCGUAGUUAUGGAAGUGAAGUUCCAUUAGUUCUGCUGUUUGUUUGGUAGGAAGUGUAUAAUAUAAAACUAUAAUUUAUAUAUAAAUAAUAAAUAUUUUAAUAAUAAAAAUAAUAUAAUUAUAUUUUUAUAUAAUUAAAACUUAAUUUAAAACAACUAAAUUAUUUUUUUAUAUAUAAAUUAUAGUAAUACAAUAAUAAAAUUAUAAAGUAAAAAAAUAUUAAUACUUAAUUAAUUAAUUUUUAUCAUAUCUUAAAUGUACAAGCUAAAUAAACAAAAUAUUAAAAUUUAACUAAUCAAUUUUUAUCAUAUUUUAGAUAUAUUAACUAAAUAAAAAAAUAAUUAGUAACAUAAUUAAAUAUAUUUAAAUAUAACUAGCUUUAUCUAUUAUAUUAUUUUAUUAUCUUUUUUUUCAUCUUUCUUCAUCGUAAUUGACUUCGGCUCAUGAUGGGGUGAAGUCAAUUACGCCGUUUGAGGUUAACUCGAAUUUCGACCGUAAUUUUUUUACGGCGAACCAAACAACGGAAAUGAUCGUUUAGGGCGAAAACGACUUCUCUCCUCUCCACUUCCGCCCCACUUCCACCCAAACAAACAAGUCCUUAGCGUGCAAAUUCAAGUUCAGAAAAUAUUUUUUAAAAGCUACUCUUCGAACUGAGGAACCAUUUCGUCAAGUUUGGCAUCCAAAUUCAACUGUUUAGACAACUGAAUUUGCAUAUUUUAGAUUAUUUUUUAAAAAAAUUUAUAUAUUUUUUUUAUUUAAAGUCCGGUUAUUUAAUAUUUCUGAUCGAUUUAAAUUUAAAGACAUAUUAGAGUUUACUAUCUCUUGUCAUAGAAGGGUUCAGAUAUUGUCUUUAUUUAUACGUGGUGUUUUCGAUUAUUGUAAUUAGUUUUCAGAGUUAAUUAAUAAUAUUUUUUUUGUUAAAAAAAUUAUAUUUUUCGUAUAUUCUUUCACGUCCCUGCACUCCGUACGGCUUAACAAUAACAUAUAGAUUUACAUAAUCUAUAUGUUAUAAGAUUCAAUAAAUCAAAUAUUACCAACCAUCAUAUAUAUUAUAUUUUUUAUUGAAUCUUAUAGAUUUACAUAACAUCAUAUAUGUCGCAAAAGGAAGUAAUGCAAUUUCUUAUUAACCUGAGAUAUUGUAUAGCAAAAUCAAGCCCCUAACUUGUAAUCUCGAUGCGUACUUGCGGAAGUUACAGAGUAAAAAAAAAAAACUUCAAAAAUUUGCGAAUCCUCACUUUUGUUCGAAUCAAACAUUAACAAUAGCCUUUACCCACUGGUUCAUUAGCCAAUAAUUCUAUGGUCAUUAAUUUAUUAGGUUACAUAUGAAAGAGAUCAAUAAAUAUGAUAAAUAAAGCACUGGAUAUAUAUAUAUACAAUCAUAUAUAGAGUGAGGCUACUAUGCUAUCGGAAAGCACGGAGCCUUCCGUGCUUUCAGCUCGUUUUCGAUGUUGUGACUUUCGAAUCGUCGAUCGGCUCCGUUAAACUUGAUCUAGAGUAUUUGGAGUACCUAGAAAAUAAAUUUUAUUAUUUUUUGAUAUCAUUUGCCUAGUGAUCGAAUGGGCUCAAAAUCAACAAAUUUCAAUGGUCGUAGUGAGCCGUUUGCAAGUUUAACGGUGUAGAAAUAUCCAAAUCACGUGAAAUUUUGAUAGAAAAUUCUUUAUAAUAUAUAAAACAAGAUCAAUAUCUUUGAUUUAAAAUUUUAAUGUCAUAUUAUUACAUUUUGUAAGAUUUUUAUUUUCAGCCGUUGAUUUUGAGCCCCUUCGUUCACUAGGCAAAUGAUAUCAUAAAAUCAUAAAAUUUAUUUUUCAGGUACUUCAAAUACUCUAGAUCAAAUUUAACGGAGCCGAUCGACGAUUCGAAAGUCAUAACAUCGAAAAGAAAGCACGGAAGGCUCCAUGCUUCCGAUAGCAUAGUAGCCUCACUCACUACUCCCAAGUUUAGCUCAAAAACGACCUAUUUUAACUUAUAAUGAAUUUUUCUAAUUAAGGUCAAUUAUAAAUCAGAGUUUGUUUACUCUUAAUCCUUCUAGGAUCUCAAGUCUUCUAGAAGAUCGAAUUAGAGUCAAACCAAAUCUAUAUCACAUCUCAAGUACUAUAAUUGAAUAUAAAUACGUUCACAUGAGAAUCUCUUUAAUUCCUCGUAUUAGAGUCAAAAGAAGGAAAAAAAAAAAUGGAAAUUAUUUUUUUCUUUUCCUUAUAGCAAAUGCAUCGCCUAAUUAAUUGUUUCGAUCCCAUUUGAAAUUGCCCGAUAGAUUGCGUCAUGUGUAUAAUAAGAAAAUAUGAUUAAAAAAUAUUUUAUUAUUGUCGUUCGUAACAUCACGUUGCCUAUUUCGUAAUAAAUAAUUUAAAUAUAAAUUUUACAAGGCUCAUGGGAUAACCAAAAAACAUAUUCUACAUGUUUUUGUGUAACUAUUUUUGACUUUGUACUUCAACAAAAAAUGACUUCACUACAAACUAAGUUCUUGGAUGGAACAAAUAAAUUAUAAAUUUAAAGGCUCGUGGAGUUUCUAUCCCACCAUUAAUUAAUUAUGUUACUUGUACAAUAUCUCGAAACCGCUUUUACUUUUUUAUACCACUAUUUACUACAAAUCAAAACUAACCAUAGUGCCAAACAUUUUGUCCAAAACUAUGGCUAAAUAUCCCUUUUACUCCUUAAAGUUUAGACUUUAUACUUUAUCAAAUAGGUAAGUACUGUAUACUAAACAAUAUGAUGACAUAAUUUGAACUAAAAACAAUAUUCAAAUUAUAAACUGAAUAGAAACAAAUUGUCCUGUGUAAUAUAAACUGAAUCAAAGAGUACAAGUUAUCUGAUAGUCUACUAUAAUAAAGGGAAAAUAAAUUAUUUUAUAUUCUAGAUUUAAUAAAAUUCUAACGGAAAAUAAUGUGGCUAAUGCAAAAGAUUGACUUUUGGAUGGGCAGGUUGUUUUUUUGUUUUUUUUUUUUUUGAGAGAGAUAGGUAACACGCUAACCGCUUCGUUUAUUUCAUUUAGAAAUAAAUUUAGCUAUAAAUGUAAAUCAACUAGAAUUCGAACUUGGGUCUCGGGUACUAACCACCAAACCCUUUGCCACUUGCUCUAGGGACGGUCGGUUGGAUGGGCAGAAAGUGAUUGUAGAUCUAGUAUUGCUCUUUACAAUAUUAUAUAUUUAUAAAUUUUUAAGCUUUGAAGGAUAGGUUAAAAAUUGCCCUAAAACAAUAUGACACAAUUUGGGAUUAUAGAAAGACCAUGUUAGAUACGAUGAGAAAGUAAAAUAACAAAAUAAUAUUAUAUUUUAUAUAUUAUAAUGAGUUAAUUAUAAUAUAUAUUUUGCAGUUACACCAAAAAAGCACAGAAAUAUAUCCACAUAUUCAUUUUCACCCAAACUAUAUUUUGCUUAUUAAAUGUAGAUAGGCCUCAAUACCAAAGGAGUCAUAAAUACUUGACGCAAAAUAGGUCUUUACUUAUAUACCCUUAAAACUUUUAAAAAAUUUUAAAUUUAUUUCUCAGUCCCAAACAAUGCCCUUCUAAAAUUCAAUCCCAUUAGCAAACCCUAUAGAGGGAAAAAGAGAAUUUUUUAAAAAAUCAAUAAGAAUAUUUUGAUCAUCCAAGGCGAAUAAGAUAUUUUUAAAUUUUGAAAGAUAUAUUAAAUAUUAUGCCAUAGAUUAAUUACAAUUUUAUUUGAGAAAUUCUUUUUGAAACCACCAUGGCAUUUUGGUUGUCCAAACAUUUUGUCCAAAAAUUUGAGGAAAGAUUCUUUUUACCUCUUACUUUUAAACUUUAUACAUUAUCAUUUUAGGACCUAAGUUGGAAUACUAUCUAUAGUGGUGCUAUUAGUGUUUUAGUCUUUGGAUUGAGAAAUAUGCGGUUAGGAUGAUGUGGGCCCCCUACGGUUGAAUGGGUGGUUGGUUGAAUAGUAUAAUCUAAUAGAUAAAAAUAAUCAAAGAAUUAAAUCUAACGGUGGAAAACUCGAUAACACCAAGUUCUUGAUGCUAUCGAUAGUAUCCCAGCCGGACUCAUCAUUUUAGUACUAUACUAUUAAAAAAAUGGGAAAACUUCAAAAACCCCCCUUGUGGUCUUAAUUUUUUUCACUUUAGUACCCUGUGGUUUAAAAUGUAUCAAGUUAGUACAUUGUGGUUUCUCACUUUAUCACUUUAGUACCCUGUGGUUUAAAGUGUAUCAAGUUAGUACCAUGUGGUUUUGCAUUUUAUCACUUUAGUACCCUGUGGUUUUGAUUUUGUAUCAAAUUAGUACCCUGUGGUUUUUUAAACUAUAGGGUACUAAAGUGAUAAAGUGUGAAACCACAUGGUACUAAAGUGAUAAAGUGCAAAACCACAGGGUACUAACUUGAUACACUUUAAACCACAGGAUACUAAAGUGAUAAAGUGAGAAACCACAGGGUACUAACUUGAUACACUUUAAACCACAGGGUACUAAAGUGAUAAAGUGAGAAACCACAGGGUACUAACUUGAUACACUUUAAACCACAGGGUACAAAAAUGAAAAAGUGUGGAACCACAGAGGGGGUUUUUGAAGUUUUCCCUAAAAAAAUAUUCAAAUUAUAAACAAGUUGUUCUAUGUAAUAUAAAUUGAACCAAAAGGUACAAGUUAUAUUAUAGUUAGCUAGAGCAACGCUUGUGUACUUUUAGAAGUACAUUGCUCUCGUUACUAUCAAAUCGAUUUUGAUUUUGAGACUUUUUAAUAAACGAUCUACUUUAUUAAAUUUAAUUUAAAAUAUUUAAAGUAUUUUAAAAAUAAUUCAUAAUUUUUUUAUAUUAUUUAUCUAGUGAUCGAAUGGGCCCAAAAUUAACAAUUUUAAUGAUCGUGGUGAACUGUUUGCAAGUUUAACAGUACAAGAAUAUUCAAAUCAUGUAAAAUUUUAAGAAAAAAACUUUAUACCAUGUAAAAAAGAUUAAUAUAUUUGAUCUAAAAUUUUAUUAUCAUAUUAUCACUUUUUGUAAGAUUUUUAUUUUUAGCUGUUGAUUUUGAGUCAUUUCAAUCACUAAUUAAAUAAUAUCGAAAAAUUUAAAAAUUUAGUUUUUAGAUGUUUUAAAUACUUUAAAUCAAGCCUAUUGAAACCGUUCAUUGAUUCAAAAGUCUCAGAAUCGAAAAUAACGGUAAGGAGGCUAUUGUACUUUUAAAAGCACACAAGUCAAACUCUAAUUAGCUAUAAUAAAGGGCAAAUAGGUCAUUUUAUAUACUAUUUCUAAUAAAAUUCUAACAGAAAAUAAUGUAAGUAGUGCAAAAAGUUGACUUUGAAUGGCCAAAUUAAAAAAGUUGGUUUUAAAUCUAGCAUUGCUCUUUACAAAAUUAUUUAUAGAUUUAAGUUUGGAAGGGAAGGUCAAAAUUUGCCCUAAUAAUACUGUUUAAAAUUACGGAGAAUUAGUGUUAGGUAUUGUAAGAAAGUACAAUUAAAAAAUAUCAUAUUUGUUUCAAUACAUAAUAUCGCAUUUCACAUAUUGCAAUAAGUCGAUUAUAAUAUAAUUUUUACGGUUGUACAGGAAAACACAAAAAUAUAUCUACAUAUGCAUACUUUUGCCUCAAUUUUAUUUUGACUAUUAUAGAGUUCCAUUCGCCGCAAUACCAAACAUGCCCUAAAUUAAUGUUUGAUACAAAGUAAGACUUUUGCUUAUAUAGCCAUCACUACUAUUAAAAAUUUUCAAAGUUACCCCCUCAAUACCCAAAAUACCUUUUGAAAUCUCAAUUCCAACAGUAAACCCUAGAGAAAAAAAAGUAAUAUUUGAAGAAUUUUUUCUAAAUUAAUAAAGAUAUUUUUGUCAUCCAAAAAUAAUAAAAUAUUUUUGAUGUUUUGAAGAAUAUAUUAGCUAUUAUCUCAUAAGUUAACCGUAACUUUAUUGUAUCAAUGUAUAUAUUCUUCAUCUAAGCCGUAUUGAAAAACCUAGUAUAAAAUAGGCAAGGCUAGAUACGCAAUCCAAAAGUGGUUGACAUCAUGAUUAAAGUGUCACUACAACAGAAAUAGGUUAUAGGGACAUAUGUUUGGGACAUUUUUGAGUAAGUGUCCCAUUUAUCCUAAAACUUAAAAAAAUAUCUACUAAUGCCUAAAUAUAAAGCUCAAUCCAACCAAAAAUAAAAUAUUACUCUACUCAACUCACCACACCCGAUCCAUUUGGCCCGAUUACAAACAAAAAAGAAAAAAAAGAAAAAUUAAUUACCAUCUUUUCUUCUCUCUUCACUCAAUCUACUGAAAUUUUAGACGAAGAGCCUUUCCUAUCGUCCUCCUCUGCCACCGCAGCCAACGAGAUAGAGUUUCGGCGGUUGCUAAAUACUUAAAUAAGUGUUGGUAAAUUAGCAGCACUUUUCUAGAUUAUAGCGACACUCUUUAACUGUCACUAUAUACCUAGCGACCCCACAUUCAGCAACACUUUUUAAAAGUGUAGGUAAUUUUAGCUAGCAGCACUUUUUUGACAUGUACCUACAUUUAAAAGUGUCGCUAUAGACUAUUUUUAUUGUAGUGUGUCCAUCGAUACGGGUCGUAUCCAUCGUAUCGUAUUGUGCAAUCAAGAUAUCAGCAUGAUACAACUCCCGUAUCGAUGGCACAGCUCAAAACUCUUAUUCUUAAAAUUAGUAUUUCUCAUUAAAGUUCAAAAGAUUUGAUAAAAAUACAAAAUAAAUAAUUAGCAUAUUUUGUUACUAAAAAAAAAUAAAUAUUUCAUACCAUUACAUAUCAGUAUAUAUAUAUUUUUUGUGAGUAGCACGCAUCGGCAGUGCCCGGCAUACACCACAUGCCGUACCAUGUCGGCAAAUUUUCGAUACUGCUCCGUGGCAUAGCACUUAAAUCCUUGGUUGCCAUCAUACAAUUUCAUGAUGCAAGUGCAAGCCACUUUUAGAAGAAAGAAAAACCUAAGAACAAAAAUAAAGAUACACAUAAAAAAUAAUUUUUUGAAAAUAUAUUGUAAAUUAAAACAUUAGGCCGCUGCAGUAAUCAAACACCACACGUAUAUAAUAGGCGAUACCCGACUCUUACUAGAAAAGAAAAUAACAUAAUCUAAAACAUCUUUAAAUCUAAAUUAACUAAAAGUAAUCAUAACUGGCUAAACAAUUCGAUUCAAAAAAAAAAAAUACAAAUUUUUUUUCAAAAGAAGUCUAAAAAUAUAAAUUCAAAGAUCUAAAUAUAUAAUUAAAUUUAGAUUCUAAACUGCGUCCCAAACUGGGCCGAAACAAUAAAAUGAUUCAACACGUAGAUCUCGAAAAUUUGUUUCUGAAUUAGGACAGUAUUCCUUAGCGAACUAAAGGCCAAGUUUUAUAUACUAAUCUUAAAAAUAUUUUUCUAUUUUUUUUAUAAUACUCUAUUCCCAGGGUGUGGAAUAGUGUUUCGUACUCCCUUAAAUAAAUAUAUCCCAUUGACUAAAGAAAAAGACAAAUUCGUCUUCUCCAACCAGUUUUUGAACGAGGACAAAACAAGGGAAAGAAAUACAAGGCGCGAAUCACAUUUUUUGCAUUUUUUUUAUCGAUAGGCCCAUUGACUUGACUUGGACUAAUUGAAUGUUCUUGGAAUUUAAAUUAAUUUAUGGAAAAGAGCUCCAAAUUUUGAAGCUUCCGAGAUGCUUGGAUAUGCAAUUGUAGAGACAAAUUAUUGCGCACACUUAGUCCACCAUGUUAGCCGUAGACCGCGAAGGUAUCCAUGCUAUAUCAAUUACCUUAAUUCUUUUUAUCUCCACCACACUUCAAAAACAAAUGUUUAAAAUGAGAAGUGAUUGAAAAAUACAUAGGGCGACUUCUAUUAUGGAUGCAGGCUCCAAGAGCUAAAUAAAAUUUCAGUGGAGAGCUCCACGAUCGAGCAGAGUGCAAAUAGGUUGCACUUAAUCCGUUUUAAGAUUCACAAAGAUUACAGCCAUAUAUAGCUUCUAUGUAUAGUAAGUUAAAAAGUAAUAAUAAGCCAGUCUCAACAGCAUUGAGUUAAUGUGAGUUUAAAAUAGGUCUAUAUAUAAGAUAUAAUUUGACUAAACCUUUUAACUCAGUUAUAACAUUUUGAGUAAUAAUUAGACCCAAGAGGCUCAGAGCUAGAGUAGUUCUAGAAUUGAUGAUCCACCUGAGAAAUAGGGCAUUACAGUUGAUAUUAGAGCCAAUCACCAAACGAAAGUGUAAGAUAAAUUUCGAUUGAGUUAGGAUCUGAAUGACAUGUUAAAAUAGAGUCUGAAAAUGACGAGUUAACUCAGGAUCUGAAUGACAAUGCUAGCGAGAUGAAUCUCACAUCAUCUGUUGCUUGUGAGUGUCUUGAGCCUGACGAGAACAUCAAGACUUAAAAGGAGGAAGAAUGUGACACUCCUAAAAUUUGGAAUAGCCAUAUAUUUAAGAUAUAACUGGAUGAAAAUUUCUUAAUCUAGCUAGAGUAUUUUAGACGGUGGCUAGAUUCAAAAAAGUUAAAAGAGUUAAGCGUGCUAGAAUUAGAAUAGUUUUAUAAUGAAUGACCUUCGUAGGAAGCGGGGUGUCACAGAUAAUUUCUACUUUAAUUAUACGAAGAAAUGAGUUUUGCAUGGGCUAAUAGGAGAAUAUAUAUUCCACUAAUACUCUAUUCCAUUAUUGCUCAAGAGUCGAAACUGAAGGCUAAUUAAUAGCUUCUUUAGGGCUUUUCAUCAAAUAUAGAAAAAGGAAAGAAACUAAAAUAAUAACAAAAAUGACUACGAGCACAUGCGUAUCAUUAUAUCAACCAUUAUUUGUACGAACUAAGACUAAUAAGAAGCCAUUUGUAAAUAAUGGGCCCAAAAUUAAUUAAGAGGAUAUAUCUUCCCUCAGCGGAAGCAAAAAAAGGUCCAAAAUAUGAUCUCGGACUUUAGUGUAAUACAUAUAUUAGAAUAAAAAGUCGGCAAUAAACGCGUCUGCAUUCGAGGGGCGAAUUUUCGUCAAGAAAUGUGUUGCGAUCGCGACCUGAUUUGGUGGAUUGUGCAAGCCGAUCGAUCAAAGGAUUAAGAUCUUCGCGCGUUGCAAGAUGAUUAUUUGAUUUGCGAAAGUGUUUUUUUUUAAAAAAAAUUUUACCGUGUGGGUAUAGUUUAUUUGAUUUGCUAAAGAAUUCAAGGGGAAUAGGAACUCCCAUUUGAUUAUGAUUUGGAUUAUGAGUUCAAUUAAUUAAUGGUGUUGAAGGACUCAUUUCUUCGCAAUAAGCUCUCCAGAAUCUGUACAAAAAUCAUUAUACUCAGUUCAUAUGAGGGUGGACCUUUUUUAUAGAUUUUUUUUUUUUCAAAUUUUCUUUUGUACUGUAUGUAGGUUUUCGACGUUGGUACCUAAACCGCGGGGACUCCAAAUUAAGCUCGAAUUUUUGAUCUCCUUGACGUUGAAUAAAUCUGUGACACACUAAUAUUUUUUACAUCAGAUAAUACAAGGAGUGUGAGGGUCUUAUAUACGUCCAGCGCUAGCUCUAAUAUUAAUAACUAAACUUAAAUAAUUUGAAUCGAUAAUUUGAGCCAAAAAAACUUACUUGUAUUAAUGAACUGGAUCAUUAAUUCUAACAGGGGUAAUAAGCUUCUUUAUAAGCCUAAUGAAAUUUUUGCAUGAAAGAGAUGCAUGGCUAAUUCUUACUUAAAAAAGAAUUUAAGAUGGCUAAUUAAUCAAAGAGCAACUACUACGUGAGCAGAGAGAAGAUAUUAAUUUAUAUACGUUCUUCAAAUUUAGAGUACUCUCUUUUCACAUGUUUUAUGCUCUGAAACCGGUUUUUGUUAUUUCAUGGUUGUUGUGUGUGUAAUAUUUUAAGCAUCAUAUAUAUACUAGCGUUUCCACUAGAACAACUAGUGAUGUCGAAAGCACCAUUUGCUCGUUUUCUUUCCCACGCGCCAAAGAAAAAUAAAGAUUCUUUUUUUGCAUUAAAAAUGUACUGAUUUUAUAUUUUUACAAAAUUAAAUUAUUUCUUAUUUGUUUAUUUUCCUAAAAUUGACGAAAAUAUUAUUAUUUUUUGUUUUUGGUCUCUCUCAUUCUUUUCUUUUUCCUCUCGCUUAUUUUUUGUUCUCUUCAUCCACCAACCGCACGCUGCCGCUAUGCUCCUCCUCCUACCUCACCGACAUCUCUGUCGCCACUGCCGCCGAGGGCUUGAACACGGCACAGACUAAGGAGGUGAGGGCAUGGUAAUAGCGUAGUUCGAGGCGGUAGGGUAAUGGAGCCAGAGGUGGUGGAGGAGGAAGAAAGAGAAAAGAAAUAUUAUAAACUAGUUCAUUUUUUUUGUCUUUUUUAUUAAAUAUAUAAAAUAGUACACUAUUUGACUAUAUAUUAGAUUAUUUCAUUAUUAGUAUACAAAUAGUACACCAUUUGUAUCUUAUUUUAUAAAAAAUAAAAAAAAUCUUAACCGUUGAUCAAUAAAGGGUAAAGAUGUUAUUUUAAUAUGUAGUAGGUCAAAAGGUUACUUCAUGUCGAGAGUAUUUUUGUAAUUAAAUAUCGCAAAAUUUAAAGAAAAUUUUAAUUUAUAUCCCAAAUUUAGAUAUUAAUUUUGCACUAAUUUAAACAUUAAUUUAAGAAAUUGAUUGAUAUCCAAAUUUAGGCAUUAAUUUUGCACUAAUUUAGACAUUAAUUUUAGAAAUUUUAGAAUUUCUAUAAUUUAUGCAUUAAUUUAAAUUUUAGGAAUUUUAGAUAUAAUACUAUUUCUAAAUAUGUUGAAUUUAAAUAUUAAAUAUUUAAAUUUUAAAAAUUAAAUUUAAAUUAGAGAAAUUUUGUAUUACUAUUUUUUAACAAAAUCGGUAAAUGUUUAAAUUUAACAUAUUUAGUAUGUUUAAGAAAUUUUUAAAUUUCUCUAGUUUAGACAUUAAUUUUGUAUCACUAAUUUUAAAAAAAAUUGAAUGUAGAUAAAUAUUUAAAUUCAACAUAGUUAAUAUGUUUAAAAAAUUUUAGGAUUUUUUAAAUUUAGACAAUAAUUUUGUAUAACUAUUUAAUUUUUUUUAAUAUUGGUAAAUAUUUAAAUUCUUCGUAUUUAAUAUGUUGGGGCAAUUGCUUAUAUAUUUCAUAGGUUUAGUUUGGUAUUGAGCUCUAUCUAACACCACUAGAUAAAAUGGAGUUGAGGAAAAAGCAUAUAGAGAUAUGCUUCUGCGUUCUCCGAUGGGACUGCAGAAAAUAUAUCGUAAACGACUUAUCGCGAUAUGCAGAACGCAAUAUACCGCACGUAACGCAAUCUCCUCGUAAUCCCAAACGAAGCCUUAAAAUUUUUCAACUUUUUGAUUUGCCCCUCUUAGAGGGCUAAUAUUAAAAAUACUCUUUUAACAUUCCAAAUUAUUUCAAAUAUAUUCCGAGAGUUAAAUUCUAUUAGUAAACUAUUAGCAACAACCGUUAUCUCUGUCAAAUUACUAUUUUGCCCUUUUGAAUAUAUCCUUCUACCGUCACCUACUUUUCUAUUUGUCCUUAAUAUAGUGGCAAAAGUAGUAUUUAAACUUAACAAGUACUAACAGUAGGGAUAUUUUUGAAUAACGGGGAACUAUACGAGGGGCAUAUUUGAAACAAAAAAAAAGUAGAGGUAAAUUGGAUAUUUCAAAAGUUUUCAGGGAUGUAUUAGAUAUUAUCCCUAAUAUGUUUAAGAAAAUUUGAAUUACUUUAGCUUAGACAUUAAUUUUGUAUUACUAAUUUAAAAAAAUUAAAUGUGGGGUAAAUAUGUAAAUUCAAUAUAUUUAAUAUGUUUAAAAAAAAUUUAAAUUUUUUUAAUUUAGACAACUAUUUAAAAAAAAUUGAAUGUGGAUAAAUGAUUAGGAAUAUAGGGUAUAGGUGAAAUUUAUUCUUAGACUAGAAUUGUACAUGCUAAAUUAAUUUAAAUUUUAAUAAUAAAAAUUAAUCUUUUAAAAUAAUGAGAUCAUGUAUUAUACUUUAAAAUAUAAGUUGAAAAUAAAUUUGAAGUUUAGAAACUAAAAAUAAUUUGAAAUAUCCAUGGAUGAAGAGGAAAAAUAGAGAGCAAAAGGAAUAAAGAAAGAAGAGAGAUUUUGAUAAUAUAAUAAAAGAUAAAAUUAUUUAAUUAUCCACGUAUUAAAAUAAUUUUUUUUGGGAUAUUUGGUAACCGGUAUCUCUCUCAAAGUGAUCUAUUAUUGCGAGUCACAACUUAAAAAAAUUUAAAAUUGAGCCGUAAAAUAGAAAUAAAUAAACGGUAUAAAAAAAAAACAAGUAUAGAAUUAUUACUCUAAAAAUAGUACAGCAUAUAGUCCAGUAAUAUAAAAUUUUUUAAUAUUACAGUAUUUAAUCAUCCGCUACGCUAUUUUGCUAUAUAUUAAAUAGCCAUAUAUUACACCAUUUUACGAUCUGUCAUACUAUUGUAUCUCUAAUUUUUAAAAAAUUUAUUUUUUACGAAACAAACAAGUAGAACUAAAAAACUUUGGAUUUCACAACUAUAUAAAUAAACAGCAAAAUAUAUAAAUAAAAUUAAGAGUUAACUUCAAAUACCACUCUUGUGGUUCCGCACUUUCUCACUUUAAUACUUUAUGGUUUAAAAUGUAUCAAGUUAAUGUCAUUUGGUUUCAUUUUUAUCUUUUCGUAAGCUUCUCCGUUAAUAUCUCGUUAAAUUAUAUAUGAAAAAACUUCAGACACCCACAUAAAUUUAUCGAAUAUUCACUUUAAUACCAUUUAGUUUUAAUUUUAUCACUGAUUUAACAAAAAAAAUAAAUAAAAUUAAUAAUAAAAAAAUAAUUAUAAAAUUAUAAGAUAUUAAAUUAUAAUAUACUUUAAAUUAUAGAAUACUAAUUUUUGGUUGAAAUCAAGGUGGUCCAAAAGUCUAGACGAAACAAAGAAACACGCCCAUUUUCAGUGUUCUCGCUCCAAACCUCCCAUUCCUGGGUGGGGGACCACCACCGUGCGGAUGCGCGGAAGAUCUCUCUACUAUGAAUCCCCCUUCCAAUGCAGGGGACUCAUUGCAGCUUCCUCCUAGUCGUUGCUCAGUCCCCUCUCUCUCUCUCGCUAUCUCUCUCCCCCUUCGUUUUCCCUCUCCUCUUCCGCCUCUUCUCCCUCGCUCUCUCUCUCUCUCUCUCUCUCUCUCUUCUCCACCCCAACAAUGGAUAGAGAGAUAGCCCCCACCCUCCCCCGCAACGGCGACGCCUCUUCCAGUAACAAAUAUGUGAGUUGCGAUCCACUUUCUCAAUUUUUUUCUUUUAAAUUUCUCUUGAUUUUUUUUUUCUCACUCAUAUCCUAACCGUCGAUUAAAAUUAAUGAAUGAUUAGAAAGUUAGGAGCAUAAGAGCUGCUGUACAUUUAAUAGCGUGAAUUUCCUUGCUGUUGGAUCCGUGCCUCCAGACAGUAGCCCUAGUCUAUAUAUAUAUAUAUAUAUAUAUAUAUAGAGUCUGGCUGGGAUAUUAUCGAUAGCACCAAGCAUUUAGUGCUAUUAAAAUUUUCGUUGUUAGAUUUAACUAUUUGAUUAUUUUUAUCCGUUAGAUUAUAUUAUUAAACUAAUAAUUCACUCAACCCUAGAACCCUAGAAGGCCCAUAUCAUUUUAACUGUACAUUUUUUUCAUCCAAGAGUCAAAAAUCUAAUAGCACCAAUAGCUUGGUGCUAUUGAUAGUAUUUAUAACAGUUUUAUCGAUGAAUUUUUGUAUUUUUUUUAAUUUUUGUAAUUUGUUCUUUUCAUUUCUUAGUUGCAUUUUGGUUAAAAUGCAUAGACACUCCCUAAACUUUAGUCUAUUCUGAAACUAACCCUCUGAACUUUUUUUUAAAAAAAUUUAAUUUUUAUCUACCCUACUUACUAAACCUUUGAUUUUUUUGUUAAAAAAAGGAUAUUUGAUGAUAACACAAGUUGUUAAUCCAAGAAGCUAAAUUAAACAGCUAGUAAGUAGAAAAGUGUAAAUCAUAUAGAAAAAAAUAAGUUUGGAGUGUUAAUUUCAAAACGAGUUAAGGUUUAGGGAGGUGUCUAUGCAUUUUAAGCUUGCAUUCUCAUGGUUAGAGCAAAAGUGGACUCCGUUCUAUUUUGACCAAAUGGAAUGAAUAUAUUUGAUGGUUUGUGCGUUUCUUAGAACUUCUGUAAAUGUAUUAAAUUGGCUCAUUUUUUUUUUUUUAUUUACUCACUAGUAAGCAUGCAUAUUCUGAACCACAUAUGCACCAAAGGCACGGUUCAGAAUACUAAUAGACAGACAAUUUCGGCAGAUGCUUUUCACAGAUGAAAAGGAAUUUUUUUUAUCUAUCUAUAAAUUAACUUAAUAUUUAAUAAUGGAAUGAGCCGAUUUGGCAUAUUUAUAGAAGUUCGGGAGAUAUUAAAGCAAAACUUUCAUAAAAAUUCUGGAGGUCUGCGAUUUAUCUGAUUUUUUUUUUUUUAUCUGCUAUUUAAAACUGGUAGAGGGGUGGUUGGUGGAGAGAUAUAAUGCUCGCUUACAGGACGCUAGGAGUUGUUUUCGGUGGCCUUGUUACUUCACCUCUCUAUGUCUACCCUUCCAUGAACUUGAAUUCUCCCACGGAAGAAGACUACUUGGGCAUAUUUAGCAUCAUGUUUUGGACUCUUACGCUGAUUGGCGUUGUUAAGUACGUGUGCAUUGCUCUUAAUGCUGAUGAUCAAGGAGAAGGUAUGUUUCAUACUUCUCUGUAUAUGGAGAAGUUGGUUUUUAGUCUUAUUUUCAAGUACUCUGAUUUUGACUUUCUAUUGCGUGGUUCUUUCACCUCAUUAAAUAGUUAAAUGGCGGGCUGAAGGGGUUUGAGACUGGCUCUGAUACCAUGUUGCCCAAAGAUUAAUCCAAUUGGCUGAUAGUAAAUUUUUUUUUAUUUUCAUUGAUUCAACUAAUGUUACCGGAAGAGGGAAGCCUAAAAAAGAGCCAACUAUCUUGAGAUUCAACUUAAAAAAAGAUUGUCUAUUGCUUUAAUUAUGAAACACUCUAGGCAAAUGCAUUAACUUUUAAGGUAAUUUCGUCACUACCACAUAACUUUCAGGUUGCAAUUGUUAGGUUUUGAACUAGCAUAUGCAUAUUUGGCUUAUUCAACUAUAGUUAACAAAGGAAGCUCGUGUAGUUUAGGUAAUGUAAUCAUGGAAAUAUCACCAUUUACUCAAGUAGUUGUAUUUCUUAUCCAGUCCUUGCUUAUAUUAUUUAAAUACAAGGAUUCGCCUGUACUGCAGACUGCUGUGCUUUCAUGACUUGCUUCUUAUUAGAAUUCAUUGUCUGGAUAUUAACUGAAAUCAUAUACUUGAUGAGAUUUCUUUUUUUUUAAUUUUGUCUCUUUAGAUGAGAUUUCAUUCUUUUUAAUUUUGUCUAUUUAGCCAACAAGGCUUGUAGCCUUGUAGGCAUGCCAUCCAGGUAUGCUAUUAUUCUUACCAGCAUAAUCAUGCUUAAGUGACCAUAGUGAUGUUGAAACUGUAUCAUGUCUUAGUCCAUCACCUUCUUGUAAUCAAUCCUUGACAGAGUUUAAUCUAAUCUAAACAUAAGAUAACAUCAACUUGUCCAUGAAGUUAUAUUGCUGCUAUUCAAUUUGGGAGAAUGUGGGCUUGGAGUUUUCAUAUUCUCCAGCCAAAACUUUAGAACUUGGGGAAAAACAAUAAGAACUAUAUCAGCAUUCUCAGAUUUGGGUUGCACUUUUACUUAUGGUGCAAUAUUGUUGCCUCUAGUCAAAAUUUGUAUUAAAUGUUCAAAUUAAGUGCAGCCUAAGUUGGUGUGAUUGAUAUGCUUCUAAGAUGUUGAUUUUUCUAUUUUAAAAAAAAAUUCCUUCAUUUCAUUACCCCUGUUAUGAACUUUAGCAUCAAUUAUGGUAGUGAAAAUUAUUGGCUAAACUUUACAUGAUAUGGAAGAUACUUUUCAAGUUGUUUAUUGAAGUGAUUAAGUAACAUUGUAGAGUUUUCCUAUUUUAAGAAAAUGCAAAAACAUAUUAAAUUUUCCUAAUUUACGUGUCAAAUAGCUUUUUUUGAAGGUGAUAUGAACCAAAUACAAUUCUGUCAUUUUGCUUAUUUUGUAAAACGCUCUUUUGUGCACAUUAUCGAGCUUUACCUCCUUGAAGAUGGAUCACAAACUAGUAUAGAUUAAGAUUUUAGUGUAUCUUUGUAAAAUGACUCUAAGCUACUUCAAUCUCUUUAAGAACUUAAUAAUUUGACAGAGAUUUUGCUUCUGACUUAUUUUUGAUCUUGCAGCAUUGUGUUUUUCUAUUAAAGAAGCACAAUGACUUCUUUUAUAUUUAUUUGUUGGUGAAGUAACAUAGUUCCUGUUUUUUUUUCUAAAAAAAGACUAUCUUUAAUGGAUUUUCUGAUGAGUAUCUGGCAUAAUUAAUUGCAGGUGGAACUUUUGCUUUGUAUUCUUUACUCUGUAGGCAAACCAAUAUUGGCUUCCUUCCCACAAAACGGAUGAGUUCGAGUGGAGAUCCCUCACUUAUUAACCAGUCUACGUUAGCUGAAAAGGAAAGUAAGCUGGCAACAUUUCUGGAGAAAAGUAUAACUGCACGAAGAAUAUUGCUGUUCAUUGCUAUGUUGGGUAUGUGUAUGCUUAUAGGUGACGGCAUCCUUACGCCUGCUAUUUCAGGUAAAUUGUGCAUAAAAUUUCUUGCUAGUUUUGCUUGUAUGGAGAUUCGACAUGCCAAAAUAUUUACCUUCUGAAUUUGUUGAUUGUGCAGUGUUAUCGGCAAUGGAUGGUCUACAAGUACCCUUCCCUUCAGUUGGUAAAUGUAAGUCUCUGAUGCUGCCUUUUUUCCUUUAGGGCUUUUUACAUAUAUGUUUCCCUGCAAAUUUAUCUAAAUAUAUAGCCAGCUAUAAUCCGAAUAUUCAUAUUCCCCUGAAGUUGCAUUUUUAUUAUAAAGAUGCACGCAUCUUAACUUGCGGAAUCAUCCAAUUUAUGGGGAUGAGUUGGUUGUGUUAGAUAAGGUUUCGCUGAAAGAGGGGCUUUUGAUGUAAGUACAAGGAUGUACGUAUAUGCGAACUAACGUAUUGAAGGGAAUUAUAUAAAAUGUGGAUUUUUACAGGAGUAUAUGAUGUAAACAGAUGAUUUUACUGGUGGAUGUGUGUGUAGGUGUAUAUCGAGCUGUCUGUUUUGUGUUCUUUUUCUCAUUCCAGUUUCACUUUCCGUCCUCUAGCUGCUGUGGAAGCUUUGUCUGCCGUGAUCCUGCUCGCUUUAUUCCUACUACAAAAAAAGGGCACUUCUCGAGUCAGCUUUCUCUUCUCUCCCAUUAUGGCUUCUUGGACCUUUACUACUCCUAUGAUCGGCAUAUACAGCUUUCUUCGAUACUACCCAAGUAUAUUCAAAACUGUUUCACCCCAUUAUAUUGUCGGUUUCUUUCUGAGAAAUGGAAAGAGAGGUUGGCAGUUGCUCGGUGGAACUGUUCUUUGCAUUACAGGUAUUGACAAACUUAUUUGUUUGUUUAGUGAUUUAUCUUUUCACGUCACUGGCACAUAUAUAUCCAUCUACUUCCUUUACAGGUGCAGAAGCAAUGUUUGCUGAUCUUGGCCAUUUCAACAAGAGGUCUAUUCAGGUUACACUAAACAUCUAGUGAAAAAUUAUGAUAUAUUUGAACGCUAAGUAGUGCUUGUUUGGCAUUUUUUACAUUCUUUUUAUUUUGGUUUUCCCUCAAAUUCUACAUAGUAAAAGGCACGUAAGGGACAAGCCUUUUUAGUUUUCUUUUUAUUUUUGUGCUUAAACUAUGUUUUUUUUUUGGUCUUUUGUUGUCAAAUAAAACCUAUAAAUAUAAACCUUGUGAGCAAUUUGAUCGCAGGAAACAUUGAAGAAUGUAGACCCCAAAAUGCUUUUAACCACGUAGAGCUUGAGGGGAAAAUGAAAUGGGAAACUGCAAAUAAAUGUUAAAAGCAUACAAGCACACAAUUGUUCAACUAUUUGAGUAAUCACUUUUGCAUGCAGAUGGCAUUUCUUUUUACCAUAUAUCCUUCUCUGGUGCUCACAUAUGCGGGGCAAACAGCAUACCUGAUCAAGAAUCCUAAUGACCACAGUGAUGGUUUUUACAAAUUCGUACCUAACCCAGUUUAUUGGCCUAUGUUUGUCAUUGCAACCCUAGCAGCUAUUGUUGCUAGCCAAUCCUUAAUAUCGGCAACCUUUUCUGUCAUCAAGCAAUCAGUAGUCCUUGAUUAUUUCCCUCGCGUUAAAGUGGUUCACACAUCGCAGCACAAAGAGGGCGAGGUUUACUCUCCAGAAAUCAAUUAUAUUCUCAUGUGUCUGUGUGUUGGUGUUGUAUUGGGCUUCGGCGAUGGAGAAGAUAUUGGAAAUGCUUUUGGUAAAAGCCAAACUUGUUGUACACUCUCAUCUUAUAUUAGUUUUUGGGGUAAACUGCAAUAUUGGUCACUAAACAUAUAAAAAAAAUUCAAUUAGAUUAUCAAUCUUUAAUUUGUUGCAGUUGAUGCACCAAAUUUCAGUAUGUGUUUCAAUUGGGUCAUUCCAUCGAAUGUCGUGUAAUUACUCAACAGAAGCUGCAGUAGCUGACUGAGCUGUCAUGUUAUCUCGUAUAAUUACUCAACAGAAGCUGCAGUAGCUAGCUGGGUUGUCGUGUUUUCUCCUGGAGAUGAUCUGGCAGCUGAAUCAAUAGCCUUGUCAUCCCUUUGUAGGAGAAAUUAAAUCGCACUCGACAAAAGGGCCCAAUUGCAGCAGAAAUGUGAAUAUAGUGCAUCAAUUGCAUCGAACUACAAUUCUAUGGUUUAAAUGAAAUUUUGCGAGUCUCAACAACUGAUGCUGACAUUAUGGAUAAACAAUUUCAUGCCGCAGGUGUUGUUGUUAUACUUGUCAUGUUUAUAACUACGAUCUUAUUAACCUUGGUUAUGAUCAUUAUCUGGAGGACCCCUAUCAUCCUUGCUGGAUUAUACUUUGUGUCGUUCUCGAUCCUGGAAGGGGCCUACGUAAGUGCCGUCAUGACCAAGUUUAUCAAAGGAGGUUGGCUUCCUUUCGCCGUCUCUAUUAUCCUUGCAUUCAUAAUGUUCGGUUGGUACUACGGGAGACAAAAAAAAGUAGAAUACGAAAUGAGUAACAAAAUCACUUUAGAAUGCCUCGCGGAGCUCUUAUCAAGGUCGGAAAUCCAAAGAGUCCCCGGUUUAUGCUUCUUUUACAGCAAUAUACAGGAUGGGCUGACUCCUAUACUCGGACACUACAUCCAAAACGUGCGCUCUCUCCAUAAAGUCACAAUCUUCACCACUCUUCAGUACUUGUUGGUGGCCAAGGUUGCUCCGAACGAGAGGAUAAUAGUAAAGAGGUUAGGAAUUCAUGGUGUAUAUAGUUGUAUUGUCCAGUACGGAUAUGCCGACUCUUUUACUCUCGAGGGUGAUGACUUUGUAGCUCAAAUUACUAGUAGUUUGAGAGCAUACAUCGAGAGGAACCUCGACGAGCAAUUGCAUAUUUCCGACGAAGAGGAGAUUUCAGACUUGGAGGAAGCUAAAUCGGCGGGAGUUGUUCAUGUUCGGGGUAAGACGAGGUUUCAUAUAGGUAAGGAAGCUGGCUGGUCUGACAAGAUAUUGCUCAGAUUCUACGAGUUUCUUCACAGCAAUUGUCGGUCUGCGUUACCGACAUUGGGAGUACCCCUUCAACAGAGAAUGGAGAUUGGAAUGCUGUACAAAGCUUGACGCGAUUGUAAACUGUAUUAGUCUGACUACAUGUUUGUACCAGAUUUAGAGCCAAUCUUAGGAAUGAUGCUGUACUCUCUGUGAUCACAUAUCUGCCGGUAACGUAUGCCACUGCGCGUCACGACGUCACUGGUGGGAGCAGAUUGAGGUUAUUUCUUAUUUUUGCGACAGAAGCUGUCGUAAAAUUAUAUGAUUUUGAACUCUUGUUAAAGUUUUCAUAUUUCAGCUCCAACAUUAUAGCUCAAUGUACAAGAUUAUUGUCAUUAUACACUAUAGGAGGUUGAAUUAAGAGUUGAUAUCAUCUUUUUAUUGUCUUGGUCAUGUUGUGAAUGUUUGAUAAACUGCAAGUUCGGCCUCCUACUUUUCAUUCAAACAUCUUAGUCCCUGGAAAUUCGCAUAUUUUGCACGUCUAGUUCUUAUUCCGUAAUAAAUAAAUAAAUAUAUUUAUCUAUAUAUUCUCCUUUUUGUUUUCCUCUAACAUUUUGGGUGCAUGGAUAUCUUAUUCAACAUGCCCCUUCUAUUUUAUGUAAAGAAUUAUAUAAUAUUAGUAGAUGAGAAAUGAAAUCAAAUGUUCAAUGAAUACCAUAUUUGGCUAGCAAUUUUCUUUUUUUUAGAAUGAGAUAAAUUAUUUCGUACUUGAAGUAUACUAUUCUACCAAAUUUUAGAUGCCAAGAUUUUUUACGAAACAAAAAUCAAACUCUGUUUUUUUUUUUUUUUUUUUUUUUUUUUUUUUUUUUUUUUUUUUUUUUUUUUUUUUUUUUUUUUUUUUUUUUUUCUGAAAAAGGGUUAUUGGUUGGGCUUAGUGGGCUUUAAUCAAGUGAGAUAUUUAACAGCCCAUUGAAACAGUCCUGGUUAAUUUCCCGGUCCGCAAUUGAAAUGGCAAAAUAUUGUGAAGGUCUCAGCACGAUUUUAUUGAGGAGCUCCUUAACGAAACUUCGUUGAAACAGCUUAAUGAGCUCAGUGAUUGGCUUUAUCAGGCCUUUCUUUUGAAAAUUAAACAUGUAGCAGAGGGCUUAAUUAAUUGGAUAAUGUUUAUCUUUUUUAUAUUAAUUUGGCUUUUUGAACUUGAUUAACCUAGCAAAUUUUAAAUCCUGCAAUAAAUUGUCACAACCCUUCUACAUAAAAAUCAUGAUGACUACAUAUGAAAGUGCAAUCCCAUCAUGUGAUCCAGUAGAGCUUUUUCCUCUUUUUGACCUGCGAAAUUAAACCUCUUUUCUUUUGCAGCUACAAAUGAUUUUGUCUUCCAAUCAAACCAACAAAAUUUUGAGCAUGCAUGCAAAGAAAAUUAGAAUUAUUAUGAGUUCUUUAUUUUUCAGAAUGCUUCGUAGUUUAUAUACAUACACGCACAUGUUUUGCUCAAAGCGGGAAUCUAAUUCGGAUCAUAAAACACCGUUCUUUGAUAUCUUAUGUGGUUGGAGAACAACCGUUAAACAUUAUAAUAUUAAAUAAUAGCCGUUUAUCUUCAAAAACUUAAGAUUUGAGAGAAUAAUAUUUUAACAUUGUACAUUCAACAUUGCCUAGCUACCAACUAAGUUAUAAAGCGAGACGUACAUAAGCGACUACUUAGCUCUGAACUCUACCGUCGAUGCUUAUUUUAGCUUCUUAUCUUCGGUAAAAAUUCUAUUAUAUUAAUUAGCCAAGUGUGCUACGUACCGUUUUGAAAAUAGAAAAAUUGUUUCAGAAACUAAAAUCCAUUAUGAAACUUAAUCGCGCACAUAGCUUAUAUGAUUCGACACAUAUUUAGACCCAAAUGCUAAGUAUCAUACUUAAGAGGUUACUCUCCAACAUAAAUAAGUAAACGGAGAAUCCAUCUGAAAAAAAAGAGAAAAAAAAAGAAGAAAAAAAAUCAACUAAACACAAAACAAUAUUUAUGUGUUAUCAUUUUCCACCGAGCCAAAAGAGGCUUUGAAGUACACAUUUCAACGACUUUGUUGGCAAAAGAGCAUGGACCGAUAUGGAGUCUUCGACAUUACUCAUUCUUUUUUGGUUUUUUCCUUUCAUUCUCUCUCUCUCUCUCUAUGUGUAAAGUUUGGAUCCUUCGGACAAAUCUUUUCCUCAUGAUAAUGUCGCUUUAUUUCUUUUUUUUUUUCUUUAAAUUUACUAGCUUUUGAAUUAAUAAUUAGGUCAAAUGAAAAGAUGGUUUUCAAAAUUUUGACCAAUUUUAGUUGAUCUUUAAUUCUUUCGUUGUAGGGUUGUAUGAAUAGGCUAAUAUGUUAUUCAGCAUAUCUUUUUAUUUACUGAAUAAAUUUAUAAUAUUUAAUUGAUAAACCGUGUAAAAUUAAGUUAAUGUCUAAAAUACGUAGAGACUAUAUUCACUUUUCGUGCUUUUUUUAAAAAACACAUAAAAUAAGUUAUGUUGUGGAUGAAAUAUGCUACGCAACCAAAUUAAUUAUGAAAGAUGUUAAGGCCACUCACUAAGCAAAAUUCAAACUCUUUAAUUUUUUUUGAUGCAAGAAAUUCUCGUACAGAAUAAACUAUUAUUUUUUUAUAAAUUCAAAUAAAUUAUUAUUGUAUAUCUUAUUCUGAAACCUCUCUCUCUCUCUAUAUAUAGCGUCGAGUGUUGUGCUUUUAAAAGUACAGGAGCAUCUGUGUUUAUAAAUUUUUAGCAGUCGGAUCGUCUCAAGAUCCGUACAGUACUAAUAAAGAUGAUGUAAUUAACCAAACACAUCGUUAAUAGUGUUGCAUGAAUCUUGAGGGGAUCCGACGGCUAAAAAAUAACAAGCACAAUUGCACAUACUCUCAUGUGCUUUUAAAAGCAUAGAAAUUCAACUCUCUCUCUCUCUCUCUCUCUCUCUCUCUAUAUAUAUAUAUAUAUAUAUAAAUUAAAUUUCAAUUUGUACAUCUUUGGUUUAGCUCAUAUUCACUUUAUCACUCUGGUUCAAAAAAUUAUGUUGAACUACAUUAUAGUUUUAUUUUAUUUUUAUCAAAAAGAAUAUUAUUAAAUAGGAUAUAUAAAUAGCAAAAUAAAAGUUUUUAUAACCCCAAAAUAUAUAAUUAAGUGUAAAUUUUGAACUGAAUAGUAAUGGAGUUAAAAUAUGCUGAACUACAGAAUAAUUAAAUAUAUUUUUUUAAUUAUAGAGUGGCAAAAUAAAAAUGAAUUAAACCACAAGGGACAAAUUAAGUUUCUCCCAAAAAUAAAAAAAAUGGCAAAACCUUUAUAAUAGUGAAUAUGAAGUUGGAGAGAUAAAAUAACUUUCACCCAAUACACUUUAUAUACAAUUCAAUUGCUUUCCAAUCUAUCCAAAUUAUGUAUAUGUUUCUAGCAACAUUUUAAAAUUCAAAUCAAACAAUAAUUCAAAAAUAUUAUUGGGAGUCGCUAGUUCAACCAGUGGGUCAACCACCAAUCAAACUAGCGACGUCAGUAUAACAUCAUAAAAAUAUUUAUUUUAAUUUUAUUAUAUAAAAAUAUACUUAUAUUAUUAUUCUAGUAUAAUACUUAAUUAUAAAAUAUUAAUUUCAAAAUCAAAUUAAAUAAAUAUAAAUUUGCAAAUUUUACUUUUUAUAAAUUAAUUUAUAUUAAUAGAAAAUAAAAUCAGCUAGUUUACUUUUAAACAUGUGAAUUUUAAUAUGAUUUAACCAAAAAAUUCAGGCCGAUUUGACUAAGACCGAAACAGCAAUUCUCAAAUAGAUAGAUAGUUAAAUUGUCAGUUCAAACGAUUCAAAAUGAUAUUUUGAUCAAUCUGAUUUAAAAAGUUGAAUCCAAUAAGUCCCAUCGAACUGAUUUGGUUGGAUUCAAAUUUUAACUUAAAAAGAAAAAAAAAAAAAAAAAAAAAAAGGGGCGGUUUUAGUGAAAGAAACAUGACCCACCGCAGGGGAACAAAAGAGAGAUUAGAAACCAAAAAAGAGAGAAAAAAAAAAAAAAGAAAAGAAAAAAAAGCGGUGCAGAAUAAAGCGCAUGCAUGUAAUACGCGUUCCAUCCGUCCGUCCAUUUUGCCUCGGUGUUCGCGCCUAUUUCACGACUCCCGAGGAUUCUCCGAGAUAGGUCUUGCCACGUCAGCCGUACACCGUGGCACGUCGCUAGCCCUGCACCGGGCGUAUGCAUGCGUACUCUCUUUGUACAGCAAAAACCUAAUAGGGGUCCUCCUUUGAAACAAUCAAGUACAAAAGGCCGAUAUUUCAAAUUUAGUACAUAAACUUUGAAAUUCGCAAAUUUAAAAGAUUCUUAAUUGUAUAAAUAUGAUAUGUCAUACCUAAAAGAGGUUAUAUAUAUAUAUAUAUAUAUCGGCUACUAUACUAUUAUGAGUACGAUCGCCCUCGUACUCUUAAGUUGUUUUCGAUGAUAGAGCUUCCGAAUCGACGAUCCACAUCGUUAAACGUUACUUACAGUAUUUAAAACUUCUAAAAAUCAAAUUUUAUAAUUUUUCAACAUCAUUUACCUUACGAUCAAAAGGUCACAAAUUUGACAAUUUUUAACGGCCGGUAUGNAAUUUUGAUAGAAAAUUCUUUAUACUAUAUAAAACAAGAUCAAUAUCUUUGAUUUAAAAUUUUAAUGUCAUAUUAUCACAUUUUAUAAGAUUUUUAUUUUCAGCCGUUGAUUUUGAGCCCCUUCGUUCACUAGGCAAAUGAUAUCGAAAAAUAAUAAAAUUUAUUUUCUAGGUACUCCAAAUACUCUAGAUCAAGUUUAACGGAGCCAAUCGACGAUUUGAAAGUCGCAACAUCGAAAACGAGCUGGAAGCACGGAAGGCUCUAUGCUUCUGAUAGCAUAAUAGCCUCACUCUAUAUAUAUAUAUAUAUAUAUAAAGGAGGUUGUUGUAUAUUUUAAAAUUUAGUAUUAAGAUUUUAAACAAUCUUAAAAAUCGACGAUUGCCAUAUGACUAUUGUUUGAUUUUUGUAUAUAGAUCUUUGGGGUGUUAGAGAGUAAAUGUAAGGAGCUAGAUUUUGAUUUUAAAAGCUCUGCCACUGAUUAUUUUGUUUGCUUUGUAUGAGGCAUAUUUAUACACUCGGUGCAGGGAAAAAUUUCCACAGUACACAACCGUCUCAUCUAAUAGGUGAUCUAUGAUCAGGUGGACCAACCUAUCCUCCACUGUCUGAUCACGAUCGAGCGGUGGACAGUGGCCGACAACAAAAGUAAAAUUAGUUGAAAAUGUUAAGUAAUUAGAUUUCAAACUUAAAAUUUCGGGUAUUACUUAUCAAGUUCUUUGUCACCUGCGUUCGAGAUGGUGUGUGAAGGAAUGUGGUUUGUUGGGAGAAACUAUAAUAUAUUUCUGCGCACCUGGUGUUUGAGUAUAUAUCAAUACGCGCAUAUUUUAAAUAAACUUAAAAUCAGUAUGUAAUUUAUUAAACGUGUUCUGUCACAUUUAGGGAUGUACAUAAUUAUAGAUAUAUCAUAAUAAAAGAUGCAUGUAACUGAGAAUACAGUAUCUUAAUUAUAAUUUUAUUUGAUUUUGCAUGGUUAAAAUUAUUGCAGAUAUAAUUACACUACUGGAAUGAAUAUAAUUGAAGACGCAUUUUGAGACCUUGCCACUUUUUUUUUUCCUUAAGGAAUGGUGAUAUAUAUUAUCCUUAAUAGAUCUAUAUAGGGAUAAUACUCUUAUAUUAUCUGUAUAUAUAAAUUUUUGAAAUGAGUUAUAUUAAUUAUCAUCAUUAAAAACUAUUUCAAUAUAAACAAGUAGUUUAUGAAUGAUUUACAACUGUAAAAUAAUAAAAUAUAUGUUGGCUUGAGAAGGAAAAUAUUUAAUUAUGUAGAGGGCUUUAAUAUUCCAUUAUUAAUUGUAAAUAAUAUAUAUAGCCGUGAUUGACGCUCAAUUUUCUUUGAUUGUACUGAAGGAAAAGUACUCCUUUUAUAAUUUUCACUAGUAAAGUUUUAGGUGUACUUUUUUUCAUAACUCACAUUUAAUAGCUAUAAUAAUAAUAAGAGUUCCUUAUUCUAGUUAAUUAAUUAUAACCCUGAAAAAGUGUGAACUGAUCAAUCACAUGAGAAAUUGCUUAAUUUGGUUUAAAAAGUGCAUUAAUUUUCAAAGAAAAUACUAGAUAAACUUACAAUUAAUAUAAUAUCAUAAUCAAGAUUAAACUGCAGCAUAUGUACAACUGCAAUAAUUAGAUACAAUUAUAGCAAAAAGAAUAAUAAAUUAAAAUUAGUCCAACUAUAGUUAGACCUGUAUUGUGACUCCCCAUGUAAAUACCCAAAAAAAAAACAAAAUUAUAAACUUUUAGAGCUAUUUAACACGUAGGUACGUAAUAAGUUUUAGAAAUUUAUGAAUCUUUUUAUAAAGCUAAAUAGAUCGUCACCCUCUUCGGACUCAAACCUCUUUUUUAUAUCCGGACACGCUUAACUUUUUUUUUUCAGUUUUUUUUUCAGCAAUUGUUUCAUUACUGCUCGGACCUAACUUAGGGAGUGCUCUGGGAAGUUGGGUCGUUGGUUUGAGCCUAAUGAUUCGGUGGUCCACCAAAAAAAACUUUACACUUGGCACAUUGGGAUUUUGCCACGUCUUUGUAUUAGGAGAUAAAGUAUACAACAUAUGGUCCACCGAUACACUAGGAAAAAAACAUAGUGCAAAAGGAAAAGGGAGAUGUGAAAUGGACGUUUGGGCCAUCUGAUGCGUUCCUGUUGUUUCCGUACUUUGUCGGGAUUCGGGACUGCCGAAUCGAACGGUCCACUUUGCGUGGUCCUCAAUGAACUUCGAUAGGCGAAAGACGCACUAAUGAACGGGCUGGUCGGAAUUUGGGACCGCCAAAUCGAAAGUUCCACAAUGCGUGGUCCUCAAUGAACUUGGAUAGGCGAAAGGCGCACUAAUAAACUGGCUAAAUCUCGAUUUUGAAUAUGUAUAUCGUCAGUUUGCUACCGUGCCCUUCGCCUGGGUGAGAAUUGGCCGUCGUCUGGAGUCGAAAUCUAAAUCUCGAUCUACAAAAUCCCAAGUCGAACUGAUCUGGCAAAUUAAAGCUUUGUAUUCUUUCGAAUAAUGCGCGCUGUGGCAAAUAAUGCAUUUCAUCGUCUAUUUGAUGGUCGAACCAGCGAGGAAAAUGCACCCUAUCAGCAAAUGAGCGGCGUGAUCAUCCUUUGUAAGUAAGAAACAAAUUGGGUCACAAGCUCAAAUUUUGAUCAAAUAUGGUGUACAUUAAUUGGGCUUUGUGCGGACUCAAAAGGGCUCAUGGCCCAUUAACAUUAAUAAAGCAAAUUGCUUCGGAUAAUAUACAUGAGUAAUGUUACUUAUACAUCAAAAAGCAUGAUACAAAUAUUACACUCAUCCAUUCAAAAAAUUUAAUUAUUUUUUUAAAAUUUUAUUUAUGAUUUAAAACAAAUUGAUAAGACUAAGGUUAGCAUAUUGAUGCUUAAAUACAUAGAAUGCGAAAUUUAUACCCCUUUUUUGGAACGUACACAUAACAUUUAUUGCUUUAUAAACAUAUCCCUACAUUAUAGCUUUCUUUUGAAAAUAUCUAUUUUCUCUUUUUAGUAGCUUAUCAAAGUUUGUGUUCUCUUUUCCUUUCUUAUUUUUUGAAACCAAAAAAUAUAUAAAAAAAAAAGAAGUUUGUGUUCUCAAUCAUUAGCUGCAACCUCUUUCUCUCUGUGUCUACGCGAAUCUAGUUAAUUUCUUAAUCACUUGAUUGAUUAUUGGGAUGCGACUAAACGAAAUCUAGGUUGCUACGAUUUACGUAUGAUAAUAAUAAUUAGGGUGAUGAUUAAUCAACGCUAACUAAUAGCGUGCACAUGCAAUACACGUCGCACACACACAAAUUAGCAAUUACGCAUAUAAAUGGAGUGCGAGAGAAACACAGUGCUCGAGGAGACGGCGUAUUAAUUAAUUAAUUAAUUAAUUAAUUAAGAAGGGCGCAUGCAAAAGUUGCGAACAGCAAAGUGAGUAUAAAAUUGUGGAUUCCAACAUUUUCUUUAAAGCCAAUUAUUGAAAGAAUAAACAUACGACAAAGCUCUUUUUAUCUUUAAGCAAUUAAAGCAUAUGUAUGUCUAUUUUGUUUGUAAGGACGUCGUACGUAGCACAGGGAGUGAGCAAAAUUACAUUUUUCUCCCCCCAUCCCCCAAACUAAUUAGACUUUCAUUUGAGAUUGUGGGAAUAUUACGUUACAUGCGGUGAGAAAAUACGAUUAGAAAAAUACUAUAUUUGUUUCCGUACGUAAUAUUACGUUCUGCAUAUCGAGAUAAGUCAGUUAUGAUAUAUAUUUUGCGAUUCCACCAAAGAAUACAGAAGUAUAUCCCUAUAUAUUUUUACCCUAACUCCAUUUUAUCUAGCCUCAAUCGCCAAACUAAGCUUUAAACGUGUAGAUAUAUAAGGUUAAAUACUUUUGUUUUGUUUCUAAAGGGAAUUAAUACAAAAACUAGUAUUUAUUGUUUGUUGUGAUUUUUUUUUUUUUUGUUGAGAGAGAAAAGUGGUAUACAUCUGCUUCAUUUUUUUUUCAAUAAAUAAUUUAAAUAAAAAUAUAAAAAACUAGAAAAACAGCCAAUAAUCUUUUUCAACACUCGCAUCAUUAAUAAUGCAAUAUGUGGUAAUUAACCCAAGUCACUAGUUACGAUAUCAUGACUUAUGAAUCGCAAGCGCUAUAACCAAUUAUUCCAUCCCCUCGAAUCGACCUAAGUCAACUUAUCUGAAUGUUAAUUAGUUGAUCUACUAUUGGAUAUCUUGCCGUUAAGUCUCUAUUGUGGACCGUAGCUCUACUUAGCUUAUUGGACUCAUCUAACUUGACUUAUUAGUCUCUUGAGUAUAUUAUCAUGAGACAGAAGAUUAGAUCUAUCUUAACUAAUAAUAAAUAACCAAUACUUUUUGUUACCUAAGUUAGGAAUGAUUGGUAUUGUGAUGAAUUUAUAUUAGUUCUCUUUAUACUUAUUUAUUUCAAACAUUACCAAUUUAUUAAUUUCAAGUAUUACCCUACUCAUUAAUUACACAACCAUUUUUUCGAAAUGCACCAGCUAUUUAAUUAAAACUUUUCUAAUCAUGUUAGUAAACUAUUGUAGAAAAUGAGAGGUUAAGUAUCUCUUAAGCUUAAUUAAGUGGGAAGGAGAAAUCAAAUUAUAAGAGUACUAGGCUAUAGUUAUAUAUAUUUUUAGGCCGUUUCUUAAUAGAUAGACCUUUUAGGUACCGUAAUAUAUAUCGAAACCAUUUCUAAUUAAGCUCUUGUCCUUUCAUGAGAUCGUGGAUUUGAUGUUUUUUAUCUUUAACAUUUCUUAGACUUUAUAUAAUUCAUAUAUCUUUUAUAUUUAUCAUAUAUACGAGUGGAGAAAAAUAUAGCAAUGUGUAGAUCCCGAAAAGACAAUAUAUGUAAGGGGGGUUAAUUAGCCUUUGGUGAACAACACCACUCUUCAACCUAACAUAUAUAUCGCCAACAACAUAAUUACCAUUUAUACAAUAACGACUAAAAUCACCACCGAAUAUAUAACAUGUCACCACUUUAUUUUUACCAUCUUAUAUUCAAAAUCAUUAACCUAAGAUAAUAAUAAUUAAUAUCUUUAAUUAUUUAAUUUUUUUUUUUUUGAGGGACAACAUGCCGUGAGGCAAUUUUAUUUAAUUAAUAAGUGGAUACAGACCGAGAAUAUUCAUCAAUAGAAGACCAGAAAGAAAACUUUUUACUUGCGAGUCCCUAAGUGGCUAGGCGAUACGCAACUAUAGCAUAUUUAGAAAAUCUUGAAUUUCAUCCGAAACUGACGUAAUUGAAUCUCUCUGUAAAAGUCCAUAAUUCCAUGAUUCUUAUCCGAGCUUCAGGUGUUAGCGAAUUUGAGUGAUAAUUCCUAGGGUGCAAAGCUUUGAUACUGGAUGCUGAAUCUGAGAAGAUAUGAAAAGUUUCUCCAUGAUACAUUUGCAAAAGAAGCUUUGCCACUCGGAUGAUUGCUCCAAUUUCGGCCGAGCAGGCAUCUGGAUCACCUUUAUUGCGUCAGAUAUACAUGCGAUGGUGCCAUGCUGAUUAGUAAUCAGGCAUCCUACACCACCUUCAGUAUUGCCUUUCCAACUCCCAUCUAUCCACACAUGAAAGGAAGAGAUUAUAGGUUCUUGAAUCAAAGUUGGGUCCUGUAUGUUGAUUCGCGUCAUGUUAUUGUUGGAGUAUAAGGCCGUACAGCGAGUGAGAAAUUCUUCUCCUUAAAGAUCAUCCAUUCCUUUUCUUCUACAAGCUCUAUAACAAAUGAACACACAGAAGGCCUUAUGAGUCUUCAUAACUUUGUUGGUUAGGAUGAAAAAUAUCCAUAACAAUUAAUAUAUUUCUUUAGUUUAAGACUAAUAUAUAUUAAAUUAUUAAAAUUUCAAUUUAAUUAAUUUUUUGAUUUGAUUUGUUAUUUUUAAAAUCAGAUCGAAUUGAAUUAUAUAUAAAACCACAACGAACCGACUGAUUUCGACCGAUUCAAUUUGAUAAUUCAGUUUGAAUCGAAUAAUGGUCACCUUGGUUAAAAAUUUAUUGAGUGGAGCCCAUAUAUAUAUUUUUUUAUCAUGAACUGCGCAAAGCAAAGAUAACUUGCAUUUACACUCCCCAGUCCCAAAACAAGUAAGCACAUUUAACCACUGCAGAAAAAAAACUGAGCUUCAAAAAAAAUAAAAUAAAAAAGUUUUUUUACCACCCUAAAAUGUUUUUACAAACAAUAAUUAAAAAAAAAAAGAGCAUAAAAAAAACCCCCCCAAAAGCAAGUUUUUUUUUAAAAAAAACAUAUCGAAUCACGAGAAAGAACCGUAACCACCACCUUUUACUUUCGUGUUAUUAUUAUUAUUAUUAUUAUUAUUAUUAUUAUUAUUAUUGGUUUUUAACCUCUUUGUCCAUUGACUGAGUGCUUCUAAUCAUAUUCCUAGUGGCCAGCGCUUUUUCCAAAGAGCCCCCUCCUAUUUAAGAGCAUUACCACCCCACCCCCCCCUCGCACACAAUUAAAGCAUGUGAAUUGGAGAGAGUGCUUGCUCCUUAGUCCUCAGACAUGAUGUCUCUGGAAAACUAUUCUCUCCGCCCCCUACAACAACACCACCACUCCUUAGAUUGGGAUCUACACAGCAACAUUAAUGGAGUCGAGUAUUUCCAUGAACUCAUUCCUUUGGGUAUGAUCACAAACUCAAUUACUUCUAUAUAAAGAUUUUCUUUUUUUUUUUUUGAUAUUGUAAGUUUUCGCUGCUCUUUAAUUCCAACAAUACUAUAUACGUACUCUAAGUGUGUAGUUUAGGUGUCAUUUGCUUUGCAUGGUGGGUUUAUGUGAUUGUGUUUGUGUAGAUUGGGAGUCUCCGAUGUCGUCGGAGGCGUCCACCGGGUACCUGCAAGACGCGGUGGCCGAAUGGGAGGACCGGUGCAAGCGGCGGAGAACGACGGCGGCGGUGGCGGUCGCAGCGGCGGUGCCGCAUCGCGAUUGCACUUCGGUUGGGAUGAAUGAAGAGCUCCUGGAUCUUCUUCAAGUAAAUAUUUCCCUGCUUUGAGAUUCAUAAUUUGAAUUUAAAUUGAGGAGGGAGAUUUUUGAAUUUGAUAUACAUUUUCUUUCCUUUUCUAUUUUUCCUUUUUUUGCAGAAUUUUUGGGAUUCUAGCAACCAUGAUGAUCAUCAUCCUUUGGAUGGUUUGAAUUGUGUGAGCCAAGAGAAAUUUGCUGGUACAGGUAAAUUUUUGAAUUAAUUUAGAAUUUUUUUUCCCCUCAUUUUCCUUUUCUUUUUCUUUUUCUUUACUUUUUUUAUUCACUUUUCUACUCUUCAGUAGUUUUGGCUGAUUUUUUAAUUUUUCCUUAUAUAUAUAUAGUAUGGAUUAGUAAUAAGACAACGUAAUUAUUAAUGUUUGAAUUAUAAGAAAUGUGUCUCAUAGCUGUCACAUGUGAGGCCCACCAAUUUAAUUAUAUAUGUACAUAUAAAUAAGGGCCAGGCCAAAACCAAAUUGUCAAUGGUUGAACAUAUAUAGCUAACUAAGCCAUAAUUAGUGCAUAAUUUUAGCAAGUUAAUUAACUAGCUAGCUAGCUAGGAGUCAAACUAUACAUUCUUAAUGUUUUUUAAUUAGUUCUUUAAUUUUCAUUAACAAAUCCAUAUGAAAAGCAGGUGAUUAAAGUAUGCAGUUGUUUUAUUUGCCACAACUUUUGCUUAAAUAUUGUUAAUUAUCAGAUCAUGAUGCUGCAAAUCCCAAGCUUUUAUCAUUGAAGGGCCACACCAUGCAACAAGUGUCAGGGAAAAAGCUCCAAGAAGAGAGAGGAGGAGCUUCACCACCAAAUCCCAAAGAAAAAGAUACCAACUAUGCUUCUGUAGAGUCAAAUUCUACUCAUCCCUCCACACUCAAAUAUUUGGCACCAAGAGGUAAAACAAUAAUUGUUGAUUACUUAUAAUUAAAACACCGUUCUAUGAUAGAAGAAAUAUUGCCUACACUCGGUGCGUGCGUAGCUGAUCUAUGUGGUGCACUAGGGGUAGGCAACUGGAUAAUGACAUUAGAGCAGGAGGUUCUGAAUUUGAAUUUCUUUAUGUUUGUCUCGGCUCUCUCGGCAGGGAGCGAGAGCCAGAGGUGUAAGAAAAAGAAAGGCACGGGGGUGGCGUAUCCGUUCGCGGUGGUGAAGCCCGGCGGGCUGGAGGGGGACGUGACGCUGCACGACAUCAACGAGAGGAUCCUCAUGCGGCCCGCCCGACCCGUCCGGCACCCGGUCGGGGAGUUUGCGCCCGGCCCGUGCGUGUCGGCCCGCGGGCCGGGUUUGUCCGGCAAAGCUGUAGUGAGCCUCACCAGGAUCCAUACAAGAGGGAGGGGCACUAUUACAAUUAUCAGAACAAGAGGAUAAACCUUUUCCCCUUUUUUUCCCCCUUUUUGCAUUGAUAUAUACAUGUAUAUUUAAGAUAUAUAUAUAUAUAUAUAUAUAUAUAUAUAUAUAUAUAUAUAUANAUGUAAAUACUACCUCUUAUAUAUUUCCCUCUUGCAAUAAUAUAUAUUGCUAUUUCAUACGUACACUAUUCUUUCUUUUUAUUUCCUUUACUUUUAUUAAGAAUAUAUCGCGAGAGCCAAAUUUUACACACAUUAAUUAACACUUAAAAGUCUCUCCAAAUAUACGCGCUAAAUUUAUAUUGAAAAAAUAACAAUAAUACCUAAAUUCAUAUGACAAUGCUAAUAAACUAUGAUUCGUAUAGUUAUAAACCAACUAAGAUUUAAGUGGUGGACCUUUUUUGCGAAUUUGCUUAAGAAGGGAAGUUAAUCAAUUAUUUGCAGUACGUAAUUGAUAUUAUUAGCAGAGAAAAAUAAGCCCAUGCAUGUUAUUUGCUUCUAAUAAUCGCUUUUUCCUUGAAAAAUAAAAUCUUAUAUAUAAAUAAUUAAAAAAAAGAUGAAAUGAGUUUUAAAAUAUCAAAGCAGGACUAAAUUGAAAUAAUCUCUUGCUAGCUUUAGAGCAAACUUGAGGCAAUUCAAAUUAAAGGGCUCUGGAUACCAUGAUUUCUUUUUCUCUUUUUUUGCACUAUACUCCCUGUAGGAUAUUACAAUUACAUUGCAAGGAUUACUUUUUCUUUUCUUAGUUUUUUUUUUUUUAUUUGCAUGUUAUUUCAUGAGAAAGAAAAUAAAAAAGCAAAGGAAAUGAGAGAAUGACAACACGAACCCUAUACUGUCAUUGGCUCCAAAGAGGCCGAAAUACUUUGCUGUGUGAUUUGACUAGAAAAUAGAAUCUAGCUAGUCAAAAAAAAAAAAAAAAAAAAAAAAGAACUUUAUUUUUUGGAAAUUAGUGUAAAAUUGCUCGUUGUUUAGCACUUGAAUAAUUAUUAAUUUUCAUCUAAUUUAUGUCAAAAUAUUUAUGAGCUUCUAUUUUGUGUAUAUGUGUUUUAAUCUAUUUAAUGAACCGCACAGAAAAUUAAUCAUCUUAUGUUUUAGAAUCAAAAAUAAUUUUGAAUACCAGUGGAAUGAAUUUUUAAUCCAUUUAAUGAACUGCACUGGAGAUGCACAGACAGAAAAGAAGUGAAAGUUUAACCUUCGUCGUUUAUCAAAUUUCUAAAUUGAGAUAUCAAAUGAUGCUGGUGAAUAACAGGGGAAUAAAUUUUGAAUCUUACGACACAAUAAAAUAAAUAAUAGUUUUUGAAAUUUAUGGGAUUCUAAUCAUUUUUGGUUGGUGUGAUCUUUUCAACUAUGGUCAAAUUAUUAGGAAACAUUAAUAUAUAUAUACACACACACAAGUGAACAUAGGAACCACGCACACUUUAUAAAAGCAUGCUUUAACAAAGAGUGGAUCGAGAUGAUCAUCAGUAGAAGUGGAUUUGACUCAAUUGGAUUUAAAUUAAUAAAUUAGCAAUUCAAAUCCCAACAAAGAACAAUUUGCAUAGCACGUUUUAGUCAGUGCAAGGACAUACUAAUUCCUUUUCUUUUUUUUUCUUUUUUAUUAUAUUAUAUGGUUUUGAGCCAAAUUUUAAAAAAAAAAUAGUUUAUACCUAGUAAAGUUUCGGGUGUACCGUUUCCUUUUAGAUUCUAUGACAAAAAUAAUUGUGUGAGCACCUCAUUAGGGGUAGCCCCAACUCCCAAAGUGUGAAAUAUGUCCCAUGCAUGUUGUCGCACCUGCACAAACUAAUAUAAAAGUAAGGGUUAAUUUUAUAUAACUUUAUGUAAACAUAUCAAAUAGUAAAAAUAUAUAUUUCUAUAAAAUUUAAUAUUUCAUACAAAUAUUUACUAAUAUUUAUAUUUGUCUCUUUGUUUUGUUAUAGUUAGAGUAGUGUUUAUUUUUUAAUAGAAGAUAAGUAAAAUAACAUUUUUGUAAUCACACAAAUAUGUCGCCCCAAAAAUCGCAACUGACGGCCGUUUUUCUUCCUUUCUAACAUCACAAAUAAUAUAAGAGAAAGUAAAAAGGUCAAUUUACCUCAUUUACUAAUCAGGGUUUAAUAUUUUAUCUAUUGUUUACUAUAAUUUUCUAAUGGAUCCUAACAACUGAGAUAUAUUUAAAAACAUUAAGACUUUUGAAAAGAUAAAUAUGAAAAAUUGAACUUUAUAAGGAUAUAUCUGCUAUUUGAUAUGUUUAAAGAGAGUUAUAUAUAAUUAACCCUAAAAAUAAUAUAUAAUAUAUUUUUUAAAAUUUAAAAAUAUUUAAUUUAUUUCUAAAGGACCAAAAUAUUUUUAUUGAUUUUAAUAAUUUUCUUCAAAUAUCCACAUUUUUUUUGCAAGGGCUUACUAAUGGAAUUAAAUUUUAGAAUAAAUUUGAAAAUUUUGAAUAGCAAUAAAAGGAUAAACAAGCAAAAGCUUUGAUUGAUAUAUGGUGUAAAUUUGCUCUUUCCUUUUGAAAAGCCAAAGUACAUUAAAAGUCUAUUUAGUCCAACUGGAGCUUAAUCAGAAGUACUCUCUUUCAAAUUAAUAAUAAUUCUACUUUGGAAAUAUAUAAUUUUUUUUACUAAUUUAAAUGUUGUUUGAUUAAACAGGUUAGGUACUGAUUCAAAUUAUGAGCCAUGAAGAGUUAGGAGCCCAAUAAAAUUGAGAAGAAAAAAAAAAAGGCAAGAUCACUAGAUCAGAUCACACCAACUACACAUGCAAUUAAUCAAUUAGGAAGGAAAUCAAUAGCCACAUAUAUAUAAUAAAUGGUCCAAUCAAGGCAUCAACUUUUUAGGAAGGGAAAAGAGAUGGGGGCCAUCAUCUACCAAAGAAAAUUAAUUGACAUGAACAGGAGAGCACAGCAAACAUUUUGCCUUGCCUGCUGCCCCACAGAUGGGAAUAGAUAUCAAAAGCAGGUUGCUGUCUGCUCUCCCCCAAAGUCAAGCUGGUUUGAACUUACCAGGCAAGGGAUGGGUCCCAGGAUUAAGUGUCAUUAUACAUUUGAUAUUUUGGAUUCGUUAUCCAUGAUUGAAUUGAAUAAGAUAUGAAAAAUAAUAAUAACAAUAAUAAUAAUACUGUAUUUUGUUGGACGGGAGCAAACAGGUCCAACAAUUAACUUGAGUAAAAGUUUAGUGACGUGUCUCGACAAGACUUAGAUACGAGCGGUUAUAUAUAUAUAGCACUCAGCUUUACUUUGAGAUGCGCAACGAGUUUUACCUGACGCAUAUAUCUGAUCGGUCACUGAAUUUUUGUUCAAACUUGAGUAAGAAAUCACUCAAUUCGAAGCUCUAACGAUCGGCUGAAAGUUUAGUGAGAUGUGUCUUAUUGAAACGCUCAAGUUUAUUGGAUAGUAUUCAAUCCUGCUUUGAGAUUUGCACAAAGUGUCAUAAGAUAAUUUUGAUAUGAGUGAGAUAGUUUAUAUUAAGUUUUGUUCCAACAACUUGGAGGAAUCAGAAACCCCAUAAAGCAUAUAUUAGAUCAAACCAAAUUAUCCCAUCACAUGGAACUCCAAGUUGUGGUUGCAAUGCCUAAAAUGCCUUGAAUACUAAAUUUGUCAAAUAACGAAACUUUUUAUUUUUAUGUUUUUAUUUUCUAGACUUUUAAGCAAACUUUUAAUUUUAAAAGGACAUUGAAUAUUUAAUAAUAUUUUAUUUCAGUCCCUAAAAUUGUAAAGUAUUUUAUUUUAGUCCUUGUCAUAAAGUAAACAAUUAUUUCUUGCACCCAGUUUUCUUGUAUAUUUGUACAAUAUAAAUUUAUUGCUUCUUUAUCUCUAUCAUAUACAUACUUUUAAAUUCAAUGAUAGAAUUUGUAAUAGAAUAGAGAUUAUAUCUCGAAUUUGUAGUAAUUCUAUCAUAACUUUAUGGUCUAGCUAGGAUCAUUCUAAACUUAAAAGUUUAAACUACAUGGUUCAAAUUUAGACUUUCAAACUUUGAUAAUUAAUUAGAUCUUCUAUUUUAUAAAAUAGCUCAAUUGGUUGUUUGGUACACAUGAUAUGAGUUUGCAAAUUAAAAAGGAAGAAAUAUAGGGAUUUUUUUUUUUUUUGAGAGAUAGGUAGUACACUACCCGCUUCGUUUAUUUCAUUUAGAAAUAAACUUAGCUGGAAAUGUGAAUCAACUAGGAUUCGAACUUGGAACCUCGAGUACCAAUCACCAAACCCUUUGCCACUUGCUCUAAGGACGGUCGGUGAUAUAUAUGGAGCAUUGCCUAAGAUACACUACCAACAAGGAAGGGAAAUUCAACUCUCUUUUUUACAUUUAUAACCAAUUAUUAACCUAUUCAAUGGUUAAGAUUUGUAAAGACGUUUUUGUCUCCUGUCGAUCCACGAUCCAAAUUGACUUAUUUGCGAAAAAAAUCAAGUACAAGAGUAAAUGUGAUACCGUCCUUGAAAUUAAUGAAUAAAUUCAUUACUCAUUCAAUAAAUAUUAGUUUUGAAAUAAGCGUAUCUCCUAAUUUUUCUAUAAAUUAUUUUUUUAUUUUCUUAAAAUGAGUUAUGAUAAUGUGUAUCUUUUAGCCUCUCUAAAAGUGUCUUUUAGUAUCUUUAUGAAAUUAAUGAGUGAGUUAAUAUCUAGUAAAGUGGAAAGAUCACUAAAGAGCCUGUAAAUGUGUAAUAAUUAAUUUCAUGAUGAAAAAAAUAAAUGAAGUUGACUUGCUUCUUCUAUCUCUUAGAUGGAUUUUUUGUGAGAGAAAAAUGUUGAUCAACUUUCGCGUUGACGGAUUCCGUGUUGUGGUUGCUCGAGUUCGACGUGGUUGCUAGAUUCUACGACGGAUGGAGUGUUUAUCGAGUCGUGUUUGUUCUAUCUCCGGAUUCUCUCUAAGUUCCAACGUCAAAAUGUCUUCUUUUUUUAAUCAUCAUUUUUGUUGAUCCACAUAGCAUAUUUCAAACAAUAUCCAUUAUACUCGUGAACAGAAGUUAUUAACACAAAUUAUUAAUCGAUUAGUACUAUUAGAUAUAGAUUUUUUACAUAACAUUAUUUUUUUUUUCCAUUCUUAGCCUAUCUAGAGAGGCCUUUCAUCAUACUAUCCUCUUCCUACUCUCUUUCUCUCCCAUGUGGCACCAAGAUACUUUAUAAGUGGAUGUUAUUAUCCUCUGGGUACUACCCCUCUCUCUCUCUCUCUCUAUCUCUCUCUCUAGAGAGAGAGAGGUAGGAUGUAAUUGGCAUUGUUUUUUUUAGAGAAUAAUAGCAUGGCAUCAUUUAUUUAAAAAAAAAAAAAAAAAUUUAGCUAAAGAUAUAAAGCAACUAAAAUUUGAACUUGAAAUCUUGAGUAUCACAAUUAGUAAGACAAACUAGUUUAAUAAUGUAGCAGCUAAAAGUACUAGUUUCAUAUUAUAAAAGAUUCAAAAAAUUCAAACAUACUUAUAAUUUUUUCUCCUUCAAUAUAAUUUUUAUAAUAUAAAAAAAUUAAAAAUGCUCCUGAAAUUUUUAAUUAUAAUAUAAAAAUAAUACUUUUAGUCACUAUAUUUAUAUAUCAAGGCUAGAUUAUAGAAAAUUCCUUUAUAAAUAACGUUGCAUUUAGCCCCCUCCCCUAUUCAAGAUUCAUUACUAUUCUGUUAAUUUCUUAUAAUUUAUACCGAAAAUAUCCUUUAAAAUAAUAUAAAUAUAUUAAAUAAUUAUUUUUUUUCCUUAUAUAAGAAAUAAGGAUAAUUUGAUUGUUUUACCUUCUCUAUUAACACUCUAUUUUUCUGAAUGCAAAAUAUAAAUUUUAAAAAAUAAAAAAUAAUAAAAGAAAAUAUUAGAUCUGAUUUUUUUUUGUCGCUUGUGCCGGUAACAGUCGGUGUUUAUGCGAUCGGGCAUUGUUACUGCAUCUGCAAGGGGUGGAGUAGCUAGUAGUACUAAAAAAAGAGUUAUAUCGAGAUGUAGUUUAGGAAAAAUUUGGAAUGCAUCGGAUAUAUUGGUGACCUGGCGUAAUAAAUCAAUCAAAUCUCUCCUUUUAGAGAUAUAUGUCCUAUUAUGAUUAAAAAAAAUAAUUUUAUUAUAUUUUUAUUUGAAAAGAAGAAAUAUAAUUGAGUUGUUAUUAACGACGUGGUGCGAGUAUGACAGUGUAGAAUUCCUUGUAGUUUAGGCCCCAGCAACGAUGCGAUGGUGCUGGUGUGGAAGGGUACUGUCAGUUUGGUGGUGUUUCGCGGAAAAAGCGAUCAUGAUGCGUCCCCCCACGCUGCAUGUGGGGCGCAUGCAACCAACCCAAAUUAUGUCGAUCGUACGUGUUCCCUCUCCUGCGUUACGUACGCGCGCGGGCCCAACCAGCUCACCUAUCUAGCUCAGGCCACCAAUAACAAUAAUAGUAAUAAUCAUCAUCAUCAUCAUCAUCAUCAUCAUCAACAUUCACCAUCAGAUCAGUAAAAACCAUCGUUAGUUUAUAUAUAUUAUUACCAUUUCAAAAAUAUUAAUUUCUUUUAUUUGGAUAUAUAUAUAUAUAUAUAUAUAUAUAUAUAUAUAUAUAUAUNUGUGUAUUUUUAACUAUUGGAUCUACUUUUUGAUUACUAAUAGUCCUUGGAUCAAACACUAUUCUACCUACCACCACCUACGACCACCUACCACCAUCAUCUCAACCUCACAUCUCUCCAUCUAAGGGCUAAAAACACAAAAGUAUCACUUGGGUGAUACUUUUACAAGUAUUCUAGCUCUACUCAUAUAUAUAUAUCAGUACCACGCACGAAUUAUUUGUUAUUCGUAAGCUGGUUGUAGCUAGGUGAGAUCUAGCUAGCUAUGUUCCAAAAUAUAUAUAUAAGUUGAAUGAAACUGCAGUCUAUAAUAAAUCUAAUGACAAGAGAUUCAAUAAUAGACUUAGGGAUUUCAAUAUUUACGAAUACCCGAAAUUUUAUCCGAAUCCGAAUCCGAACGGAACAAAUUUAUUCAAUGCUAAACGGCUAUUGUUUCAAAUAUAGAUAUUAAAAACAAAAACCCGUCGGGUUCGAAUUUUUGAAAAUUCUUCUCGAAUCCGAUCCGUUGAUAUCCCUAAAUAGAUAUAAUUUUCAAAUGAAUUGAAUCAAGUCGAAACUGGUGAGUUUGGCAACAGAGUACUUGCAACAGAGUACUUAAACGUAAUCGGCGCGUUUUUUUUAUUAGCACAUGUUUUCGAAAUUGUUGAUUAGUACCUACUGUACAUUUGUUACUUAUGUUAGGACAGUGGGCAUUAUUACCUUGAUAGUUAAAGCAGCAGAUGUGACGCUUGAUGGACGUGGGUUCACUAUGCAGGUUGCGCCAAAAAAAAAAGGAGGUCUUAAAGAAACUAGGAAAGAUUUCAUAGGAGUAAUUUCACAUGUACUCCUACAGGAGACUAAAAUUUCAUCAAUAAUCCUCUAAAAUUAAAAGUAUAAUAAAUAUUUUUUAAAUUUAAAAAAUACUCAUAAAUGUUCCUAUAGAUAAUGUGCCGUCAAAAUUUAACCGAACAAGUUUUAAAUGUCAUUUCUACCGUGUACGGUUCAUUAAGUAUAGGAAACCGUAAUUGGCAUAUUAACACUAUUCGCUAGCGCCCUCUUAUUCUCUCCACAUAAUAACGAGCCUACUAAGUAGUUGAUAUUUUACAGCAGCCCGCUAAGUAGUUGGUGUUUUACAACACUUCGUAAUCCAACUCCUAAUUAUGAUUGUGGUAAACCGUACUGAAUUUAGAUGUCAAAAUAACCGCAUAGUAAAAAUUGAUGAUUUUAUCGAGGCUCAAAUUAGAAGGUAAAUUGAUAUGAUACUUUAGUGUGCAUAUAAUUAUUAAUUAAAUAUCAAAUAUAUAAUGCAGUAUAUUUUCUACAGGUUGAGAAAUAAAUAUGAUACAACUAUUUUGCUUGCGUAGAUUAUGUUGGCUUAAAUGGGCCAGCAUCCUGCUCUGUGGUGGGAGGUCAUGUUGGGUUGAGUAAUGUUCGACGUGGCGUAAGGCUGGGUGGGCCGAGUCAUAUUCGAAGUGGCGUAAGGCUAAUUUGGUCGAGUCAAAAUUGAGAUCCGUAGGCGCUGUAUCUCUACGCUUUAAGUGAAUUAGUUGUAUCUUUCUGACAGUUCGAGCUUUUGGGAUUAAUGGUUAGCGUCAACGAUUCUACAGAUAAUUUUCAACACAACACAGUUAACCUUAAAUACCAAAUACAGAUGCUGAAAAAAAGCAUAGGCUGAAGAAUUAAAAAGUUGGAGGAGAAAAUCCUAUUGUGUAUUUUAUAUACUGGUUUCUGAAAUUUUUUACCUUAACAUUAAUUAGUCAUUUCCGGCCAAAUAUAUCAUUCUAACUUUUGGGGAAAAAUUUGUCAUUUUAUAUUUUAACUCUCAUUUAACUAUAUUUUAAUCCUGGUAGAGUGACACGUCCUUAACGGCAAGGGUAGUUAUGAUAAUUUUAUGCGUUUAAAAAGAUAUUUAAGAUAUUUUAAAGUUUAAAGGAGUAUUCACGAAAUUUACAAGUUUGAUAAGGUUACUGAUGAAAUUGUCAUUUUUCUUUAUAACAAUAAUUGCAUAUAAUUUAGGGUAAACUUCAAAUAUCAAUUAUAUAGUUUAACACUUUUUUACUUUAGUAUCGUGUAGUUUAAAAGGUAUUACUUUAGUACCCUAUGAUUUUAUUUUUCUCUUUCCGUCAGCACCUCCAUUAACUCUCCGUUAAAUUAUAUACAAAAAAACUUCAUAUACCCCCCCUAUAGUUCAUUGAAUAUUCACUUUAUUAUUCUGUGGUUUACUAAAUAUUUAUUUUAGCACCCUAUGGUCUUAACUUUAUCACUGAUAUAAUAAAAAAAUUAAUAGAAAGAAUAACGGAAAGAAAAUUUUAUUAAAUUUAUUAAAAUUAAUAAUAAAAUAAAUAUAAAAACUCAAAUAAAAAAAAAUAGAGGUUAAAAGGGUGUUGAUGGGCCAAUAUCAAAAUCGUCCAUAGUUGAGGGGGUCUCCAUACAUUUUACCUAUUGAAAUUAGACUAUUUUAGUUAUUUUAGCUAAAAAGUUGUGUUAAAUUUAACAAAUUUUUUUUAAUACUAAAUCUCUUAACUUUAAAAAACUAAAAGUUAAAGGAUCUUAAUAAAAAACUGCAUAGUUAAAGAAAUUAUUUCGAACUAGCAUAUAGUUGAGAAAUCUCCGGUACAUUUCUCAAAUAGUAUCAAGCAAUUAGAGGUAAAUUCAUCAUUUCAUUACUUAACCCCUAAUUAAUCAGGAUAAACUAACGGUAUUUUAAUUAUAAGGAUAUUUAUGAUAAUUUUUUAUAUUUUAAGGAAUAUGUAUUAACUUUUGUAGGAAUAUCUACGAAAUUUAUAAAUUUUAGAAUGGUAGGGAUGAAAUUGCCCAAGAAACUAUUAGUUCGCUAGUUGAGGCUGCCGACACCAUCUUUUCUUCUACAGUGCAGUUAAAAACAAAAACAAAAACAAAAACAAAAACAAAGGAAAAAAGAAAUCCAAGAUUACAAAAUUAAACAUUAAUUUCCUUGUGGUGGCAAAAUUUUGGGAACGAAUUAUUUAAAGAAUUUAAUCGAAGACACAACACUUUUUUUUUCUUUUUUUUCUUUUUUUUUUUUUUUUACACCUAAAAACAGAUACUGAAGCUUUUAUUUUGGCGCAUAUUGAAGCUAUGUGGCAUGCGAGACUGAAAAUACAAUUUAGUUAUUAAAAAUAAAAAUUAAUUUAAUCCUAAAUAGAUUGGAUUUAUCGACUAUGGUCGAAUUCACUUAAUAAGUCUGAUAAAAUAAUACUUUUAUUAAAAAAGAUUAGAUUUAAACCUGGUCAAAUUCAUUCAGUGAAUAAUAAUCGGAUUGAAACCUACAUUUCAAUAUCAAAAUCAAAAUUAGUUCCGAUUUGCAAAUAUUUGAACUCUGUCCCCUCGGCAGUGCCCAACCUUUACGGGCUAACGUAGAGUUUAAUUUGAUUGUGUGAAUAUAUAUAUAUACACCUAAACUAUGUAGUUUAAAAGGAGAAAAAAAAAGAAAUGAUUUGAUUGUGUGAAUAUAUAUAUAUAUACACACACGUAAACUAUGUAGUUUAAAAGAAAAAAAAAAAGAAAUAGUUGGUGGGUGGGAACAGUUUUCUGAGGUGUAAAUUAUGCACUCUAUCUAUUAUAUAAAUAAAAAUUUUUUUAAUAAUCACAUUGAGAUGACUAGUAAAAAACACUUUACUCAUAAAAUGAGGAGUAAUGUUAUCGAUACAUUCCCAAAUGGAGUGUAUAUUUUACAUUCUCUUCAUCCAAAAGCUAUUUUUUUUACUUCUCGCAUCAACUUCUUUCAACUAAAAAUCAUUUCAGUUUUUGUGAAUUUUAGGAUACGGGUGUAAGAUUUGCAUUCCCUUUCGAGUGUACAAGUAAAAUUUUUCUAAAAUGGGCGGAGUACAAAAUAGGUUUUUUUUUUUCUGUAUGAUAGUUUUUUUUUUUUUUUAAAGAAUGUUGUUUAAGCAUAAAAUUACUAUCAUUAUCCUUAAUUAAUUCUUUUGCUUAAUAUAUCUUAUCUUUUAUUAAUAUAACUACCACAAAAGAGAGUUAUUAUUUUCUAUAGAGCAAUGCUAUCCACACACUCAAAUAUGACUGCAAAUUAAUCUUUCACCCUUGGCAUCCAAGAGCUCAUUUAAUCAAGCUAGUCCCAGAGGUAUCUAGAUUCUUGAAUGAGUUGAGCUCUUAAAAUUUAUAUUCUAUUUUUCAAAAUGUGUACAAGGAGCAUGGAGUGAAUGAUUAACUAAGCAGUACAACUCACAUAGCAGUUAAAAAGCAAAAAGGAAAGAAAAAUUAUAUAUACAUAUAUAUAUAUAUAUAUAUAUAUAUAUAUAUAUAUAUAUAUAUAUAUAUAUAUAUAUAUAGUACACUAAAACAGAGCACAAAGGAGAGGGGCUAUGUCUGUGUUAUAGACCAGCAUGGGAAUAAGAGAGAAGCUAUUGUGGAAGUCACCUUCUUCCCCCAUUUAUGCUUGGGGAGAUUCCUUCCUUCUCUUCUCACCCCAAUUAUUAUUAUUUUUUAAAUAAAAUAUUAUAUAAAAUUUAAUAGUAUAUUUAAUAAAUAAGAAGUAUGAUUAAAUAUGUAAUAAAAUAGAGUUAGUUUGUUAUGCUUUUGCAAGCACUAAUUUUCAACUUUUAGGUCCUUGGAUUCAUACUAUUACCACCAGCUACUUUUAAACCACUAAUAGAUCUAAGGUUUAAAAGUUAGAAGAAUAGGACUGACGGUCCCUAAUACAAGUGAUAAAAAACUUGAUGGUUAGUAUCCGAGGUUUCAAGUUCGAAUCCUAAUUGAUUCAUAUUUCCAGCUAAAUUUAUUUUUAAAUAAAAUAAAUGAAACCGAUACCAUGCUACCUAUCUCUCAAAAAAAUAAAUAAAUUUUCGGAUAAAUUAGAAUUUAGUUGUAAAGUUUUUUUAAUUCUAAAAAAUAAAAUAUUUUAAUGAGCAAAAAAUCAGACUCUUGAUUUUCAAUUACAACAAACAAUAUUCAUAUUGUAGAAAUUGUUAGAAUAACUUAUUUUAACAUUCCAACGGACUAAAUGCUUUUACGCGAGAGAAAAAAAACAUGCUAUCGGUUUCACUUAUUUUUUAAAAAAAUAAAUUUAGCUGAAAAUAUGAAACAAUUAAGUUUCAAACUUUAAAUUUUAGGUAUUAAUUACAAAACCUUUCGCCACUUGCGUCAGUGACAGUCAAUGAGUGAUGAAAUUGUUAUUAUGCAUAUAUCAUAUUCGAAUAAUUUCGUAAAAUACAAUCAGAGUAGUGAUAAAAUACAAUAAACCUCCCAUUCAUAUGUUGCCAUUAUAACUUUUUAUAAAAUUACUGCCGUAUUAACUAUAGCGUUUUAGUACACGCACCUCCAAUUACACCCUACAAUGCUACUAGCAAUGUACCGUGCUUUGCAAUGAGUGCGAAUUUUAAUUUUAUAAUUAUUAUAUUAUACAUUAUAUAAAGUCACUUAAUAGAAUCAAAUAAAAAUACUAAAUUUUAUACAUAUCUUUUAUUUGAAAAGAGAAAAGAACAUUAAAUAAAAAUUAAAAUCAGAGAGAGCACUUUCAAAUUUCACCCAUAAUGUAAAAAAAAUAAAAAUUAAAAAUUUUUAAAAAUGUAUAAUUAUUAAAUUCAAAUAUAAAUCUUUCCAAAUACUUGAAACAGGAUCUCCUUGGGAAAAACAUUGUGAUUUUCUGUUUUAGGGUUGUUUUCCAUUUUGUUUUUCUGAGAAAUCAUUGGAGAGGUAUAUUUACAAGAAGAACCUAACAAGAGAAAAACAACAAUAGUGUAGGUUCCCAGAUAGGCCUGGAUUAAAGCCAAGCCACCCCUUUGCCCAAUAAUGGACAAAAGCAAAAAUGGAAGAAAAUGGGUGGUCCUUGCACAAAAGAAUUAAAAUAGUACAAGCCUUCAUGUACAAGAAAUAAAAUUUAGAAAUCAUUGGUUGAAUAUAAAUAAUAAAUACAGUAAACCUAGACAUACAUAUAACUAAGUAUACAACAGUUAUAACUACAAAAAAAAAAAAUACUUGUUUGCUUUUGUACAAAUACAACCUAAGUAGUAAUUACAUUUCGCCCGUUAGGUAAUAUAAAGCAGGUAAUAUAAAGCUGAUAGUUCUAUUUAUGAAUUUUAUCACUUUUCCAAAUAGAAUUAGGGGAUUAGCCCCAUUAUAUGUAAAAUAAUCAUAUGAUUUUAAUAAUCAUUUAAAAUUUCUAUCUACAAAUAAAUAAGUGGGUAUGUAUAAUAUUUUUAUAUUUGUCAAUAAUUUUUCAUCAUAUAAAUCUGUCAAUUUAAAAUGCUCAAUCUAUUUAACCUUAAGGAAUAAGCCACACUUAAAAAUCAACUAUAUUCUUUCUUUUUUUUAUCCAAUUGAAUAAUUAUAAGUAAUUAAAAUUUAUUUAGUUAACAUACACAAUCAAAUUCUAUAAAAAUUUAUAAACAAGGCCAUUUUUAAUAUUUUUAAAUAAAACUAUUUCUCAAAAACUUUAUUUUUUUACACAAAGCUUACUCAAACUUUUAUUAGCAUUUAUUUAUUUACAAAUAUUUUUAUUUAUUUAUCUCUAUAUACAAGUAUUUUUUUUUUAAUUUUUUUAUUCAUUUCUGUUAAUUAGUGAGUGAUUUGACCUUUCACCAACUACAGCAGUUGGAACUACAAGCAAUUUGAAUGCAGUUCUAAAUGCAACAUCUAGACUUUCUUAUGCAACUGUAACUACAUCAGUUGAACUCAAUUACACCAAAACCAAAUAUAAAAUUUAAAUCUGCAUGUAUUUGUAACUAUAUUGUAAUUACAAAUGCAUACAACCAGACAGUCUCUCGAUGACAAGCACCGAACAUGCUUAAUGCAAUCGUUUAAGGACUCAAUGGUUAACACUAGAGGUCCCAAAGUUUGAAGCCUAAUUGGUUUAUAUUUCUAGCUCAAUUUAUUUUUUCAAAAAAACUCUCAAAAGCAAGAAGAAGAAAUUUAAUGAAAGGCUUUAAAAAGGCUAUGAGGCUAAUAUCAAUUAUAUAGAAAAAAAAAAAAAAAAAACAAAUAAGACACAACAAUGGCAUAUCGUAGUAAACAUUUCAAGCAAAACUAUGCACAUCACAUAAUGAGGAAAAAUAAAUUCUGCAAACCUCGUAGGGAGCUCGCUGGGCCUUCUAUUAGAAGUGUUUGUUAGAAUAAUGCUGCGAGAAGAAACACAAACAAUUCAAGAAACUUCAAGUUGCGCCGCCGUUGAUUGCACCGGUUGGUCUCCUAACUUAAACAUGAGUUUUCACUUGAAUCCUGAACCCCACAAUUUUUGCAAUUCGAUCACUGAUGUGUUGUUUCAAUCUGAGUCGUCUGCAAAAGUUAGGAUUGGGAACCCAAUUAACAGCUGCACAGGAAUGGCCAAAUUUAACCCUUUAGCACCACUUGCAUUUUGCGAUCCAAUACCUCACCACAGAUAAAAUCACAAUCGCAACCAAGAUACAACCGGCUCUGACCAUUCAGAAAUUUUCUGCAGAAAGAGAACUGAUACAGGGGUGCCGACAUCUUCGCUUAUUGCACAAAGCAUGUUACAGAAAAUUUUAUAGUACAGAUACAUGCGUAUGAAAUAUUUCUCAUGCCUCAGUCUCAUCCUGGAGGAGGAUUUCGUAUAUAUCUGUGCGGAUGUUCAAUUCUUUGUCUCGCAUGACUUCCUGAAGAUCUGAUAGCUCCUUUAGUGUCAAAAUUGAACUCAGUUUCUGGAAUCCGUCGAGCCAUAACCUUUUAGACCUACAAACGAAUAUGAAGUAUGAAAUACAUAGCGGCUGUACAAAUAUGCAUUACUAAAGAAAUUAAGAUUGACAAUUGCAGAAUAUAAAGUGAUGAACAAUUUGGCAUUUUCUAAAAGAAUACCAUGGACAUGCGUGAAUAGCUCUGAAAAAGACUCGUCUCGCAGCAGAAGGAUUGCGGACGAUGUCGGCCUCGUAUGCAAGGUAGCAGCGCCACAACAGCACCGACUUCUGCAACUUAUUGUUUGCUAGAGCUCUCUCAAACAACCCAUGAAUCCUACUGCUAGAUCCAGGCUUAUCCCAUUCAAACGACAAUGCAAAAAGCCAGGCAAUCACAGAUGGAUUCCUAGAAAACAUGAAGAAAGGUCGUUACAGUUUGAGUGUUUUCGAUUAUGAUACAUGCAAAAAGAAAUGUAUAAUUAUAUUAAAUAAUGGAGAACUUUUGACAGUGCGUGCUAACUUGUGGAGACAUGAUUAGAUUUGAUCACAAUCAAAUAGAAUUUCUCACUGUUUGACUUAAUCCUAGAGAAAGAGCUGCUGCUUAAAUUUUUUUUUUUUUUUUUUUAAAAAAAAAGCUAGUUGUACGCAAAAAAAGGGGUGCACACCUUACACCCCCAAUCCUAGAGUUUAAAAAUCCAUGGCUUUUAAAAAAUAUGACAAGACAAGUGUGGAAUAUUGGCCCUUUGACGAAAGGGCGUAAAAUUUACAUCCACUUUUUGGGAGUACAGGUAGCAUUGCCCUUAAGUCAAUUUCUUAGAAUAUCAACUGGAAUGCCAACGAGUGUAGAGUUCAGCCAUUGACCUGACAAUUAACAUAUCUAAUCUGGUUAAUUUCACGCAACAUAUCCACUGAAGUUAAAUUAAGCAAGAUUUCCAUGGCAUUAUUAUUAGAAGACAGCAUAUAAGACCAUCGUUUUAGGUUUUAACUUUUCUAAAAGUGAAGCAAAACCUUUCGUUAAACAAUUUAAUUCAAGUUACUGGGUGUUAUCAGCUAGUUCAAGAAGCAGAAAUAGGAGGAGACAAAGAAACUUAUUAGCAAAGAAACAAGAUGAGUGAAUACAAUGGAAUUGACAACAACAUACACAGUAUCAAAAUUCAAACAAAAAGAACUCAAAAGGAAAUGUGACAGCAAAGAGUGGAAUUUCUACUUAUCCCAAAGGAAUUAUAGGGAGUAUAAUAAGAAUUAAUGCUUAGCUAAAGGUGCAUAUAGGCAAGGUCAUUCAAGAAAAGAAAGAUCACCUCUCUAUACAUUUGUCUAGUAGAAGUCGCACUUUGUUGGAAACCAUAUAGCGACAGCUUAGUCCUAACAUGGCUGCAUAUGUUUUUGAAUUGUUAGGAUAUAUUUGCAGCCCUUCUGUUAUGCUUCCCCGCACCUUUGAGAACUUCAAUUGCUUGCUAUGUUUCUGAAGCAGUCCAACAUAAUAGAUCCACAAAGUUUCAAGUUCCAAGCUGGAGCUUCUCCUUCCUGAGGAAAUGAAUCUUACUCAGCAGAGAAAUGAGAGGCAUGUGAUGAUACAACGGAACUCUAUAAAGGAAAAGUAACGGCCACAGACCAUAUUAUAUGCCAAGUAGUCAAACUGAAUGGGCACAUGAUAACAAGCAAGGAAAUAUAUAUGUAGAAUAAGUAACAAUAUAAAUUAUAUAAAUUGUGCUCACUGGCAAUAUUUAACUUUCUGAAUCCAAGCUAAUUAGUCAUUCAUAAGUAGAGAUUUAUCCACUUGCAUUGGUGGAGAAUCUGACUUGAUUUAAUACAAUUUGAUAUAGUUCAAGCUCCAAUUGACCACAUUGAGUUAAUUCCAGAUUGAGCUGGGUUGAUUCUACUUUAACUAUAACCAUUUUUGGACCUACCAACAAAGUAUGAGCUCACAGUAUUAAAAGCAAUAAUCGAAAGAAUAAACCAAUUUAUCACUUAUCUUCUGCUACUCUGCUAGAUGCUUCAGUGCUGCAGGGCACACACCCAUGUGGAUUAGUUAAUGUUUCCAGAUUAUCCAGAUUGUCUCUUAGAGCUAAACAGUACAGGUAGACAUGACAUGCAUGAUUGUUAUGAUGCAGAAGUCAGUACUAGUACAGAAGUAGCUUAACCAAAGCUAACUGUUUUCUACUCAUGCUUUGGAUCGUGUUAUAGAAGCUGGUCUAUUGCAGAGAUGGAGCUGGCUGCUAAUCCCCUCAGAUCGACCAGAAUUGCUCUCAAGUAUGAGUGAAGACAAUAUGCGUUCCUGAUCAUAGAUCUGAGUCAUUUGACACCAACAAGGGAACAAAUAAUUCACUUAAAGGACAUGUGGUUCUCCACGAAGUGCAAGAAAUUCAAUGGCUAUAAUAUUUUUUCUAUUAUAAAUUGUGAUCUAAUAUUUUAAACAUAAAGUUUGGGCCAACAGAACUUGCUAACCACUCUCAAUCACCCUUCAUAAUAGCACUCAUUAAAUGAUGAUCUUGCAUAAUUAUGCAAUGAACUAUAUUUACUUAUACAACAUAGACACUAAAAGGCCGACAAUUAAUUAAACAAUGAAAAGAAAUAAACAUGACUGACCUGAAAGUGUCGCUGAAAAGGUUUCUUCAAUAACUUCAAGACCAGCAGACCAGCCGGAUGUCAAGGUCUCAAAUAAAGAAGCAGAACAGACGAGAGCAACAGAACCUUUUGUUAUGGAACCACGUGCCCAUAAGUAUCUUAAGCUUUUAAUCUGUUCUCUAAAUCCUUGACGUGCUCUCAAGACCUGGGGACCAGAAAUUGGAUUUUUAAAGGGGGUGUACUUAAGUUUGCUUCCUAAGCAUGACAGUAUGUAGACGGCUCGCUGCAAGGACGACUCAGCUAUGUUGCAGCUCGAAGUAGAUGUCUCCAACUCCAUUUCAGCAUACCAUAAAUAAAGAAGAGGAACAUUUUCCUGAAGGUCCUGGCCCACCAUUUCGAACAAAGAAAUAUCAAACAUCUAAAUAAUUAAAACAAGUAGAGUAUAUUAGGAAGAAAAUAACAAGCUAGAAUAAAACCAUCUUUUGAGUCAACAUUAAAUAUGAGAAUUAACUCUUGAGAAAGGAAGUGGAAAGAAGAAAGAACCAUUCUGUCUAAUCCACAUUUAUUUAUUUAAAAAAAAAAAAAUGGAAAGUGUUAUAUGAGUAGGCUACUAAGAGAAGCACUACACUAAAAAAAGCUCCAAACUGGAUCUUUUGCUUCUGGAGCUCAGGAUCCAAUUUAUGCGUCCUGCCACAGUAAAAGCUGUGGACUUUUUUUUUUUUUUAUAUAGUGGAAAUUGCUGAGCUGAACACAGAAGCAGAAGCUGGGCCAAGCAGGCACCAUGUAAGUACUAUGGCAAAGUCUAACCCUUGUUCAGGGUCAAUAUAUCUGUAAACAAAUAAAGUGAAGUUCGAAACUGAAACAGAGAAGGCGAAUUGCCAUCACUAACAACAGAGAGGCAACAAAUGUCAUAUUCUGAACACCAAAAACGAUAGGCUUUUUUUUAUGAUAUGGAGAAUAUUGCAAUCAGCAAAACUGGGAACAUUGUAUUUGUGGGACAGAUAUCAGUUGAAUCGAAAGAAAAAAAUUACUUCAAUAUGACAAGAUUAAGACUCUUACCUGUGCAACUCCAUCAACAGAUAACAAUGCCAUAUCCAAUAUCUUCCUUCCAAGAUCAAUAUUUCCAUGGCUGGCCUCUCUUCGUGCAUAUAUACCGCAAAGUAACAAAUCCUUUUGAAUAACAUGUGACACAAAUGUCAGUGAUUAUCAUAGAAUUAUGAACUUGAAAUUGACAGUGACACUCCAUUAUAUGAUUGGCACAAACAGAACCAGCAAUUUCUAAAAGUUCAACUUCGGCAAAUAUGAAGCCUGAGGAAUGAUAUAUCCAUUCAAAAUUCUACAGGGCAUAAAAGCCUCAAAAUUCACAAAAGACUUGUUGUUGUCAUUUGUACCCACAAAAGAAUAAAAUACAAUAAAAUAAUUAGAAAUAAAAAUCAUUGCACAAGUAAACUAUGCAAUUACAAACAUAUCAAGUACCUGUCGAUCUUUUUUCAGUAGGUUUUUGGCCAAAGCUCGUGAGGCAUUGGCUGAAGAAGAUGACAAAUUCCUUUUAGCUGAAAGUAUCUCUUCAGUUACAAGUAGAGCUUCUUCUAAUAUAUCAUUACGAGGAAAGACAUCAAGCGAAAGCAAUAUUGCAUUCCGCAGAAAUUUCAUCAUUGCAGUGCUUGUUGAAGAAUCACUUUUGCUGCCCAUCAGGGAUUCCAAGCUAAGAUGAUCUGAAGAAGCUUGAAUCUUGUUUACUAGUUCCCAGACACCUCUCAGAUCUUUCAAAAUAUCAUCUGGCACAGUCUCCAAGCUUAGAAUCCGGUCAAGCCAACUCGAUUUGUUCGUAGACGUCCUGAAGGUUAGAAGUCAAAGCAAAAACUGAGCAUACGGAAACACCAGAACACCGAGAAACUCAUGUAUAACUUUUAAUGUUAUUGCUUCUAUAAAGUACAAACAUUAAGAGAUAUGGUGAUAAUAUUCUAAACUAAAUUACACGUAAGAGCUGAUCUGUCCAUCUCUUCACCGUAAGCAAUGUAUUUGACACGGUUAUUCCCAGCAAAUUACACCUAACGGGCUAACAAUUUUAGAAAAUUGAAAUAUAUGUCCAAUUGAAAAAAUAAUAAAAAAAUAAACGCCAUUGAUAUUUGAACAUCACUAGUUACUUUAUUAUCACACAAGAACAAACAAAGCAGUGAAAUCUAUCAAACAGAAGAAAACUGAGAUUACCAUUGAGAAAUUUUACCACCAUAGAAGUCAACAAAUUGGCACAGCAAGGACAAACGAGCCUCCUCUGAUGACAAAGAGAACAAGUAGUCACUGACAUCGUCAAACAAGAUCACCCUUGAAAGCUGUUCAUCACCAUCCUGCGCUGGGUUGUCAGGAUGAGCAGAUUCUGAUUUUCAAAGGCCAGCGUCAUCAUCCAAAGAUGAAAAGUCAAAUGAAAAUGAAGAUUAACAAGCAAAAAGAAGUUAUCAAUAAGAUCAGGAUAAAUAUAUCAGCAAAUGAUCCAAAAGGCAACAUCAAAGAAAAAGCUAGAGAGUCACAAGUACCAGAACUUUCAUAAACAGGCAUCCACUGCUCAUUGUCCCUUGAUAAUUCCUCAAGGGACCAUUUUUUCCAUGUAUUGACAUCUUUAACCUCGCUAUUAGACUCGGCAUCUAUAUCAAUUCCUAGUUUUUUUAACAACGAUUCAACAUCUUCUUGCAAUGGAGCAUCUUCAGUAUCAGGGUGCUCUUCCUCAUUUCCAUCAGCUAGGGUAGGCCCUAUUAAAUUAUCUAGCUCUUCAUUCAUUUCACUUUUCAUCGAUAAAGGGUCAAACCAACCACUCCAGCCUCCUACUUCAGCCUCUUGCGAACUUUCCGGCAUAAUCACAUUCUUCCUGUUCUCCUCAUCUUUUGCUAACCAUUUAGACCACCCAGCUGCACCCUCUUCUCCAAUCCUUGCACCACCACUAUUCCAGAAGUGCUCAAAGAGCCUUUUCUUACUAUAUGGUGUGAGAAGUAAGGUUGGGCACAACAAGCUAUACUCUAUUUGAGCUUGAAACAACCCAGUUGUUAAUUCCCGGUAACCUGUCUGCCACUCGAAUCUGCAUAGACUCACAAAGAUAUCCACCAAACCAAGUUCUAGCUGAACUAAGGAAGAAUUCGAUGAAUGGACAUCAGCAAUUUGACAAUCCUGCAUAUAGAUUGAAUUGAUUAACAGAAAAAAGAACCUGACAUCUCGAAAAUAAAAAAAUGCAACAAGAGAACAAGUAAAUGAAGACCUAAAAGUAGAAACAAAUUAACUAUGGAAUCAAAUUCAAGAAGCUCAAUCAGUAAUAUGUACAAAUAAAAUCUCCUUGUAAGUUUGCUUUCGAAUUCUUUCACAUCCGGAUGAGUAGAUAUAUAAAAGGAAAUUGUUAAAUGUUAUAUUUGAUAUAUUGAUACAAAUAAAAUGCAAGGCACUAAACUAGACAUCCAGUAACCCUUUAAGUGAUUAAUAUCAAGAACAAAUACACGAUAAUUAUUCAUGCAUUGAUGGAAAACUAAAAAAGAAGUAGAAACCCAGCGUACAUGUUUUUUAGUAGUAGAAAACAUGUGAAGAAGUGACUAUCAAAUAAGACGAAACGGACAAUAUAAAAGUGAAUAAUAGGGUCAAUAUCUGUAAGAAUAGAUAGAGAAAAAAAAAAAGGAACCUGCCUACAAAGCUUGUCGCAAGACGAAGAUAAAGCUUGAAUGGCAUGAGAAUAACUUUUCCUUAUUUCAGAGACCUUAAACCGAGAGAACUCGCUUUGGCAGAAAAGCAAAUACUCUUUCCAUAAUCUACAACUAUCCAAAUGCUGCAUCAGUAUUUUUUCCCAUUUGCCCAAGAUAUUACCACCAGUGUCCCUGUCAUGAUAAGAUCUCAAAAGACAAAGCAUCAGUUCUUCACUAUCCGGAUUGAGCUCCACAGCCUUCUCAAGUAUGCUAAUCUUCUUCUCAAUUGUCUGCAGGCGAGCAGCUUUUUGUGGCUGAGUACUCGCAAUUUUAUCCUGAAAUUUGUAAAUAGUAGUUUUGAAAAAGUUAAGUUUUACCUGAAUGAAAGGCCUACGAAUAGCAAAUAGACUGUUAGAGAGAUUGCUACAUGUGAUACCCAAGGAUUGCCUGUACCACCCAUGUCAUACUGUACCAAGGCCCUACCUGCACGUGGCACAGGAUCGUGUCGAUAUUGUAUCUACAAAAUGUUUUUUUUUUUUUUUUUUGCAUUUUUUGAGAUCCUUUUGAGUUUGAUGUAAAAGUUUUACAAUAGUUUUUUCAUACUUAAAAUAUACAGAUCUUGUAAAUCUACUAACAUUUUGAGGAAUUAGUAAGUUCCAUUGCAUACUAUAACCAACUUUUAGUGAAAAAAUACAAAUAAAAAGAUUUUCUUCAAUUUCUUUUAUCAUUUUAUAUCUAGUGAAUUUACCUAUGGAAGUGUUUUCCUAUAAAUUUUCAUCCAAUUAUGACUUUGGUUUUGGUUUCAUGCGUAUACUUUCGUAACAUAUAUAAAAUGAUUUUUUGCAGUUUUUAAGAUAUUUAUUACUUUAUUCUUACUAAAUUGUGGAAGAUAUAAUACAUAAAAUAUUUUUAUAUCCAUUAGAGAUAUUAAAACAAAAAACUAGGUUUUCUUAAAUUUACUAAAAAGCCCGAGCCAAUGUGCCAACGUGCUAAUGGUGUGCCACUAACACGGGGGCAUACCACCGCCGCUAUGCCAUGCCAUGCCGCUAUCACAGCGCAAAGGCGGUGCCAUUGGCAUGGCAAUCCUCAGUGAUACCUAAAUUCAUUAUAAUAUGAUCAUGAAACAAUUGAUUCUUAAUGUACAUCUGUAUAUACAUACAAAAUUACAAAUGUAGCAAACAUAAGCCAAAGAUCUAGCAAGAUGGUGGAAAACGCAACUCUAAACACUAGCUAGUAUAUACCUGAAAUUCUGCAAAGGCCAACCAGACAUUUUCAUCAUGAGGAAAAUCUCUGGACUUUUUGUUGAAGUCUCUUGUCUUCCGAAUCAAUUCAUCAUCCCAUGAUGCUUCAAGCUCCCCCUUUGGUAUAGACAUAUCACCACCGUUUUCAGAAGACAAAUUCGAUCCCAAAGGUAUAUAAUCCUCGGGCACCAUUGAAGGCAUCUUUUUCUCAAUAAUUUUCACGUGCUUGAAACCCUUGUUUUUCUCGACAGUUGCAUACUUCGCUGAAUAGUAGCGACCUCCUGAUCUCAGUUUAUGGUCUAGUCCAUCUUGAUCUGCAUCUACAUCCAUGUGCGAAGCUGAAGACCUCCAGCGAUAACGAACUUGGAAAUUGAGCCCAGAAAGUUCCAUAAGACUAUGAAGCUUGUAACGAGCAAUAUCCAUUCUGUAGUUUUUACUCUAUCAUUAGAAAAAUCAAUUAAGGUUCAUCAACAUAUUACAAUGACUAGCGAGCCUGUCUAAUUUGGUAAACUAAGAGAGGUUUUUUUCUCAAAGCUCGCACCAUUCGCCAAAUACUCAAAAUAAUUAGUAAAGCCAGUCAGUUUCAAUUAGUCAAAAUAAUAGGUUGCGUAAACAAUUUUGCAAGAGAAAGAUUCAAGCAACUUAGGUGAUGACACUGAACAUCCAUAACAUAGAACUUAUUCAGUAGAACCAGAUGCAUACACAAUUGACAAUAUUCACAGAGCUCUGGUGCCACUGAAUUAAAGCACAACCAUCAUCACCAAAUUUGCUACUUUUCGACAAUAAAAACAUCAAUUACAUGAAGGAAGUAAAAAAGAACUAGGUGUGGAAGUAGAAUAAGACACCGAUAAAGAUAAAAUCAAUAUAAUAUAGAUUUUGAAGGUCAUAUGCUGUAAUAGUUGCAGAAGUAAGUGAAGCUCGAAACAAGAGAAAUGUACCUGUAGAUGCACCCGAAUGCCAAAUUAUCCCUAUCACCACAAGCAUCAAAGUAGUAAUCUUUCGAGGGUUUCCUCUCAGACCCCGCCCACGCUCGAACCCCCGACUUCCUCGAAGCUCCCUCUCCAACACCCUCCUUCCCCCGCUCUCUUUUCCUCUUCUUCUUCCUCCUCCUCUCCCUCCUCCUAGAGCUCCUCUCCUCUUCCUCCGACGAAGGAGACGGAGAGGAAGGGGAAGGGACUAGAUCGUAGGACUUCGCCCGCGCCUCGGCGGCGGCAGAAGGGGCCUCGUCGUCGGAGGAGGAGAUCGCCAGCUCCGGGGGAAGCGCAGCGCCGGCGCCGCCGCUCGCCGGGAUGGCUGAGACGUCGAAGGUGAAGCUGGGAUUGGAGAGCCAUUGGACGGCGCCAGAGGAGGAGAUGGAGGAGGCGGUGGGGUUAGGGUUUGGAGGGUUCGACGAGAGGGGAAAGAGGGGGAAUAACGAAGGGGUCGAGGGUUUCGGGAUCGCUUCUCGCUCUCCUCCCCCUUCCUCCGCAGCCAUGUUCGGGUUCAGGGACGACGACGACGACGUUUUCGGGCUCGAUGGGCUUCGGCGUGGCAUUUUAGUCCACCGCUCAUGCGAGUGUCACGUGUUGUGCACGUGAUUAGAGAGUGGUAAAGCCCACAUUGUAGCCGUGGCCCAGCCCAAUUGGGCUGCGCGUAACUGGGCCGGAUUCGGGGGAUCCGACCAUGCCCACCUCGAAUCCGGCCCAAAAUAUUUAAUAAAUUUUGGGUAUUUUGUUCGGCCAUGUUCAGAUUAAAGAUAAUAUAUUCAAUUGAAAUGAAAUUUUACGUGAAAUAUUUUUAUUUUCCACGUUGUACUUUAACGGGAACUCAAUGGCUUUCGAACUGUAGUUGUUCUCCUUUUUUUAUUUAUUUUACUUAAAAAUUUUCACACCAACACAGAGAAAGUUGAAUACAAUUCCAAUACUUAAUUUUUUAUUAUUUUUCAAUCUAAUGUUCUUCUACAGUUGGCUUUUUAGAGGCGUGAAGUUAUGGACAAAUUUAAUUUACGGUGAACUAAUCAACAAAAGAGUAUUUAAGGCCGAAAAUAACUCCGCGCUCCUUUCACUUUCGGUGAAGGGAAAAUCCACAAACUCAAAUAAGGUUCUGAUUUGCGAUUUUCAAAAUCACUAUCAUAGUUAAUAAUAUAGAUAGCUAGAGUUUAGAAUCUAAAUAAUCAACUGCUCUGCUAAAAUUUCUAUCAAGUUCUCUAAUUGUUCACAGCACACAACGAGAAAUUUGACAACGAAAAAUGUUCUUCGAUUUUAUAAUUUAUGAUCGUGCUAUUGAAUCUUGCCAAAGUUGAGAGGAGGCCAUGCAUGUUUUUGAACAAUUACGAGAGAACAAUUACGAGAGUACUAAAUUGAUAUAUUUUGCAAACUCUUAGUAGUUAUAUAAAAAUAUGGAUUAGUAAAAUACUACAAUACGUUAUCCUGUGAUUCGUAGAAUAUAUUAAUUUACUAAUUUAUGGUUUAUAAAUUCGAGGAAAAACUUUAAAUCCCCCCUUGUGGUUUCGUACUUUCUCACUUUAGUACCCUGUGGCUUAAAGUGUAUUAAGUUAGUACCCUGUGGUUUCGCAUUUUCUCACUUGAGUACCCUGUGGUUUAAUAUUUCGUUAAAUUAUAUACAAAAAAAAUUUAGAUACCCUAACUAGAUUUAUCGAAUAUUCAUUUUAGUACCUUUUAGUUUUAACUUUGUCACUGAUUUAACAAAAAAUGCUCUGAAAUGAAUAAUAAAAAGUGAAAAAUGAAACCACAUGGUACUAAUUUGAUACAAAAAUAAAACCACAGAGUACUAACUUGAUACACUUUAAAAUGUAGGGUACUAAAGUGAAAAAGUGCGAAACCACAGGGUACAAACUUGAUACACUUUAAACCAUAGGGUACUAAAGCGAGAAAGUGUGAAACUACAGGGGGUAUUUGAAGCUUUCCCUAAAUUUUAUCACUUUGGCAUCCUACUUAAUGAUAUAUCUUAACAGUAAGAUUGAUAAAAGUAAAACUAUAUAUUGCAUAGUAAAGUAAUUAAAACACUUCAAACUGUAGGGUAUUAAACUAAAAAUGUGCUAAACCACAUGAGAGCAAAUUGAAGUUAUCUUCUUCUUUCUUUUUUUAUGAUAUACCAUCCGAAUCGAUGAUUCACUUUACUUUGUGGGGUGUAAAAAAUGGCAAGUAUUUAUAAAUCAAAUUUCACAAUUUAACUAAUGGUUAUUAGGUUUCACAAUUACCAAUUUUAAUGGCUAAUGUGAAGCGCUAUUUGAUAGAUAUAGGUUUCACCUUAAUCUUCAAUUGCAUAAUAAUCUUGUUCUUUUUUUUUUUUUGAGAGAGAGAUAGGUAGCUCGCUACCUGCUUCGUUUAUUUCAUUUAGAAAUAAACUUAGCUGGAAAUGUGAAUCAACUAGGAUUCAAACUUGGGUCUUGGAUACCAACCAUCAAAUCCUUUGCCACUUGCAUAAUAAUCUUGUUCUUUGUUUUUAGCAAAUGGUUUGAUUUUGAAUAAUUUAUUUUCUUUCAGUUAGAUAGUAGAUGCACUAGAAAAGAAGUUUUCAUUUCAUUUUAAUUUUGUGGUGUUGGCUCAAGCUACCAGAGAAUAUUACUUUAAUAUUUUAUUUCUAAUACUCCCACUUUUUAGUCUCAAACCUUUAACUCUGAAACUAUAUUAAAUAAUAUAAAAUUAAUAUAGUAAUCCGUGCAAUGUGGCGAAUAGAUAAUUAGAGAAAAAAUAAAAAAUUACUACAAAGGAAAAGAAAACAGUAAUGAAAGAAACGAUAAUAAAGGGUGAGAUUUAUUUUGUUAAUGAAUAAAGGUAUCAGGCAAAGGAAGAGAAAGAGAAACAGUUCGGCCUAAUGUAGAAAUAUANAGAAACGAUAAUAAAGGGUGAGAUUUAUUUUGUUAAUGAAUAAAGGUAUCAGGCAAAGGAAGAGAAAGAGAAACAGUUCGGCCUAAAAAAAAAAGGAAAUCCGGUUCAGUUCAAACAAAAAAAGAGAAAAAUUAAAGCAAGUUCGGGGUGAAGUCCACACUCAAAGUGAUCGGAUCGGUUCAAGCAAAAAAAGAGAAAAUUUCGAUUCAAAGAUGAAAACAUGUGGAGCAGUUGAGUCAAUUCGGCACAAUGCAAUAGGUUGACAUGGUUCGGUUCAAACAAAGAAAGAGAAAAAUCGGGCUCAGUUCAAAUAAAAAAGAAAAAAACAUAUGGAAGACUUGAGCUGGUUCGGGGGAGGCCAUACUCAACAAGAAAAAGAAAAUUUUGGUUUGCUUCAAACAAAGAAAAAAAUAUAUAUAUGAAGGACUUGAACAAGUGGAGCCUACACUAAAAAAUGAAGAGAACGUUACACUGUAGCAAAUUUAAAAAAAAUUUAUUUUUUUCUAUUACAUUAAAGGAGGGUUGGGGGAACCUCAGGUUGACACCUGCCCCAACCCCGCCACUCAUUCAUCUCUCUCUCUCCUCUCUACUCUCUCCACCACACACACAACACACCGACAACACCAUAUAUAUAUUAUUAUAUAUUAUAUAUAUAUAUAUAAUAUAUAUAUAUAUAUAUAAUAUAGGUAAUAUAUAUAUAAUAUAAUUUUAUUAAUAAAUUGUAAUAACAGCUAUUAGUAAUAAAUUUUGAAUAUGAAAAUUUAAAAGUUUGAUACUUUCAAAUUUUAAAAUUUUAAAAUUUAAAUUGCUAAAUUCUUAAUUUUAAUUUAACUUAUAAUAUUCCAUUAAUUUUAAUUUAAAUUCUAAAUUAAUAUUAAUUAAUUAAUUAUAAUAUAAUAAUUAAAAUUUAUAAAUACGCUGGACAUAAUAAUUACGUAAUAAAAUCUAACACUGAUAGAUAUAAUUUAAAUCACGUAAAUAUCGUUGUUAAUUAAAAAAAUAGUAUUUAAAUUUUAGGAGUAAAAAUUUAAGAAAAAUAGUGUAUCAUCUGUGUAUAUAUAUAUUAAUUUUAUUAAACAAUUUCAUUUACAAUUUAUAUUUUGCCUUCUUUUAUUGACUUUUAAAAUUAUUUUGAUAGAUGUAUCUCAAAUUCUUUUUAUAUCUUUAUAAAAAUAAAUUAUUAAUUAAAUUUAUUUGCGUAUUUAUCAAUUUAUGAACUUUAUUUAAAUAUAGAUUUACUAUUAAAUUAUUUUAUAACUUUUUUUAAUUAAUAAUUAGACUUAUAAAUUAUAUAAAAAUAUUAAAAAAUAAAAUUUAUUAUAAAAAUAAUUUUAUAUCCGCAGCAUCUGUGCGGUAAUUCACUAUAAUGUAUAAAAAUAGAGAUAUAAACAAUCAUUUAUCUCUAAAAUUCUAAGCUAUUAGAGAACGAUAUUUUAAUAUUGCAUUGUUCAAUAUCUGAGCUCGAAUUCAAUCUACAAUCCAACCAGCCAGUCGAAGUUUCUUCCAACUUAUUUCCUAUGACAUAAUUUGUUAUAUCUAAUUUUACUCUAAUCAAAAUUCUAUACCUCUAUCAUUUAUUUGGUUGAAGAUGCAUAAAUUGAAAAUACAGUAAUUAUAGUAUAUGCAUUCUUGUUUAUUUAUUUAUAUGUAGUAAAACAUACUGUAAUUAUAAAUAAUUUAUUUGGUUGUACGCAGUUGAAAAGUGCAUUUCAAAAUUUUGCCACUUAUAAUAUAUAAUAUUAUAAUUAUAUAUAUAUAUAUAUAUAAUAUAUUAUUAUAUUAUAAUAUAGUUAUAUAUAUAAUAGUAGGACUAAUGUGCUAUGAGGAGCACAUCAAAUUUAUGAUUUUAACUUUCUAACCAUUUAUCUAUUUGAUGGAUGGUUAGGAUAAGAGGAGAAGAGAAAUUGAGGAGAAAUUUAAAAAAGAGAAAUUAAGAUACGUAAUUUUUCUUUAAUUUCUCUUCUCCCUCUUAUCCUAACCGGCCCAUCAAAAUUAAUAGACGUUUAGAAGUUAGGAGCACAAGAACUGUUGUGCUCUAGGAGCAUAGUAACCCUAUCUCUCUCUUCUUUCUCUCUCUUCUAUUAUAUAUAUAUGUCGUGGUGAAAUUACCUUUAAUAUUAAAAAAAAAAUUCCCUUCGAAAAAGAUUAGGAAGGUAAAAUUACUCCCUCCAACUGCUAUAAUGGGAACUGCGUCUAACUUGAGCAUGGUUCAAGCUGCAGUAAGUAAAUUUAAUGUAUCAAAUCAAAAAACUAAAUUUAAAUUUGUUAUAUGUUACUAUUUCAGUAUAGUUAAAUUAUAUGCAGUUAACAAUUUCUAAUGUACCGUUUGGAUUAGGUACAAGGGAUUUUUGUUUUAAUUAAAAUUUAAAUUUUUAAAAUUUAAAAUUGUAAUCUCAAAAUUAAAUUUAAUUCUAAAUUUUAAAGUUUAAAUUUUAAAUUUGAUUAUUUUUUUAUUUAAUUUAAUUUGAUAUUUUUAGUUUAAAUUUUAAUUUGUAUUUAUAUCUUCAAAUUUAAUUUGAUCUUAAUUAAAAUUUGAUAUUUAAAAUUUGAAGUUUAAAAUUUUAAUUUUAAUUUCAAUUUUAAAUUUAAAAGUUUAAAAUUUUAAAUUUGAAUUUAAAAUUUAAAUUCAAUCAAUAUUAUGAGAGGGUAAUACCAUUAUUUUCUAUUUAUAAUUAUCAACUAUUCUUCUUAUUUUAACUAUUUAUGCAAACGUUACUUCUAUUCUCGGAAACAAUCAAAUUUUCAUCAAACAAAAAUUGGUCUAGUUUCUCGCUUAUACCUUAACUUGUACUAUCAUGGUAUAAACUAGUUCUUACUUAUACCUGAACCAAACGAAGCUUUAAGUAUUUUUACAACACAGUGAUCUUUAUUGAUUUUUCUUAUUUUUAAUCAAUUUUUUGCUUGUUAUUUAAAUUUUUCCACAAAACCAAGGACUAGUUCAAAUAAUAAUUUGGUUUGCUUUUAUUUCAGUUUUGAACAACUUAGCUUUCAUUUUUGGCACAUUGAAGAUUCCAAUUAACGGAGUUGUACUAAUGAAAAGCACUAUAUGCCUACUAACUUUAACCUUAUUGUUUGGUUCGAGAAUAAGUCGUUUCUUAUUUGUUUCCUAUACACGUAUAAUUUUUAAAAUAAGAACGAAUAAGAGAGAUUUUUGUUUUGGCUAUGCUAUUUUGAAGAAUAAAGAGAAUAUUGGUUUAGCAUUGUUAGUGUACAAUAGUGAGAAUAUGAUACUUAUAAAUUUUAAAAUUAUUUCUUUUAGUUAACAAAUGUCCAAAUAUAAUCUCGUAAUAACUUAAUAAUAUUAAUUAUUUAGCUAUAAAUAUUAAUAAUGUGAAAAGUUAAGUGAAUAUAUUAAUUAUAAAAUAAAAGGUUGCUAAGUUAAUUAAUAAAUUAUAAAAAUAAUGAUUUAUAUUAAUUAAUUAAGUUACUUAACUAUUAAUCAAUAGAUAAUGAUCAAUACAUUAGUUAAAAUAAAUAAAUUGUCAAUAAUAUUAAUUAGUUAAAAAAAAUCCUAAGCUUGUUUCUCCCUAGAAACAAGCUUAUUUCUGGGAGGCUUAAAAAGUAUUCCCAAAAUACCAAGAUUGGGGAUAAGUUAAACAAAAUACUACCUUAAAGGCAUUUAAAAUGUUCAUAAGAAUUAAACUACUAGGAAUUAGUAUUCUAAAAUUAAAUUCGAACAUUGUAGGAAUUUUUGUUUGGUUAGUAUGUACAGCCCGGGUCCCUUUGAGUUUAAGAGAUAGCGGAAAAGCGUCUGAAUUUUUUUUUUUUUUUUUUUUUUUUUUUGAAAUCCUGACCCCAGAGUAUGCAGACCCGCCACAAAUACAGAAGAUUCCACUUCACACGGACAGAGUCUCCCCUGUAUUUGCACGGCGUCGCACAAGUACAACAGUACAAACAGGAUACAACCACAAAUAUAUGAAUAUAGAAAUUACCGUACAUUCAUACAUUCACCAUUCACAUCACAGAUAUGCAUUCAAUGUAUAAAUCCAUAGAAAAUCUUUUGAAACUGUUCCCUACACAGGAACUUUAUUCUUUAAAAACGCUACCACGAGUAGACAACCUUUUUUUUACAAAAAUCCAGAAUCCACAUUUCAAAUGUAAAUUAACACUGAACCACAUAAACCAACUAAACUAUUCACUAGCAAAUAGAAGGUAAGAAGUAAACCGAAUUAACCUGGGUCGAAAGCUCUAUCGACGCGUACAUCCGUACCUCACGUCGUCCCACUACUCAUCGCCCGCGAUACCUGAAAAAUGGUGGGGAGGUGAAACAUGUAAACAUGUCUCCCUCCCAUGGGUACCGCAAGCCGAUGAAGGCGAGGAAGUACUCACCGGAUCAGGAAGAGCUAAAUAACAACAAGGGUCAGUGGAAAUAUAGUAGCCACAAUAGUAAGUAAAGGGCAGAUAUACCGAAUACAGUAGCAAUAAACUGAAAGAAGUAAGAACUAGAUGAAUAACGGCUACCGCUACUGUAACUGAAACUGAAAGGAUACAUGAACAUCUACUAUAGCAGCAAGAAACUAUAAAGUAAGAACUGUAAAGUUGCAUGCAAUGACUGCUGCUAUAAACAUAUGCGUCAACCCGUCAAGAAGUCCAAAAGUACCCAAUCUGAAACCAAUGCUCUCUUGGUCAGCACCGCAGACCUCAACCAAUGCCCUGGAGGUCCGCACCGCAACACCUCCGACAUACUACUGCCGCUCUAACAUGCAUAUAACCCCUCUAGGGCUCACGGGUUGUCACCAUUAACCACUUUUCGAAAAGAACACUCCUUGCGGUGGAUCAGACGCCCAGUGUUCGUGAAUGCGACGAGUAUCGGGCAAUCAAUGCAAUAUGCUCAAUGAUCAACCGUCGGCAACCGGCCGACAAUCCUGCCCACAGGGCUCCACCGACCGUAUAGGUCAUCGACUGUAAAGAAGCACAAGAAACGACUCAACUCAGGUCAAAUAGGAUGGAACGACUCUACAUCCUCAUACUGUAUGCAAGUACUGACUAAUCAAGUCACUGGGAUGGAACAACUCAACAUCCUACCAAAAGUAUGAAGAUACUGAUCAAUAAGUCAACUGAGUAUAUAAUAUAGAACUAGCCGUCGGCCACUAGCCGACAAUUCCUACCCGCAGGUAACCCGACCUCAAGGUCAAUCAAACGACAAGAAUCCAGAACGACAGACUAGGUCACAAGGUCAAGAUGACGGAUCUGUGAAGACUAUAAUCAUUCCGUCGACAACUAGCCGACAAUCCCACUCUCAGGAUAUACCGACCUCAAGGGUCAUCGAAACAACAGAAUCAAGGAACCGAUCGAGUAGAUCAGAUUACAGGAACUAGAAAUCGACCGACUAGGUCACUAAUUUCACAGAUGGUCACGGAACCUCUACUAUAAACAUGAUAUAAGAUAUGAAGAACAGCAAGUAGAAGCAACAAGAAAAUUUGGUAUAAAACUACUCUACUCCUACACAGAUACUAAUCAUUGCAAACAACGAAGUAGAGUAAGAUGUAGACGAUAGAGGUGCAAAGGCUCAUAAGCUACACUAGCAUAGUAAUAACAGAGAACAGGGAUAGAAGAAUAUCACGAGCGGUGCACCACUGUACGACGUCGGAUCGAAGUACCCACCUGUACAACUGUCGGUCUGUCUCCUGACUGCAAAAGACGUCAACCGACUAAGGAGGUCCACUGGGUUAGUGUCUAACCCACAACUAAAAAACACCUAAAAGCAUAACCCACAACUAUCCACGGAGAUCGUUUCCCAAUUACCGAUUAUCUAACUCGCCGGAAGUCCCGAAAACCACACCGGACGCCGUCGGACCACUAAGUGUCCCGAAACUCACCGACUCAUGUCACGAGUCACCUGCUGCCCCAAAACACUCCAAUUUGGAUGUUUUGGCAGUAAACACAAGAUCACAACACUACACAACUAUCACCGGAUGAUUGUACGAAUCGCGGUUCCGGAAGUGUCUAUUUCGACACCGGAACCCAAGUCGCUACACCAUCAUCACCGAACCCACAAUGUGAUGAUGGUGACCAGCAACAAGGCUCACGGACUACACAAAUAGCUACGAAGCAUGUCGGAAUAUUCCCAACCAAACCGCGUUCCGUCGGGGAUUUUGCGACCAACGCCGAAAAUACAUAUUACGAUCUUCUCAAAGGUCUGGGCCUUGGACAAUCAGUCGAGGAUCACCCACAGCUCACCCAUGCUGCAACAGCGCCACGACAAGUCAAAUUGUCAUAAAAGCCCAUCCGAUUCCAAGAAAUCACAUUAUUUCAUGUGUUUUUCGGGCUUUUAUGGUCCGUCUAUGCAAACCAGAGGUCAAUCGGUCGAUAGACACUACUACAGGUUCGAUGUGCGGAGGCCGUGCUCAUCCUUUCGGAGCAAUUCCGCUACUGUACGGAGCGCACGAGCGGCGCGAAGUUCAGCGAAUAAGCCCGCACAGCGCGAAGAUCUACCUAAAACCUGCUAACCGGGCAUCCCUAAUCCUCGCAGAGGUGAGCAUCGUGUUCGGCACGAACCAGGAUCACCGUGCUCACCUCCUGGGUGUCGGGAGUCGUCGGUUCACCCGAAAGUGACCGGAAAGUGCAAUCACAGUGCAGGAAAGCUAAACUAAGCUUACCGGAGCUAGCAGGGACGGGUGGCGGCGGCGCCGACGGCGGCAGCGGCCAGGGGUUGGUUGCGGAUAAGGUUCCGAGGUGCCGGGGCUCGCGUCACAGGCACGGAAGGAGCGGCGACGACGAUCAAUGAUUGCCCUAGCACCAAACCCGUGGGAGCACGGGUCCAUUCCGGCGGACGGCGAGCUCCGGCCGCGGUGUCUCCGGCGAUUGACGGGUGCGGGCGGCCAGGCGGAGCCGGUGCUCACGCCGGCCGGGGCGAGAGGCGGCCGCAGCGGCGCUGGACAUCCCGAGCCCGCGCGGUUCACCUCGGGCUCCAAAGGCAGCGGAGCCACGGCGGCGACCGGAGGACGGUCGGGGCGUGCGGGGUCCCCUGGAGCCGGAGGGGAGGAGGACGGCGGGAGUAGUCCCAGGGGCCUGCUGAGUGAGGAUGAAAGCCGCACACUCAGCUCGGCCUGGCUCGGUCUGGGAGGCAGCAAGCAGCAGCGGCGGCGAUGGCGCUGGCGGGCGGGCGAUCAGUCGGGAGGUGCGUGAAGACACGGGCGACAGCCGAGCAAGGUGUCUAGAUGGAAAAGUAGCCUCGGUCGGCUCUAACCCGAGAGAAAGAGGUUUGGAGAGGGAGAUGGAGAAUAGGGAAGAAGAAAGUGGCUGCCCGCGGUGCCCGGCCGAGCAACGGUCCGCGGCGAGCCGAGGGAUGCGCUGGCCAGGUCAGCGGUGACAAGGAAGGUGGCUAGGGGUGGCUUAGGUCUAGGUUAGGUUUCAUGCUAGAAAACCUAGAUACCAUAAAUAAUAAGGUGAACUUUGCAACUAAGUCCACCAACUCAGUUUUUUACUAAGUCUUCACAGCGCGUGUAAAACACGGAACACCCCUCCACGAUGCGAUUCCACGCGAACGGUUUACAAAAAUAUCCGCGACUUUUGCGAAAUUACCGUUUGCCAUCGCCGACCUCUCAGCGAAACUUCGUAAUUUCCGGAGAUCCGUCAGUCGGAUUUUCGAUUCCGACGUACCAAUUGCGUUCAGCACGUCGGGACACGAAUCUGCAUUUCGUUUCAUCGAUUUGACCCCGAUUCACGACGAAAUCCGUCCGCUCUCAAUUUUCAGAAACCACAACAUAAUACCAAUGUAGUAAUCUCGCUAAACCUUUAAUUCAAAUUCAAAUUCCAAAUUUGGCUCCUACCACCAGUAGGUACUAGAAACGUCUCACUCAACUCUAGGUCACAUGCACAGAGUACGAGGAGCUUUAAACUGCACGAAUAGCACAGAACAAAAACCCUCUUUUUGAUAAAACUCCUUUUUCUCGAUAACCGUGCAUCAGAAUCCGAUUCUGUCAGCGCCAGUGGUUCCAGUAUAGUCGAGAGGUUCGAAACGAGCUAUUGGACCGCUAGGAACGGAGUCCGAUACGAGUCAGAAGCCAACUUCACACCGUGGCUUCUCCGGAAAAUCGAGUUACUAUUCACUUUAAGUGAAACUUGGAAAUCCUAUAACUUCUCCGUUUUAACUCGAUUUCUCCCAAAACUUGACGAGUGCUUUUGUUAUUAAAUUACACACAUAAACAUCGUCAACAGAGAGUUUAGUUGCACUGUAAAAAUCUCAGUCCUUACAUAGUACCUUAAGAUAUCUUAUAUUGAUACAAUCUCAAUGUUUGGUUCAACAUAAAAAUAAAUAAGGCAUAUCAAUAAGUUUAUCAUAAUAUCCUUAUUAAUAUGGGUUAGUGUUAUAUGUAUUUUACAUAGAAUAUAAUAAUAAUAAAUAAAUAUCAAAAUUCAAAUUAAGGAUGUAUUCUAGUUCAUUAAAAUCAAUUUUUCAUGAAAAAAAAAAUUACCACGAAAGGAGGCGGGUUUUGAAUUUUCCACGUUUUGUGGAAUUAGGAGAUGCUAUGAAAAUUAUAUAUUUAUCUCGAAUUAGGUUACCAUACUAUUAACAGCACUAAGUUAUUGAUGUUAUUAAAUUUUUCGCUCUUGGAUAAAGGGACGUGCGGUUAGGAAGAUAGUAGUCCUUAGGAUUGAGUGGAUGGUUGGUUAAAUAGUAUAAUCUAACAGAUGAAAAAGGUCAAAGGGAUAAAUCUAAUGGCAGAAAGUUUAGUAGCACCAAGCGCUUGGGGAUAUUGAUAGUGGUGUCAACGAGCCGAACACGAGUGAGCUGAGGAUGGCUCGUGCUCAGCUUGUUUAAUAAAUAAGCCGAACACGAGCUGACUCAUUAAAGUAUUGAACCAAAAAAUUCAAUUCAUAUUCAGCUGUUUAUUAACGAGUCGAAUACCAGCCGAACACGAGCUAGCUCAUGAACAACAAGUUAAAAGAAUUAUAAAUGAAGCGUAUAGAAAAUAAAUUUAAGAGAUCUUAUCUAUUUGACUUUAAUCUAAUAGUUGAAAAUUUAUAUAUAAAUGAUCUUUUUAUAAUUAAGUUGAAUUUUAUAUUUAGGUUAAGUUAAAAACCAAUUAUUUAUUUAUAUAUAUAAGUAUAAAAUUAUAUAUAUAUAUAUAUAUAUAUAUAUAUAUAUAUAUAUAUAUAUAUAUAUAUAUAUAUAUAUAUAUAUAUAUAUAUAUAUAUUCGAGUUAUUAUCGAGCUGAACACGAGCGGACUGACCCGAGCUCAUGUUCGGAUCAUUUAUUAAACGAGCAAUUCGAUCUUGAGCUUAUUUUAAGUCGAACACGAACUAACUCGCGAACUGAAGUGCCACCUCUAGAUAUUGAUAGCAUAAUGGACGGACUCUUAUUUCUGCCAUGUGAGAUUCUCGUCACAAACUAAAUAUAUGAAUUCUCAAUUUUUAAUCUAUAUUCCUAAAAUUGUAUAAAAUAUCGUGAAUCAUGCUGACCUUCAAAAGCACUCUAGCUUAUUGCCUUUUUCUUCAAUAGCCAAAAAAAAAAAAAAAAAAAAAAAAAAAAAAAAAAAAAAAAAAAAAAAAGAAGGUAUGCAGGAUCGUAACUUCAAAGCUGUGGCUUGAAAUUAAAGUUUACAAAGUCGGGAAUUUAGCCUCAGCUAAGAUACCAAACUAUCUUUCUCUCUCUUUCUGUGAGAUUCCUGAUGUUCUGUUGUGGAGGCUUAUCGGCAGCUCUGAAGAGUGUCGGGACAAAUCCGAGUCACGUUGGCGUCAAAUAGACGCAAAACGGACUCCGUGCGGCGCGAGAGUAGCUUAUAGCGAAGAAAUCUGCAAAACAGUAGAUUUUUCUGCUUACUGUACCGGUACAACCAGCACGCUGUACCGGUACAACCAACGCGCACCAACUUAUCUGCUCUCCGGUUGGCUCUUGUACCGGUACAGGAGCCCGUGUACCGGUACAAGAGGGUAGGUGUGAGGGUAAUUGUGUAAAUCUCCAUCUCGUUUGUAUCUUCUACCAGCUCCCUCUCUACAAAAGUUGCUGUGAACUGAGAGAGAGAGGUUUCCUUGUGCUCUUUCUUCCCCUCUCACUCUCCUGUCCGGUUGAAGGCAAGGAAGAAGCUCGAUUGGAAGGUUUGUCGCUGACGUCGUGCCGCGGGACCGUUCGAGCACACUUUUGACGUCGGGGUAGCGCGAGGGAGCCGGGCGAGCGUUGGUUUUCGCCGUUCUUGCUGUCGCAUCGGUGCUUGGCGUUGUCGAGGUGGGUAAUUCAGCAUUUCCAUUUGUUUUGGGCAAGUUCUUACUACUUCGAACUCAAGUGAUGCUGUUUUGCUGAAAUUCAUCGUCGACUGUUAGUAUUCAGCUCGUACUCAACGCUGGAGCAUCGGAUUUCGACGAGACUUGGUUCGCUGAAUUCAGGACUUCGAGAAGAAUCCACGAAGCCCUUACUUGCGGGAUUUGGUGAAGGUUAGCUUGGUCGAAACUCUGUUUUACUCUGCUGCUGUGGAUUUUGGACUGAAUUGAGGAUUUUCGAUGUUUAUAGUUGGAGAUAGCUUGAUUUCAGGACUUUGACAUUUUCAGUCGAUCCAGCAGGUUGUUUCGCAGCCGAGGGAGUUCCGUGCUGCCAGGGAUUAGCGACCGAGGUGGGUUACAUCGGUUUUGAUUUCUAAGUUCUAAUCGUUGACAUGUAUAAAUUUCGAUUUUGGUAUAGUAUAUUUUAGCUCGAAUUUAUGGAUUUUAUUAUAGAUUGCAAAUCUGAAUUUGGAGUAUGUGGUAAUAAAUUGAGUAGUUUAUACAUGUUGGAUUUGAAAUUGGAAUUAGAAGAAAACCUGCGUUUUGGACCUGUCACUUGUGUAAAUUGCCUGAUUUAGCUCUAGAAGCCGUUAUGAAAUUGUACUGUCGCAGUAUCCUCGAGACGAGUACUCCAGAUAGUUUAGCAUGCAUUUACACUCGUGCUGGUACGCCGAGUGGAUUUUUAUAGGGUCGUUUGGAUUGUUUCGAACUUUUGGGCGCCGUUGGGGUUGACGGUGGGCCCGGUUCGCCGUUUUGGCGUCAGAUUGUGCCGAGAGCACGUUACUUGUUGGUUAUUAGACCAGUUAGAGUCGGUUACUUAGAGUUUGGCUUGACAGAGCCUGAUUGAGCUCGACAGAGAUACGCUGCAUAUUCGGUUGGGUAGCGCCCACGAGUGCCACUCCGGAGACGGGUUUUGUGCUUUUGUGUUGGUAUCGCUCAUGCCGGUUGGACUUGCUCUCCACGGACCAGUUAGUGUGGAGAUAGCUGGAUAGUUGCAACUGAACCGGGACGGGUGUGUUCACGGUCCCAUGGACGGGUAUGUUACAGUCCCGAUUGGAUUGGGUUAGAUUGAAUAUUUUCCUACAGUUGGUUAGCGUAGAGCAUGAUAGUGUAGUGAUUCAUAGCGGUAGAGUUCAUUCCUGCAUUUACUACUACCUUUGCUCCCUACUGUAGACUUAGUGGGUGGACCGAUAUUGUUUUGGGCGGCACCCACUAAGGACUACUUGUUUUUACAGUAGUUCUCACGCCCAGUUGUUACCCCUGUUUGGUAGAGCCACAGGUUUCGGCUGCUGCGCCUUCUGCGGAUCAGGAUCGAGGCAAGGGUGUCGCGAGUUAGAGCCCUACCCGCCGAGCAGAGCUAGAGCCACCCUACUGCAGGUAGUUGUUUUAUUUUGAGCUUAUGUACAUAGUACUUAAUUCGCCAGUGCGAGUAACUCUAUAUUUUGAUUUUUGAACUAUGUAUAUGAAGCUCAGUUUGUUUAGCUUUUCUUUGCUCGAGCAGUUUUAUACUACUGUUUGUAGUAUUGUAUGUUUACAGAUACAGCUGUCACUUCAUAUACAGGAAAAAUUUCUUUGUAUACGACGGAUUUGUCGGCGUGCCCGAGAAACAAGACAUCCGGGGCGUGACACUUUCGCUCCAAAUAAAUUAAAAAAAAAAAAACAGAUUGAAUCCGUCCAAACUCUAACCCAUAUGUUUUGGGUCUAUUUAUUUUUGUGAAUUUCAAAGGUUGAAUUUGUGACUUUAAAAAUAAUCGUUGGCAUCAGCGCUUGUUUCAACCUCGAAGUCAGAAGAUUAUUCGAACUCUCACUUAUAAUCGUACAAAAAAUCGAGUUCUUCCGAACCCCCAUCUUAGACUCAAAACUUCGACCCUCCAAAUUUUACUCUCGUGUUUUACUAGAUAAGUUUGGCCACAUACCAUUGUGAUUACACUACAACAAAUUUUACAUUUAAGGACGCUUUAAAUUAUAAUUAGCGACGCUUUAAAGCGUCGGGAAAAAUAACGCCGACGCUUUUAAAAGCGUCGGAUAAAGAGUCGUUAAAUAAACAUGUCGGGACAUAUAUACCGACGCUUUAACAUAGCGUCGGGGAAUUUUUUUUCGACUCUUUUUAGAGUCGGUAAUGUGUUAAGUGCCGACUCUAAAAAGAGUCGUUAAUUUAAACAAUUGCCGACACUCCAAAGUGUCGGUAUAUUAAGAAAUACCAACAUAUUACCGACUCUAAAAAGAGUCGUUAAUUUAAACAAUUGCCGACACUCCAAAGCAUCGGUAAAUUAUAAAAUUCCAACAUAUUACCAACUCUAAAAGAGUCGUUAAUUUAAACAAAUACCGACACUCCAAAGCACCGGUAAAUUAUGAAAUAUCAAAUAAACACGUCAAUACGAAAACUUUGUAAUAAUGAACAAAAAUAUUAAAAUGUUUCAACAUUAAUAAACUUCAAUCAACAAUGCUAAUCCUAAUCAAGAAAUCAAAAAUUCUCUACUAUUGUAUAAGCAGGGAAUAAUAGGAACAAACAAAAAUUUCAUCACUUUUUUAUUCACAAUGAAUUAUUAAUCGUAUAGCGUAUAUAGUGUUUUCAGUUUAAACGAAUGCCCUCCGGUAAUGUAUAUGUAGCCGUAGACAAAAUGUGAUGAAAAGAGUUAUAUGAGCAGAGCUCAACUGCUUUAGGAUUCCCACCAAAAUAGUAUAUGUCAGACAAUAUUCAUCCUGCAAUAGCAAACAAAAAUUAAAGUUAGUACAAAUACUCAAUUCACCAAUCUUAUCGUUGUAGAUAGAAUGUGAGGAAAAAAGAAUUUGUGAUUAAAGCUCUAGAUAGUUAGGUUACGAUACAAAUAGACGCAUAUCUUUAAUUGUAGGAUCAUCAAAUUUCUUUUCAAAAACUCAAACCCAAAGCUUAUUAACAAUCUCAUAGUGCAAGGUUUAGAUAAUCAAGCUUAAGGAAUAGUACAUCAGAGAAGUUUCAGAACCAUUAAGAAGAAGCUACACCGACGAAUCUGAAAUGAUGCUAACUGCUGCAUGCAUUACCGAAAAUCUUGUAUUAUCUAUUUACUUUAAAACGCAUGAAGAAGGGAAUAACAACAAAUCAGAUACUUUGUUGCUUAAUUGGGGCUGUCGGAUGAGAUAUGUUCGUUUCUUAAUACUGAAAACAGAGGAACUAAUUGAAAAGGAAAAAUAUUUCGUGCAACAACAAGGUUGGCUUGCAUAUUGUUUUAAGGAAAAUUUUUGUGCUCAAUUUCACAAGAACAUGCAGAAAAAUAAAAAUAAUACUAAUAGCUUCAAUAUGCACUAUCCAAACAAUCAUUACUCUCGAAAAGGAGGGAAAAAAAAUAGACAUUAAUUAGAUGUACCAAGGCUAACAUAAUCUUUAUCAAUAUUCUAAGCAGAAGCUGAAUGUUAGGCAGCACCUACUUGAACUUGCAUUAAACUAAAAAUAAAGGCAGAUUCUCAUGUGACUAGGACCACAGCUCCAUAAAAGAUGUGCUCUCAACAGUAUUUGCUCAGGACCCACCUCUUAAAUUCUUCUUUAAAAGACAAAGAUAUUGUAAUGCACUCAACGAAAAGAAUGGAAGCUCAAUUAACUUCUGAAGCAUCAAUGCAGUAACAAUUGACACAUAAAAUCAGAAAGUUGGGCCAAUCAAUACACUACAAAGAAGAUGUUAGAAAGAAAAUCAUGUGUAGAUUUUCCAAACCCUUGUUGCCCGGUCGAGAUGGACCAAAAAAUCGCUUCCAUUUCUAGAAUGUGAAAUUAAGAAUACUUCACACAAGGAGAUUCGUAGAUAAAUAGAAAGUAAUAGAUAAAAUUAAAAGCUCCUCACAUCUCCCUGGAAAUGCACUUUCAAAACUACUUACAGAUCAAAACUAAAUUAGCCAUACUUUUAUACAUACAUACAUUAACAUACAUAUUCUACGGAAGUUUGUAAGCAUGCACCUGAUGAUGCUCACGUCGUUGGAACGUUGCCCUAGGUAAAAUUGUCUGAGAGCCCCUUCAAUUAAAAAGAAAAGAAUCUUAGAAUACUUAAUCAAAUGCUAGCUUUGUUCAAUAAAAAUUCAUUUACCUCAUUGCAGUUUUGAGGCGAUUUGAACUAAUAGCUGCUUCAUAUCUUCCAACUGUGAUUUAUAAUUCUUUUGCAUCCCUUGUAAUUUCUGCUCAUAAUUUUGCUGCAUCUCUAGCAACUUAGAGUCAUAGUUACUUUACAAUUAGGCCCAAACCUAUGAACUUAAGCUGUUAAUAUAAAUGGGUUCCGGCAAAAAUACCGUAUCAUUUAAAAAUUUUCUAGACCAGUAUUUGAAUUUGAAUCCUAGCCGAAUAGCGAAAUCUCAAACCCAAAUCCAACCUAUUUCUACGUCCGUUAACAGCUAAUAAAUAAUAAUCAUGAAUUUAGAACACUUAAUUAGAUAAAUUUUCUUUUAAUUGUAUAUAUACAUAUGUAGGAGUAAGUAGGAGAAAAAAAACCUUUUGCUAUCGGAUAAUUAUCCUGGGAGAGAGUAAACACACUUGGGGCCACAACUUGAAUAAGUGUUUUUCUUUUAUUAAAACUUAAAUAAGCUCACACUUCUCACUAGUUGCUAUGACAGGAUCACUUCUUGUAUAUAUGCUGAGCUCCACUAUAGUUGCUCUCCUAUUGUUCUAUAGGAUUUAUCAUAAUGAGCAUCUUUUGAGGAAUCUAAAAAUAUAUUAUCAGCACUUCCAUCUUUAAUCCCCUUUUUCGCAGAUUUGCCUUGCAAAAUCAUUCAAACACCCCAUCUCAUCUACUAAUUUAUCCUUGUAAAUUUCAUAAUGAAUAUGCAAUUCAAAGAUAAAGCUAUAGUAAAAGAAUAACAAAACCUAUUCAGUGUGACAUCCAUCUAACUUUUAUUCCAUUAGAAAGUAUAUAUUCUUCAAAUUUGCAUACACAAAACCUAUUACUUUUGAGUGAGCAAACAUUUUGCACCAGUUAAAUAGUUGUUAUUCACUGAAUUACCACUUGAUGAUCAUCUCAACUAAGGAUUAAAGAAUGAAUGUGAUCUCAUCUAGCCAUCAAAGCAAUAAUGCGAUUACAGAAAACAAGGGAAUGCAAUUACAAAAAACCACAAAAGCCUUAAUUGUAAUUCCAAUGCCAUUUUACCUAAACUGUAGGGAGCAAAAGCCCUGAUAAUGGGGAAAUUUUGAAACAACCUGCAGGCCAGUUUUCUAAAUGUACUAGAUAGAUAAUUUGGUACCAUUAGUCAAAUAUACAGGGACUGCAUAUGUUUUCCAGUAUUUCAAUAUAGCAGCCUAAAGUUCAAGUACGUAUCAGCUGGAACUUGGAUCUCUCCCAGUUAAUUGAUCUGAACUAUGAAAACUAAUUAAGAUGUAUAAUUAUAUCCUAGUACUCCUAUAUAUAUAUAUAAUAGCAACAGAUCUAAACUAUGAAAUUUUCCAACAGAGGCACAAUCAAAUAGCAAAAAAAUAGAUAAAAAUACUUAAAUUGGCAUAAAUCCAAACAUAAUUAUUGAAAAAGAUAACGAUCAACGCACCUAAGGAAGCUUUGAAGCAAUGCGAUCAAAUCCAAGCGACCAAAUAGGGAAUCGCAGUUUAACUCGAUCGGCUCAACAGAUCACUUCGAAAUUAUUCAUAAACCGGAGAUUCCUAUAUUUUUCUGAAAAUCGAGAUUGUAUAUGAGAGUUACAACAUUAUUAUAUUGACAGGAAGUAUAAGAUAUCAUUCAACUGACUUGUGACUGUCACAAAGGAGAUUAACAGCAAUUAGCAAGGACCUCACUAAUGAAGAAUAGAAUCUUACGAAGAAGCUUUAGCUUCCUCGAAGGAAUGCAAGAAAGAGCACAAGAGAACAAACAGGACAAAAAAUUACUAUUGUGUUCAGUAUUCACUAACAAUCGUUACUAUGUUUGGACAUCACAAACAGUCUUCGAGAUACUUACCUUCUUUUAUUAAUAUUCGGGGUUUUAAUCUCUCCAGGUAAUAUAAUCACUAUCUAAAGAUACCUUGGUUAAAGUCUAGAGACAGGCAUACCUCACUCCAUCACCAGUUCUGACUAGCAUAAACCCUUCACGUUAUAAUCAUGUCAUAGAAAUCUACUAAAGAGUCUCCUGUUUCUUCUACUUUGUCAAAAAGAAGCUCAUUGACAUGCUUUAAUGCCCUACAUAAACAUUUGCAGUCUAACCUAUUCAAAAACAUGUUGAUAAGAAUCCCUUUUUUUUUCUCUCUGUUUGAAUAAAGAGGCCCAGUGUAAGUUCCUGCUUCUGAAUAAAGAAGUUAAUAAAUACCUAUCAAGGAGUGUUGACAUUUUGUUGUGCUAACAUAUACAUUCUGAACAAGCUUAUCUUCUCAAGGUCUCUAAGCAAAUAAUCACAGAUCUGAAAUUAUUUCCCAUGGCCUAGCUGGAAUUGCAAAAAGAUAGUGGAUGGUGCUUCAAUUAAAAAACACUGGUAAGGGAUUAUACCAGUAUCGAUGGUGAUCUCUCUUGAUCCGUCGUCCGAAUUGGAGCUUAAUUUUGCCGAAAACAAGCACAAGAAGCAGCAGAGGAAGAGGAGCGAUGUGCCGCAGUUUGGGAUUGAGCUUGGAUUUGUGAAGAGGACCACCUGUGACAGAGAUGUUAACUGGGAUACAAUCAGAAAAAUCUAAAUACCUAGCUGAAAAUAACAAAUCCAGCUACAACACAACCAAGCAAAAAUUAAGAUAUAGAAUAAAAAUUUACACUCUACAAGUACAAUAUCCAAUCUAACACUAUAUAUAGAUCAAAUAAGAAGAGGAGAUCAAAAAAUUAUAUGAAAUUUUCCAACAGAGGCAAAUAGCGAAAAAGAUAGAUACAAAUACUUGGGAUGAAUCCAAACAUAAUUAUUGAAGAAUAUAAUGAUCGACGCACCUAAGGAAGCUUUGGAGCAGUGCGAUCAAAUCCACGCGAUCAAAUAGGAAAAUCGCAGUUUAACUCGAUCGGCUCAAUCACUUCGAAAUCACUCAGAUCUUCGAAAUUUGAUCGCAGCAACAGAUCGAAGAGAGGGCGAGGGAGAUGAAGAACAUUUCGGAGCCCUAAAUGAUCAAUCGGAUCUCCGGAGGACAUCGAAAAAUUAGGGAGAAUUAAAAGGAAAAAAAAAAAGAAGAACCACGUAGCUGAGAAUUCGAUUUGAAACUUUGAACAGGACAACAUAGCGAGUAGGAUUAACUCUAAUUUCGCAAAAAUAAAUUAUACAGAUCGCAACAACUUCAUUUGGAUCAAGAAAUAGUAGCAGAAACUCAAGAGCCGUCAAACUAAAAAAUCACUAAAAUUUUUUCCCAAAUUUUAACUUAAAAUCCCCAGAUUCUUCAGGAUCGGCGUUCUUCGCACUCAAAAAGCCUAAAAAAGGACGAUAAAUUGAGGAAAAAAAGAGCCCAAUCAUCGAAUGAGAUUGAGAAACUGAAUCGAGAGAAACAAGCGAAAUCAUAUGCAAAAUUGAACCUAUCAGAUCGUCGAAUCACUGUGGAAUCACCCUCGAUUCGAAUGGCUUCGCGACAUUUGGACGCAGAUAGAAAAAUCGAACUCUCUCUCUCUCUCUAGUUCGCUUGAUCGUUCGCUCUCACUCGAUCUCCGAAAUAGGAAAAUCGCAGUUUUUCGCCUCGAUCGAGCGCCGGGUUGAUGAAGCUGGGGCGUGCGAUGAAGAGGAUCGAGCUCCGGGUUGAUGAAGUGCGUGGGUUUACAUGGGAGUGGAGAGAGAGAGGGCGUGGGUUUACAUGGGAGUGGAGAGAGAGAGAGGGCGUGGGUUAAUUGAUGAAGCUGGGGCGCUGGGUUGAUGAAGAGGAUCAGACAUGUGAACCUCUUCAUUGUGAGAGCACUCAUGGUUGCUAAUUAAUUGGAAUAAUUAAAAAAUAAUUUAAUAUUAAUUUAAUUAUUAUAUUUGUUGAGAGCUUGUAAUAUUCUCUCGUGUUAAGAUCUAAAUACUUUUUUAAUUAUCUUGGAUUUUAAUUAUCUUAUUUCUAAAUUAAAAAAGCUAACUAAAAUUAGCUUCCUGUUAGCCAUUUACAUUUGUUGAGAGCUUGUAAUAAUUUAAUAUUAAUGAAGUUCAGACGGAAAAAUUUAAAAAUAAGCUAAUUAAAUCAUAAUUAAAAUAAUUAAAAAAUAAUUUAAUUACUUACGACGCUUUGGAAGCGUCGUCAAGAUACUUGUUUAUUGGCGACGCUUAAUCAUAGCGUCGGCAUGUAUCAAGUAUUAAAGACGCUUGAAUAAAGCGUCGUCUAAAAAACGUCGGUAAAAAUAUAUUUUGUUGUAGUGUUACGAUCGUAUUUGUACUUAUAAAUAGUUUUCCAUGUUGAAAUUUCCGAAUUGAUGAUCAAUACUUUUAAACAAAAUUUUAAAGAUUUAAAUAUUUUAAAGAUCAAAUUUUAUAAUUUUUUGAUAUUAUAUAUUUUACAAUCAAAGAGCCUCAAAAUUAACAUAUUUAAUGGUCAGUAUGGGACGUCCAUAUCAAUUGUGUAGAAAAAUUGUAAUCGGUUGAAUUUUGAUAGAAAAUUUUAUUCACUGUAUAGAUCAACAUUGAUAACUCUGAUCUUAAAUUUAAAAACUUCAUCUGUUAUUUUUAAGAGAUUGUUUGAUUUUAUCCGUUCAUUUUAUAUCCGUUUUAUGAAUUUUAUUAUAAAUUAAAAAAAACCAUCAAAUUUAUUUUUUAAAUAUUUCAAAUAUUUUAAAUUAUAUAUAAUGAUGUCGAUUGUCGAUUAUAAAGUUUAAUCAUAAAAAAUAAUUGGAUAAACUUCAAAUACCAUUUCUAUAGUUUCGCACUUUCUCACUUUAGUACCAUGUUGUUUAAAGUGUAUCAAAUUAGCGUCCUGUUGUUUCAUUUUUAUCUUUUCGCCAGCUUUUUCGUUAAUAUUUUGUUAAAUUAUAUACAAAAGAACUUCAAAUGCCCCACCUAGAUUUACCGAAUAUUUACUUUAGUACUCUUUAGUUUUAACUUUGUCAGUGAUCUAACGAAAAAAAUUAGUGGAAUCAAUACUAAAAAAAUAAAAAUAAAAAUAAAAUCACGGCGCACUAAAUUGAUACACUUUAAAUCACAGAGUACUAAAGUGAGAAAAUUUGAAAUCAUGAGGGUGGUAUUUGAAGUUUUUUCAAAAUAAUUUAUAAAUAAAACAAAAGCCUACGUACUUGUAAUAGGAGUACACUAAUUACCCUACUCCAUUUAAGAUUUAGGUGGAAUAUCACUUCCGAACGAAGCACGGUGAAGUGACUUUACGGUCCACGAACCCAAAGUGUGGAGUUUUUGUCUGGACCAGGUCUAUGGACCAGACAACUAAAUCGGUCAAAUGGGACUAGGGGUGGCAAUCCAGCUCGCUAUUCGCGAGCCAGCUCGUGUUCGGCUCGAAAUGAGCUCGAGAUCGAAGCGCUGCGUUAGUAAACGAGCGCCGAACACGAGCUGAAUUUUUCGACUCAUUUAAUAAACGAACCGAACAUGAGCUGGGGUCAGUUCGCUCGGUGUUCGGCUCGAUAACAGCUCGAAAUUAAUAUUUUUAAUUUAUUAUAAUUAUUUUAAUUAUAUUUAUAUAUAUAAUAUAUAUUUAUAUAUAAUAUAUAUUUUUAUUAUUUAAUUUUUAGCAAAAGAAAAAUAUAAAUGCGGAGCUUAAUUAUAAAAAGACUCAUUUAUAUGUAAAUUUUCAAUUAUUAGAUAAGUUAAGAAUAAGAAUUUUAUAAAUUUAUUUUUUAUAUAUAUUCAAUCUAAUCAUUUUUAACUUAUUGUUUGUUGGCCAGCUCGUGAGCCAGUUCAUGUUCGGCUCGUUUAUUAACGAGCCGAACACGAGCUGAAUUUUUUGACUCGAUCCUUUAACGAGCCGGCUCAUGUUUGGCUCAUUUAUUUAAACGAGCCGAACACGAGCCGGCCCUAGCUCGCUCGUGUUCAGCUCGUUUACACCCCUAAAUGGGACCAGAGAAAAUGGCGCAUGCGAACAAUUUUAGCGCCUAACUUCCGUGUAUAUUUUGUCCGGUCUACAGGACCAGAUCCAGACAGAAAUGUAUCCGGCCUAACACCAACGAGUUGGUUCGUGCUCCACUUGAACCCUCAACAAAGCAAAGUGCUAGGGAUAUCCCAAAAUGCACCCCUUGUUUUCCCAUUACUAUGGCAAAAUCAGCUUUAUCAGAUCUAGCGCCUGGAAAAAUAAUUUCUGCAGAAUUAAUUUUGAUUUGCAUAAAUAAUUUUGGUUAAAAACUAUAGAGUAUUUAGCGGAGUCUAAAAAAAUAAAUUUUUAAAAAUAAUUUUGUAAAGCUGUUUGGUAAUUUUUUUUGCUGUUUACAAAUAAUAGUUUUUAAAAUUUUAAAAUUUAAAACUUAAAAUUUGAUUUUAAAAUUAGAAUUGGAUUUUAAGAAGUAGAUUUUAACUUCUUUUAACUUUGGAUCUCUAAAAUUAGAAAAUUAAUUCUAAAAAUUAAAAUCGGAUUUAAAAAAGGAGCUACCAAGUGCUCUAUUAAAAAAAAAAAAAAAUUUUGGCUCUAAAAUUACUUUCUAAAAUUUAGGCUAAACACCUACCUAUUUUGAGUUUUGAUAAUUUGCGAGCAUUAUUCAAAUUUUAAAAGUAACAAAAAAUCGUAUAAAUUAUUCAUCAUUGUUCCAAAUAAUAUCCUCUAUAAUUGAUUUUUUGCCCAAAAAAUAUGUUUUGUGCGAAUUUUUGUUAUUUUAAAAAAUGGGAAAACUUCAAAAACUCCCAUUGUGGUUUUGCAUUUUUUCAUUUUAGUACCCUGUGGUUUAAAGUGUAUCAAGUUAGUACCCUGUGGUUUUGCACUUUCUCACUUUAGUACCUUGUGGUUUAAAGUGUAUCAAGUUAGUAUUCUGUGAUUUUAUUUUUGUAUCAAGUUAGUACCAUAUGGUUUUAUUUUUAUAUUAAGUUAGUACCCUGUGGUUUUAUUUUUCUCUUAAUAAAAUAUUGAAUCACGGGGUACUAAAGCGAGAGAGUGCGAAACAUCAGAAUACUAACUUGAUACACUUUAAACCACAAGGUACUAAACUGAGAACGUGUAAAACCACAGGGUACUAACUUGAUACACUUUAAACCACAUGGUACUAAAGUAAAAAAAAAAAGAAACCACAAGAGGGGUAUUUGAAGUUUUUCCUUACAAAAUUUGGACAGUAAUAUGAAGUACAGUAACCUUAAGAUGGGUCUAAGAUUUGUUUUUUUUAUUUUAUUUUAUUUUUAUUUUUUUAUUUUAGUAUUAAAACUCCAGAGGCAUGAUGAUAAGUUUAGAACAAAUGUUGUUUUGCUACUGUCUUUAUUUCUAGCGGCAACAUUUUUUAUAUAGAGUACUUCAUAAAAGAAAAAAAUUAAAUUUUUUGCUGCAACAAAAAAUAAAAGACUUAAUUACACUCUAUUAUGUUAUACUUUACAUAUUUUUUUAAAAAUUCUUAUAUCAUACUAGUAGUUUUUUUCAAAUGUACCACUUAAUUAUUCUUUUUUUAAAAUUUCUAUACUAGAAGCAAUAAAUCUCUAAUUUUAUAUAAAAGCGGUUAAAAAUAUUGGUUAAAAGUAGUAGAAUAUAUAUUUAGGUUAUUUUGACAUGAAAAAAUAAUAAAAUACAUAAAAUAAGAAAAAAAUAAAAAGCAACUUGAUAGAAACUUUUAAUGAGUCUAUUUAUAGAGAUUUAUGUUACAAUUUUUCUUAAUAAAAUUAUUAGAUUUUGUCUAAAGCAAUAGAUGUAUAAGCAGUAGUAAUAUAGAGAUCGGUAAGAAAAAAUAGUUUAAUAACAUCUGUGAGAAAAAAAAUAGUAUAAGUUAGAAAUAUAAAAAUAAAUUUAUAAUAUAGUGUAGAUAUUUAUAAAAGAGUCAUAUUUCAACACACCAUGUAAAUCUUGACCAAUUAUUUUUCUAAAUAAGUGAUUGAGAUGUCGUGACCAACUAUUAAAGCAUAGGUACCAUUCUCCAUUUAUCUAUCUGAAGAGUAUUUUAAUCUUUGCAGAAUGUUUUGGUUCAUAAAAAAGGUUUUAUCCAAUUAAGGACAUUACAAACUUUUCCAAUAGCUAAAACAAUAAUUAAAAUUCAAACUUACAUCCAAACCGUAAAUUCAAUUUGGAAACAACAUAAGAAACUUAAUUAUAAGUCAAAUUCAAAAUUUCAAAUAUAAAACACAACUUUAAGAUAAAACUUUCAGUUCAAAUUCAAAAAUUCAAUUUAAAUCAAAAAUUAGAAUUUAGCUUUAAAGUUAAAAGUACAAUUUAGAUUCAAAAUUUAAAAGUUUGAAUUUAAAUUUCAAAAUUAAAAUUUUACAUUACAAUACCAAAUUCAAAAAUUAAAUUUAAAUUCAAUACUUUUUUUGAGUUGGAUACUUAAUAUAUUGGGUACUCUCUAAUUUGGUAAGUGAACAAAUUAAAUAAAAAAAAUUAAAAUUUGUAGGGCACUAACAAAUUUGGUAUAUAAUACUAAUCCUUUUCCAAUAUUGUGGUGUUAACUAAUCUAAACUGGUAACAUGUUUAGCAAGUUACAUUAUGUAAAACCAAUCAUACCUUUUAUUAAUUAACAAUUAGAUUUAAUAUAUAUGAUGUAUUGAAUCCAUAGUUAGUUAAUUCGGAUUCAGCAAAAAUUCGGUACGGAUAUAAUACGCAUAAAAUUCAUUUUCUAAAUUUUAAAUUUGUUGAAAAAUUCGGCUUAAAAAACGGAUUCGGUAUAAAAUAUAAAAUAUAAGAUAUAAAAUAUAAGAUAAUCUAUAUUUAAAUAUAAAAAUUAUAUAUUUUUUUAUUCAUAUUUUUAAUAAUUCGGGAAUAAUUUGCGAAUAAUUCGCGAAUUUUUCGGCUGGCCCAAAAUUCGCGAAUAAUUCUCGAUCUUUGAAAAAAAUUUGUAAAUGGACCGUUUAAUUUGGAUUUUCAAUAAUUCACGAAUAAUUCGUGAAUUAACUAACAUAGAUUGAAUCUUGCUAAAAUAUAAUAAUAUAAUGGUGUGUUUGAAAAAAAAUUAUAUAAUAUAGUAAAUAAAAAUAAUACUAAAGUACAGUACAGUAAAAUAUAAUUAAGUGGGAAAUGAAAACUAUAUUCCAAGCCUUAAAAAGUAGCUCUUAGGAGAAAAGUGACAAGAAUAUACCAAUGCAAUUUUUUUUUUUAAUAAUAUUUAUAAAUAAUAAUUUACCAAAUAAUACUAGUAAGUGGGUACACUUCGGAGUACCCAAAGCAAAACGCAUCCUCAAAAUUCUAUUAUUAAGGUUUUUUUUUUUAAAUUUUUAAUUUUUAUAUAUCCUACCAUUUUUGCGCUCUCACCAAACUCCAAGCUCGUACUAAAAAUUCAUAUAAAAAAAGCUCUCUCGCGUCAAAAGGUAGGAGAAAGAGCGCGAGAGAGGGCGAGAGAGCGCGAGAGAGGGCGAAAUGGGCGCGAUGCGUUUCGUAGCGGCGGCGAUGUCACUUUGGAUCUGUUUCGGGAUCGUCGGAGUCGCAUCGGACGCGUCGGAUCACCGCUACAACGCGGGCGAUCCCGUUCCCCUCUACGCCAACAAGGUCGGCCCCUUUCAUAACCCUAGGUAAGUGUUUUUCCCACUUAUUUUGGUAAUUUUUUGGUUGCAUCAAGUGCUUGAGAUCCCCCUUUACUAGAUCUGUUGAUGUGCUCCUCGGAUCUGGGGUUUUCGUUUGGUUGUUGUAAUUUGGGGUAAUUGUAGGAGAUCUGGCGAAAAAAUCAAUAUUUUGUUAUGAUUCUUUUGUUAAAAAGGGAUUUUUACAGUAAUUUUAGCUGUAGAAGCAUCAAACCUGGCAGUUACAGACGACCUGGUGCUCGAAAGUUCAAGUUUGUUGAUUCUGAAGUAGUUUGAAUUUGCAAAGAAAGUUUUUUUUUUUUUUUUUUCAUGGUCUGAUGUUGGAUUAAAGAUAUUUUUAUUGUUUGUUCAAGUAGGAAGGAUUAACAUUUUGAAUUAGGGUUUUGUUUUAAGGUGCUUAUUUUGUCUUCUUUAGCUUUGACUAAGAUUGGUGAGGAGAUGUGGUAAAUUUUAGACUUUUUGAUGGUUUAUAUUGCUUUAACUCAGGCAAAUGAGAUAUUUCGAUAGCAUUUUGUGUUGCUGCUUUAGAAUUUCUUUAGUAGAGAGAUACCUUUGAAUCUCGAAGUUGGCAUUAAGUCUCCUUGUCUAAUUAUUGCGCUUGUUGCAGCGAGACGUAUCGGUACUUCGAUCUCCCAUUCUGCUCCCCAGGUGUGCUUCUGGACCUUAUUUUGUUCGAUUUUGUUUUGAUGUUUCAUUAUUUGUAGUUUUAUAAUCAAGUGAAAUUUGUUGACAGAACAUCCGAAUGAGAAAUCAGAAGCUCUCGGCGAAGUCUUAAACGGAGACCGCCUUGUUGACGCUCCCUACAAGCUCGACUUCCGUGUGGACCUCGAUUCCAAGUUGGUAUGCAAGAAGAAGCUCACUAAAGAAGAUGUAGCCAUGUUCAGAAGUGCGGUCACCAAGGACUACUACUUCCAAAUGUACUAUGAUGACCUGCCGUUAUGGGGAUUUCUUGGGAAGGUCAGUAGGGAGGGAAAAACCGACCCUAGCGAGUAUAAGUACUAUCUUUUCAAGCAUAUCCACUUUGAUAUCCUCUAUAACAAUGAUCGGGUGAUCGAGAUCAACGCCAACGCUGAUCCCAAUGCUUUGGAGGAUAUCACCGAGGAUAAGGAUAUUGAGGUCGAGUUCUUGUACUCGGUGAAGUGGAAGGAGACGAAUACGCCCUUUGAGAAGAGGAUGGAGAAGUACUCGCAGUCUUCCUCGCUACCACACCACUUGGAGGUCCAUUGGUUCUCGAUAAUAAACUCAUGCGUCACGGUUCUGUUACUGACAGGAUUCCUCGCCACGAUUCUCAUGCGGGUUUUGAAGAAUGAUUUUGUCAAGUAAGAAUUCUCUUCGUUGUCCUGAAAAUUGAUCUUGAUCUCGUAUUGGAAUGCAGUAGUCCCAACAGUAAUAUUAUAGCGAUAACUGUGGAACAAUUACUUGAUGAAUUACUUUGUCUGCUUUUGAUUCUUCACAUUUUAUCUCAGUCAGCAACGCUCAUAUGUUCGCAAAAAUUUACUAAGCUUCAGGUACUUGAACAUUGAACCAUUCGUAUAGUGUGAUGGGUGAUGGCUUGAAUUACUCUUGAGGCAAACACCGAGUUUGCUUAUUUAUGGCAUCUAAUCUUAUCUUGUGGCAAUAUGAGUCGAUUUAUUAUGUAAGAGAGAGGAUUUUGUUUUUCCUGAAAUAACUGCCUAUUUAACAUUACUAAAUUACUUACAUAAGAACGCCGAGUCUGCUUAUUUAUGGCAUCUAGUCUUAUCUUGUGGCAAUAUGAAUCGAUUUGUUAUGUAAGAGAGAGGAUUUUGUUUUUCCUGAAGUAACUGCCUAUUUAGCAUAACUAAAUGACUUAGGUAAGAGAGAAAUGUCUUAGGUUUUUUCGUGCUGUUCUUUUGAAAUUUGAUGUCUAAUUUAGAAGCAGACUUUUGGAACUGCCACAUAUUUUUAGAUCUACUUUUGUUGGUGGCGAAGUCAUCUGCUUUGAGUGAAAUUUAUAUUGUUUGUUUGUCUUCUUUAUGUUUUUUUUUUUUGAUCAACACAUGCUUUUAGUUACUUGUACAGGUGAAUUUUUAUUCACAUUCCCUUCAUUUUUCCUAUAAUGCUACAGGUACGCUCACGAUGAGGAAUCCGCAGAAGAUCAAGAAGAGACUGGAUGGAAAUAUAUACAUGGAGAUGUCUUCAGAUAUCCGAAGAACAAAUCGCUCUUCGCUGCUUGCAUUGGAUCUGGCACUCAGCUAUUUGCUCUGUAAGCUUCUUGGACUUUUUUUUUUACUGUAUAUAAUAUGGAAAUAUUGAUCUCUGCAUAUAUUGGCACAGAAUGCUUUCUCAAAAUAUGCUUUGUUGUCACUGGUCUUUCUUACAUUGCCUUUUUUCAUUGCAGCACAAUUUUCAUCUUUCUUUUAGCUUUAGUUGGCGUGUUCUACCCAUACAACCGAGGAGCUCUUUUUACUGCGUUGGUUGUAAUAUAUGCACUUACAUCUGGCAUUGCUGGUUAUGUUGCAACCAAUUUCUAUUGUCAACUUGAAGGAACAAAUUGGGUGCGUGCUUACUCCACUUAAAUCUACUGUUAAUGAUUUAGGAUCCAUUUGGCCUAGAUGGAGCUUCUACAGAAGUGAAUUGUUUGAACAAUUAAAUGUCAAUUUGUUCAGUAAAUUUCCUCAAAAGUCUUCUGCUGCAGCAACAAAGAAAAAAUUGGAGUUUUUGCUUUUGGGGUCCAGAAGCUCAUUUUUGCUUUUAUGCAGAGCAAAAGCUCUGGAUAUUUUUGUUUGCUGAAUGCUUGGGAUGCUGCUCCUGGAAGUAGAAGUAGAUAGUCUAUUUUAAAAACCAGGCCUAACAUAUUACUUACAUUGUUUCUUUGUCAUGCAACUUGUAUCACUGUUUCUUUAUUUUUCUCCCUCUCUCUCUUAACACCCUUGUUGUUUUGCAGGUAAGGAAUUUGCUUUUGACAGGAUUUCUGUUUUGUGGGCCUCUCUUCCUGACAUUCAGCUUUCUCAACACUGUCGCCAUUGUAUACAGUGCUACAGCAGCACUGCCAUUUGGCACCAUCCUCGUUAUUCUCCUCAUCUGGGCACUUGUGACUUCUCCUCUGCUUAUUCUGGGCGGGAUUGCUGGCAAAAACAGCAAGGUGGAAUUUCAAGCACCUUGUCGGACAACUAAAUAUCCUAGAGAGAUCCCGCCACUGCCAUGGUAUCGCACAACUGCUCCACAGAUGGUGAUGGCUGGUUUUCUUCCGUUUAGUGCUAUCUACAUCGAGCUUUACUAUAUAUUUGCCAGUGUAUGGGGUCACAAGAUCUACACUAUAUACAGCAUCCUCUUCAUAGUCUUCAUCAUUCUCCUCAUCGUCACUGCCUUCAUUACGGUGGCGUUGACCUAUUUUCAGCUUGCUGCUGAAGAUCAUGAAUGGUGGUGGAGGUAAGCCAUGAAUCCAGUUGCAAAUAUCAAGCUUAGGUGUAUAAGUUAUUUUGUUUCAUUUAUUAUGUUUUCCCCUAAGUUUUAGUGGCUGGUUACCUUAACUUUUUCCUGGUGUCUCAAGCCUUUAAAUGAGUUAUUUUGCCUUUUAUUAUAGACCAUGGUACACCACUAUAUGGAGGCAAACAUACAAAUAGUAAAUUAUUAGGACAUGUUCCCUGGAGGUUUGCAGUUUACGCAUUCCAAAAUAUAAAUUGUUGUCUUUUAGAAAAUAAUCAGACCAUAUGACUUGGAGUUUGAUAGGUAGUAGUAGUAGGUUAGGUGGUAUUGAAACACUAGAUUCCAAUGGCAAAUCUCAAAGUAUAAAGUUUUGUUUGUAUAUCAAACAUGCUUGUCAAUGACCUAAAUUCUCUCUGCAAAAUCUUUGACAGUUGUACAGCUUCCUCGACAUGUUUCCCAUUUACUUACUCUCUAGGAAGGUGAUUAAAUCUAUGGACAUCUGAAAUUCUGUUUUAGGACAGAUGAGAAAGACUUUUUGAUAGUUUGAGCUUUUUGUGAGAGUUGAAACAGAAUGCAUGAAUCAGUAGAAUGAAAUUUGGUACUUCUGUUUGAUUGUAAUUGUAUUGGAAGCGCGAUCCCUACAAAUAUGAGUUUGGAGAUGUCCCAUAGGUAAUUGCAAUGAGAAUAAGCUUGUUGCCUUUAAUUUUUCCUAGUUCUGAAUGACAUGGCAAUUUUGGUGAGUUAAUCAAGCGGGCAUCAAGAUAGAGCUUAAUGCAUUAUCUUCGAGAGAAACAGCUUUCUAUAAGAUUGUAACUGGCUAUAUGCUCUAGCUGCCACGCAAUCAAUGGACAAAUUUAUACUCAAUAGGUGUUUUUAAUUUCUUGAUAAAUUAGGGAGUAUUUAUUUUUAACCCUUGUCAUGUAGAUUUUUGAUGCAUUCUCCUCGUGUUUCUGAUUCUCUACUUGUAGAAAGAACCAACUGCUUUUAUGCCAGCCAUAUUUCAACCCUUGAAGUUCCAUAGACUUUCCCAAUUAAUCUGAUAUUUUAUCAUUUUAUGAGUGAGUGUUAGUUUCAUAUAGUCAACUUCUUUUUUUAUGAUUAUCUGUAUACCUGAGUUUAAUGCCCCCUAAUGGUCAUUAUUAGUUUUCUGAUAAAAGAAAUUAAACUUAGGGCAAAGAGUAUUAAGUAUCAUAGUUGUGAUAUUAUCAAUGCAGACUUUGUGAUUGUUGUUACAUUUCAUAUACAUCAUAAUCAUAAUAUACGCCCGUUUACUUAAAAUAAUUUGUAGAAGUGUUAUUUUCAUAUAGCGUCGGGAUAGGCACUAGCCUAUUAGUUGAAAACCCUCAACUAGCCUCCUACCGAAGCAGAAGUUCAAAGUUGAAGCUUUUGCUUUUGAUACGCCCAAAGCUAAACUAAGGUAACUGCCUGUGAAGAAGAUAUGGGCUUUCUGCUUGUGUUAGGUCUGGCAUCUUAAAAUAGAGCAACUGUUCUAGAAGCUGGACCAAAUGGGCGUUGUGGGCCUGCGUUAACGUUUUGUUUAGAAUUUCUUUUUUGUUUACUCAAGGAUAGUGGUGAUUUGUUGAUGGGAAGAACUAGAUAUGUUUAAAUGCAAAAAUAUCUGCAGUCCACAAAAUAUCUAUAGUUUCUUACUCAUUUUCUCUGAAUAUGACAAAUCACCUCAUAGGUGGAAUGCACCAUCGUCAGAAACCAUUAUUACGAGGGCCUCGCAAUGGACUGAAACUUCCAUGUUGCCAUCACUAAAGAAAAUUCUCGUACUACAAAAUUUUACCACUUGAAAAACUUGUUCUGACAUUAAACUUUUUGGGGCCAUAUCUGAGUCCUCAAUGUAGCAGCAUUGCCGUGUUUUACGGAUGUGUAAAGAUUUAUAAUUGUGAUUUAAAACUGUAGUGCUGGCUCUGUUGCAGGUCAUUCCUCUGUGGUGGAUCAACAGGCUUAUUCAUAUACGGUUACUGUUGGUACUACUACUAUGCGCGGUCGGACAUGUCAGGUUUCAUGCAGACCUCUUUCUUUUACGGGUACAUGGCCUGCGUCUGCUAUGGCUUCUUCCUCAUGCUCGGGACCAUCGGCUUCCGUGCUGCCUUGUUCUUUGUCCGUCACAUAUAUGGAUCUAUCAAAUGCGAAUAAUCUGUUCCCGUAUAAUGCCUGGUAUUAAUCUUAUUCUUGUGCUUAAUCUAACCUUCUACUAUAGCGAGAGAGAUAGAGAGAGAGAGAGAUAGUAUACUUUUCGUAGAAGGUGAUUGGAACUCAAAAAGAUGCGAAACAACUGAUAGAGUUAAAAGGAUCAACUUUUUCUUUUGUCGAAAGCCGAAGCUCGUAUUGCUGCAAUCAAGGGAUUUUUUCUGGUUCAUUUUUUCUUCUAUUUCCUGGGUAACUCUAUGGAGAAGUUUGUACCAUUACAUAUACCUGCAUAAUUUUAGGUUGUUGUAUGUUCCUUCACACCUUAAAUUGACAGUGGAAAUCAACAUCACCUUUUAAGUUGGGGGUUGUGAACUCAUAUUGACUUGUUUUAUAAUUUUUUCUAAAACUAAAUCAGCCAUGUAAACUGGCAAAAUAAUCUAUUUACUUAUAUGCAUUUUUUUUUUAAAUUUAAAUUUUCGAAUUUUGAUUGAUACUCUCCAUUGCCAGGCAAAAUCUGUUCGCUUUUUAUUUUUUAAAAUAUAUUAUUGGUGUGUGUAAAAUGACCUGUUGGGUUAACAUAACAAUUACCUUGUCAUGCUUGAUUGGAUGUCUUUCUACUCAGAUUAUGUAGUCUUUUGACUCAUCUAAUGUGUAGAAUUUUUUCCUCUCUUUUCUUUUUGUUUUUUUUUGCUUUCUAUUCGUAUAUGUACGAUCAAUCUAACAACUGUAUUUAACUAUAGAAUCUCAGUGAAAUUGCAUGGAAUGAAAUGGAAAUAAAAAUAUGAGAGUUCAUACUUAUAAAAAUUCAAAUUAUCCAUAAAAUGAAAAGAGUGAAAAAGAAAAAGAUACAUUGCACCUAUUAAGAAAUUACGAGGCUAAUGGAUCAAUUGGCCUAGAAAGGUAUACCACAAUAAGAAGCUAAUUAAUUGCACAAAGUUGCAGUAACAUAUGAAGAAAUAAAUAGUGCUUUCCACAUGAGGGAAAAGACAUCAUAAGCAGCAAAGCCUUCGAAAGUAGAAGCUUCAACUUGAGGCUUCUGCAAGCAGGAUUACGCUUUAUAAGCAAGCAAUUGUUCGUGUACUGCAGUUUGCAAAAGCUUCGGUAGAGCAAGCCUAAAGCAACUGGACUUACAGGCUCCGGGCCAUUUGGUACGCAAAAUUGAAUAUGAAUAAGAUUAGAUAAGAUUAGAUAAGAUGAGAGAGAGAGAGGGAGAGGGAGAGGGCGCAAGUCACAACAACUAUAUGAUUGUCUCGUGGUUUAUAAUAGAAUUCUCGUCUCCAAUCCUAUCCAAUCUCAACCUCUUAGGUGGGAGUUGAUGCCCUAAUCUCAGCAUCAUUUUUUGGUUCAAUCAAAUUCAAAAGUUAUGAAAAGCCAAAUCUUGGACAACUCCUCUUGAUGUCUCUCUCUCUCUCGCGCGCGCGCUUUUACUCCUUCUCCGGCAUCUCUCUCCUCUCUUAUUCUAUUCAAUCCAAACAGAACUGUCUGCACAGGGACAGGAGAAUUCAUCUUUUGACGUCAGUAGGUGUUAAGACUUAAAGAGUGGAACAUUCAAUUUGUUGGCAAAGGGCUCUUACUUUCGGCCAACAAACCACAUGCAUCCACUAGCCAUUUGGUCCUCAAAUCCUAUUUUCUGAAACCUUUUUAUCUUCUUUUCCUAUUGAUAAUUAAAGGUUCCUAGAACCUAUAUGGGGACAUCUACUGAUCUACGCAAGCUUGGGAAUAAUUUUCUUGUUUCUUUUGUUACACUAAUCAGAAAAAAAAAAAAGAAGUGUAAAGGCAACAAAUACAAAAAAGAAAAAGCCACUGAAUUUAAAGCUUUCUACAAUUUCUUAAUAUGUUUGGCUAUUUCCAUAUAUAUAUAUACUUUGUCCACUCUUAUUUACUUGUGCAUAAACUGAAUAAUACGUGCGAUGCUAAUCGGCCAAUUUCAUUUAAUUGUAAGUAAACGGAAUUGAAAAGUUACGUAAAACAUACUCUUUUAUUAGUUUUGGCAUUUCCAAACGUGACGAACAUUUUUUAUACACUCAUUGCAUUCCAUGUGACUCAAGUUCCCAUGAAAUUUUUGUUUUUGUUUUCCCCUUUUGAGUAGAGACUCAGCUUCCCAUACUUUAUGGAAAGGAUGAGUGCUCUUUCCUUCUUUUUCAUUGAUAAUUUGUUUGAUGAACUGUUAAAGCUACAAGAGAGAAAUUCCCCUCUCAAAAGUGCAAAGAUUGAAAGAGAAGAGAUGAGUACAAGUUACUAUUAUAUAUACUUAGUGAGAGAAGAAUAAAUUCAAAUUACAAGAUGCACGACUACACAAUAUAGUUUUUAACUGCUAACAGUUAUUAAGAACAUUUUUUUUUUUUUAUCUCUGCACAAUAUACUAAUAGAUUAUCAUACAUACAUUUCAUUUUUUUUUUUAAUAAGUGCUUUUGUUGUCUUGUAGCAAAAUGGAGGUUUGAGUCUUGGUUUCUUGUUAUAGAAACAAGAAACAAGAAAGUACAGCAUAAAGCAUGGCCAAGAGAAUCUAAGUAGAAAAUAGCAUGCAUGUAUGCACAAAAUGACAUUUCAAAGACCAAAAAUGUCCCACAAUAGAACUGUAAUUAGAAGCCAUUAUAUAUAUAUAUAUAUACACACAUACAUGCAAGUUUACAGAGUUUGGAUAGGAUCCAAGUCACCAAAAUAUAUAGUACACACCAAGUUACACUAAUUGUUUGGAGUAAUCCACAAGCUAUUACACACUACUUAACUAAAAUGGUGGGGUUUAAUUACUUUACAAAAAGGAAGAGGGUCAUUCCAAAGAUCCCAUACAUAUAUAUUUAUAUAUAUAUUGUUUGACCUUUUCCAAUUCUAUAGUUUGAGCCCUCACAUGGCUUGUUUUGUGCCUAGCUCCUUCGGGGGCCUCACAAAAAAAGUGCUCUUUGGAAAAGCAGCUCCUAGCUACCAAAUAAGCUUUUGGAAUAUAUAUAUAUAGUCCAACUAUGGUAUUUGUAAAAGCACCAAGCAUUUGGUGUUUGUAAAUUUUUUACCGUUAGAUUUAUACCUUUGAUCAUUUUUAUCCGUUAGAUUAUACUAUUCAACCAACCACUCACUCAACCUUAGGGGGCAUACAUCAUCCUAACUGCACAUCCCUUAAUCCAAGGGUCGAAAACUUACAAGCACCAAUAAUUUGGUACUUUUAAAAACAUAGGAGUUCAAUUUUAUAUAUAUAUAUAUAUAUAUAUAUAUAUAUAUAUAUAAAAUUGAGCUAGAAUACUUUUACAAGUAUCACCCCUUUAGUGUUAUUAGGUUUUUAGCCCUUGGAUCUACUCCUUGAUUACUAAUAGCCCUUGGAUUAAACACUAUUCCACCUACCACCACCUACCACCAUCAUCCUAACCCUACAUUUCUCUAUCCAAGGGUUAAAAACUCACAAGCACCAUCCUCUUGAUGCUUUUAGAAGUAUUCUAGCUCAACUAUAUAUAUAUAUAUAUAUAUAGAGUGAGGCUACUAUGCUAUCGGAAGCACGGAGCCUUCCGUGCUUCUAGCUCGUUUUCGAUGUUGCGACUUUCGAAUCGUCGAUCGGCUCCGUUAAACUUGAUCUAGAGUAUUUGGAGUACCUAGAAAAUAAAUUUUAUUAUUUUUCGAUAUCAUUUGCCUAGUGAUGACAUGAUCUCAAAAUACAACACAUUUUAAAGGGUGCCGUAUGAGGCCGUUGCAAAUUUAAACGGUAGAAUAUUCAAAUCACGUGAAAUUUUAUAGAAAUAUUCUUUAUACUAUAUAAAACAGAUCACAAUUUUGAUUAAAAUUUUAAUGUCAUAUUAUUACAGACAUGUUUGUAAGAUCUUUUAUUUUCACCGUUGAUUUAAGUCCUUCUUCACUACACACACCACACACGAAACAUAAUCAAUUUUAUUUCUAUGUACUAAUAUGCAACAAAUACCUAAAAUAGUUUAAACAGAAGCCUCGCACGAUGUACGAGGGGAACGCAGACAUCUGGGAAAACCUGAAGCUGGAAGCACGGAGCAGGCUCCGUAUUCCGAUGGCAUAUGUAGGCCUCACUGCACUAAUAUAAUAUAUAGGUAGUGAAUAGUGAUAUAUAUAUAUAUAUUCAAUAUAUAAUUGAUAUAUAUAGAGUAAUGGUGUACAGAUAUUUAGCACAUAUAUAUACGUAACGAGUAGGGCUAACGUGGCAUUGAGACACAGCAACCCUUAUGCUUUAAACUUCUAACGCAGCGACAGCAGUGCACAGUUUGAUGUGUAAUGAAGAGACGAGAGGCUAUAGGUGACAAAAGAAACUUGGGUGUUUCAAUUAUUCUACCUCCUUUAGAAUUCUCUCAAUAGUCUCUUCCUCUCUCAUUCUAACCACCCCAUUCAAACUUGAAUGAUGGUUAGAAUUUUAGGUAUCACAAUGCUACGCUUUGCUCUAAUAGCACACAGUAGGCCCUAACUCUCCGUUCUCUCUCUCUAUAAAUAAUAAUAAUAUAUAGUGUAUAAUAUAUAUAAUAUACUGUAUAUAUAUAAUAUAUAUAUUACUAUAUAAGUAUAUAUUAUAGUUAUGGAAGGUCAGGGCCUGCUGAUUGACUCACAUCAGGCAGCACUGAGUGCCUCCGUCGCUGCUGAUAUGUUUCGAGAUAUGGAGAUUAUUUCGAAUCUAUGAUGCGUGCUCCGUAGACUAUAGUUCUACGCCGAUUUGAAGUUUCCUAGGGAAAAUAAUUUCGAUAUAUUCCGCAUAUUCAUAUUACCGUAUAUCGAAAGAUUCAAAAAUCUAUCCAUAUUUUUAAUGUUAAUAUCUGGCCGUUUCCAUUAACGGUGAUAGAAUAAUCAAAUUAGAUGAAAUGUUUAUAGAAAAUUUUUAUACUAUCUACAACAAAGAUCUAUAGUUUCUAUGAUCGAGAUAAAUCUUACGUGCCGGGAUAUGCCCGCCCGGACUUUUUUAUAGGAGUCUCUUUGUAUUGCAGCCGUUAAAAAUUAUGAUUUGAAUACUUAUCGAUGCUAGUAAAUAAUAUCCGAAAAAUCGCGCUAAAAAUUUAUUUUCAUAUAAAACUUUAAUAUAACCUAAGAUCAACGUUUAAACGAAGAAGGGAGACAGGACGGCCAUCGAUCGUGCGAUAGUUCGACAAGUCGCAUCCUCGAAAGAAUCCGGCUUCGACACGAGGUUCUCUCCGGUACUCGCGUGGAGUAGGCAUACAGCAUGCCCCGUGGUAUCCGUGAUAAUAUGUACAUAUAAUGACUACAUAUAUGUAAUAGCAUAUAUGUAAUAUAUACACUUAUUAUAAGUCAUAUAUAUAUUAUAAUAUUGUACAUAAAUAUGGUACAUAAUUCGUAGUUUAAGGUAUACGAGGCAUAGUGUACUCAUUAAAUAGUGUAUUAAGUUAUAUAGUUUGCAGUUAUAGUUACAUAGUAUACUUUGGUACAUUAUAGUAUCAGUAUAGUACACAAUACCCAUAUAGUUAGCAUAAAUAGUAGCCAUACAUAUAGACAUAAUAUAUACAUACAUAUAUUACAUGUUAAUAGUAUGAGAGUACAAUGUAGAGCAUUUAUAUAUAGACGUAUAUCAUAUAUGUAAAUAUAUAGAUGUAUAUAUCAUUAUACAUAUAUAAAGUAUGUAUAGUAUAUAUAAUAUAUAUUGUAUAUAUAAUUACAUAUAUUAUUGUAUAGUAGGUUAUAAUGAUAGGUUAUUAGCUAUAAUAGCUUUAAUAUACCAUAGAGGUAGCAGAAAGUAAGCAUGCUACUCAUUAUACGUAAUUGGGUGCUUUAUGACUCAUGUAAUUUGUUCAAUAGAUAGCUUUCGAUGAUCGACGAUCCAUUCUCCGUUAAUAGAUUUAGAGUAGUUAUGUGUCGACGUGGCCCCGGCGGGGCAAGAGCUAACGAAGCGCCGCGUGGCCGGGGUCACGUUGCUCUCUAUACCCCAUUGGGUGUGGGGGCUGUCUAAAAGCGCAUAGAGCGUCUAACAGUACUAAUAGCAAAUGAAUAAAAUCAAUAUCAAAAGCAUCUUAACAGAGUACAGAGCAUAUAAAUGUCUAACAAUGACUGGUACGUCAUAGAACAAUAAGGAUAAAAACUAUAAAAUCCACUAAAUAAGACAUGUAAUAAGGGGCGGGGGGGGGGGGGGAAUGGGAGCGGGGGGACUAAGAGGCAAUCGCCAGAAUACAAGGCUAAAGAGUGGUACAUUAUGGGUCUCCGCUACACAUGGAUGAGCAAAAAAUCGUAUCUCUCUGCACUGAAAAGGGAAGUAGAUAAAGCCACCAGGAGAGUGUAGUCGGGGGGGCGUCCUCGCGCUAGCGUACUGUACGGCUGAGCUCCGGGGGGGGGGGCAGCGGCGCCCGGCCUUGGCGCGCUAUCCCGGUGGUGGCCUCGCCGGAGUUCGUGUGACGAAGCUACUGAAAGGAUAAUAUAAAACAGGGUGGAGUAGCUAUAAGAUGAAACUAUCUAAGGAUAUGAGUUACCAGUGUGGCAAUUACUACAGACUUCAGUGAACACCAAAAGGAGGCCAAAGCUACAAUAGAUUCAGACUAUAACUGUUAGGAAAAUGAAAGGCAGUAAAAUAUGUAGCAUUACUACAACAAAUAUCCUACUUAUAUUAAAAUAGAUAACGAUAUGAAAAUUAAUGAGACCUCAGAAGUGAAAGAUUCCUCCACACAGCGUAUCAAUGAAUGUUAACGACGGCAGCAAUGAAACUGACAAAAUAGAAAAUUUCCGUCAUAGUUACAAUUCUAGUCAAAUGAAAUCCUAAAUAAUACUGAGGCUAAUGAAAGCGACAAGCCAAAAGACAACAUCUGCCAUCGUUCGCCAUGUCAUGAUAAGGAUACUCAAGUCAAAUCUGAGAGACACACCCGAAGCAGUCAAAUGACAGCACUGAACCCACCCGUAGGCUUCUGGCCGGCCGAGCAUAAUGGCACACGUCGUGUAUCAUCAUCCCACCCAAUAGAAUACCUAUCCCUAACGGCAAUCACUUCGGCGCCCAAUCAGCACGGCCGAAUAUGAAUCGUCUAGAUGAGCAUCUCCCAGGAUCCGCUUGAGGAGGCACAUCAUCACAACUGUGCGAAUGAUCACAAUGCAAAUAUCAAACGAUCAUCCAAGUACCAUCAAAUUUCUCAUGUCUCAGUAACUGUAUAAUAGGCAAAUGUCCUCGUCCAAGUCACUAUCUUAAUCAUAUCUCAAAUUGAAUAUAUUGAAUGUCAAUGUGGCCUAUUAUCAAUCCUAUGUUGCAUAUAGUUUAGUAAUUCUCCUAAGCCAAGUCUCAUUUAUGACACUCAUGGCUCAACUUCUUCCCAACAUGAUAAUAAGUUCAAGAUCAUAUAAUGUCUAAUCCAAAAUCGAAAGCAUAAACUUUAUUUCCUUAUAUCAUCUCAUAGAGUAAUUCAUCGUAUCAUAUAACAAAGACACAAUUUUUUUCUCUCUACUAUAUAGAAACUUUCUUAUGACAUAACAUAUGAGUUCUAGAGAUUCAAAAUAUUCCAUAAAUCUACAAACAUAUAUGCCAUGAAUUUGAAGAAGAAUAGAACAAUUUAAACACACUUAGGAGGAAUUUCCCCGAUUCAAGGAAGCCGAAACCCACCGAAAAGAAUCGACUUCUUCGUUUCGCCGAACCAAGAUAUCCACAAGAUCCCUAGAACAAGACGGACUCAAACGUGGAAAACCCCUUUUCCCAUACCUCAAAUGGAAGGUAGACGUGUCUACACAAUUAACCUAUUUAAAAAGUCAACACAUUCAAAAUGAGAUCAGAAAGCCUCAAAUCCAAAAACCCCCCAAAUAAACCCUAAAUACCAAAAUCUAGGUUCAUACUAGUACAGACCUAAAAUACAUGUAUUAAAAUGGGAUUAGUAGAGCUAUAACCUCAAGAAAGCUCCAAUCCAAGCUCAAAACCAAGUAGUGGUUAGUUUGAUCUGUCAACAACCUGAGAAGCUCCACCCGUGAAAUGAAAGCCAACCAAAGUGAGAAAUAGAAAAGUGAUGCUGUCACAAUCCUCUAUGCAAGCUCUAUCACUACUUCUUCUAUCUACCCUCUUUUUCUCAACGUCCCUUUCUCUCUCUCUAGAAAGGCAAAAUGGUGAAGUGAGAGAAUAUGAUAAGGACGCAUGCAUACUAAGCCUAUCUCUUUAAACAAUCCAGCUAGCCUUCUCAAAAAUCAAUUUAUAACACGCCGACUGGGCAUUUUCCUAGCCCAAGAGCGGUCUACUCCCAAGCAGAUCGUCUCCAAUCGCUGCGAAACGAAACCGAAAAUCCAGAUUCGAGAACCACGUCUCUCCACUGUCGAGGGACCGGUCACUCAAUCACACUAGAUCGUUGUGCGAACGCGCCGGAACCGUCUCAAGCUGCCAGCGACCGUUGCCUCACGACUCGCCAGAGCACACUGUUCAACUGGAGCAACCCGAGUCUCUCCUUUCCAAGAGAACCGUCCCAGAAGUAAAAACUCUCACGACUCGUCAAAACAUCCAUCGGUAGAUCAAACUUUGAGACCACGUAUAAUACCAUUGACGGCCUGACCCCAAGUGCUGGAACGGGUUCGGAAAUACCAUCCAAACACUCGAACCAUCGCAAUUUACAAAGGUCCAGUGCGUUACAAUUUGAAACUUCUAGAAAAUAAAUGUCCAGUAAUUUUUCGAAAUCAAAUAAUUCCAUUCAAGCAUGCAUAAAAUGAGAUGUCAAGAUCAAGACACUCUUGAAUAUAGGAUGAUCGGAUCCUUCAAUUUAAUAUCGAAUUAUGAUUAUCUGAUAUGAAUAUAAUUUUCUAUCAAAAAUUUAACCUAUUUGAUUUUCUUUUGCACCUUUAAAACUAGCAAGAAUUCAAUACCUAGGCCGCGUGCUAAAAAUUGUCAAUGUUUGUGAGCAUUUUGAAUGCUGUAAAGGUAAAUGAUGUUGAACAUUUAUGAAAUUGAUUAUUUCUAGAAGUUUUGAAAUGCUCUAAAAAAAAAUAAUUUACGUAUGGAUCCGUCGAUUCGUAAAGCUCUAGUCAUUGCAAAACUACUUAUUGAGUACAGAGCGAUCCGUACUCAUUAAAAAGGACCAAAAAAGUAUAAGUAUCGGACUAAUCAAUAUAUAAUAUAAAAUAUAUAUAUAUAUAUAUAUAUUAUAUAUUAUAUUAUUAUAUAAUAUGUUAAAAGUAGUGUGUUGCUAGGUGUUACUAUACUUUUAAUAGUAUAGACUGGUUUUUUGCUUAUAAAUUUUUGGACCGUAGAUAAUGGCAUAUACAUUAGAAUGAUAUUGGCCGCUGAAGCGUUAGAGAUAUAGUGUCUCUCUAGGGCUGACGUGAAUGGUUUGGGUUGAAUAGUAUGAAUCUAACGGUAAAAUAUGGUGAAAGGGAGAUAUAACGACUGAAAAACUUAAUGAAAAAAGAGAUUAUACUAAACAUCAGAGUAUGUAGCACGGACACGUCUAUCUCUUCUCUACAUAUAUAUAAUAUAAUAUAUAAUAUAUAUAUAUAGAUAUAUAUUAUAUAAUAAUAUACAUAUAGAUAUAUUAUAUAUAUUAGAUUAAAUAGGCCUCCGUGCUUCUAAGCCGUUUUCGAUGAUGGAGCUAUCAAAUCGACAAUCUGCUCCGUUAGACUUGAUCUAGCAUAUUUAAAGUAUCAAAAAAAUAAAUUUUGCGAUUUUUUGAUAUUAUUUACCUAGCAAUCGAAAGGGUUCAAAAUUAAUAUUUUUUAAUGAUUGAUGUAUAUCGUUUGCAAAUUUAGCGGUGUAGAAGUAUUCAAAUCAGAUAAAAUUUUAAUAGUAAAUUUUUGUACUAUUUACUACAAGAUCAAUAUCUCUAAUCGAAAAUUUUAUUGUUAUAUCACCACUUUUUAUGAAAUUUUUAUUUUCAGCCGUUGAUUUUGAAUCAUUUUAAUUGCUAGGUAAAUAAUAUCGAAAAACCGCAAAAUUCAUUGUCUAAAUACUUCAAAUACAUUAAAUCAAGUCUAAUGGAGCCGAUCGUAUAUUCGGAAGCUCCAUCAUAAAAAAUGGCUUAGGAGCACAGAGACCUCCAUACUUCUAAUAGCACACAAGACUUACUAUAUAUAUAUAUAUAUAUAUAGAACUAAGCUGGAAUACUAUUAAUAGCAAAAAUGACUUGGUGCUAUUAAGUUUUCUGCUCUUGGAUUAAAAGAUGUGCGGUUAGGAUGAUGUAGGCCCCUAGGGUUGAGUGGGUGGUUGGUUGAAUAGUAUAAUCGAAUGGAUGAAAAUGAUAAAAGAGGUAAAUUUAAUGGCAGAAAACUUGAUAGCACCAAAUGCUUUGUGCUAUCGAUAGUAUCCUAGCCGGACUAUAUAUAUAUAUAUAUAUAUAUAUAUAAGUACCAAUGACUUGGUACUUUUAAAAGCAUAGGAGCUCAAUUCUAUAUGAGUCCGGCUAUGGUGCUUGUAAAAGCACCAAGCACUUGGUACUUAUAAAUUUUUUAUCGUUAGAUCUACAUCUUUAAUUAUUUUCAACCGUUAGAUUAUACUAUUCAACCAACUACCCACUCAACCCUAGGGGGCCCAUAUUAUCCUAACCGUACAUCUCUUAAUCUAAGGGCCCAAAACUUAUAAGUACCAAUGACUUGGUACUUUUAAAAGCAUAGGAGCUCAAUUCUAUAUAUAUAUAUAUAUAUAUAUGGAGGCCCCGUCAGCUAUAAAUAUUUUGAGAUUGCCCUCUCAACUUUUUCUUUAUUUUUUAAAAAUUUUAUGGAAUUAAGUAAUUUUAGUCAAUUCUAUUGAUUAUAUCACUUUUUACCUAAUAAUUAAAACUAGACUAAUUAAUCGCUAACAACAAAUAGAGCAAUUAUAUUUAAUAAAAUUUAAUUAAAAAAACCAAAGACUAAAGCCUCAUUUGGUAUAAUAUUUAUUUUUUAUUUUUUUAAACACAGAUGCUAUAUAAUUUGAUGUAUUGGAAAAAGAAUUUUUUCGACUAAGUAAUAGAUGAUAAGUUAUUUAAAAAUUUUUUGAAAGUUAAAAAAGAAAUUAUUUUUAAAUUUUAAUUUUUUGUUAUCAAGAAAGCGGUUUGGAUGAAAAUGCUGUAAUUAAUUCACUGUCUACUCCCACACCUUUUGAUAUAUAAAAUUCUAUUUAGUAACAUAAAAAAAUAAACGUGAUGGGAGACGCGGCCUAAGAUGAUCUCAAUUAAAAAGGAAAAAAAAGUUGAGGGGACUUUUUCAAAACACCGUAUUGCUGGGGGGGGGAGUCUCCAUAUAUUUUUACCUAAGCUUUUCAUGCAACCUAGCUCCUGUAAUGAUUUGGGUCUAAAUAUUACUUAAUUUGCUAGAAAUGAAACCCCCCACAUCCUCCUCGUUAAUACAUUACUAUUUGAACCCAUGUACGUACCACAAAGCCAUCUUAAUUUAUGUAUAUAAGAUCCUUUUUUUUUUCUUUUUCCUUUUUUUGCUUUUUUUUUUUUUUUUUUUUCUUUCUCUAUNUCUCUCUCUCUCUCUCUCUCUCUCUCUCUCCCUUCUUGUCCAGCUCUUUCAUUGUGACAUGCUCCCACCCCUCUCUCUCUCUCUCUCUCUCUCUCUCUCUCUCUCUCCCUUCUUGUCCAGCUCUUUCAUUGUGACAUGCUCCCACCCCUCUCUCUCUCUCUCUCUCUCUCUCUCUCUCUCUCUCCCUUCUUGUCCAGCUCUUUCAUUGUGACAUGCUCCCACCCCUCUCUCUCUCUCUCUCUCUCUCUCUCUCUCUCUCUCCCUUCUUGUCCAGCUCUUUCAUUGUGACAUGCUCCCACCCCUCUCUCUCUCUCUCUCUCUCUCUCUCUCUCUCUCUCCCUUCUUGUCCAGCUCUUUCAUUGUGACAUGCUCCCACCCCUCUCUCUCUCUCUCUCUCUCUCUCUCUCUUUCUCAUGAAUAUGUAUACAUAUGCUUUUCCUACCUCUUUUUGUUUCAUUUAUUUGUCUUUUCAUGUGAAAUGAUCCACCACCACGAGUGAGGGUGAUGGGAGCACAUGGAUUGAUGGCUUAUCUAAAAAGAGACUCGCCAACUAACACAAUGGAACAGUGCUGUGAGAGAGAGAGAGAGAAAGAGAGUAACAAAGUUUUAGCAAAAGGGUUUCAAAGAGUAGCAAACCUUAAUUAAUCAUCUUUUCACCUUAUUAAUUGUAGGGAAACUUCAAAAAACUCCAUGUGGUUUCGCACUUUUUCAUUUUAGUACUCUAUGGUUUAAAGGUUAUCAAGUUAGUACCCUGUGGUUUCGCACUUUCUCACUUUAGUACUCUGUGGUUUAAAGUGUAUUGAGUUAGUACUCUCUGUGGUUUUAUUUUUGUAUCAAGUUAGUACCCCGUGAUUUUAUUUUUGUAUCAAGUUAGUACCCUGUAGUUUUUAAACCGCAGGGGUACUAAAGUGAGAAAGUGCGAAACCACAGGGUAUUAAAGUGAGAAAGUGCGAAACCACAAGCUACUAACGAUACACUUUAAACCACACGGUACUAAAGUGAGAAAGUGCAAAACCACAGGAUACUAAUUUGAUACACUUUAAACCACAGGGUACUAAAGUGAGAAAGAGUGAAACUACAAUGGAGGUAUUUGAAGUUUUCCCUUAAUUGUAUGAUCUUAUUAUCGACCAUACUUAUCACAGUUGGCAAAAAAUUUGAUGAUUAGGUUUACUGAAGUCCCAAGUAUGGAAUCUAGCUAGUUGCUUCACUUUUUUUGCUGAGUUCAUUUAUAAAGAAUAAAUGAAGCAAAUAACAUGAAUUAAUUUUUUUUUUUUUAACAAAAAAAAGUGUUACGACAAACGCACAAACGGAAACGAAAAUGAUGAACACGAAAUAAUCAAACCACAAACAGAAAUAAAAAAGAACACAUAGAUUUACAUGGAAAAUUCUUUGCAGGAAAAAAAUCACGGGCGAGGGAGGAGAGAACUUCACUAUCGAACGAAAAAGGAAAUACAAUGUUUAGAGAGUACAGCCGACCACGAUCUCAUGCCUCUAGGGCAAAAACAAAAAGGAAACUCUUAAAGAGUUUCGGAUCCGAUCUGUACUGCGGGGGGCCCCACCCCCCGCACCCCCCGGCAAAUGUCAGUGGUGGGCUACGUGCUCUGGCCUGUCAGCACAAGUCCUCCGCUACCCACUACAGACAUUUAUUUUUCCUUCAUAAUUUUAUUUUUCAAUUUGGUCACAUUGCGAAACUGUCGGCGAGUCAAAAAUCCAAACUUAAGUCGAUUAUCAAUUUCGAGUCACAUCUAACAAAAAGAAAUGAAGAAGAGAACUGUCUGAUCUUAUUUUUAUCGCAUCUCUUUGAUAUGAGAAGUAAAAGUUAGCUAGGGUUUUGGCAAAUGAGAAAUUUAAAGCACACUAUGAAGAAAAUUUUUGAAAAACAAAGUCAGCUAAAAAUGUAAAUUAAAGAAACUAGGCUUCGAACAUAGAACAUCGGAUAUCAAUUAUGAAGUCCUUAACCAAAGUUUUUAACCAACUAGGCUAGAUACAAUUGAUUUGUUGCUGUGGAGAGAAGUUAAAUGAACUUUCUUACCCAAAAUUUGAGACUCCAUUUUUUUUUUUUUUGAGAGAUAGGUAACACGCUAACCGUUUCGUUUGUUUCAUUUAGAAAUAAACUUAGCUGGAAAUGUGAAUCAACUAGGAUUCGAACUUGGGUCUCGGGUAUCAACUACCAAGCCCUUUACCACUUGCUCUAGGAACGGUCAGUGAGACUCCAAAUUUUUAAUUGAACGAAACGUAAGUGCUGACGAAACUCAAAGCAACUUGAAUGCCUUCCAAGUAAAAUUUUCCUUCAGUUGCUUGUUUUGAUAUAAUUAACCAAUAUUCGGAAAGUGAGUUACCAGUACUAUUAUUUGUUUUGAUGAACUUUUUAGUAUUGGUGAAACUCAUGAGUACUAACAAUUAAACUCAACAUGGUUUAUUUUGGGGUACUAAUUAUGUAAUAUUUCUUAAUAAAGGAUUAGUACAAUGUAAUGACUUUGGAGCUAUAGGCAGUAAAGUUAGUUAAUAAGAAAACUUGUCACUUAUACUAAAACAUAUUUUCUUCAUCCUCGUUUACGACAAUUCAAACAUACCCUUAUUAACGGAAAAGGUGAUAACUAAAUCAUACCCUUAUUAUUAUUAUUUUUUUCAAUCUCCUUUAUAAACUUUGGAAUUUAAUAGGCAACUUAAUUAUAGAGUUGAAAAUUUCACGUAAGCACGCCACUUCAGAUAAAAUAUUGAAUCUAUUGUGAAUAUUUUUAUACCAUAUGCUACAAUUUGUAGACAAUAUUUAUAUAUAUUCCUGAAAUUUUCAUGUAAGCUUUAAUUAGCGUCAAAAGCUAAUUAAUUUAAAAUGUUAUUAUUGUAAUUAAUUUAUUGUUCGUAAUUUUUAACUUAAUCAGUCUGUUCUCAUAUUUCUAGCUAGCUAAUUGCGAAAAUUUUAUCUUAAUUAAGUUUGUUGUUCCUAAGGUUUAAAGAUUAAUUGAUUAAUUCCUGGUUACUUAAAAAAUGAGGCUAAUGAUAGAAACUAUUAAUUUCUCUGCCAAGAGGAAUUGGACAUCCUAAAUUACUUAUUAGAGAGAGAAAACAAAUUGAAUUAAAGCAAGGAUUCGUAUUAUUAUUAGCAUUACCCAAUAAACACAACCAAAUAGAAGCCAAGAAAAGGCUUAUAAUUAAUUAAUGUAUGUACCCUCAACAGUAGGCUAUUUUUAUAUGGUCCCAUCAACUUACAACUUUUUAAUUGAGACAUUCUCAAUCUUCAUCAAUCUUUUGAGACUAAGGAAUUUAGUUAAAUAAAUUAAAAAUUUAUAAAAUAUGUGAUGAUUUUAUCAAAUUGAAUAAUUUAACUAUUUUUAGCAUAUAAAAUUGAAAUAAUUCACGGUUAACAGCUAAUAGAACUCUUAAAUAGAAUAGCUCAGUAUUUUAAAAACCAAAAUUUGAAAAAAAAAAUCUCAAUAAGGAAAAGUUAACCUUGAGGUAAAAAUUUCAAAAUGCCCUAUAAUUUUUUUUUUCUUUUUUUUUUUUUUUUAUUUUUGCGAGAAAGAUAGCAUAUAUGCUACCAAAGUUAGAAACGUGAAGCAAUUAGACUUCGAACUUGAAAUCUCAGAUACCAUCCAUCAAGCAUAAAAAAGUGUUUAGCCAACUAUGUUAGGUGGAAUCAGUUGAGCAGAGUGUCCAUAGUUUUUUUUCUAGAGAAAGACAGUAUGCUACCCACUUCGUUCAUUUUACAAAAAUAAACUCAGUUACAAAUAUAAAGCAACUAAUUUUUGAAUUUAGAAUAUCGAAUACUAAACAUCAAGUUUUUAGCCAACUGCGUUACGUUCAGUCGGUAGGAGUAUUACUCCAUAGUUGAGGAGAGUGUCCAUACAUAUAUAUAUUAACAAUGACAUAUUAAUCUGGGAACAUGAAGGACUUAGGUGCAUGAACUGACAUGUUUUGGAGAAACUAUGACAUAUUGACAUGCACCAAUCAAGUGAGCAAUAAUUAUAACCUUUUCCUAAAGGGACCAUCCUAGUCUAGAGAAGACAAUAACCUAAUUAUAUUGGUGUUUUUAGGGAGAAAGAAUAUUGUCCCUUGUUCCUAUAUGACUACAGAACUAGACCAUCUCUGACAUGCUUCCACCUUCUUGUUUGAUUUGAUCUCUAAUUCUCAUCGUAAUUAGAAUUCGGAUAUUUGAUAAAUAAAAAUUACUAAAAGAGUUUCUACUUCUAACUUCAGUAUAAAGCAGUUUAACAGCUCUUACUUUUCUAAAAAAAUAAAGUUUUUAAUAGGUUUUCAUAAUAAAUUUAUUAAUUAUCUUUGACUAAUAUUUUGCAAAAUGACAUUUUUCACUUACAGAAAACACAAGUUCAAUAUAAUUUAGAGCACACAGAUGCAUGUAUGGAGAUAUAGCCUUCGAGCGUACCAAAAUAUUGUCAACUUUAAUUUGUCUUUAUUUUGUAUAUAAAUACUUCAGAUAUUCGUCGCGUUAAAAUCUAAGUCUUCUAGAGGUCAAAAAAAAUUAUUUUUAAUUUCCACUCUAAUUAAAUGAAUUUUAUAAUUUUGUGUUCUUGGAAUAUGGUGACAAGUAUCCAUCGGAUUUUACAAGCAGUCAUAGAUCGAUGUAAAAUUUUCGCUCUUUUUUCCUUUUCCUCCUAAAAAGCAAAUUAAGGUGCUAUUGCCAAUACAUGAAUAUUAAAAAUUUUAGUACAUAUAUCAUCCAUAAAUAAUCUUCAGUUUAAUUUACAUUAUUAUAAGUUUCAAUUUCAUUGCAAUUAAUACAAAUAUAUUUGUGUCCUUAAAGGAUAAUUAUAAUUGUUUAAUUUUACGAGUCCAUCCAAAUUAAACAGGCAUGUAAUGAUAGUUCAGUAUCAAUAGCAUCAAACACCUCCUAAGUUGACCUCUAUUUUCUUGCCCCAUCGUAAGAGACAUGAACAAAGGACGAUUCUAUAUAUAUAUAUAUACACACACACAUGUACUAUAUAUUGUGGAACCAGUUAAUUAACUUAAUUGAUUGAUUAAUACUUGGCCUUAAUUCUUUGGUGUCACGUUCAAAUAUAUAUGUGGGGGUCAUUUCACUUUUGUGCAUAUCCAUCAAUUCAUCUGCCAAAUGGUGGUUUGAUAGAACUUGUUCCCUUCUUACACUAAUUAAUGAUAGGUCAAGAUCACACAUUUCUGAUCUGUUUCACACUUGAAACUGAAAAGAAUAUAAAAAAUAACAAUUAUCUUUUUUUUUUCUUGGAGAGUAAUGCUAAGGGUACCCUUAAAAGGCGUUUAAAAAUACAGUUGAAAAGUAAGAUUUUAAGGUGGUAUAUGGGUUUAGGAAUUUGAAUAGUUGGGCGACUACGUACUUUAAAUAUCUUUGGCCAUGUACAUGGAGAAGAUAAGACAGGUUGAAAGGGAAGAAGCACAAGAACGAAAGGAAAUGUUACAUGAAGAAUCAAUAAUAAAACAAAAAUAUUAUUAAUCAACUCUCAAUAUCUGAUUAUAUUAACCGAAUGCCAUAUCUAUAUACAGAGGCAUUACGGUACCUAAAUCAUACUAGACGAAGAUAAUAAAUUUUAAUAUAUCUCUAAACCUAAUUAGAUUAGAAAUAAUCAAAUAAUCGGACUAAAAAUAGAAAAAAAAAAAUACAGAGCUUUUCAGAAAUAGCCUAAAAAUGCACAAAUGGAGACAGAAACAAUUGAAUUUGAGCCCUUAUAAACUCGAUCGAAACAGCUAUUCAACGAGUAGAUCUCGAAAAGUAUUUUUCGAAUUGCGGUUGCCCACUGAAAUCGAAUACUCGAGCUAAAAGUUAUGGCCGUUUAAAUAUUUUUCGUAGUUAAAUCGCCUAUUUCCAAAAACUUUAAUGCUAAAUAAGCAGAGCGCAUCAGUAAAAAAAAAAAAAAAAAAAAAAAAAAUUAAAAUAACAAAGGUAAAAAUUUCAACCUUUGGUAUGGAGGGGUCUCUAUUAGACCUGAUACCAUGUAGUCAAACAGUACAUCUGAUCGAUAGAUGAUGUCUCAAGAAUAAUCUGAACAUUUGGGACAUUCUGAUCAUGUUAUCCAUAAGUUGGCGAAUCAAUGCGUUAAGCCCUCGAAUCAAACGGCUUAUAACGUCCGACAUACGGUGCUUCGAGGCGGUCCAUCAGAAUGGACGGUCGCAAUCGACUCGAAUCUGACAAACCUGGUUGGCACAUCCAAAAUACCACAAGUUGUAUGACUACCAGGAUACAGACCAACACAAGCUCCAAAACCCUAACCCUAAUUGUUUGUGUACGAACACAGUCGAUCGAGUCCGAUCGAUGCUACUUCUACUUGUAAUAUAUGCAGCAACAACAGUUUGUGUCCAAAUUUGAACAUCUCUGUCGACGAUGGCGACGGUCGAUCGACAAAGGGGUGUGGGCGUGGCCCAGUUUCAAUUGGAUGGUCGUGAUCCGUUUCGCGACCACAGACAAGAGCCAAGAAAAAAACCGAAGUGAAACAGUACUACAUUGUGGUCCUGAUGCUUGGAAGAUACCAGUUUUCGCCCACUUCGGAGAGAAACACAUCCAAAUAAACUGUUUGUGAUCUGUAAAAGAUAUUAUGUAUACAUUACAUAUUGAUUUGUUAAUAUAUUAACCUAUAUAAUGUUACAAUAUACGUACGUUAAAGGCUUUUAACUGAGUGAUGCAUGCAUACACUCUAAAAAUAUCAUUCUAAAAUUAAGAAAACCAAAGUAUUUUUCUUAAUAUUAUGCUUUAAAUAAAUCUUUAUUUUUAAUUAGACGUAGUCGUUUCAUGUAAAUAUAUAAACUAUUUUGAAUAUUGAUUUUUACAAUUUUUUUUUUUACUUAAAAUUUUUAUAAUAAUAAUCUUAAAGGAGAUAGCAUGCUAAAUCUUUUGUAUAGUGUGGCGAGCAUCUAAACGAACUUGGCUCACAGCUGAUGUGGUAGGCCCGGUCCACCAAGUAGUAUGCGACCCAGUGAGCCCAUUGAGGCCCAGCCUGUUAUCUAAUAAGGUGGUGGGGCCCAGCGCAUCACCCGGUGUGCCAACUAGAACCACCCCAAAGUGGUGGGCCCCACUUUGCCGCCCACUCAAGAAAAGCUCUGACACCGCCACGUGUAUCCCAGGCUUCGUUUUGGCCUUACGUGGGCAAAUGGGACAAACCCGGUCUACGGGGUUUCGAACACUGAAAAAGGCGACGAAUUAUAAAAGCGUGGACCCGGUUCACCAUAUUAGCCAAGAACCAGAACGUAAUAUUCGAUCAUGGAGCUCUUAUUAUUAUAAUAUUUAAAACAUUUAAAGGUACGGGAUGUGACCUGUAACUCCUUAAUAUUCCUCUUAUUAAAAGAUAAACGUUUUUAAGAAAUUAACGCAUAUUUACGUAUUAAUUAACUAGUCCCAAAAAUUAAUAUUAUGCUUAAUUAUUAGGUACGCGCGAAAUAGGUUGUAGACCUUUACAAGUUUUUAGAACACAUCAAAUGAAUUGAAUAUAUCGAGUAAGAAAACAUAUAUUUUCUCCCUUAGCAUAAAUAAUUAAUGAUAUCAUAUGCUAUAAUUAUUGAAUAUAAAUAUUACAAAUACUAUUCUCUAAUAAUUGAAACUAUUAAAAAUAAAUAAUUAUUUAAAAUAACUUAAUAUGAUGUCAGAUGAAAAUCUCGAGUUGAAUACGAAUAUGAAAAAAAAAAAAAAAAAAACCAUUUUCUGACACAGCUACGAAUGGAAUCUAAACCCACCAAUAUAGUUAAGUGGAACCUAGACUAAGCAUUAGAAAUUAUCAAUUUGAGAACAUUUGAAUACUAGACAGCUAACAUCAUAAAAUCAUGAAAAAACUUUAAAUAUCAUUUAUGUGGUUUCACUCGUUCUCAUUUCAUUACCUUGUGAUUUAAAGUAUAUUAAUUUAGUGCGUGUGAUUUUAUUUUUAUCUUUUUAUUAUCGAUUUUAUUAAUUUUUUUUGUUAAAUUAGUGGCAAAGUUAAAACCAAAGGGUAUUAAAAUGAAUAUUUGAUAAAUCUAAGUGGGAUAUCUGAAAUUUUUUGUACAUAAUUUAACAAAAUAUUAACAGAGAUGUUGACGAAAAGAUAAAAAUGAAACCGCAGUACACUAGCUUGAUACACUUUAAACCACAUAGUACUAAAGUGAGAAAAUGCGAAACCACAGGGGUCGUAUUUGAAGUUUACCCUAAAAUCGGUGGUAUUUGAAGUUUACCCUAAAAUCAUGAAAUUUAAAAUAGUAUAAAUCAAGCUUAACGGUACCGAUUAUCGAUUCAGAUGGUCCAAUCGCCAGAAACAAUACGAAAGUAAGCAGAAAGCCUUUUUUUUUAAAAGUAUUCUAGCUUAACUUUUGCCAUCUCACAAAAUUGAUUUAUUUAAUGUAUUUUCGUGAAACAUGGAUCAGAAGCAUAACAGAAUUGGUGCUUCCAACUUUUUGAUUCUUAGAUCAACCGCUUUGGCAAUUUUUAAUUUUUGGAUGAUCACUCAAUUCCAAAGGAACUACUCAAUCCUGAAGAAGACCAUUAUUAUCUUGACCCUACAAUUCUUGAUCCAAGGGCUAAAAGGUCAGAAGCACAAACUUCCUUAUAUUUUUGAUAACAUAGUAACUCUACAUUAUAUAUAUAUAUAUAUAUAUAUAGAGUUCGGUUACUAUGCUAUUAAUAGCACGAAGCGCUUGGUGCUACCAAGUUUUCGGCCGUUAGAUCUACCCUUUUUAUCAUUUUCACCCGUUAAAUCAUACUAUUCAACCAACACCCACUCAACCUUAAGGGGCCCAUAUCAUCCUAACCGCACAUCUCUUAAUCCAAUGGCCAAAAACUUGGUAGCACCAAUGAGUUGGUGUUAUUAAUAGUAUAUUAGCCUAGUUCUAUAUAUAUAUAUAUAUAUAUAUAUAUAUAUAUAUAUAUAUAUAUAUAUAUAUAUAUAUAUAUAUAUAGAGAGAGAGAGGAGAGAGAGAGAAGAGAGAGUAGAGCAGCAGGAGACGAGCUUGUAGAGCAGAUGGAGACCAGAGGAUGAGAGAGAGAGACACUAGGCGACUAUACUAUCGGUAGCACGGUAAGGCUCCGUACUUACCAAGUUGUUAUUCGAAUGAUAUGGCUUCCAAUGAACGACCGGCUCCGUUAGACUUGAUCUACACUAUUAAAAGUAUUUAGAAAUAAAUUUCAUUAAUUUUCAAUAUAUUUUUACCUUAUCAAAACAAGUAGUCUAAAAAUUGAAUGUUGAAAUAAAAAUCUCACAAAAAAAUGAUGAUUAAAAGAUUUCAAUUCAAGAUCAGAUAUACUGAUCUUACUCUAAAUACGUGAAAAAAAUUUUCUUAGAAAUUUUAUGCAUUCUGGAUUGUUUUACACCGUUAAACUCACAAACACAGCCACAUCGGCCAUUAACAUGCGUCAAUUUUGAGUCUUUUGGAUCACUACGUCAAAUGAUGUCGAAAAAAUCUGCAAAUUUAAUUAUCAAAUACUUUCAAUAGUGUAGUCAAGUCUAACUGACAAAACCUGAUUCAUCGAUUUGGAAGCCGCCAUCAUCGAAAUACAACUGGAUAGCACGGAAGCCCUCGUCGCUACCGAAUAGUUAUGAGUAGCCGGACAUAUAUAUAUAUAUAAAGAUAGAGAUGAGAGAGAGAGUGACACGUGAUCCGAGAGGGUUCCUAUGAGAGGAUGAGAAGAGAGAAUAGGCUGGUAUAAUUAUUGUUAAUGACGAAGGUCUCCGUGCCUACAAAGUUGUUUUUCAAUGAUGCGGCUUUUCAAAUCGAUGAUUCGGCUUUGUCAAAUUUUGAUCUAACAUAUUAAAGAUUGCGAAACUUAAAAUUUAUAAUUUUUUUAUUAUGUUGGCUUAGUGAUCAAAAGUCUCAAAUAUGACAUUUCAAUGGUAAGAUGGUGUAUGCGUUUAAAUUAAUACGCGGUUUAAAACAAUCUUUAAAUCUGAUGAAAUUUUAUAAGAAAAUUCCUUUCACUAUUUAAAGUAAGAUUAUAUAUUCUGAUUAAUUCAGUCUUUUAUUAUUACUUUUUAUGAUUUAUUUAGCGUUAUUUUAGUGACUACUUGUUUGUAGGUAAUUAAUGUCAAAAAUUAUGAAAAUUAGUUUUUCUCAUAUUUCAAUGUAUGGAUCAAGCUUAACGAACGAUCAGUCGCAUUUGAAGACCGCGAUGAUUGAUAAAACAAUGAGUAGCAACGGAGGCCCUCCUACCGGUAGUAUGCCAGACCUAGUCUCUCUCUAUCUUCUCUCUCUCUCUCUCUCUCUCUUCUCUCAUCAUUCUCUCUCUUAUAUAUAUAUAUCAAAUUAUAUAUAUAUAGUUUAUUAUAUAUAUAUAGAGCUAGGCUAGUAUAACUAUCGGUAGCACGGAGUCUUCUCGUGUACAAGUUGUUUCGAUGAUGCGGUUUUUCAAUCGUAUGAUCGGCUCCGUUAACUUGAUCUAUAUUAUUAAAAUAUUUGCGAAACUAAAUUCAUUAUUUUUCGAUAACAAUUUGACUAUGUGUCAAAAGGUCUCAAAAUUGACACCUUUUAAUGUUUGAUCUGGAUUGCGGUUUUGAAUUUAACGCGUAUAUAAAUAAUUCAAAUCUGAUGAAAUUUCCUAGAACAUUUUCUUCCACUAUUAGAAUAAUUUAGUACCUCUGAUCUUGAAUUCAGCUUCUUAUGAUCAUCAUUUUUUAUGAGUUUUUAUUUUUACACAUUUAGUUUUAGACACUGUUUGAUAGUGUAAAUAACUGUCGAAAAAUUUAUGAAAUUUAGUUGUUCAAUACUUUUCAAUUUAGUGUAAGAUCAGUCUAAAUGGAAGCGAUCAUGAUUUGAAGCUGCAUCAUCGAAACACAUUGGUAGCAGGCAGGGCCUCCAUGCCUCGGAUAGUUAUACCAGCAUCAGCUCUCUGCUCUCUCUCUCUCUCUCUCUCUCUCUCUCUCUCUCUCUCUUUAUAUAUAUAUGGCUACCAAGUUGUUUUUCAAUGAUGCGGCUUUCAAAUCGACGAUCGGCUCUAUUAGACUUGAUUUACAUUAUUGAAAGUAUCAGGAAACUAAAUUUCAUAAUUUUUUGAUAUCAAUUACCUAUCAAACGAGUAGUCUAAAAAUGAACGGCUGAAAUAAAAAACUCAUAAGAAAAUGAUGAUAAAAGAAUUGAAUUUAAGAUCAGAGAUACUGAUCUUACUCUAAAUAGUGAAAAAAAAUUUCUAUAAAAAUUUCAUCAGAUUUGGAUUGUUUUAUACCGUUAAAUUCACAAUCACAUCACAUUAACCAUUAAAAUUGUUAAUUUUGAGACCUUUUGAUCAGUAGCUAUGUAAUGUCGAAAAAUUAUGUAAUUUAGUUUUCAAAUACUUUCAAUAGUAUAGAUCAAAUCUAACGGAGUUGAUUGUCGAUUUGGAAGCCGUAUCAUUGAAAACAACUUCGUAGCACAGAGAUCUCCGUGCUAUCGAUAGUAUACCACCCUAGCUCUAUAUAUAUGUAAUUAAUAUAUAUAAAUUCGGCUACUGUACUAUCAAUAGCAUUACGCAUUUAGUGCUACUAAAAUUUUUACCUUUCGAUCUAUUUUUUUAAUUAUUUUUAUCCGUUAAAUCAUACUAUUCAACUAACCACUUUUUCAAUUCUAGAAGAUCAUUAUUAUUCUAACCUUGUAUCUUUUAAUUUGUAGACCGAAAACCAAUGUAAGCAUCAAUGACUUUAGGCUAUAUAUAUUAUUUUAUUUGAAGUAGGAGGCUUAAUUUGCAAUUACGUGGCCUCUCGCACGUGCAACAGCUCAACCGAAGUGGGGAAAGCGUUUCACUUUUUCCCGAUCUGCAUGAUCUUCUAACAUGCCUCCACUCGAUGCUGUCUCCUUAGUGGGCACGUGCGAGUGUCCCCGGAUUCGCACGUGAGCUCGGUGUAUGUGGGGGGGUGGGGGGGGUGUUGCGGGGGUGAAUAAGAUGCAUGAGAAUACGUAUAUGUAUAUAUAGAUAUAUAGAUAUAUAUCCAUCGCAUUGGGUGAAUGAGAGAGAGGGAAAAAAGAAAAGUGAAAAGAAACAAAAAACCCAUACGCAUUAUAAUUACUGAAGCACUUGUCAUUUUCUGCAUGCAAGGGUAGAGACAAAACUAAGAAGAGAGAGAUAAGAGUCAAAGGCCAUUUUGAUUUCACAUUUGAGCCAAAAAAAAAUGCAAUAUUGUGUUGAGUGUAUUAUGUAAUGAUUAUCUUUUGGGGUGGGUCAAUUUGUAGUUUAAUUUUUUUUCCUUCUUUUUUAUUGAGUUUUCACUUUCUCUUCUACACAUCAAUAAAUGUUUUUUUUUAACUUUUACUUAAUUUUAUUAUAUGAUUCAUCUGUAAAAUAGUAAUAAAUUUUACUUUUCUAAUAAUUAAGUGUAAUUAAACUAUUGUAGAAUUUUUUGACAUGAGGAAAGUAUUUCUCAGUAGAAAUUAAUCUUAAUAUAAGCUAAUAAACAUUUAAGGAUGUUUUUUUUUAUAUUUAACGAUACUUAAAAGCAUUCUAAUAUAGUCUAGCGUCAGUUAAAGCGUCGGCAACUGGAGAGCCACCACGUAUACGCCGACGCUUAUGUCAAGUGUCCGUAAAAAAUAAUAUUUUGAAAUUUUUGAUACUGAAAACUAUUAAAAAUUAAAAAUAAUAGUAAAAUUUAUUAUUUAAUAAAUUGGUUUUAUACGAUAGAGGGUUUAAACGAAGACGUUUUUUGAAACGUUGGUAUUUGCUAUAUUAUAGGGACGUGUGGGGACGCGUUUUUUCAAGCAUCGUCUAAAAAGCAUUCUUAUAUUGGAUUUAUUUUGUAGUGCAAAUAUUUGUCACACGCGCAAGGAGUCACUACAACAAAAACGGUCUAUAGCGACACUUUUAAAAAAGUGCUGCUAGCUAAAAUUACCGACACUUUUAAAAAGUGUUGCUAUAUGUGGGGUCGCUAAGUAUAUAGUGACAGUUAAAGAGUGUCGCUAUAACCUAAAAGAGUGGUGCUAAUUCACCAACACUUAUUUAAGCAUUUAGCAACCGCCGAAACUCUAUCUCGUUGGCUGCGGUGGCAGAGGAGGAUGACAGGAAAGGCUCUUUGUCUAGAAUUUCAGUGGAUUGAGUGAAGAGAGAAGAAAAGAUAGUAAUUGAUUUUUCUUUUUUUUUUUUACUUUUCUAUUUGUAAUCGGGCCAAAUGGACUGGGUGUGGUGGGUUGAGUAGAGUAAUUUUUUAUUUUUAGUUAGAUUGGGCUUUAUAUUUAGGCAUUAAUAGAUAUUUUUUUAAGUUUUAGGAUAAAUGGGACACUUACUCAAAAGUGUCCCAAACAUGUGUCCCUAUAACCUAAUUCUGUUGUAGUGAGUAUUUUACUUGCAACAUCUAUAUAUAUUCUUAAAAGGGAUAUAAUAUAUUGUUUUCAUUAAAAUGUUGAAAAUAUGAUCAUCCUAGGUUAUUCAUAAGGUCGCGUCAUUAAUACUACUUUGGUCCUAGAACCACUUUGUUGCUUAGAGAUGGUUUAAUUGGUUAAUAAAAGGAAUCGAACUACAUAGAAAAAUAUUCAACACAAAUGUUAAAAAAUAACUUUUUUAAUGGGUACACUAGGAAGAAUAUAUAACAAUUGAAUCGGUUCUAAGGAUAUAUGAUAUUGCAACUUAGUUAAAUUCACCAACUUAAAAUCAUUAGUAAAUAUUAAAUCGUUACUACUCUCAUUAUUAUUUUGUACGGGAUAUUCUCAUAUUUAUGUAGGUUUUCAAUUUGUUGAUUCAUGCACAUAGUCCGAUACAUCAUGUGAGUUUAAUAACAUAUUAUGAGUAUAAACCAUAUAAGAUUAAUUGCGAAGAUAUAAUCAAGGAUAAUAUAAUAUUUUAAGUUGAACAAUGUUAAAGAAAUUAUAUUCCUAUAGUUAAUUUGAUAUUUAGUUAUUAGUCCCACAUGAAAUGCCAAUUGAAGAGAAGAGACAAAGCAUUUUCCACACCAAAAUAAACAUAUAAGAGAGAGAGAGAGAGACUACUAUACUAUCUAUAGUACCGGAACUCCGGUACUAUAGUCUUGUUUUCGAUUUUAGUAUAUUAAAAUUAACGAUCCAUACCGUUAAAUAUGAUUUAGGGUAUAUGAAGUUUUAGAAAUAAAAUUUUAGUUUUUUUCGACAUCGUUUACUUAGUAAAUAAAUUAUGUCAAAAUAAACGGUAGAAAUUGAAUAAUUUUUAAAAUUUAGAUAGUUUAAAGUAUUUUCUAUCCAAAUUUGAAGAGAUUUAGAUUCUUCUACACUGUUAAACUCAAAACUUAUUAUAGUAGCCAUUGAAAAUUUACAAUUUUGAAAUGGUUUAAUCAUAAAGUAAACUAUGUCGAAAAAAUAUAAAAUUUUAUUUCUAAAAACUUUAAAUAGCCUAGAUCAGUUUUAACGGUGUGGAUCGUUGAUUUGAACACCCUAAGAUCAAAAACGAGACUAUAGUACCGAAACCCCGAUAUUAUAGAUAGUAUAGGAGACUAACUCUCUCUCUAUAUAUAUAUAUAAUUCGUACUCGGAAAUUGGAGCUAUGGUUUGGUGAAAAAGUGAAACAUGAUAAGAUUUUAAAUUAUAAAAUGCAAAUUGAAAUAAUUUGCUCAGUUUGGUUAUCGAUUUGAUCAAAUAAUGCAACGACCCCCGGUAGAGAUUUUAAGAGCUGCUAAAGAGUUGUUUGGCAGGUAAUUAACUACACUAAGGGGCGUGUUUGGUUCACUUCUUUUUUAUCAUGGAAUCGGAAUGGGAAUGAGUGAAUCUGUUUGUGGGUGUUUGGUACGUGAGAGUCCCAUUCCGAUUUCGAUUCCCGAGUGGAAUGGGAAUCGCUCAAUCACCCAUUUUUUCAAUCCGGCUUAGAAGGCGGGAUUGGAAGUUGAAUCCUGACGGAAUGGAUAUUUAGUCGGAUUAAAUUUAUUUUUUUUAAUUUUUUUUAAUUAAAAUAUGAGUUAAAAUUUAAAAAUUAAAUAUAUAAUUUUAAAUUUUAAUUUGAACUUAAAUUAAAAAUUAAAAUUUAAUUAAGUAUUUCGAAUCUAACUUAUGAAUUUGAAUUUAAAUUAAAUUUUAAUUUAUAUAAAGUUCAUUCAAAUUUUAUUUCAAACUUAAAUUAAAUUUAUGAAUUCAAAUUCAAAUUAAAAUUAUAAUUUUAAGUUUGAAUUUGAAUAAAUCAAAAUUUAGUUUCGUAUUUUGAAUUAUCCACUCAACUUCAAAGUUUAAUUUUUUAAAAAAAAUAGAUUUAAAAUUUUGACACUAUUUCAAAAUUUUGAUGUAAAUUUUUAAUAUUUAAUAUUUAAUUUGAAUUUAAAUUACUAUAUUAUAAAGAUAAUGUUAGUAUAUUAAUUUGAUUAUAUUUUUAUAUCCAUCUGAACCAAACACCGACAAUGGAAAUGAUUUAUUCCGAUUCCGAUUCAAGUGAUAAGCCAAAUAGAAUUAGGUAAUGAGUCAUUCUGAUUCUGAUUCCAGCUUAUUUUGAUUCCGAUUUCGAUUCCAACUCCGACUUCGAACCAAACACGCCCUAAUUGUAGGUUCAACUGCAUAAGAACCUAAAGAUUUGUGAUUUUAAAUUUAGAUUGAAUGAAUAUCAAAUUUAAAAUUCUAUUCAGAUUUUAAUUUUUAAAUUUUAAUUUUAAAGUCAAAUUCAAAUUUUAAAAUAAAACCCAGUAAAAGGAAUUAUUAUUUGCAAAUAGCAUUUUUUUUUUUGCCAAAUAGCUUUUUAAAAUUAUUUCAGAAAAAUCACUUUCUUGCUGGACUCAGCCAAAUGCUUUACAAUUUUUAGCCAAAAUUAAAUUUCAAAAUCAAAAUUAAUUCUAAAAAAAUUACUUUUUCAGAAUCUAGUCCAAACAACUCUCAUGCGAUCACUCACCACUUGCGUAGAAAGACAUUGUUUCUCCAUUCUAGGGUUAACUUAUUUCACCAUUCCAAAUAUAAAUUAAAGUGAGAGGAUUACGUAGCUUAAUGUGUAAUCAUCCUAUAAAAAAGUUGUAAUUACAAUACUCCAUGAGGUGCACAAUUAAAUAAAAGAGUUGCAACUACAAAAUUAUCUGGAUUAUAGAUAAAAUGAGAGAAAAGAUAAAAAAAAAAAAUCAGUACAAAAAAAUGAUUUUACGUAGUUCGAAUUGAAACUUGAUGGUGGAAAAAGGAGAGAAAAAUAUGAGAAAGCUAUUUUCCUUUUUCUUUUCCAUCAUUCAUACAAAACAAUGGAGAGAAAAGUUAUAACUUCUCUCUCUCUCCCUUUCUCUCCCUUUUCAUAUUUAAUUUAACUGUGUCUACGCUUUUGUUUGUUUGUUUGUUUGUUUUUUUUUUUUUUUUGAGAGAUAGGUAGCACAUUACCCGCUUCGUUUAUUUCAUUUAGAAAUUAACAUAGCUAGAAAUGUGAAUCAACUAGGAUUCGAACUUGGGUCUCGGAUAGCGACCACAAAGUCCUUUGCCACUUGCUCUAGAGACAGUCGGUGUGUCUACGCUUUUGUUUAUAGUAUAUUUUUCAACCGCACGCAACCAAAUUUUCUCUAAAUAUAUUAUUGGUUGGUCGCUUUGGGUCCACUAAACUGUGUUAGGGACAAAAGAGGGAUAAGCUAAUUAAGAGAAAGUUCUUAAGAACUUCCUAAUAAAAGUCAUUGAACAACCUGUACACACUUUUCCCUUCAUUUUAAAAUUUACUGCGCCUGAAAGCGCUUUUCCCAAAAGCUGCUGCUCUCUCUCCGAAUCCUGCCGCAUUUGUAAUUUAAAAACCAAUACAAGUUCCCUUUGAAUAAGAGCACCUAUUCAAAAUAAGGCCACAAUUGGCAUCAUUUGGUGUAAUUGUUUGUUGCCUUGUGUUUCUUCAGUAAGCACAAAUUAAAACUUAGUUCUUAGAGGUGAUUAAGGACAUUUAGUGGUUUAUUUAAAUAUAUAUUAAUGUUAUAAUAUUUCUUAAAUAAUAGCAAACCUAGAAUAAUUAAACAUUGUGCUAGUUUUUUUUUUUUUUUUUAAAAUGAUANUUUUUUUUGAAAAUGAUAUAUCAUGCCAGCUAUUUUUAGGAUACAGAAAUCACAAAAUGAAUUUUAUUAAGAGAUCGAGGCGUUUGAAAGGCUACGAGAAUGGUCAUUAAACCUUUAAUAUCAAAUGGUUAAUUAAUUGUUUCACAUGAUACCAGAGCAAAAGGUCCAAAUAUCAGUGAUGAUGUUGAAUAAAUAUUAAAAAAAGGUUAAAAUUACAUACUAUUAUUUGGCAAUUUUUAAACUCUUAAAAGUAAUUAAUUGUACAAUUAAUUCAAGAAUAUAUCAAAAGAGGUAAGAUACAAUACUUUCAUUCAUCAUUAUUUUUGUGACUAUUUUCAUGCCUAAACUACUCCGCCAAUAAUUAAUAUCUUCAAAUGUGAGACUAUUAAUUAAGAUAUGAUAAAUUUAAUUAUUGGCACUUAAACUAGCUCAUGAUAUUAUAAAAAUCCCCCCCUUGUAGUUUCUCUAUUUUCUCUUAUGCUUGGUGGGUCCAUUCAUUGCAUUUUGUGAAAAUAAGGUACUAGAAGAAGAGACCUAGCUAAAGCAAGAAACAUGUUGCCGCAACUAACAAAAUAAUCAUGGCUUAGUAUGAUAAAUAAAUAUAAUAUAAUAAAUAACAUAAAGAUGGAGAAUAUCCAAGUCACACAAAGGGAAAAGAGAGAUAGAGAUAAGAGAAAAAAGUGGUGUCUUAAGAGGAGUAGGAUGAUGCGAACUAGGAUUUUGGCCUAAAUUUUUUAGAUUCGGCAGCGUGAUCGCUUGGAACAUAUGAUUGCCGCCGACUUUAACUUUAAUUCAUUAAUUAAUUUCCUUUUAUUUUUAAGAGGUUGCAUGCAUGUGUUGAGAUCCCUUUCCCCCCAUCAUGCACCCAUUUCUCCAACCUAAUAAAGAAAGCUAAUUAAGCAACACAAACAUCUAAGCCAUGCAUGUAUCCCAUGCGGUCAAUUUAGUGCUAGAGUUUUUGAAAAAGCGUGAUUCAAUCAAACUGAAUCCGAGAUUAUGUUGAAAUAUUUGGUAAUUCUUACAAGACUAAAUUAUGGAAAACCUUCUUAUAAAUACUUAUUUUUUUACUUUCCGUCCUUAGCUUUUAAAAAUCUAUAUUUUACUUUCUUAACAUUUCAAGUUAUUGCAUUUAGCCCAUCUCCGUGAGGGCUCCGUCACUAUUCCGUUCAUUUUUUAAAAUUUAUACCGAUAAUGUCCUUCAAAAUGACAUAAGAAUAUUAAAAAAAUAUUUUAUUCCUUAUAUAAGAAGAAUGAGCAAUUUAGUCAUUUUGUUCUCUCAAUUAAUGUUGUACCUCCCGAAAAUAUUUUUGAAAUUUUAAGAAGACAAAAUGUAGGUUCUUGAGAAAGUGAAAAAGCGGGUAUUUACAUAGAGGGUUUCUAUAAUUUAGCCUUUUUACAAUUGGCGUAAGCGUCCCAUUUCAGCAAACAGCCGCAAUUCAAAAAACACUUUUUGAGAUCAACAUGUCAAAUAGCAAAGCAGUUCCGGCUGAAUUUGGGAUCAAAAUUUAAUUGCUUCGGCCUCCAUUUUUGCAUUCUUAAAUUAUUUUAAAAUUUAUUAUAUUUUUUUUAUUUUGAGUUCGACUAUUUGAUUAUUUCUGAUUGAAUUAGAUUUAGAGAAAUAUUAGUAUUUAUUAUCUUCGUUUAUAGUAGAGUUUAGGUAUAGACACUAUAUAUAGAUGUCGCAUUUGGUUAACGUAAUUAGUUUGUAGAGUUGAUCAAUAAUAUUUUCGUCUUCGUCGAAGAAUUGAUUUUUCGUGUAUCUCUCUUUUUUCGUUCUUAUGCUUCUUCCCUCUCAAUAGGAUUCAUGCCUAUGCCAGCAUGUUUGGAAUAUUAUUGUAAUUUAAGAGUGGAAUGUGGAGUUUCGGCUUAAGUACUUCUGUUGUUUGUUUCAACAUAAUUAAGUGCCAGAAAGCAAUGUAAGUAUGAAAUUACAUUUUACUCCCACUUUUCUUACUCUUGACUUUGCCACCUGUGGUAGUGAAUUCAACUCACUACAUCACUUUUUAUAAGGGCAUGUUUGUUUGGCUAAAAGUGAAGCAACGAAAGUGACAUUUUUAGAAAGUGACAUCUUAUCGGUUGGUUGGUUUGUGAAAGUGAAUAUAAAAGUCACUUUAUAAAAAUGAGCUGAUAAAGUGAAUUAUAAUUAAGUCUCACUUUUUUGACUUCAGCUCAAAAAAUACGAAAGUCACCGAAAGUGAAAAGCUUAGCUAAGGGGUUAUAUUUGGUUAUAACUUUAAUCUUUGAACUUAUUUUUAAAAUUAAAUUUCACUUUAAAUUAGGAUUAAAAUCAUGAUCACAUUCUGAAUUUUAUUUGUAAAUUCAAAUUCAAUAUAAAUUUUAAAUUCAAAUUAUGACUUUAUAUUUGAAUUUAAUUUUUUAAUUAUUUUAUUUUAUUUUAAUUUGAAUUUUAGAAUUUAGAUUUAAAUUUAAAUUUUGAUUUAAAUUUAGAUUUAGAUUUAAAUUUUUAAAUUUAAAUUUGGAAUUAAAUUUUAUAAUUUAAAUUUUAAAUUUUAAAUAUUAAUUAAAUUAUUUUUAGCUAAGAACCUCAAUAUGAACUUUGAAUUCAAAUUGUUCCAAUUAUAAAUUCAAAUUAUUGACUGAAAUUUAAAUUCAAAAUUUAAAUUUUUAAGUUAAAAUUUAAAUUCAAAUUUGAAUUUUUUAUUUGCAUUUAAUUUCAAUAAUGAGUUUCAGUUUGAACUUUGAAUUUGAAUUAUGAAUUCAAAUAUUCAAUUUGAAUUGUGGUUUAAACUCAAAUUUUAAAAUAAAUUUAAUAUCAAUUCAAAUUGUGAAUUCAUAUUUGAAUUCAUUAAGAUCAAAGAGUAAAUUACAAAUUAUAUAUUCAAAUUUAAAUAAAUGUUAGAAUUUUUAGUUUGAACUUUUAUUUUAGAAUUUAAUUUCAGUUAUGAGAUUUAAAUUCAAAUUGUAAAUUUAAUUUAUAUAUUAAAUUUCAAUUAUAAAUUCAACUCAGAUUUAAGUUUAAUUUAAAAUUCGAAAUAUACUUUUGAAUUCUAAAUAUAAAUAUAAAUAUAACUUUUUAAUUUAAAUUGCUAGCAUAAAUUGUUUAUUUAUAUUUUCGCCUUAUUAUAUUUAAUUUAAUAAUUAAAAUAUCAAAACUAUAAUUUUAAUAUUUUUACUUUAUAUUCAAUCAAAUAAUCAAACUGAAAAGUAACUUUUGUAAAAAUCACUUUUGCAAAAAUGACUUUUUUCACUUCACCCACUUUCGGGCAACCAAACACGCACAAAAAACUACUAAAAUACUAAUUAUCUACCUUAAAUUCUUUUGUUUAAAAUUUAUAACAGGUACUCAUAAUGCAAAAGAAUUACUUAUAACAUAACUAAAUUUCAGUAAAACUCCACUUCCAAACAAGUGACUCUCAUCAAAACAACCAAUUAAAGGAAAAGUUCAACUCUCAAGAAACUUAAACUUUUAUACACUCGAGUUCCAUCGAUCAACAUCAAAGUUUGGCGAGUGGCAAAGGGCUUGGUGGUUGGUAUCCGAGACCCAAGUUCGAAUCCUAGUUGAUUCACAUUUUCAGCUAAGUUUAUUUCUAAAUGAAAUAAACGAAACGGGUAGCGUGCUUUACCUAUCCCUCAAAAAAACAUUAAAGUUUGGCCAAUCCUCAAACAUACACGGCUGGAAUUGGCUUAGAAUACUAUCGGUAGCCAACUGAUUUCGUUGUUAUUAAUUUAUAUUCGAUAAUAGAGCCACCAAAUUAACAAUCGGUACUAUUGAAUAUGAUUUAGACCACUUAAAUUAUUUAAAAAUUAAAUUUUGUAUUUCUCUAAUGUUGUUCUCUUGGGUAUCAAGUGAAGACAAGAAUGAAGGGCUGAAAUUAACUAUUAUUCAAAAAAGCAACGAUAGUAUUUUUAUACUGAAUAUGAAGUGUGUAGAUUUUAUUUUAAAUAGUUUAAAAAAUUUUCUAAUAAAAAUCUAAUUAAUUUUGAUUCGUUUACACCAUUAAACUUGCAAAGGCCUUGUAUUGACCAUUAAAAUAAUAAAUUUUGCAAUUAUUUGAUCAUUAGGUCAAUAAUGCCAAAAAAGUUUAAAAUUUGGUUUCUAAAUACUUCAAAAUAGUCUAGAUGAUAUUCUCCGGUACCGAUCAUCGAUUUGAAGCCUACAUCAUCGAAAUAAAUUAUUUUUCAUGCUACUUGUUUUGUUUAUUUCUUUUAAAAAUAAAUUUAACAGAAAAUAUGAAACAACUAGGCUUCGAACUUAGGACCUCGAAUACCAACCACCAAACCUUUCGCCACUUGCGUUGGGGACCGUCAGUCAAAUAAUGAAUUGUUAGCAAUAAAACACGUUUGCUACAUAGAGUGUUGUUGGGCUACUAUCAAUAGUAAAUGACUUUGUUUGCUGUCGAUUUGUUUUCGAUAAUAGAGCUUAUAAAUCAACGAUCAGCAUCGUUGAAUAUGAUCUAGACUAUUUGAACUAUUUAGAAAUCAAAUUUUAUGCUUUUUCAAUAUCACCUACUAAACGAUCAAAAGGUCACAAAAUUUGUAAUUUUAAUACCAAUACGGCACAUUUGCUCGUUUUAACAGUAUAGAAGAGUCCAAAUCAACUGAAUUUUUAUUAGAGAGUUCUUUAAAGUAUUGAAAAUAAGAUCUAGACUGUAAAUCUUUUCAAUAUUAAAAUUGUAUCAUUACUUUUUAAAGAUUAUUUAUUUUUUGUCCACUUAAAAGACAAGAAAAUAAUAUCAGAAAAGUAUGAAAUUUAAUUUUCAGAUAGUUUAAAUGAUUUAAAUUAUGUUCAACAAAAUAAUAUCAGAAAAGUAUAAAAUUUAAUGUUCUGAUAGUUUAAAUGACCUAAAUCAUAUUCAACGAUACUGAUUCUUGAUUUGAAAACUCUAUCAUCGAAAAUAAAUUAAUCCAACCGCGCGUGUACUAUCAAUAAUAACAUAGCAAAACACACACACACACACACUCUCUCUCUCUCUCUCUCUCUAUAUAUAUAUAUAUAUUGAAAAAAUUCAAAGUACUCCUAUCAAUUCUUUUUUAGGGGCCAUUGAUGAUCCCUUUUGUACACGCUUGAUAUAAUGCCAAGGGUCUCAAUUGCCUUUUUGGGUUCAAUACGAACAAACUUGGUAUAAAUAUGUCGGGCAAAUAAUACAGGGUAUAGUGAUGUUAUUAUUAUAAGGGCAAACACCCCAAAAGCGAAAAUUAUAUAUUAAGGCCAAAGUGUAUGAAAAGAUUUUUUGUUUAUUUUUUUACGCAAUGUGAAGUUCCACACAUCGCAAUAAGACGGUCAUAAAAUAUUUUCUACGAUCUCACCACAAAAAAGGGAGGAGAAACAGAUUCAAUGCCCAAUGAGCCCUAAAACAAGUCAAUUUACAAAUAUAUAUACUUAUUUAUUUAUAAGGGUUAAUUUCAUACAUAUCCCUACAAACGAAGUGAAAGGCAAAUACAUUCCUAUAAAGUUUAAUUUUCAUAUAUUGUUUCUAUAAAACUCUUAAUGUUUUCAAAUAUAUCUCUCUGAUUUGUUACUAGUAGAGAACCGUUAGAAAACCGUUUAUAUUUUCAAUUUUGCCAUCACAAAUAUAUUCACUACAACAGAAUUAGGUUAUAGCGACACAUGUUUGGGACAUUUUUGUGUAACCGUCCCAUUUAUACAAAAACUUUUAAAAAAAUCUACUAAUGCCUAAAUAUAAAGCCCAAUCCAAUAAAAAAUAAAAGAUUACUCUACUCAACCCACUCCAUCCAUCCCAUUCGGCCCAAUUACAAACAGAAAAGAAAAAAUAAAAGAAAAAUCGAUUAUCAUCUCCUCUUUUCCCCUCACUCAAUCUAUUGAAAUUCUAGACGAAGAGCCCUUCCCUCUCCUUAUCCUCCACCAGCGCAGCAAAAAAGGUAGAGUUUCGGCAGUUGCUAAAUGCUUAAAUAAAUGUUAGUAAAUUAGCAACACUCUUUAACUGUCAUUAUAUAUCUAGCGACCCCACAUAUAGCAACACUUUUUAAAAGUGUUGGUAAUUUAGCCAGCAGCACUUUUUUUUGACCUGUACCGAUAUUUAAAAGUGUCGCUAUAGAUCGUUUUUGUUGUAGUGAUUCUUUCAAAUAUUAGGACUUUUGUAGGGACAAAAUAUGAAAAUUGAAUUUUGUAGGGAUAUAUUUGUUAUUCGCUAUGUUUGCAGGGACUUAUAUAAAAUUAACCCUAUUUAUAAUUAAAUUGGCACUCUCAAUUCAUUAAUAAGAGUUUGCAAAGAGAAUUGUCCUAAUUAAAUGACUCUAAUUAUAAUUACAAAGAGCCCCACAAGCUAGCAACAACCUGAAUUUCAUUAUUAAGUUGUAUAUGUUUAUUACAGAACGUACAAGAGACAUGAAGCACAUAAAUAUCUCUUCUUUUUUUCUUCUUUUUUUUUUAACUCCCUAAAACACAACAAAGUGGUCAAGUGUUGGCAUGCCAAAUUUUGGAGAUGGAAAUUCGAACCAUUCUUUUCAAUGCAGGCAUUUAAUUCAAUGUUUUUAAAAAACUUCUCUCUUUUUUUUUUCUUUUUUUUUUUAAGUUAUUUAUUUUAUUAUUGUUGGCUCUAAUGCUAUGGGCAAUUGGGCAUAUCUGCCCUAGUUGAAGCUUAUAUAUAUUGAGUAGAGUUGUUCGGAAAAAUAUUAACACUUUUGUUUUGUAUAAUUUCUGUAUCUAAGUAGAUCAGAUCUAGCUGAUUCUAUCUCGGGCCUAUUUUUCUAUGUCAGUUUAAUAUAAUUUUUACGUUGAAUUCGAUUCAAUUUGGAAUUCUGUUGUACCUGUUUUAAGUCGGAGUCUCAUUCGAAAUGGUUAGUUGGCUCAGGUCGAAUGAGAGAAAUUGGAUCAAUUAAAUGGCAAACUGCUACUUAGUUUAGAUAUAAAGUAAAAAUAUAUGAAGUUUAUUUGAACUAUGAAUUAUUUUGAUCGAAUUUUCAAUAUAUUUGGAAUGAGCUAUUUUGAUAGCUUUUCGUUCGCUCUCUUGCUAAAUUUGGGCACUCUACUUCAAUAAAAAUAUAGUCACAAAAAUCAUGCAAUAUAUUCCAAUUAAUUAAAUUUGCUAAUAUAAACGGCACAUUCAAAUUAUAAACCAGAAGAGCCUUUGAUCACAUAUCUCAAAUUAUGAAAUAAAAUGAAAAAUUUUACACUGGACCAAAUAAGUUAUACUUUAGAUUUACCUUCCAUCUUUUAAUUACUUUCAGAUUAAGGUAUAUAUGCUAGGUACUAGGCCAAGUAGCCAUCAAAUUUUCUUGGAUCAAACCCUAUAGCUUAUUCAAUAAGUAGGAUGCCCCAGUGAACUUUCUCAAAAAAAUAAAAUAUAAUAUAAAAUAGUCGGGGAUGGUGAUGCUUAAUUAUUAUUAUUAUUAUAUGAAGUAUGAAAAGCAUAAGGGAUUUUAACCCCCAGAAGAGGUCUCUACUUUGGUUCAAAGUAAAUAGUGUGGCAUGAGGUGGGCCAAUAUAUUUGUAUGAUGGGACAAGCAUAAGCAAGAGCAUGAGAUGAUCUCAAAUAAAUUAAAGGGACAUAUUUAAUGGUGAAAAAUAUAAAAAGCAUCAAAUGAGCAGCCUCACCCUCCUUUUUAGUAUCCAGCAACCACAAAUUAUGAUACACUCUCUCUUGUGUCACUUCUCUCAGUCUCUAAAUGCUUGAUGGACGAAUCUUAUUUAAGGUAUGUUUGGUUCCACGUAAAAUCGUAAAAAAAAAAUUUUCAGUGAAAAAAAUAUUUUACGUCGUUUAUAUUUAAUUUGUAGGAAAAGAAAAGUAAUUUUUCACGACGGUUGUUUGGUUGAAAGAAAAAAAAAUUAUAAAUAAAAAUUAUUAUAUAUAUUUUUUUUAUUUUACAUAUUUUAUAUUGUUAAUAUAUAAUUAUUAUCAUAUUAAAUAUAUUAAUAUUAUAGUUUAUAUUUAAAAAUAAAAAAUAUUUAAAAUAUAAUAUGCAAUAAUUAAAUAUAUAAUAUAAUAUUUAAUAGUAUAUAUUUAAUAUUAUAAAAUAAAUUAAUAGAUAUAAAAUAUUAUAUAAUAAAUAUAUUUAUAAAUAAAAUAUUAUUUUUAAAAUAUAUAUACAUAUAUAAAUAUAUAUUUAUAUAUAUAGUAUAUAUAUUAUAUAUAUAAAAAAAAAGAUGGAGGAGAGAGGUCCACCGCACCCCAGUGGACCUCUCUCUCGCGGUCCACGGUGGGGUGCCUCGUGGACCGUGCGCCUGUGAAUCCCGCCCCUUCCCAGUCCCGAAAAAUCCACUGCGGAAAACGAAAACAUCAGUUUUCUUCGUAUCCGUAAAAAAAAUUUUCUUACGGACAAACAAACGCUCAAAAUUAUAUUUUUCCGAUGAAAAAUUUUUUUCGGGGCCAUUUUACAGGGAACCAAACAGGGCCUUAUGGAGCUCGGUUGCUAUACUAAUGGUAGUACUUGAGAACUCCGUGCUAUUAAGUUAUUUUCGAUGAUACGGUUUCUAAAUCGACGAACAACUCCAUUAAACUUGAUCUACAUUAUUGAAAGUAUUAGGAAACUAAAUUUUAUAAUUUCUUAACAUUAGUUAUCUAUCAAAUGAGUAAUCUAAAAAUAAACGGUUAAAAAUAAAAAUCUCAUAAAAAAUGAUAAUAAAAGAAUUAAAUUUAAGAUUAGAGAUACUGAUCUUAUUCUAAAUAGUGAAAAAAAAAUUUUAUAAAAAUUUUAUCGGAUUUAGAUUGUUUUAUACUGUUAAAUUCACAAAUGCAUCACAUUGACCAUUAAAAUUGUCAAUUUUUACGCUCUUUUAUCACUAGCCAAAUAAUGUCGAAAAAUUAUAAAAUUUAGUUUCCAAAUACUUUCAAUAGUGUAGAUUAAGUUUAAUGGACCCAAUCAUUGAUUUGAAAACUAUAUCAUUAAAAAUAAUUUAGUAACACGAAAACCUUCAUGCUAUUGAUAGUAUAGCAGCCUAGCUCCUUAUUUAUGUAUGCUCAUAAAUCAGGUGAAAAAUAUAGCAAAUUUUAAAUUGUAGGGUAUUUUUUAGAUAGAGAUGUAGACUUAGAGGUGCCGUUUGGUUUGGAAAAAAGCUCAUCUCGUUUAUUCCUGAGAUACUUACAACUUUUGAAAUAAGCAGGAAUCAAACUAAUUUUGUCUUUGGAUGAGAAUUGAGUUAUUCUGUGGAAUAAGAAAAAUUGCGUUUGGAUGCAUGGUUAGAUUUGAAUAGUAGGAAUACGAGAAAUUAUAAUUGUAAAAUACAAAUAUUUUACCUAAUAAUAAGCAUAAAAGUAUUAAUAAAAUAAGAUUUUAAUAAGUUAAUUAUUUAGGCUUUGUUUGAGAUUUCGGGGAGAUUGCGUUAUAUUUGGUGAGAAAGUACGAUGAAAAAUACCCUAUUUGUUUCUGUAUAUAAUAUUGCGUUUCGCAUAUCGCGAUCAGUCGGUUUCGAUAUAUUUUCUGCGGUCAUACUAGAAGACGCAGAAGCUUAACCUUAAAUACUUUUACACCAACUCCAUUUUAUAUAAUACCGUCAGAUGGGCCUCAAUACCAAACUAACCCUUAGUUAAGUAAAAAAAUUGUAUAAGAUAUUGAGAAGCAUUUUAAUUAAUAAGUUAACAUGUUUACUAAUUAAUUACUUAUUUAAUUAGUUAGACAUUUAGUUAAUAAAUUAAUUAGAUAAGUUAAAUUAUUAAUUACUUAAUUAAUAUAUAUACACAUUAGUGAUAGUUGGAUAAUCAUAUUAAAUUAUUAAAUAUUAAUUAGCUAAUUGAUUAUAAAUAAUAUAGAUAAAAAUAGCAAUAUUUUUUAAUUAUUCAUAAAUUAAUUAAUUGGGUGGAACUGAUAUUCUCUCUUUUUAACGGGUUAUUUCUGAAUAACCGGUUAAGAGAAGAACUGUAAUUCUUAGUGUUGUUUGAAAGAAUAAAAAAAAAAAGAUCCCUUAUUUCCCCCUUAUCUCUAAACCAAAUAGGGCUUAAAUAUUAUGUUUUAGUAUCUGAUUUUUUCAAAUUGUUCGAAAAAUUAUUGCUUUGUGCCAAAUGCAUUUGUCAAUCCUUACACCAUUAAUGCGCCAUCCACCGUUCAUUUUAUUUCAUACUUUAAUUUUUCUCUCUCAUCAAGUUUCGAUAUUUCUCUGCAUAAAUUUGGUAUAGUACAAUUCAAAGUUUGAGAUUAGAUAAAAGACAGAUGGAAUUGCAGUGCAUGAUCGUAUAUAACUGUAGUCUCAAACUAUAACUUCAAAAAGAUUAAAUAUCAAAAUACAAGCUUUUAAAAUUUAGGUGCUUCUUUGGAAAUAGCCUAUACUUUAUACAACCUCUAUAUAAUUUUAGCUCAAAUUUAUUAUAUCGUUUAAUUGGACUUACUUGUACGACUACAUCUUACUAUAUAUACUGCAUGGAGAUGAAUAACUUACAGCUCACGUAAAGGACACAUGAAUAAAUUAUUCACCUCACGAAUAGUUUGGUAAUUCGCACUUCAAUUAAUUUGAAAAUUUUCUUAUAUAUAUACACAUAGAAUGAGGCUAUUAUACUAUCUAUAGUAUCAGAGCUCUAAUACUAUAGUUUCAUUUUUUAUCAUAGGGUGUUUAAUUUAACAAUUCACACCGUUGAAUAUGAUCUAAGAUAUAUAAAGUUCGUAGAAAUAAAAUUUUAAUUUCUUUCGAUAUCGUUUAUUUAGUAAAUAAAUUAUGCCAAAAUGAACGGUAAAAAUUGAACAAUAUUCACUACAACAGAAUUAGGUUAUAGGGACACAUGUUUGGGACACUUUUCAGUAAGUGUCCCAUUUAUGCUAAAAUUUAAAAAAACAUCUACUAAUGCCUAAAUAUAAAGCCCAAUCCAACCAAAAAUAAAAGAGUACUCUACUCAACCCACCACACCCAGUCCAUUUGGCCCGAUUACAAACAAAAAAGAAAAACAAAAAGAAAAAUCAAUUACCAUCUUUUCUUUUCUAUUCACUCAAUCCACUGAAAUUCUAGACGAAGAGUCUUUCCUGUCGUCCUCCUCCGCCACCGCAGCCAACGAGAUAGAGUUUCGGCGGUUGCUAAAUGCUUAAAUAAGUGUUGGUAAAUUAGCAGCACUCUUUUAGGUUAUAGCGACACUCUUUAACUGUCACUAUAUACCUAGCGACCCCACAUAUAGCAACACUUUUUAAAAGUGUCGGUAAUUUUAGCUAGCAGCACUUUUUUGACAUGUACCUUCAUUUAAAAGUGUCGCUAUACACCGUUUUUGUUGUAGUGAUUUAAAAUUUAAGGAUAGAACUUUGAAUUCAAGAUCAAAGAUGCAAACCUUAAUCUCGAUAGUUUAAAGUAAUUUUCUAUUAAAAUUUGAAUAAAUUUAAAUUCUUCUAUACCUUUGAACUACAUCGCUAUAAUAGCCAUUGAAAUUUGACAAUUUUGAAAAGGAUUGAUUAUAAAGUAAAUUAUGUUGAAAAAAUAUAAAGUUUUAUUCUUCAAAACUUCAAAUAUCUUAGAUCAAUUUUAACGAUAUAGAUCAUUGAUUAGAAUACUCUAAAUCGAAAAUAAGGCUAUAGUACUUAAGUUUCUAUACUAUAGAUAUUAUAGGAGUCUAGGUCUCUCUCUCUAUAUAUAUAUAUAGAGAGAGAGAGAGAGAGAGAAAGAGUGAGAAUUGAGCUAGAAAAUAUCUAAAAGUACCAACCAAUUGGUGCUUUUAGAAAUCUAUCCCUUCAAUCUACUUCUUAACUAUUAGUAGUUCUUGGAUCAAAUAAUAUUUUAGCCACCACUCAACCUAAGUGGGCUACUAUCAUUCUAGUUCUACAACACCUCCAUCUAAAGACUACAAAUCGAAAAGCACCAACACUUCUAGAAAUAUUUUAGUACAAUUUUAUAUGUAUAUAUAUAGUAGGUCUUGUGCUAAGCCGUUUUCGAUGAUGAAGCUUCCAAAUCGACGAUCGGCUCCAUUAAACUUGAUCUAGCGUAUUUGAACUAUUUAGAAAAUAAUUUUUGUAAUUUUUAGUAUCAUUUUCUAAGCGAUCGAAAGGGUUCAAAAUCAACAAUUUUUAAUGGUUGAUGUAUAUCAUUUGCAAGUUUAACGGUGUAGAAGUGUUCAAAUCAGAUGUAAAUUUUGAUAAAAAUUUUUUUAUACUAUUUACAGCAUCAACAUGUUUGAUCAAAAAUUUUAAUGCUAUAUCAUCAUUUUUUUGUGAGAUUUUUAUUUUCAUCCGUUGAUUUUGAACUCUUUCGAUCGUUAGGUAAAUGAUAUCGAAAAGCUACAAAAUUUAUUUUCUAGAUACUUCAAAUAUGCUAUAUCAAGUCUAACAGAGCCGAUCGUCGAUUCAGAAGUUUCAUCAUCGAAAAUGAUUUAGAAGUACGGAGGCCUUCGUACUCCUAAUAGCACAAAAGACCUACUAUAUAUAUAUAUAUAUAUUAUAUAUAUAUAAGGGAGAGAGAGAGAGAAGGAUUGAGAGAUGAGAGAGAGGAGAGAGAGUGGACUGGGUCUAUUUGGUGCAAAAAUCCUUGUUGCUACCUAAUUUUUUAGCCUUUGGGAUCAACUUUUUCUUUAUUUCUAAAGCCAUUGUGAUAAAUAUUAUCAGUGGGACCACUCCAACCCUAGGGGGACCACUUCAACUCUAACGACUCAAUAUCAUCCGUUGACUCCUACAAUUUUUCAUUAAGGCUGUUAAAAUUGAUGCAAAUAGAACGUUUUUUUAAUAGUUUCAGCUAUUCUUAUAUAUAUAUACUAUAUAUAUAUAUAUAAAUAUAUAUAAUAUAGUAUAUAUUAUAUAUAUAGGUAGGCUGCUUGUGCUUCAGCGGGCACGGGAGGCUUCUUGUGCUCCUGAGCCGUUUUUCGAUGAUUGAUUUUCGUAAUCGAGAUCAGCUUCGUUAGACUUGAUUCUUAGGCGGUAUUUUGAAGUUUUAGAAAUAUUUGCGAUUUUGAUAUCAUUUACUAGCAAUCGAAUGAUCAAAAUCAUAAUUUUUUAACGCGCUUGAAAAUAAAUCUAUAAAAUGUGCAAAUAUUGCACUUAAAAUUUUCGAUCGAUAUAUUGGAUUUGUUGUAGUAGUAUAGAGGAAUUUUAUUUAUCAAUUUUCAUUUGAUUUGAUACUUCUCACCAUGUUAAACUUGAAAAUUGGCAGAUAUCAACUUUAGAAUUAUUGUUUUUUGAUCCUUUCGAUACUUAGUUUAAAUGAUUAUCAAAAUCUGGCAAAAAAUAUUUUUUUAGAAAUUUCAAUACCUAGUCGUCUAAAGAGCGGAUCGUCGAUUCUGGAAAAUUCUAUCACAAACACAUGCUCUAGUUGAGCCACGGAGAGGCACAACAGACCUACUCUCUCUCUCUCGUUCUCUCUGCUCUCUCUCUCUCUCGUCUCUCUUAAUAUAAUAUAUAUAUAUAUAUAUAUAUAUCCACACAUAUAUAUAUUAACACAUAUAUAUUAUACAACAUUAUAUAAUAUAUAUAACAUAUUAUAUAUUUAUAUAACACACAUAUUUAUAUAUAACUAUACUAAUAUUAUACACAUAUAAUAUUAUUAUAUAUAUAUAUUUAUAUAUAUAUAUAUAUAUAUAAUAUAUAUGUAUAUAUAUAAUAUUAUAUAUGAUACAGUAUUAUAUAUAUGUAUAUGUAUAUGUAUCUGUUAUGUACAUAUAUAGGUACAUAAUUAUAUAUAUGUAUAUGUAUAUGUACAUUAUUAUUAUAUACAUAUAUAUGAACAUAUAUUCAUAUUACAUAAUAUACUAUAUAUGUAUAUAUACUUAUAAUAUAUAAAAAAUGUAUAUAUAAUAAUUACAUAUAUAUAAUAUAUAUAUAUAUAUAUAUACAACAUUAUUAUACAUAUAUAUAUAUAUUUAUAUAUAUGCUAUGUAUAUAUAUAUAUGUAUGUAUGUAUAUCUACAUACAUUAUUAUAUAUUACAUACAUAUAUUAUUACUUAUAUGCUAUUAAUACUAAAUACAUAUAUAUUUAUACAUAUAUCAUACAUAUUAUAUAUACUACAUACUAUACCUAUAUUAUUUACAUACGUACAUAUCAUAUAUAUAUUACAUACAACAUAAUAUAUAUAUAUCAGUAAUACUAGGUAGUAACUGUUGGCUUUACUCACCAAUGUUUGAUGAUAAGUUUCCAAUCGACGAUCCAGGCACGAUCUUUUGAACAUGAUCUUAACCAUUUAAAUUAUUUAGAAAAUCAAUUUCAUGAUUUUUUGGCAUCACUAUUGACGUAAAGGGUAUAAAUCUAUAUUUUUUAAUGGCCGAUAUGGUUGGUUUGCUCGUUUAAACGGUAUUAGAAGGUUCAAUCAACUAAAUUUUUGUUAAAAAUUCUUUUACUAUUUACAUAAGUCUGCUUCUAGAUCUCAUAUAAAUUGUUCAUCCUUUUUGAAGGGAUAUUUUCAUUUCCAGCCGUUCAUUUUUCUGUUCUUAUGGAUAAGAGCAAUAUCGAUUUAUGUGUGAAAUUUAAUUUUCAGAUAGUUUUAAUAGUUUGUUCAUGUUUACGAUGCUAUCAUUCAUUUUGAAGCUUAUCAUCGAAAACAGAUCUGGUAGUAACUGAGCCAUUUAACUACCGAUAGUAUCCUAGCUAAAUCAUUAUAUAUAUAUUAUAUAUAUAUAUAUAUAUUAUUAUUAUAUUAUAUAUGAUCUAUAUAUAUUAGAGUCGGCUACUUUCCUAUUGUAGCACGGAGCACUACGUGUACAAGUUGUUUUCGAUGAUGCGGGCUUUCAAAUUGAUGAUCGGCUCCGUAGGACUUGAUCUUACUAUUGAAAGUAUUUUUAGAAAACUAUUUCAAAUUUUUUUCGCACAUCAUUUGAUUAGUUGAUCAAAUAUCUCAAAAUGCAUUUUAUAUGGCCGAUGUGGCUUGUGUUUGUGAGUUUAAUGCGUGUACAUAAUCCAAUGUGAUGAAUUUUAUAGAAAUUUUUUUCAUAUUUAGAUAAGCUCUUAUAUCUGAUCUUGGAAUUUAAUCUUUUAUUCUCAUUUUUUAUGGGAUUUUAUUUUUAGCCGUUCAAUUUUAGGACUACUUUGUUUGGCUGGUGAAUUGCUAUCGAAGAAUUUAUGAAAUUUAGUUUCUAAAUACUUUUCAAUAGUUGCUAAAUAGUUAAGAACCGUUUGUCGAUUUGGAAGCCGCAUAUCGAAACAUUUGUGCACGGAUGCGCUCCGUGCGGGGGGGAUCCGAUAGUAUUAGUAGCCUUGUUAUAUAUAUAUAUAUUAUAAUUAUUAUAUAUUAUAUAUACAUUCAUCUCUACCUGAAUCCAUUUCGUUCGAAGGACGGAAACUUUACAAGUACCAAUGACUUAGUACAUUUAAAAAUAUAGGCAGCCUAAUAUAUAAUAUAUAUAUAUAUAUAUAUAAUAUUAUCUAUAUAUAUAUAUAUAUAUAUGACAGCUCUUUCGGCAUCCAAAGAGCAAGGAGCACUUACACACCCAAGCUACAUACGAAGAGAAGUACGCAACGUUGUCACGGUUACGUCAGGGCAAAUGCUAACGUCUUCUUCGAAGUAGAUAGGAGAGAAAAUUAAUCUUCAUUUGGAAUUUACUAACGUACUGUGUACUAAACAUCCUAGUGAUUUUCUCUAAACCACAGUACUGUUUAAAUUAGCUACGAGAAAUGACAAAUAAGGAAGGAGCUGAAGACAGCUUUUUUUAGAGUAAUGAUAGGAUAUUUGCGAGGACUAAAUAUUAUAAUUCCUGUAAAAUGGAAAACGUUUUUUUGGAUGCAAAGGGAGUACGUUGUCAAAUAAAGCACUAUACAUUAAGGCAUUCUAGGAGAUUGGCACCGAGGGAUUUUGGACUAAUUUAUUUACAUUGACAAUAUUUAUAUUAAAGGCUUUUACCAAAUAAGGGAAAGGAAAAAUAUAUCCUACACACAAGCAUCCUCAUACACAUGCAUACAUGAACACAUUUUACUUUUCUUUAGUGUGUGUCUGUGUAGUGUGUGUAUAUAUAUAUAUAUAUAUAUAUAUUAUAGAGCUACUAUGCUAUCGGAAAUAUAGAGAAUCUGAUGUUUUCAACUUUUUUACAAUUGGAUCAAAAAUUAUACGGUUGGGAUGAUUGCGGUCCCCCCCAAGGUUGAGUAGUACCCCUAGGGUUGAGUGAUCCCCACAGGUUAAUAGUAUUAAUCCAAAGAUUAGAAAUGAUUAAAAUAGUUGAUCUAAGAGCGAAAAAAUCGAAAGUAUUAGAUCUUCUAUACUUCCAAUAGCAUAGUAACUUUACUCUCUCUCUCUCUCUCUCUAUAUUAUAUAUAUAGAGAGAGAGAGAGAGAGAGAGAGUUUGGCUAUUAUAGUAUCGAUAGUACCAACCCCUUGGCACUAUUGAGUUUUCUACUGUUAGAUCUACCCUUUGAUCAUUUCUACCUGUUAGAUUAUACUAUUAAGCCAACCACCCACUCAACCCUAGGAGACCGCUAUCAAUUUAACCGGAGACCACUAUCAUCCUAACAGCACAUCCUUUUAUCCAACGGCCGAAAACUCAAUAGUACUAAGAGCUUGAUAUUAUUGAUAGUAUAGUAGCAUAAUUCUAUAUAUAUAUAUCAGCUUUGAGAUUCCAACGCAUUGGCCUCUUAAUGUAUGCUUAAGACUUUUCUUGAUCAUUUAUUAGUGUCAUGAAGACAUAAUUAAAUGAGAAUAUCGUCACGACAAUAACAUCUUCCUUGUACAUAAUAAUAUGAUAAUAAUAUAAAAAUGUACAAGAAGUUUUCACAUAUUUAUCUUAGUUGGAUAGUAAUCAAUCGUCAUUACUGUAAGUGACAAACGGUUUAAUAUAUAGUUGGCACCUAAGCCACCGUUUGGUUCGGGGUUAAGUAAAAAUUUGUUAUUUCAUGAAAAUAUGUUUGAUUGAGAAUUGAGUUCAGUCCAGAUAUAGAUAAAAUGGUGUUUGGUUGGAGUAGAUGGGAUAAGAAGGAUAGUGGGUAAAAUAGUAUUUUGUUUGGUUGGAGUAGUGGGGUGGGGUGGGGUGGGGUUAGCUAACCCCACCUCCCAAAUUGAAUGUUUUGAAAUAACUUCGGGGUUAAGGAUUUAUUCCAUCCCUUAACUCCAAACCAAACGGAUGCUAAGAUUUUAAAUUUGAACUUAGUUACUUUAUAUUCUCAUCUAAAUUUAUUUUUAAAAUAAUAAAGAGAAAGAAUAAUAUAUAUAUAUAUACACACACCAUCUUUCUCUCUUAGAAAUAUAUAUAUAUAUAUACACACACUCGUACGUAGGUACAGUAAAUUGACACCCAUGCCACAGGGGAGGGAGAGAGAGACACACACACAUACAAAGAGGUAGAGAGAUGGAGGAGAGAGAGCUCACGUGUAUUUGGCGACAGGCCAGUGCAUUAAUGCAUGCAAUUUACUGCAGGGGGGUGACGAAAUUAUUAGCCCACUUUGUUUCUUUGUGGGGAUGUUUUUCUUUUUCCUUUUCCUCCUCUUUCUCAUUGCUUUGAUUGUGGUGGGCCUCCCUUUUCAAUCUCUCUCUCUCUCUCUCUCUCUCUCUCUCUCUCUCUGUACAUUUUUGUAUAUUAGUAUAUAGAGAGAGAUAUCGCUUCAAUUAAAGCCCAAUAUAUAACUACACAACACUAGCCUCCCCCCUGCUUUUCCCCAUAAUAAAAUCUCAAGGAAUUAAAGCUGGUGGAAAGCUCCCUUCCUAUGUUCUGUGUGUGAGAGGAGGCCCCAAACAAACACACCUAAAGAAAAAAACAUUCUCUUAGAGAGAGAGAGAGAGAAAUUGUAGACCAUUUCUCUUCCGCCCUAAGCUAUAGCUGUAACCCUUUUUAUUUUUUGUUCUUGUUUACGGUAUAUAAUUAUCUUCCCCACCUCCUGUGUAUCCCUUCAUGUGAUCAACAUUUAGACCCCCCUAAAUAGAAGAUCAUAUAUAGCUACUACACCACCGAGUGAUCACAACUAGAUUAUAUAUAUAUACACACACACACACAUAUAUAUAUAUAUAAUAAAUAAUAAUAAUUAAUAAUUAUCCAUGUUAAGCUCUCCCUCGCCGGCCCCCGCACCGCCGCCGCCGCCUCUGCCGCUCCUCCUCAGCGGCGGCGUGGGCGACGCGUCCUCCGCCUCCCCCGGCCCUCCGCAGCCGUUCCCUUCCUCGCACAUUGCCGCCGCGACCGCCAAGAAGAAACGCCGGCCGGCCGGCACUCCAGGUACGCACGCGCGCACGCACGCAGAAUUCUGGAAAAUUGCGAUCAUAUAUGAUACAUGAUAAGUUGAAAUCUGCGAAUAGGUAGGUUGGUUGAAUUAAUAUUGGUCGAUUGAGUAAUGUUUUUGGGUUCUGGAAAAAGAUCCGGACGCGGAGGUGGUGUCGCUGUCGCCGCGGACGCUGCUGGAGUCGGACCGGUACGUGUGCGAGAUCUGCAACCAGGGGUUCCAGCGGGACCAGAACCUGCAGAUGCACCGGCGGCGGCACAAGGUGCCGUGGAAGCUGCUGAAGCGCGAGGGCGGCGCGGGGGGCGAGGGGGCCGGCGCGGAGGCGCGGAAGCGGGUGUUCGUGUGCCCGGAGCCGAGCUGCCUGCACCACGACCCCUGCCACGCGCUCGGCGACCUCGUCGGGAUCAAGAAGCACUUCCGCCGCAAGCACAGCACCCACCGCCAGUGGGUCUGCGCCAAGUGCUCCAAGGCCUACGCCGUCCAGUCCGACUACAAGGCCCACCUCAAGACCUGCGGCACCCGCGGCCACUCCUGCGACUGCGGCCGCGUCUUCUCCAGGUAUAUACAUAUACAUAUAUAUAAUUCACAUACCUAUCUAUGUACAGAUACUUAAUUCACAUAUACUUCACAUAUAUAUACUUCAUACUUCAGUUCAGAAGAGUGUAUAUAUACUUCACAUAUUGGAUACAAAAUAGAAUCGCGUACGUACGUAUGACGAUCUGUAUGUAAUGUGCAGAGUAUUAAUUUAUUUCUGAUAAAUUAUGAUCCCUUUUGCAUAAGCAAUGCUAGUUUUGUGGUGAUUUCAUAUAUAGAAAUCGAAUCUCUUUUUCUUUCUUUCUUUCUUUUCUGAAUGAUGAGAAUUUAGUGUGGUUUAAAAUGAGACCAUAUAUAAAGAUAUAAAUAUAUAUAUAUGUUGGCACGCAGGAAACUAAUUAACCUUGGAAUUAAUGGUGGAUCAGGCUGAUCUCUUAUAUGUGAAAUCCUAGCUACUGCUUUAAUUUGUAUUGAUUUUUGAGGGGUUCUUUUUCUUUUAUUCCCCCUAAUGGAUGAUUUUAUAUAUAUAUAUAUAUAUAUAUAUAUAUAUAUAUAUAUAUAUAUAUAUAUAUAUAUAUAUCAUGUAGUUUAAAUGAUGACCCCCAAGAUGGAUUUUGUACAUUAUGUUAAUUUUCUAUAUAAUAUAUAUUUGCUUGUAGCAAAAUUAAAACUUAAAUUAAUUAGAAUGGAGGGAUCAUUUUAUUAUUUUUAAGAAAAACUGUGUGUGUGUGUGUGUGGGUGUGUUUCUUUUUCUUUUUUUUAAGUGAAUUUUAGUUCUUUACAACAAGCAUUUAUUUAUUGUAUCAUUAGAUAGCAACAAGGGAGACACCCAGCAUUGAAUAGGGGUCAGGACACAAUUCCCAACACCUAUGUCAAUUGGUAGCUUUCGUAUUUGUUUCUGAUUGCAGUAGCAUUUAAUGCUCAUGUAACCCCUCCCCACACCCCUCUCCCUUUCUUAAAUGGUAAUAUCUCAUGCAUAUUUUCAUUAUAACCAUCCCCUCCAAGGAACAAAANAAAAAAAAAAAAAAAAAAAAAAAAAAAAUCUCUAAUGAAUACUAGCUAAUAUACAUGUGUUUGGUUCUCUCAUCAGGGUGGAGAGCUUCAUAGAGCACCAAGACGCAUGCAGCGCGGGACGAGCCCGAGCCCGAGCCGAGCUCCAAACCCCGCCGCCGCCUCCGGCGUGCUUGUCGCGAACCGGUUCGAGCCCGAGCCCGUCCAGCGACACCAAUUUUAGCCCAACAACGACGCUUGCGACGCUCAUCAUGCCGAACCGCAACGCCGCCACUAUGUUGCGCCACGCUGAUCAGCUAUUCCCUUCACCCCGCUCCCACAAUCUCGAGCUCCAGUUACUCCCCCCCUCGACCACCCAACAGUACUCCGUUUCCUCCACUCUCUCCUCCUCUCUCGCUUCCGUCGUCGCCGACGAGGCCCGCGACACGACGCUGAGGCUUUCGAUCGGUAACUUUACCGGUAACAGCGGCCCCUCCGACAAUAUAUACCCCGCGGUGAGCGCCGGCGUCACUACAAGAAAAGUAACAUUUAAAGAUAUUUUUUUUAUAUAUAUUUAACGAUGUUUAAAAGUAUUCCAAUAUACUCUAGUAUCAUAUUUGAAAGUGUCAGUCAAAGCGUCGACAAAUGAAGAGUAUAUAUAUAUAUAUUGAUGUUUAUGUUAUAUUAUGAUGCUUAAAGCGUAAGAAAAUUAAAAAUAAUAGUAAAAUUUAUUCUUUAAUAAAUUAGUUUAAUAAAAUAGAAAAUUUAUGUAACAAUGCUUUUUGAAGCGUUGGUAUUUACUAUAUUGUAGGGACGUUUUUUUCAAGCGUGGUCUAAAACACAUUCUUAUGUUGAAAUUUUCUUAUAGUGCGCUGUUAGCGAAGAGGCGAGGGAGCGGUCGAGGUUGGCGGCGGCGGACGAGGCGCGGCGGGAGGCCAAGCGGCAGAUAGAGCUGGCCGAGCGGGAGUUCGCGGACGCGAAGCGGAUCCGGCACCAGGCGCAGACGGAGCUCGACCGGGCGCGCGCGAUACGCGACCGCGCCGUGCAGCAAAUCAAUUCGGUCUUGCUCCAAAUCACUUGCUACGCCUGCAAGAAGCACUUCCGGGCGAAGCCCGUCGCGGCUUCUGACGAGAACUCGUCGCUCGUCGCGACGAGCUACGUGUCGUCGGUGGUGACCCAAGUCGAAGCGGAGAACGAUGAUCGUCGCCAAAAUAAUAACAAAACCAAGAUCGAUCCUUUUCAGUGAGAAUGUAGUUAUUAGAAGUAUAUGCUUGCUUUAGUUUAACUGUAUGAGCUAUCCACGAGUGGGGGGUAAUUAGGUAAUUAAAGUUAAUGCUGUGGUCGUGAAGGGUCUAUUGUGGCAUGAGAUCUUAUAUAUGUUUGUUUGCUUGUUUUGUUAUUAUUAUUAUUAUCAUUGAUGAAGGAGAAAGCGAGGGGGUGAUGAUGUUCAUGAUAAGGAUGAUUAUGAUCGAGAGUUUGGAUCUCUUCUUUUCCUUUUGGAUCCGCUUAUGUGGUGUGCAUUUGUAAAUGGAAAUGUUAAUUUCUCUGAAAAGCUAUGCAAAUAAAUGAAUGAAAAAAAAAAAAAGCAAAUUAAUUUGGUGCAAUUAUUUUUUUUGUUAAUUAAUUAGCAUGUUUUCAUUCAAUGCGAGAAUAUGAUAAACUAAUAUUUCUUUCUAAAUAUUGCAUUUUCUUCUAAACCCUAAUUUGAGAACCAAAGACACAAAAACAUUCUAUAAAAUAGAAAAGGCUAAUUCUAUAGAUAUAUGUGUUCCGUUCAAAGGUUCUGGAUAAUGAAAGCAGUUGAAAAUACAUAGCGAAAAAUAUAUGGGUUUUUGUAGAAUCCGCAUGCGAUGCUUUGAGUCACGCACCAUAUAAAACAUAUAUGAACUUUAAUUUAUUUGAUUUAAAUCAGUAAAUAUUAGUUUGAUUCAAAGUUUGAAUAUAUUGUUUAUCUUUACAGAUUUAUUUGUAUAUCUUAUACAAUUCUUAUAAUUAAAAACUUAUUAAAACAAAUAAUUAGCUUAAAUUUUGAAAUCAUACUAUUAUUAAUAACCGACUCAAAUCAAACAAAAUAAAUAUAUAGUUCAAGUAAUUACCUCUAUACGUUUUUACCUUUAAAAAAUAUAAUCUAGGAAGCGCAAAAUCGUUUUUGGAAAGGCGUCUUAAUAAGACAACCUAUACAUUAUUAUUGUUUGGUAAUUUUAACACCACUGUAGCACUCACUUAGCUUCUUUUUCCUUUCUCCUCUGGAACCCCCACUUCCAUGUAACUAAGCAGUGGAGCUUGCUCCUCCUCGCCUGUGUACACAACCAGUUGAGAGAGGACAAAAGGAAAAAAAUAAGCAGCAGUGGUGAUCGAACUGGGUAUCUGACCCAAGUCCACUACAGAAAAUCACAAGAGAACACACCAAAAAAAACGCAAAGUGGGUUGCAGCAGUGGCACUUCGUCUACAAACAGACACACUGAGAACGAUACAUAAAUGAAAUGGCCCAUUGAUUGUUUCGUUAGUACUACUCUUCAAUGUUUGCAUAUAGCUCGCUUUUUCUCCUACGAUGCGUUCUCUUCACACUAUCUUCAAGUAUUUUCUCUCUCUCUCUCUCUCUCUCUCUCUCUCUUUCUCUCUCUAUCUCUGUUACUGUAAGAAACAGAUGGAGCGCACCUGUGCAUGGUAUUCAGUGCCACUAACUCCUACACUGAAAAGUGGAACAGUCACUCGCGCAGAGAAUGCAUGGGUGGGGUAUGAUUACGUGUAUGUGUUUUCACAUAUGUAUAAAAAUUUAAAUAAAAAUAAAAGUUGAGGAUUUUUCCUAUUUUAUUUAAUCUUGUAAGCUUAAAAAUUUUUUUAACCAAAAUUAUUCUUAAUAAUUUUAUCUGCAUUAAAUACAUUAAAAAACUAAAAUAUAAUAUAUUUUAGCCUACGAACAAAACUCUCUUUUUUUCAAUCGACAAAAAAAUGCAUGCAUAUAGUUAUUUGAUAUAUUUUUGAUUAAAUAGAAAAAAAAAUUAAAUCUAUCAUUUAUUUCAAAAUUAUUAUUACUGAUUAGGAAUGUGCAUUGAUAUAGGUAUGUNCUAGGAGCCGUCAGAAAAUUGUACUGUCUCAGUUUCUUCGAGACGAGUACUCCAGGUAGUUUAGAAUGUAUUUACACUCGUGCUGGUUCGCCGAGUGGAUUUUUACAGGGUCGUUCAGGUUGUUCCGGACUGUUGGGUGCCGUCAGAGUUGACGGUGGACCCGUAUCGCCUUUUUGGCGUCAGACUGUGCCGAGGGCACGUUACCUGUUGGUUGUUAGGCCAGUUUGAGUCGAUUACUUGACUUUGGAUAGUUGGAGCCUGAUUGAGCUCGACAGAGAUACGCUGCAUACUCGGUUGGGUAGCGCCCACGAGUGCCACUCCGGAGUCAGGCUUGUGCUUUUGCGUUGGUGUCACUCAUGCCAGUUGGACUUGCUCUCCACAGACCAGCUAGUGUGGAUAGAGCCUGAUAGUCGCAACGGGGCAGGGACGGGUGUGUUCACAGUCCCAGGGACGGGUAUGUUUACAGUCCCAAUUGGAUUGGGUCAGAUUUGACAUUUCCUACAGUCGGUUAAUGUAGAGCAUGAUAGUGUAGUGGAUGAUAGCGAUAGAGUGUACUUCCUGCUUUUCCUUCUAUCCUUGCUCCCUUCUGUAGACUUAGUGGGUGACCGAUGUCGUUUUGGGCGGUACCCACUGAGGACUACUUGUUUUUACAGUAGUUCUCACGCCCAGUUGUUACCUAUGUUUUGCAGAGCCACAGGUUUCGGCUACUGCGCCUUCCGCGGAUCAGGAUCGAGGCAAGGGCGUCGCGAGGUAGAGCCCUACCCGACUGACAGAGCUAGAGGCACCCCCCUACUGUAGGUAGUUGCUAUUUUAGAGUUUAUGUACAUAGUUGUUUAACUCGCCGGUGCGAGUAGCUUUGUAUUUUGGAUUUGGACUAUGUAUAUGAAACUCAGUUGUUUAGCUUUGUAUAUUGAGCAGCUCUAUGCUACUGUUUGUAGUAUUGUAUAUUUACAGGUACUUUUGACGCUUCGUAUACAGGGAAAAUUCCUUGUAUACGGCGGAUUUGUCGGCGUGCCCGGGGAACGAGACAUCCGGGGCGUGACAAAAAUCAUAUAAAAACACACUAUAUAUAAAAUACAAUUUUUAUAUAUUUUUUAAUAAUUUUUAAUAAUUUAAUUUAAUAAUUCAAAUUUAGAUUUACAAAAAUUAUCUUGAAAUAUCUAUUAGUAUUUCUACUAUUGAUAAGAGACGAAGGGUAAAAAUGGCAUUUUAAAAAUAUAACUCCAUUUCAUAAGAUGGUAACGGAACUUAACUAAUGAAGGGUAUUUAUGAUACUUUUUGAUAUAUCGGAGGGCAUUCAUGAUAUUAUCACUUUUAGAAGGGUAUUGAUGAAAUUCAUAGUCCCUAGAAGGGCAUCUAUGAAAUUAUCCCUUUUUUUUUUUUAGAGAAAUACUACUUGUACACCCAACUUUUGGUGUAAAUCUUACACCCUCCUAUCUAAGGGUUUAGACAACUCCUUUUAGAUUUUAAUAUUAUAAUAAUAGAUAGUGAUAAGACUAGUGUGCAAAAGUUGGCCCUCGGAUGGAAAAGGUGUAGAAUUUACAUCCACUUUUGGGUGUACUAGUAGCGUUCCUUUUUUUUUAAGUAUGAAGAGGAGUCAUAUCAUUGCUUGAUACCAAUUUAUUAGUCAAUGCUUAUGCUUAAUUUCUUUCUUUCUUUUUUACUUGUUUUACUUUUCUGAAAAAGAAAAUUACCAUAAAUAAAAUUGAAGUAAGAAGAUAAAAACAUUGUGAGAUUCUCAAAGAUGACACUUGAGAUAUUCUUGCAAUACCAAAAUUGUAUUACUUGUUGACUCUUAUCGAUUAUUUAGUUUUUGACCUUUUUGCUAUCUAAAACCCUAGAUUGAACAAGAAGCUUUAUUAGAUAAUCUUUCAUUUGAUUGGGACCUCAUGAACUUGUGGAAGUUGCCCAUUUCACUAGUUAAUUUCCACAUAGACAUUAUCCAUGAUGAUGUGACAAGUGGAUCAGGCCAAUUCAACCAACUUGCAAGAGUAGGGCCUUUUUUUAUGCCUACUGAGAAAAAUUCUAUACACAGAAUGAUCUUCUAGUUAUUCUGCGGUGGAAUAAACUUUUUUGAUGACUCAAUGCAUCCUGCCGCAGCUNAAGAUGGUAACGGAACUUAACUAAUGAAGGGUAUUUAUGAUACGUUUUGAUAUAUCGGAGGGCAUUCAUGAUAUUAUCACUUUUAGAAGGGUAUUGAUGAAAUUCAUAGUCCCUAGAAGGGCAUCUAUGAAAUUAUCCCUAGGUUAUAAAUACAUAUUUUUAAAUACUUUUAUAUAAAUAUCUUAUUUAUAUUAAUUUUUUAAAAAAAAUCUACUAAGAUUUAAAUUUAAAAUCUAAUCCAAUCAAAAAUAAAAAAUUUUUCUAUUCAACCAACUCCACUCAGCCCACUCGGCCCGAUUACAAAUAGAAAAAAAAAAAAAAAUUGAUUACUAUAUCUCCUUCUUCUUUUCCGGCGCCGCAGCCAACGAGAUAGGAUUCCGAUGACUUGAGUUCGGCAGCGAGGAUCUCGCAAAGGUCGUAAAAGACUACAAUGGCCACGCGUUCCCCCGCCACAGGUCGUUAGAGGAGUGGGUGCCAAACAUCGAUGCGGCUCCACAUAUAGCAACCUCAUAUAUAACAACACUUUUAAAAAGUAUCGAUAAUUUAGCCAACAAUACUUUUUUUUACCUAUACCGAUAUUUAAAAGUGUCGCUUUACACCGUUUUUUAUUAUAGUGCUAGCUAAGUGUGUUAUAUUAUACGUACAUAUAUGGAUAUAUAUGUUACAUUAUACAUACUUGUAUGUGUGUGUAUAUAUAUGGGUUAACUUGGGUGGUAAGUGGAGAGAUCCGCGUUGGAGUUAAUUGGUCUAGCUUGGGUGGUGGGUGCGUGUAAUUAAUUACCUGCGCCUUUUAAGUACCUUAUAAUGUGGUCACAAUGGUUGGAUGAGUUUUUGUUAGAUAAAAAACGCAGGGAGCUUAUAUAAUCUAUAAAUUAUUUUGAAUUCACUCUCUGAUCUUAUAAAAUUUUAAUUUCAGUAUCUAAUUUUUUAAUUAGUUUGAUUUAAGUUAGUCGACGAUAUUUUAAUUUUAAAAUUUAAAUGUAUUAUUUAUAAUUACAGAUUUAAUUAGUAUAUACUUCAUUCAAUUUUUAUAACUAUGAAUUUAUUAAAGUAAAUUAGUUAGUUUAAAAUUUGAAAUCAAAGUAUUAUUGGCCGAUUGAAAUCAAACAAAUAAAAAAAUUAAAUAAUAAUAUUAAAAUUAAAAAAAAUGAAAUAAUCGAUUCAAAAUAAUCGAUAAUUCAAAUAUGUUACUUAGAUUCUUACUUUUUUUUUGUUACACAAAUAUAUAAUGCUAUGCUUGCACAUUUUUCCUAGAAUAAAGCUUAAUUUCAAUGCUACUUAUAAGGAUAGUAUUCGUACAAACACAAUUAGUGAAAGGUCCAGUCUAAGUUUUCGAACUAAAUGUCUAUAUAUAUACCACGUGCUUUUUCUAAAAUUGGAAAAAUGAAGUACUCAUUGGUUAAUAGCUAAUGGUAAAAAGCUAACCAACCAAUUAUAUUUAUUGCAUUCUGAUGGAACGUAUAUUGUAUUACUUUAUUUUCAAUGUAUAAAAAACUAUUAUAACCUUGAGUAUUCAAGAGUAUGGUCCGUAUACUAUCAGUAGCACGAAAACCUCCGUGCUAUGUAUUAAGUUAUUUUUGAUAAUGUAGCUUUCAAAUCGAUGAUCGGUUUCGUUAGACUUGUCUACACUAUUAAAAGUAUUUGAAAACUAAAUUUUAUAAAAUUUUGAUAUCAUUUACCUAUCAAACGAGUAAUCUAAAAAUGAUGGCUGAAAAUAAAAAUUUUAUAAUAAUGAUAAAAGACUUGAAUUUAAAACUAAAGAUAUUUACUCUAAAUAGUAAAAAAUAUUUUUAUAAAACUUUUAUCAGAUUGGAAUUAUUUUACACCGUUAAAUUCACAAACGCACCACAUCGACCAUUAAAGUUGCCAAUUUUGAAACAUUUUAAUCACUAGCCAAAUAAUGUAAAAAAAAUAUGAAAUUUUCAAAUACUUUCAAUAAUACAAAUCAAGUCAAAUGGAGCCGAUCGUUGAUUUGGAAGCUGUAUCAUUAAAAACAACUUGCAGCUACCGAUAGUUUAUCAGUCUAGCUAGCUCGAGUAUUCAAUCCUAAACACUACACGCAUUUAUGAAUUAUUAUGGUAUUGAUUAGACCUGACAAUCUCAAACCUGUACUCGUGAUAUCCAUGGAUUACCUGUAAAUUUACGGUUAUAAAUAUCAGUUUUUCUUACCUAAAAUAUUAUAAAUAAAAUAGGUGGAUACCCAUUAUAUUAUAGGCAUUUUCGGUAACCUGCAAGUAUCCACGAGUAUCUGCAUAUAUUAUUUUUUAAAAUAUUUUAAAAAAUAAAAAAGUGAAUAUUCUUUUUAUUUUAUCCAUUCCUAGAAUCCUAACAUUAAUUUCUUCUAAUGUCAUUUUUUUUUUCUAUUUCUGUUUUAUGUUGCUAUAUUUUAAAUAAUAAAUUAUUGUUCGAUUGUUUUAAAAUAGGGAUAAUUGCCUAUAUAUUCCUCAUACGUUUGAAAAUAUCCAAUUUACCCCUAUUUUUUUUUUCUUUCUAAAAUAUCCCACAUAUAUUCCACCGUUAUUGCAAAAUACCCCCGCAGUUAUCUCCUGUUAAGUUAACUUAGGUUAACAUGAGUUAAAUAUCUACCACAGUUAAAAAAAUUUGCCCUUAACUUAAGGGCAAAAAAAAAAUAUUGGUGACGGCAGAAGAGUAUAUUAGAAAAGACCAAAAAUCAAAAUACUUUUUGUGCCUCUGAAUUUAAGGGCAAAUAAGAAAGUCAGUGAUGGUGGAAGGGUAUAUUUGAAAGGGUAAAAUAGUAAUUUUACAGAGUUAAUAGAGUUAAUUAACAGAUUUUAACUCUGGGGUAUUAGAAAUAGGUUGGAACGUAAAGAGGGUAUUUUCAAUAUAUAUUAGCCUUUUAAGAUGGGUAAAUCGAAAAAUCCAGAACUUUUCAGAAGUAUAUAAGCAAUUGCCCCUUAAAAAUAAUAUAUAAGAGAGACAAAAAAAACCUUUUGAAUAACUCUUGUACUUGCCCACCCAUCGGCUUAUGAGUAUGGAUAAGAGUGAUGAUUAUCCAAAAAUAUGCGGGUAAAUUCCACCCACGUUAGCAAAAUUCAUAGGUAUAAUGCCCCGUCCACGAUUGUCUAAUCCAGCUGUUUGUCAGGUCUAAUAUUGACAAAUUAAUUUAGAACAUUGUUAUUUGUACACUAAUCUUACACCCUCUCAUCUAACAAUCUUUGUUAGACUCUUAUCUUAUCUUUUUUUAAUACUAAAAAUGUGAAGAAUUUUUUAGACUUUAGAAUGAGAAGAUGUAAGAUUUACAUCCUUUUAAAUAUACAAAUAACAUUUUCAUUAAGAUUGAUUCUUACUAUUUAUGAUAGUAUAUUAGUAAUCGAAUAAUAAUAAAGUUAUCCAUAGAAGGUGCCCCAAUUAAGAAAGCUUUUUCCAUAGUUGAAAUUGAUUUAGCUAUGAAUUCACCCAAAAUGGCUUCUUCAUUUGAGCCACCUAAUUUCUUACACUUUUUUAUAAGCUUUCCGCUCUAAAGGGGAUCUUUAGUUUAACGUUCUCACAAAUAUAGUGCAAUAAAAAGUGCAUGAAGUUAGAUAUAACUAUCUAGAGUAGGGCUAUUUUAUUCUUAUAAGUAUAGAAUUUUUUAUAUUGAUAAGUUGUUUAUAACGAAGGAGCUUUCGAAUUGACGAUUCAUAUCAUUAAAUAUGAUCUAAAAUAUUUGAAACUUAGAGAAAGUAAAUUUUGUAAUUUUUUGAAAUUAUAAUAAAACCAUCAAGUGGAUAUAAAAUGAAUGGUUAAAAUUGAACAACAUCCUAAAAAUAGAUGAUCGGAUCCUUUAAUUUAAAAUCAGAGUUAUUCAUCUUCAUCUAGAUAGUGAAUAAAAUUUUUCAUCAAAAAUUCAAUCAAUUCUAAUUCUUUUAUAUCAUUAAACUAACAAGUAUUCCAUAUCAGCCAUUAAAAGUUAUCAAUUUUUAGAUCUUUUGAAUGUAAUGUAAAUGAUGCCGAAGAAUUAUGAAACUUAGUUUUAAAAAGUUAAAAAUGUUCUAAAUCAUGUUUAACGGUAUGAAUCGUCGAUUCGAAAGUUUUAUCAUCGAAAACGACAUAUGAGUAUAAUGACGAUCAUAUUCAUAAGAAUAUAGUAGCCGGACUCCUAUUAUCUAUUAUUUUAAAUUACUCUACCAACGCAUCUCCAACUACGUCCGAUUUAUGCAUAGUUGGAGAUGCAGUAGCUGGGCCUCUUGUUGGAUUUAGAUAACGUGAUUUAUUUAAGGCGAUAUAUAAAGAUACAAUCGAUCUAUUCAAAACGAUCUGUAAAGAUACUGUCAAUUCAACUAUUAGGAUAUAUAUAUUUGGACACGUUCUUGAUGGAUGGAUACGAUUUAACAUCCUUACAUUGGAUUAUAUAAAUAUAUGUAACAUACGAGAGUCUUAGUCUAAUCCUAAUUCUAAUUUCCGUAACGGUUCCAUAUCCGAGGAUAAGAAAAUAAGCUCAAUCAGAUCAUGAAUUAGGACGAAUCACAAGCAAGAAUUGCUGUUUACAAUCCCUAUCUGUAAAUCGAAAUAAUACCAGAAGAUACGAUUAUAAUUUUUCAUAAAGUUUAACACCUCUAAAACUGCAGGUCCAGCUGUAGUAUGUAGAUGCAAUCAUACUAAACCAAACAACUUUUUUAAAUUUCAGCUAUAAUUACACUUACAAUGCAACCUGAGCUGCAAGGGAUCGAGUCGGCAACGUAUUCAGAGACACACAGCGUGAUCAGAGUGAGGAGUCGGCGAAAAUUUUGUUAAGUGGGCUCAAUGCAUGUCUCCUGAGUUAAUUAAUUAAAUUAUUUAUUUAACAAUGCACAUGUGCUCGAUGCGAGGCUCUCGCAACUCAACAUUUAUGAGAUAGUGUACCAAGUGCCUAAUUAAAUUAGUGGGUCCGUGCAACUGAUUUAUUAUUAUACAUAUCAAUUUCGAGUCCCUAAUUUCUUGCUGAGUAAUUAAUGGUGGAGCAAUGAUUCGCAAAGCGCUAUUUAUGUGGUUGUGUGCGAGGAAAAUGAUACAUUUGGCACAUUGAGAAAUCAUACGAUUCAUUAGGUUCUCACAUGGUUUGAUGAGUACCCAGCCAUAUGUUUGGGUACUUGGGAAUUUCAUUGCAGGGUAAUAAUAAUAUAGUAUACGACUAGUGGAUUCUAAUAUUACACAAAAAAAACUUCAAAAACAAAAAAUUAUCUACAAACAUAUAUAUAUAUGUAGUUGUUGCCACUCUAUAUAUAUAUAUAUAUAUAUAUAUAUACACAGUGCGGCUAGAAUGCUUAUGGAAGCACGGAGGGCUCUGUACUUUCACUUUGUUUUCGAUGUUCGGACUUUCGAAUCGACGAUCGGCUCCAUUAGACUUGAUCUAGAGUAUUUAAAGUAUCUAGAAAAUAAAUUUUGCGAUUUUUCGAUAUCAUUUGCCUAGUGAUCGAAAUGGCUCAAAAUCAACGGCUGAAAAUAAAAAUCUUACAAAAUAUGAUGAUAUGACAUUAAAAUUUUGGAUCAAAGUUAUUGAUCUUGUUUUAUAUGGUAUAAAGAAUUUUCUAUCAAAAUUUCAUGUGAUUUGAAUAUUUCUACACUGUUAAACUUGCAACCGGCUCACCACGGCCGUUAAAAUUAUUGAUUUUGAGCCCCUUCGAUCACUAGGCAAAUGAUAUCGAAAAAUCGCAAAAUUUAUUUUCUAGAUACUUCAAAUACUCUAAAUCAACUCUAACGGAGCCGAUCGUCGAUUCGAAAGUCCGAACAUCGAAAACAACUUGAAAGCACGGAGGCCUCCGUGCUUCCAUAAGCAUACCAACCCACUCUAUAUAUAUAUAUACAAAUAUAGAGAGAGAGAGAGAGAGUUGAGCUGGAAUGCUAUCGGUAAUAAAUGGAUUCUUAUCGCCCAUUUAUUUUCGAUGAUGAAACCUCCAAAUCAACUAUUAGCAUUGUUGAAUAUGAUCUAUACCACUCGAAACAUUUAGAAAUCAAAUUUCAUAUUUUUUCGAUAUUAUAUAUUCUCUUGUCCAUCAAAUGGACACAAAAACAUUUAGAUCGCGAAUGUAGAUUUUGUUCUAAAUAGUUUUAAAAAAAAAUUAACCAAAAAUUAACUGAUUUGGAUAUCUUUACACCAUUAAACGAAAAAAUGCAUCAAAUCGACCAUUAAAAUUAUAAAUUUUGAAACCCUUUGAUCAUGAGGUCAAUGAUGUUGAAAAGAUUUAAAAUUUGGUUUUUAGCUAGAUACUUCAAGUGGUAUAAAUUAUGUUCAAUAAUGUUGAUCGUCGAUUUGGAGGUUCCAUUAUUGAAAAUAAAUGGGUGGCAAUGGAGCCUAUUUACUACCGAUUGCAUUCCAGCUCAACUCUCUCUCUCUCUCUCUCUCUCUCUCUCUCUCUCUCUCUCUCUAUAUAUAUAUAUAUAUAUAAUGAAAAAUAAAGUGGAAGUGGUUAUUGAGAGACCAGGUAUGGCUAAUCUGAUCAACUCUAUCAUGUAUGUAAUCGAUCAUUGACCAAAAGUUUUAAACAAUUCCCACUAGCUUUUACUCCGGAAAAACUAAAGCACGGGGGUGUAAAAAAGUUUACAAAUUUGAUCAUGCAGGACCCAAAAGAUAUAUAGUGAAUUUAGUUAACAACUUAAACACAUUGCCUGUAGUGUCCAUUCACCUUGGCAAAGAAGCAAAGCAUUGCACAUGAGUUUAGUUAAUAAACACAUUGCCUACAUGUGUGUCCACUCAAACAGUGCUUCAUUCGUGCCUUGUGGUUCUAUUAUGUUGUACCCUGGCCUGCGUUAUCUUAAGUCAUGGGCCCACAAGGGGUAGCUUCCAACAACAAAAAGUGCUUUUUGGAAUAGUCAAAUGAUACAAGCCUCCACUGUGGCUCAAUAGAGCUCCUCUACGAAGCAGAGACAAACUAUUGAUGAGCUGUAAUGAAUGUUGAAUCCACUCACGAGUGCAUGAAUGUGAGACAUAUGGAAGCAAAUAUAAGAGCAAUGUGUGGAUAAUGUAUAUCCCUACUUAAUUAAUAUAUGAGAGGGCUCUCUCAAAAAAAAACCAAAAAAAAUGAAGUGAAAAUGAAUGACAUAACUAGUUACUAAGUUAGUAGGUGUUCAAACCAUUAAAUUCCAAUGCUAGCAUUUGUUGCUUCAAGUACGGAAAAAAAAGGAUCAUAAUAAAGAGAUCCAACAACCAAGCAUACACAUGCACAGUAAAAUCGAAUCCGAUAUGUUUCGAUUGGAGUCGAUUUAAAGCUAAAUAAGACACAGGGCGAAUCCUCCGCUUUUCUCGACUUCGAGAUCCGGUAGUGAUUUGCGCGACAGAGUACUAUUGAUGCACAGCGUGAUGUGUAAUUGUGUAGCAGAAUCAAAGAGAAUUCGUAUGCGCUAUGAAGUAUAAGUGACAUUUCGGUCGAAUAUUUCUAGUAUUACUCAAAUGUAUAAUUUGUGCAUUUACCUUGGAUAUAUAAGGCCUAUAUAUAUAUAUAUAUAUAUAUAUAUAUAUGUAUAUGCCAAAACAAUAUAAAAUUUAAGCAGUAGCAAGAACUCAAGCAUAAAUUUUGUUUUAUAUGCUUAUAAAUAUAAAAGUGCUACUUUGUGAGAAAUUAAACGAUCACAUCUAACAAGCCUGAAGCCCGGCCUGCGAGGCCCGAUCCACCGAGCGGGACGGACAUGGGCCUAUCGGGAGGCCCUUUAAUUGGACCAGGCCUGGCCGGACUUGGGCCUCUAUAUUGUAAAUUCGGGCUUGACCAGGCCAGGCCCAGACAUGAUCCAGCCCGAUCCAUGAACAGGUCUAAUAGUAGGGAUGUCAUUUGUCACUGAGCACAUAUAUCCAAAAUUUUAUCCGAAUCUAUAUCCGAACAGACGAGUUUAUCCGAUUCUAAAUGAAUACGAUUUUAAAUAUAGGUAUAAAAAAUGAAAACUCAACGGAUUUGAGUAUGGACUUUGUCUCCACCCGAACUAAACUCAAACCUGAUCCAAAUUCAAAUUGAUUUUAUAUUAUAUAAUAAAUAUGAAUGUUUGAUGCUAUAUUUGUACAUGCACUUUAAAAUUUUAGAUUUUAAUAUAAUAUAUUUGGAAACAUGGUAAAUAGAAAUAAUUAUGUCGGGUUCAGGUUUCGAGUUUUUCGUCGGGUUUGGAUUUGAAUAUGAAUUUUCAAAAUCCAUCAGGUUCAAAUUCUAGUUCAAACUCUGGACUCGAAUUUCGGGUUCGGGUUCGGGCUUUGAAAAUUCUGGCUUGAAUCCCACCUGUCGAUACACUUAAUUGUUAGUGAAUUCCUGCAAUUUUGAUGAGUAUAAAAUUAGAAAAACUUCAAAUACCAUACCAGUGGUUUCGUGCUUUCUCACUUUAGUGUGAUUUCAAAUGUAUCACUUUAGUACUCUCUGGUUUCGUUUUUCUCUUUCUGUUAUCUUAUCCGAUAAUUUUUUUGUUCAAUCAGUGACAAAGUUAAAACCACGGGGUACUAAAAUAAAUAUUCGGUAAAUCAUAGGAUACUAAAGUGAAUAUUCGAUAAACUAUAUAUAUACCUGUGGAGGUACUGAUGAAAAAAAUAAAAUAAAAUUACAAGAUACUGAGGUGAUAUAUUUUAAACAACUGAAUAUUAAAGUGAGCAAAUGCGAAACCCCGAUAAGUGUUCAAAUUAUACUGGACCAAAUGAUGAUGAUGUUCAUAAUUUGCUGCUUAUUAGGAAUUUUUUCUUUUUUUACUUUUUUUUUUUUUUUUUUCGCCCUUUGAGACAUCUCCCACCUCAAAUCAUUAUCUCGAAUUUUACUGUGCAUCACGGCUCCUUGACCAUCACACAGUUGUGUUAUUUAUGGAUCUAUUUGCUUUAACUUUUCGCGAAAUAAUUUUUACAUAAUUAUUUAUGGAGAGUGUUUGGCUCACUCUAACAGAAAAUUAUUUUAUUUUAAAAUAAUUUUGUAAAGUUAUUUGACAAAUUCUCUAACAAAAUUUUAUAAAAUUUAAAUAUAAAAUAUUAAUUUGAAUUUUAAAAUUUAAAUUUAAAUUUUAAAUAUUACAAUUUAAAAUUUAAGUUUUCAAAAUUCAAAAUUUAAAGUUUUUCAUUCUAAAUUUUAAUUUUUUAAAUUCAAAAUUUAAAAUGUAAAUUUCAACUUUUUAGAUUUAAAGUUUAUCGAUUUUGAAUUUACAAUUUAAAUUUAAAUUUAAAAUUCAAAAUAAAAAUCAAAGGUUAAAAUUUAACAUUUGAAUUCAAAAUUAGAAUCAGAUUUUAGAAAGUACAUAGGUUUUAGCUGUUUCUGGUUUUGAGCCUUUGUAAAUUAGAAUUCAAAUUUUAAUAUUAAAAUCAGAUUUUACAAAAAAAAAAAUUACCAAACAUUCAUUUCACACUAAAAUUACUUUCCAAAAAUUAGGCGAAAUACAUGUCUAACUCUUGUGGCACAUAAAUUUGCCGUAGAAAUAGUAGUUGGCAAACAAUGGGCUCCUAAGAUGCCCAAUCUCGGAUGCCUUCACCUUAGAAAUUUCUAAGGUGCUGAUAAUAGUGUCAAUCCAUUUUAUUCGUGCAUGUUUACUUUUUUUUUUUUUUUUUUUUUUUUUUUUUUUUUAAUAUUACUACAUCAAUAGUGAAAUUUACUACAUCAAUAUUACUAGUUUACUAAUAUAUUAGCAAUGUAUAGGAAUUUGUGGUAUGCACUCUGAUGUUUAUUAAAAUUAAAAUACAAAAAGAAAUUUCUGUAAAUAUCUAUUUUUUUUUUUACUUUUAAAAAUCUGUAUUUUUAUCCUCUUAAAAUUUUAAGUUGAUGCACCUAGUCCUUUUCCGUCAGGGUUUCGUCAUUACCCUUUUCCAUUAGGGUUUCGUCGUUAUUCCGUCUAUUUUAUAUAAUUUAUACCGAAAAUAUCCUUUAAAAUAAUAGAGAUAUAUUAAAAAAAUUAUUUUUUUUCUCGAGAAUAAGUAGAAGGAUAAUUUGGUCAUUUUAUCUUCUCUAUUAACGUCGUACACUCUGAAAAUAUUUUUUAAAUUUUGAGGGGGUAAAAUAUAAAUUUAUAAAAGUAAGAAAGAAAAAGUGAAAAAAAAAUGAGUAUUACAUGAAUGCUUUCUAUAUUUUAGCCCUUUAUUAAUAUGAUUCACUCAAUAUGAUGCCCUACUAUGAUUCGUCUGAUCUCUUGUUAUCUGACAAUCUAAAAAAAUUGAGGAUCACAAAAAUAUAAAGGCCUUUGUAUGUUUGGAUGUACGAAUAUUUUGUGUGACAUAUUUUUUAAAUUUUUAUAAUAAAUUUGUAAUUUAUGAUAGAUAACGAGCGCGAUCAAAUUUUUUGAAUGUAAAGACCUUUAUUUUUUUUCAAAAUAAGAUAAAGCACAAUUUAAGAAAAAUAUACUAUUUUACCAAAUCAUAAAUACUGAGACAUUGUAAUAUCUGAUAGAUAAUGAGUGUGAUCAAAUGUUCUUAAUAUAAAGACCAUUAUUUUCUUUUGAAAUAAGAUAAAGUACAAUAUAAGAAAAAUCUACUAUCUUGUCAAAUCAUAAAUACUGAAACAUUUUAUAAAGCAAAAUUUAAAUUUCUAGCUUCCAAUCAAAGAAAAAAAAAAUCUUUAUAUCAAACAAAUUAGGGUAAACUUCAAAUACCACCCUUGUGGUUUCGUAUUUUCUCACUUUAAUACCCUGUGGUUUAAAGUGUAUCAAUUUAGCCCUCUAGUUUUAUUUCUCUCUUUUCGCCAGCCCCUUCGUUAACUUUUUGUUAAAUCAUAUACAAAAAACUUCAGAUAUCUCACCUAUAUUUUAUCGAAUAUUCAGUUUAGCACUAUUUAGUUUUAACUUUGUCACUGAUUUAACGAAAAAAAUUAGUGGAGGGAUAACAAAAAGAGAAAAAUAAAAUCACAGGGUAUGAAAAUGAUACAUUUUAAACCACAGGAUACUAAAGUGAAAAAGUACGAAACUACAGGCCGGGGUAAUAGAUUUUGGCCCAAAACCUGCUUUCAGAUGAAAGAUUGAAACUUUCCACACAGUUCUGCAAUUGAAUUCUUGUUUCAUAUUAUAAAUAUUUGCAUUUUAUGAGUGAAAAAAAAAAAAAAAUUGUAUAUAUAUUUAUUAGGAAGAGAGUUUUCCCUCCAACCUCUCCUGAGCUCUCCAACAACCUCACUGUCACUUCCACUCAGUGAUCUAAAUGCUUACCUCUUAUCCACACAACUCCUAUUAAAUCUUAUUUAUUAUCUCUACAAGUUUUUUUUUCCUUCUUUUUUCCUUUUUUUUUGUUUUGUAUUUCACUUUCACCCUCCUUUUUUUUGUCCUUUAUUUUAUUAUGGUGAUAGGGAGUUGACCAUUUAUUAUGUGCUAUUAUUAUUUUACUAUUUGUCAUUUAGGAUUGCAUUAAAAUCUAAAAGAAGUCAUUAAAUUAGUCAAAGAAUAUGCUCCCUUUUUUUGUAAAAAGAUGGGAAAAAAAAAAUAAUUAUACUUCUUUUUGGCUCGGGAAAGAGUCUAAAAUAAAUUAUAAGCUGCAAAGUUUGGAGUUCAAAUACGAAGCUUUUAUUUCCCACGCAGCAGAGAGUCGCUAUAGAGAAUUUAAUAGAAAAGCUAUUGGUAACAAUGCAAAUAACUUUUUUGAAUAGUUCUACUUAGAUAAUUAUUAUUUUUUUUUUUUGUCAUUACGCCCUCUCUAUUAACGCGUAGCCUCCUGAAAAUAUUUCUAAAAUUUUAAAAAAUUAAAAGAGAAAAAAUAUAAAUAUUUAGGGAGAAAUUAUCUAUAUAUUUAGCAAUCCUUUUUUUCUCAUUCAGCAUAAGGCAUGAACAAAUCCUAGGCUUUUGUAGGUUGGUAUUGCUUUAUUGGGAACUACCAACACUGCAAUGCUGGGCCCACCUAGGGUUUCUCUGAAUCAGCUGUGAAGGUUAGGUGGGACCAGGGCUCACUUUGAAAUGCCCUUCCUUUGCAUUCAUGGAUGUGUUAAAAGCUUCAGCAGGUGAACUAAUGAAUGUCCUAAGGAGCCUUUAGAUUCAUGGGCCCCAAAAUAUCAAUAAGUUGUAGUGCAUAGGCUUCAAGGGCAACAACAGUUGCAGGCUAGUUAUUGCAGCUUCUUUUCUCCUCAUAAAUUUUCACUUUGGGGUGUAAGAAUGUUCACCUAAAUGCCUACAGGGUUCAUGUUCUCUCCAUAGUUACAGCUUAUGAAUUAAGGCUCCGUUUGGAAUUGCGAGAGAAUCAACGGGACAUAACCGUAAGAAAAUACGAUAGAAAAAUACUCUGUUUGUUUCCGUAUUUAAUAUCACGUUUCGCAUAUCACAAUAAGUAGGUUACGAUAUUUUUAUUUCGAUCCCACCAUAUAUAUAUAUAUAUAUCACUAUAUUGCCUCAACUUCCGUUUGUCUACUAGCAUUAGACGGAUCUCAGUAUCAAAUGUUCUCUAAGAAUGUUGUUUAGUAUGGUUGGAGCUUUUGUAGAUGUGCUGUUCAAAUAUAAUCCUUCACAGAAAUACUAAUAGUUUUUUCAUUAAAAGACAAUGUUCUCUAACAAUUUAAACCUUUUUAGAGACAAACGUUUGUUUCAUAGAAUCCAUCUUAAAGAACUUUUUACCACAACAUAAAUAGAAGUUUAUUUCAGUGAUAAGUUUAAUUCUGUUUUGGGUGUUCAGAAGCUCAAUAUCAAUUUCCGCUGCAAUAAUUGCGGGCUUAGUAUACCUUUUACCAAUUGAUUUUGCAUUUAGUUUAUGAUUGAGACUUAAUUUUCUACAGAACUAAAAGAGGAGGAGUGGCAGUAACCAAGAGCAUUAAUGAAGCUAACAAACAACUCUAAUCUUGCUGGAUUAAGCAGUUGGAAUCAACUAACCAAAUUUAAUUUAAAGCUAAUUUAAUUUAAGGCUAAUUGAUGUGCCUCUCAUCGGGUCGUACAUCGAUCGCGGUCUCGCGUCAACUUACAUUACCAUCAAUGAAAACCAGGAAAGGCCCACCCCAAGGUUGAAAUUCUCAUCCAUUACUUCAAAUAGAGUGGCAACAUCACUUUCCUCAUAAAUAGUUUCAUGUAUAAAGCUUUAAUCAUAAAUAACACAUCAGUAUCAGUUUUACCGGAAGAAUAAUUGCUCGUGAAAACACACAAUUUUACUUUCCAUCGCAAUAGUUCCUAUAAUAAUAGCUAACACAUGUGCUAUUUAUGCAAUGCACAUAUUUUUUUAACUACCAUUUAAGCAUUUAUACCAAUAAUAAUAGAAACAACCAAACACUUUCUCGAACUUUAGGAACUGUACGAAUUGCUCAUCAGUUAAUGUUAAUGAACAGAAGUCAAUACCCGAACCACACAUCCUUGCUUCAUGUAGGGAGAGAAAUACAGACAUAGAUAAGAGUGAGAAAAUGGACUAAGCUAAAAAAAAUAAAAAAAAGGAAGCGAAAAAAAGGGAUCGAGGAGUUAUCGAGAGCAAGGAAAAGAGACAAGCAUGGUGCGUUCUUGACUUCCUUUUUAAAAGCUUCCUAAGCGUAAAUGCAACACGACCCUUGUUAAGAACCCCUUUGAACUUCAUCUUUAUGAAGAGAGAAACAUAUUUAUAUAUGGCAUCAGCAUCAGCAGAAUCAGCAGCAGCAGCAGCAGCAGCAGAAGCUGCAAGCACACCACAGUUAAUUCCAGCUCUUUGAUGAGCUCAUUGAAGAUCCCAACCAACCCAAAAAAGUUAAAAAGAAAUGAAAAUAAAGAACCAAUUAAAAAUCUCCUCCACUUUAAUUCGAUUCCCGCAUCAAAGAGCCACUGAAAUUCAUCUGAUGUGCUGCAGCUGAGAUUCAAUAUCAGCCACUGGGGCAAUUCAAAGCAGCCUUUAUUUGCUGCACAGUUGUGCUUAUGAGGUUAUUAACCGUCGCCACCGACUCCACGUUGAGCUUGGACGAGGGGAGGCUGCUGACGAGUAUCUGAAACGCAACGGUGAGCAACGAACCAGAGGAAUUGAACCCGGUUUGGUGCGCGCUCGAGCUCGUCGAGGCCCCUCUAACCCCACCAGCUCGACCGUCAGGAAGAAUGGUGAACCCGGAGGGGAGGAGCGCAAUGUUCGACGGGUCCUCGCCGCUCAUCACGAUGUUGAUGGCCGGGAUGUCUAUGGGUGCGUAGACCACGAGAGAGCCCGACGCGUCAGUGCAGCUCUCUUGUAGUAUCAGCAUGCUACUCUGGCUCGAAUUCAGUCCCUGUGUUUGAUUUCCAAAUAGUGUAAAGUUCUACUAAAGUUCGUAUCCUUCGAAGAGAACAAAAGUUUACUGAAGACGCAAGACAGUAAACUUACUCGAAGUAGCGAAAUACAAUUCCCUGGAUCCGAACCGUUUGAUAUCCUAGCAACUUCUUGCACCGGAUUGCCACUCGAGAGAACAUCCCACUGCGAAAGAUUACAUCCGAAUUCAAAAGAAUUUCCACUUGAAAGAACUGCGAGUAAAAGAAAGCGAGGAGUUAGGUAUACGGUGAGGACCUGAGGCCGCAUAUUUUCAUCUCUGAAGAAAGAGAAGACCCUCUCGCACGACAUUGGUAGCCACAACGAGGUCGCAGCGCUCAGAACGACGCCGCUAGGCUGGCCAGGAUCCGAGCUUCGAUGAACUGUGACGCGAACACCCACGUCGCUUAACCCGGAUAGCAUCGUCCACCGCUGGAUCUGGGAUGAGCUCAAACUAGCACAAAAGUUGUUGACCAUCCUCUGCGAGAGCUUCAUCAUACUUCUCUUCCCCUCCGGCGAGGGAAUAACUGGCAAAAAUAGAUCAAAUUGUGGUCAAAAUUUUUUAGGUUUUAAUUCCCGCGAAAAAACUAGUCUAAGCAAUCAUGAAGUACCUCCUCCGAGCUCCCUAGAGGUAGUAGCCAUUAGGCCUGCAAAUCUUUCGCAUGUUCGCUGCAAAGUGGUUAGCCAUCGUUGAGCUCCGAAUGCCGCCCCACUGUUGAUGAGUUCCCGAUAGAGUAGAUGAGUGCUAACUUUCUCUUCAAUUUCCAUGUGUUCCACCCAAGUAACCUGCACCAAAAUGUCGCACUAAAAAACCGCAAAAACAAGAGAACAUAGACAUAUCUUAACACCAAAGUAUCAUGAACAAAUGUAUAAUGUAGCACCUUGGAGUAUCCAUUGGGCAUAUCUUGAAUCAAACAGCCGGAAGGGAGCCUCCGAGACCGCAAAGGCGAAUUGAACUGAUUCUCUCUAUUUAAGUCUAGCGAAACAUCGGCUAUAGCCCACAAACCCUGAUCGAUUUGCCGACAGUAACGCAGGAAGUGGAACUCGCGCGUGGGCACAACCGGCGAUAGCACAUGCAGUUCCUCAUACAUCUGCAUUUGCAUUCCAAUCAGAAAAGAAUGAAGCGAUUUGUCGCGACAAAUACCACGAAAAGGAUUUGCAACGAUAAUGCGAUCGAGUAACUACCAAAAGCAACGAUCCGCUUCUUCCAACCAUCCCAGUCGCGAGGACUUCGAGCGUCCUAGCCUUGGAAAUAAUGGCGGACAAGAAUUCCAACCACUUGCCCUGUACAAUGUAGGAACUGCGAAUCAAUCUCAAUCCAAAUUGAAUCUGCGAGAGUUAAGAUUAAACCAACCAGAAAUAGUCGUUGGAGCUCACCGCGUCCAUGAAAACAUCGACCAACGCCGUUGCAUUCAUGAGCACUAAGCCCGAAUCCCUUGAGGCCUCUAUGCGGAUAUCCGGAUCCCUAUACCGGUCAUCGGGCUUCUGGAACAUCCUAUCAUAGGUUUCAAUACACAUGACCUCUCCUCUGUCACCGCCAUUCCUUACCCACAAGUGCUCAUCAGUUUGCGCGAGCCUAAUCACCUCCUCCAUUGCAUUAGUAGCCAUCUCCACCAUAAUAGGUUUCUCAAUCUCAGGCACCGCCGUCGGGAAAUGCGGAACGGUGACAGAACCACUCCCGGUGAGGAGAUCAAGGUCGAGCGAAGGGGCAAUUGUGGGGUUUCCAAGCGCCCCGACCGAUAAAUCCAAUGACGAAGCAGCCAAGUGUUGAAUCAAAGGAAGCUGAGUGAUGGGUCUUCCGAGAUACUUCGAUGUCAAGCCGGAAACUCGAUCGAGCUGUCCCAAAAUUGAUCGAAAACAAGAAACUUUACUCGAUUUUAGCCGAAAAUCCGAGACCUUUUCAUCUCAUUCAUCAACAUGGAAUUAUAGAGACAAAAAAGAUUUGAACAAGUGGGUAACUAACUAACUAAUUAACUACCUCUUCUUUCAAUCUAGCAUUCUCCAUUCGCAACUUUUGCUCGUCGAAGUAGGAGCCGCAGGAGGGGCAGAUGACGUUCUUGAGCGCCUCGCGCAUCGCGAUGUUCUCGCACCGAAUCUUGUCGUUCUCCGACCGCAGAGUGGAGUUGUCGGCCCUCUCAUGCUGAACCUGCCACCACACAUGAACACACACAAACACAUAUAUACAUAUAUAUAUAUAUACAAGCACAAUGAACCAAAACCAUUACAAAAAACAACUCCUUUUUACUCUCUACAACAUCUACAACAUCUACAACCACCAAUUGAAUGAAAAAAGUGGGAAAAUGAAAGGAAAGGAUAGGGAACCUUCAUCUGGGUCCUCCUAUUCUGGAACCAAAACUUGAUCUGCCGAGGCUCCAACCCCAGCUCCCUGCUUAGAUGCAUCCUCUGCUUCUCAUCAGGGUGCGGGCACUCCUUAAACAUCCUGUAGAACAAGCAAAAGCCCACACGGGGAUUACUCCACAAGAAGCUCAAAAAGGAAAGCAAAAGAUCAAAAAAGAGGGGUUUUUGACGCGACGUACGCCUCGAGCAUCUGUAUCUGCAUCGGAGUGUGGCGGUGGUACCUCUUCUUCUUCCUCUGCGCAUCCGAGCAUUCUUGGUCGUCGCCAAAAUCCAUUUUUUCUUUCCCUUUUUUGUCUUGUUUUUUUGUUUUCUCCCCUCUUCUGCGAGCUCAAACCAAGUGCUCUACUCCUCCCACCGCAACACAACAACAACAAUAAGAAACCGACAAAUGGGCAUGCGUUUUGGGGCUAAAAGGCAUGGUUUUGGGCGCUCAAAAAGAGCUCUUUUGGUGGUUUCUCCUCUCGCAGGAGCCGCGCUCGGAAAUAUCGGCAAAUAUUGGGGCGCUGAUACGAGAAAAAGAAAAAAAAAAAAAAGAAAGGUUUUUGGGGUUGGGUGGUAGGAAUUAAUACAUACAAACAGUGUUCGUUCUCGUUCUCCCCCACAAACACAAACACUAUACUUUGUGUGUUUUUUUUUUUUUUUUAAUAGCUCGGUUGGGGAGAGGGAGAGAUAACCGAUGCGUAUUACAAGGAGAGGAGUUGAAUACUUGAAUUUUCCGAAUUUAAAUCAUCUCGCAGGGUUCGAGGUCGAGGGAGUUCACUCUCUCUCACUCUCUCUCUCUCUCUUCUUUCUCUCUCUUCUUCUUCUUCUUCUUCGGUCUCGUUGGUGAAUUGAGAGGGAGAAGUGGGGGUGGUGGUGGUGACGGGUUGGCACAGCUGGAGCAAUUAAAGGCGCGCGACGAAUCAAACGGCUCGGAUUCGGACUUCGCUCCGUGGCCUGUUUGGCCCUCUUUUAGUUUUUGCCCCUUUGCUCUGGCUGCUGAGAAAGGGCUUUUUCUAGUAUCAAGCUCAGCCUGGAAUGUCAGUAUGGAUAUCUAAAAUUUUAUUCAAAUCCGAAUCCGAACCGAACGAAUUUAUACGAUACUAAAUAGAUAUAGUUUCGAAUAAGAAUAUCAAAAUUAAAAAAUAUAAAUUUUGACUGUUCGGGAUCCGAACCCGAACUCAAAUUAAUUUUACAUUAUAUAUAUAUAGUAUCACGCUAUAGUGCUCUUAGAAGUACAAAGUAUUUGGUAUUUGUAAGUUUUUCACAAUUAAAUUUAUUCUCUCCAUCAAUUUCACCUUUUAAAUUUAUUCCUUUGAUCCAUUUCACCCCUAGAUUAUGCUAUUCCACCGUUCACCCACUCAAAUCUUCGGACCAUUAUUAUCCUAAUCCUACAAAUCUUCAUCCAAAAGCUGAAAACCUAUGAGUACCAACGACCUGAUGCUUUUAAAAGAAUAGAAACUUAAUUUUAUAUAUAUAAAUAUUUAAUGUUAUAUUUGAAUUUAUAUUUUAAAAAAUUAAAUUAAAUCUAAUAUGUUUUGAAAUAUUGUAAAGAGAAUUAAUUGUUUUGGAUUGGGGUUUUCAGGUCCGCAUUUCGGUUUCAAAUUUUUGGUUGAGUUUGGGUUUGGAUAUGAAUUUUAAAAUCCAUAUGAAUUCAGGUUUCGAGUUUAAUAGUUAGGUUCUGGUUCAAUUUUUUUGAAACUUCGCUUUGAAUUUGACCCGUUGGCAUCAAUUGGGACUAAAGUAUAUAUAUACAUAUAUUUUUCUGCGGGAGCGUAGAGAGAAUUGGCUGGUCUGUUUUACCGACAGUGAAGUUUAAAUUUUAGCAAAUUUUCACAUGAAAAUUAUUUUUCUUCCGCUAUUUAUUUGUAUAGUUGUAGAACUGAAAUUCCUUCAGUUCUGUUUUUUAUGUGACAGAAAAUGAAUAACCUAAAAAGAUAAAGGUGUAGUAAAAUGAGCUUUUUUUUUUUUUUUUUCGUAAUUGACUUCAGAGAGUUAAUUUGAGUUUUGACCGACAAUGAACCAAACAAUGAAAAUGACUAUUGACAGUUGAGAACUGCUUCACCUCUCUCCACUUUCGGUUAAAUAAACACACCCCAUAUCAUAACCAAUAGACGGAGUAUUUUUCUAUUACUGCACAUACGGUUAUCUCUUUGUAAUCCCAAAAAAAUUUAACAUAAAAUUAUUUUUAGAAUUAAAUAGUAGUAUUUAUAUGAUUUGGCCAUUGACCUACAUUUGUGGACAAAGAUGGAGAGAAGACUUUAACUAUAACCAACAUGGAGUUAAAAAAUACAUUUCUCGCAAAAUUCUAGCCCCAAAAUAUAUCUCAUACUCUAUCUCUUUCACCGCACCAAAUUAAUAGCAUAUAAGAUAUAUUUAUAUUAAUGACUAAAACCUAAUAAAAUUAGUAAUAAUCUCAAUAAGACUAAAAAUAAUUCUAAUUUAACUUUAAUGGAUUGACCUAUAUAAAAUAGAUUUAGAAAGUCUUACGGUUCAAAAAUUUUAGACAUAUCCAAUAAUACAAAAUUAAAAAAAAAACUAUUGAGAAUAAACUAAUGUAAUCCUUUUUCUAAUUGUAUUUUAUUAAAUAGCACUAUACUCUACAGUAAUGACUAAAUGAAUCCUUCAUCGGUGAAAGGAAGAAUGCAGUGCAAAAAAUAUUUUGAAAAUCGGAUCGAGCUGCAACUCAAAAAUGUCAUUUGGUUAAGAGUCACUGGUUCGACAAAUAGGUCAACCACUGAUUGAACCAGUGAAAUCAGCAUGACGUUACAAAAUAUUUAAUUAUUAUUUUAAUUUUAUUAUAUAAAAAUAGAUAUUAUUAUUUAGUAUCAUGCUUAAUUAUAAAAUAGGAUUUUUAGAGAAACUUAAGUACAUAUAAGCUUUCAAGUUUACUUUUUAUAAGACUAAUAUGUAUUAAUAGAAAAUAAAAUUAGUUUGUAUUCUUGAUUAAUUAAAUAAAAUCGCCUUAGGGCGUCUUUUUUCUUAAAAAAAGAAAAGAAAAUAAAACUAGUUAAGUUAAUUUUUGGGAAAACUUUAAAAAACCCCUCUGUGGUUUCGUAGUUUCUCACUUUGCCUCCCUGUGGUUUAAAAUGUAUCAAUUUGCCCCCCUGUGGUUUCUUUUUUCUCUUUUCCUUAUCAAUUUUAUUAUUAUUUUUUUCUUAAAUCAGUGAUAAAGUUAAAAUUAAAGGUACUAAAGUAAAUAUUUGAUAAAUCUAGAUGGGUAUCUGAAGUUUUUUAUAUAUAAUUUAAUGAAAUAUUAACGAAAAAGCUACCAAAAAGAUAAAAACGAAACCACAUGGGGGCAAUUUGAUACAUUUUAAACCACUGGGGGGCAAAGUGAAAAACUACGAAACUACAGGGGGGUUUUGAAGUUUUUCCUUAAUUUUAAGAUAUUGGAUUUUAAUAUGACUUGAUUAAAAAAAAAAUCCAGCUAUAUUGAUUAAAAUCGGACCAGUUCAUUAUUUCGACGGUUGAACCAACGGUUCGAAUAGUUCAACACAAUUUUUUAACGUAUUCUAGUUUGAAGGAAUGAAUCGAAUUGCUUUAUAGACUGGAUUACGGUCGGAUCGAACUGGUUCGACCCGAUUUUAUUAGUAAAAAUUCCGACUAAAGUGUAAUGCAUUGUCAAAUGCCGGCUUUAAAGGGUGUUAGAGGAUCAAAAAUUUUGCAAGUACUUUAAGCCUCCGUUUGGUUCGGGGUUAAGGAAAAAGUAGCUAUACCAGGGAUAUGGUUAAGUUCAGGGUUAAAGUGGGAUUAAAAUUUUUUUGUGUUUGGUUGGAGGUUGGAGUUAGUCUAGAAUAGUAAAAAAAAGUGUUUGGUUGGAGUAGGUGGGAUAAAAAGAUAAUGAUUGAUAAAGAAGAAAAAGGUGAGGGCUCGGGAUGCGUGCGGGGUUAAAGUUGGGAGAGGGAGUGGGGUUAAUGAUUGAUAAAAAAGAAAAAGGUGAGGACUUGGGAUGCGUGCGGAGUUAAAGUUGGGAGGGGGAGUGAGGUUAGUAAACCCCACUAACCCGGUUUGGGGUGGGGUUUACUAACCCCACACCUUAAGAGUGGUGUUUGGGUAUAAAUUGGGGGUUAAGGGGUUAUUCCACCCCUUAACCCCCUAACCAAACGGUGGCUAAGAAUUUUCUUUUGUGAUACUUUUAAAACAUGUUAAAAUUUCCAUCAAAAAGAUAUUCAAUUAAUGCUUCUCAAGUUUAUGGUUUUUAUCACCAAUGCACAGUAUCAGAGGAAAAAGAAACUCGUUCCAAAAGCUUCUGUUCCUAGAGAUGUCAAUGGAUAUGGAUAUUCGAAAUUUUAUCCGAAUUCAAAUCCGAAUAAAACGGACAUAUUCGAAACUAAAUGGAUAUGGAUUCGGAUAUGGAUAUCAAAAAUAGAAACCCGACGGAUAUGAAUUCGAAUAUGGAUUUUGACUGUACCCGAUCCGAACCCGAAUCCGACCCGAACCCGAAUUUAUUUUGUAUUAUAUAUAAUAUAUAUACUAAAUUUGAUAUUAUAUUCGAAUUUGUAUUUUAAAAUUUUAGAUUUAAUAGAAUAUAUUUUGAAAUAUUGAAAAAAGAAAUAAUUGUUUCGGAUUCAAAUUUUCGAGUUUGGGUUCGGGUUCGGGUUUGGGUUUCGGAUUUUUGGUCGGGUUCGGGUUUGGAUAUGGAUUUUUAAAAUCCGUCGGGUUCGGGUUCGGGGGAUUUCGGCAUUUUUUAAAAAUACGUCCCGGCAUUCCAACCCGUGGACAUCGUCUAUCUGAUUCCAUAUAUAAGAUAUGUAUAUAAUAUAUAUUAUAUAUAUAUAUAUAAUACUAUAUACUAUAUAUAUUAUAUAUAUACUAUAUACUUAUAGUACUAUAUAGGAGUCCGGCCUGCCCUAUGCUAGUGAUAGCACCAAACACUGGCUGCCUAUCAAGUUUUCUACCGUUAGAUUAACCGCUUUUAUUAUUUUUACCCGUUAGAUAAUACUAUCUCAACCAACCACCCACUCAGUCUUAGGGGGGGCCCACAUCAUUCCUAACGCAUCAUAUUUUCUCAACCAAGAACUAAAAAACUAAUAGCCACCAAAUUUCUUGGUGCGUAGGUGAUAGUCAUUCCAGGACUAUCAAUAGCACUAAGUUAUUGGUGUUAUAGUUUUUUUAGCCUUAAAUUGAGAAAUGUGUUGCAUUAGGAUGAUGUGCGGGCCUCAUAGAGGUUGAGUGAGUGAUUUGCGUUGAUAAGGUACAAUCUACAAGCUACAAAUAAUUAAGAUUAAAUUCUAAGCGGUUGGACAGCGCAGCCCCGUGGUGGAAAACUAUCGGUGGCUACAGAUAGUAUUCCCAACGACUAUCUAUAUAUAUAUAUAUAUAUAAGUAUCAUAUAGGUAUAUAUAUAUAUAUAUAUUACAUAUAAAUCUAUAUAUAUUAAUAUAUAUAAAAGCCUCUGCAAGGGCAAAAAAGCACCCAUUAAUUGAAAUGACUUAAUUUUAUAAUUAAAAAUAAAAAAAGAGGUGAAAAGCGGUUGCAAAAGCGUUACGAACCUACUUGAAGCUGCUAGCAAAAAUUUUCAGUUAACAUACUCAAUUUUUUUAUUUUUAAUUUUAAUAUUUAACUUAUACAAUUUAUUUGAUUUAAAUCAGUUAAUGACGACAGACUUCAAAAUUUAAAUUAGCUGCUAACUUUAAUAAAUUUAUAUGGGAGAAAAUUGAAUAGAAUAUACUAAUUAAAUCUCUAAAGAUAAACGACACAUUUAAAAUUUGAAGUCAAAGUAUUAUUAAUUAAUUCAAAUCACAUCAACUGAAGAGUUGCAUAGUAAAAUUAAAAUUAUAAAAAAAUAGAUAACAGCUUUAGAAUAGUUCAUAGUUUAGGCGAGUGCUAUAUGAUUUUACCUUCCAAAGAAUAGAGUUUCUAUGUUGAGUACUUAAAAAUCUUGAAUUUCUAUGUUUUUGUUUUAAAAGAUUACAUUUUGAAGCAAGGAAAUCAUUGGUAAGCUAGGUUAAAUUAACAGAUAAUAAUCCUCGAUUAGAAAUUUAAGAGCAAAGUGCCUUGAAAACGAACAUUGAAAAGGGGUCGGAUUUGGAGUUUUGUUGCAUCCGAUAAGACUUUUAUCUUUAGUAGGGAAAAAGAGAGGCCAUUAAUAUUAAAUGGGUCGAAUUUGGAUUAAUAUUGGACUGAUCCAAAUGGACAACAAUUAACUUAAUAAUAAUAAGGCCAAUUUGUAUAAAAAAUUCACAAGUUUGAGCUUUUGCAAAAUUAGACCGUUUUUUUCGUUUUACAGAUUCGGUUCGGAUUUUUAGAAAAAUGAAGAGAGAGGCUGAGGUGGAGGUGGCCCGCCUCGCCUCUGACCCCCACGCUCUCGCCCGCAUCUGCACACCACCCAUCCUCCUCGCAUCUAACCCCACCAAGGCUGUGCUCGUUGCUACCCUUUGGAAUGCCUUCCUCGCGUCCGCCCCAUGCGCCCUCGCCCGCACCCGCUCACCGCCCCUCCUCCUUCCCUCCUCGCCUCCGAUCCCGCCGAGACUGUGCUAUGAUCCUCUUUUUUCUUUUCUCCGAAACUUAUCCACCACCUCCGCAGCCCUUCCCGACCCACUUCCACCUCCAUCUCCAAUGCAACAAAUUUUUCACCCACCAAACCCAUUUCUGAGAAUCUGCGGUUCUCACCACCAUUGCCGACGAUGAAAAGGAAACGCUUCUCAGCGCCAAGAAGCUCACUGACGAGAGAGACGGUACGCGACCCACCGCGCCCACCUGGGGCCGGCGACGAGCGAGGUGGAGACGGAGAAGAGCGCGAUGACGCCAGAGAGGAGGGUGGGGUGGCGGCGAGCGCAGCAUCCCAGAAGGUAGCAGCGAGCGCGGCCUCGGCAAGGUCGGAGGCGAGAAAAGCGAGGGUUGCACUGGAGCAUCUCUGGUCAAGCACUUUUGUUUGCUUAAAACAAAAAAGAUUAACUAAAAAUCAAAAACUAGAGAAUAAGAAAGAAGAACUAAAGAAGAAAAAAGAAGAAGAUAAAAUUGCAGUGUUAAGAUAAAGUUACAUUAUUUUAGAAGAACGUUGUAAUAUUAUAGACGUAAAUUGCAUACUUUGAGAUGUAAAUUGCACCAUUUAAGAUAAAAGUUACACUUUUUAAACAAAAGUUGCACUUUUUGGAAGAUAGUUACACUAUUUCUGCUCCCAAAAAGCACCCUUUAAGAUGAAAGUUACACUCUUUGAAAGAUAGUUAUACUAUUUUUCCUCCCAAAGAGUAUCCUUUAAGAUGAAAGUUACACUUUUUGAUAGAUUAUUACACUAUUUUUUCUGCCAAAAAAAUGUAAUUUUUAUUUAAAAAGUGUAACUUUCAUCUUAAAGGGUACAAUUUAUAUCUCAAAGACUGCAAUUUAUGUCUAUAAUAGUGUAACGUUCUUUUAAAAUAGUGUAACUUUAUUUUAACAAUUUAACUUCAUUUUCUUCUUCCUUCUUCUCUAGUUCUUCUUUCUUAUUAUCUAGUCUUUUGUUUUUAGUUUAUUUUUUUAUUUUAAACAAACAAAAGUUCUUGACCAGAGAUGCUCCCAUGUACCCUCCGUCCUCUUUGCCUCCAACCCCGCCAAGGCUGCUCUCACCGCUGCCCUCUGGGUCAGACUCUAGGUGGGCGCGGUGGGUCGCGUGCCCCCUCCUUCGCUACCGAGCUUCUUGGCACUGAGAAGCGCUUCCUUUCGACAUCGUCAGUGGCUAUGGUGAGGACAAUGGGUUCCCAAAAGUGGAUUUGGUAGGUAAAAAUUCUACUGCACUGGAGAUAGAGGUGGAACUGGGUCGCGAAAGGCCGUGGAGACAAUGGAGGAUGUUCAGAGAGAAAAAAAAAAAGAAAAGAGAAUAGCAGCGGUUGGGUCAAAGGUGAGGAGGGCGGGGAGUGAGCCGGCGCGGGCUAGGGCGAGGGCGCAUAGGGCGAAGGCGAGGAAAGGCGUCCCAUAGGGUGGUGGCAAGCACAGUCUUGAUGGGAUUGGAAGCGAGGAAAGCGGGUUAUGCGCGGAUGCGGGAAAGGGCGUGGGGAGCAGAGGGAAGGCGGGCCGCCUCCGCCUCUCUCUUCGUAGAGGGAAAAAAAAAGAGAAAAAAAAAAUAAAAGGGAGAGAGAAAGGAAUAAAGAUAUUUUGGUCAGUUUUCUAAAAAUUCGAUUCUAAUCCGUAAAAUUGAAAAAAGGGAAUUUUGCAAAAGCUAAAACUUGUGGAUUUUUUUGUACAAAUUGGUCUAAUAAUAAUAAUAAUAAUAAUAAUGUGAUGGAUAAAUGUGUGCUUACAUCAAAAUAUUGAACUAAUGGACUUGCGUGUUAGCAUUUAAUUAAAGCAUUAUAUUUGCUAAGCCAACAUGUGGCUUUUCAUUUUUAUGAAUAAUACUUAGAAUUGAAUAAAGAAGCUCAAUUAAUUAAUCCACAUAAGAUCGUAACAUUGUUAGUUAGUGUGCUUUAAAUAUUGGACAUAAUAAAUUUGUUACGUUUAUGUCUCAUGGGCGGUUGGAUCUAUAUGCACACCGAAAAUGUUGUGCAAAUAGAAAUUAGAAUUUUUUUUUUUUUUAGAAAGAAAGAAAUGUAGCAUGCUAUUCAACUAGAAUUCGAACUUCGGAUCUCAGAUACCAACCAACAAGCCUUUUGCUAUUUACGCUAGAGAUAGUCAGUAGAAAUUAGAAUUAUUAAAAAGACUAAAUUGCACAUUUAGUUCUCAAACUAACCACAAGGCACGUGACAAUUUAGUUUCGAACUUUCAAAAUUGCUAUAAUCAAGUUACAGUGAUAUUGCAUCUUUAUUAUUGGCACAUCAUCUGUCACGUCCCGCUAUCGCCAAUUUGGUCGAUCCGGGCCCGUACACAGACGCCGAACGGACAGCACCUCCUCUGUCCGCCCAAGGCUUAGCAACGACGAGUACAUGUAUAAAAAAAAAAACAAUUUUCAGAAUAACAUUUCGAUAUACAUGGCCUGCACGAAAGCAAGCAAUAAUCACAAGUGAUAGUAAACUAACUAAACAUGAAAUUAUUUCUAACAACUUCAAUUCUAUUCGAGCCUACUCACACACUUCCAGAACAUGCCAAUUGCUGUUCUCAAACCUCUAAUUAAGUUUAGAAACACUUAAUUUUCAAUUUAGUAUUAUUAUGACCAAUUUGAUCACAAUUAGCUCACAAUCAAAUUUUCAGCCUAUUACAUCAUCAAUCACAAUAUUACCGUAUCAUCUCUAUAUUAGCGAUAUAUUAAUUAAUAUUUAGUCAACUAAAUUAAAUUAUAGAAUUGAUUCUAACCAUUCUGGAAGUUCCUAGACUCAUAGUUUGAGGACCAGAUGUGCUAUUUACCCUAUUCUUUAAUACAUGGUACAAAAAUAAAGAGUUGACACUUGUAAAUUAAGUUUUCAAUUUUACCAUUGAAUAAGUCAUAAGUAAAGGAUAUCAAUUAAUUCUCUAUAAAGGAACAAUUGUACUUAGUGCAUACAAAUUUAAUAGUUGGUACUCAAAAUUUCAAAUUCAACUGAAGUUUAAUUGUUUUAUAUUUUCAGCUAAAUUUAUUUCUUAAAAAAUGAAUACAGUAGGUAAUGUAGAAUCUUUUUUUAAAAUAAUAAUAAUAAUAAUAACUUUCUCAGUAAUAUUUGUUUUAUCUAGAAAAUGCAAAAAUGUGAAGUAUAAGAAUCAUUAGAAAUAUUUUUAUUUUAUCGAUAUUUUGAAUAAUAUGAUAUCAGAACUGGUACUAAGCCUUAGUUCCAGUAAAUCGUGACUCUAAUUCUCCACAUCCAUUAUUUAAAUCACUUAUAAGUUAUUUUUUUUCUAUUUAUUUCAACUUAUUUUUUCUUAAGAAUAGUUCUCUUAAUUUUAGCCAUCCAGACAAAUGAGGAAACUAAAAAAAAUUAUUUUAAUCCAUUUUCUAGCCAACCUUUGUUUAUUAUUAUUAUUAUUAUUAUUAUUAUUAUUUUGUGUGAGAGAAAAAGGUAGCAAGGUACACACUUCGCUCAAAUUUUUUUUUGAAAUAAACUCAACUAAAAAUAUAAAAUAAUUAAGUUUCGAACUUGAGAUUUUAGAUAUUAACCAUUAAAUCCGUAGCAGAUUGCAAUAGGUAUGAUUUUUUUUAAGGUAAUAAAAGGGUAAACUUUAAAUAUCAUUCCUGUCGUUUUGCACUUUCUCACUUUAAUACCAUGUGAUUUAAAGUGUAUCAAUUUAGUACCCUGUAGUUUUAUUUUCUCUUUUCAUUAGCCCCGUAGUUAACUUUCGUUAAAUUAUAUACUGUUGGCGAAUAUAUUCUUAGAGGUUAGCUACAAGAUAAAUUAAAAAGUGUCAACGAGUCGAUCAAGCCGAGGCACGAAUAUCUCGCUCUCUUUAAGGAGAUUCAAGCCCUCUGCAGUUGGCAAAGUCUUUGAACCGAUGCAGCAGAGCACUGACUUGUCCCCUCCAUGAUACAACGGCUCGACCCUCGUCGUGUGGCUUCACCAACUCUACACAAGUAAUGAGCCCAAAGCUCCACCAAAAGAAAUACCUUUCUUUGACAUUCUCUCUCUCAAGUAUAAUUAAAAUACUUUUAUUGUUUGUUGAGUUGUGUGUAAGUAAAUAAAGAAGCCUCUAUAUAUAGCUAGGCUCAAAGCAUAGGAGUUACAAGAAUUAAAUAGCUUGGAGUUAUAGGAAUCAAAAUACGUGCAUAGGUUAGGUUUCAAAUAUAAGUUCACAAUGAAUGCAAACUAAAUGAAUGAAGUGGUAACUUCACAUGUACAAAUAUAAAUGCAAGUAUAGGUUAUGCAUAAGUUAAUAGAAAUCAUAUUAAUAAUAAAAUGUAACAACAUAUACAAAAAAACUUCAGAUACUCCAUCUAUGGUUAUCGAAUAUUCACUUUACUACCUUUUAAUUUUAACUUUGUCACUGAUUUAACAAAAAAAAUUAGUGAAAGAGAAAACAGAAAGACAAAAAUGAACCACAAUGUACGAAAGUAAUACAUUUUAAAUCACAUAAUACUAAACUGAGAAAAUGCGAAACCACUAGAGUGUUUUUUAAAGUUUUCUCAAAUAAAAAUAAGCUCUAUGUUCAAUUUUUAACCUUCCGUAUAUUAAAACCUAUCCAUCAUGAAUUCGCAUCAAUUACUAAAUUAUAAAUGCCAUUAAUAGUGAGCACAUUAAUGAAAUCUUAUGAUGCAUCAGUGUCACAGUUUGGUGUUUUAUGGGAGGGUGCAUGAGGUCAUUUAGUGUGAUGCAUGAUUCGAUUCAAUUUAUAUAUGCAAGCUCAUCACAGGUAAUAAAUUUUGUAGGAAGCUUUUAAUUAAUUACAGGAGGAUUCAUUUGACCGCUAUACAUGGUUUUCAAUAGAGAGGGGAUCUUUUCAGAGCUUAUUUUGUUCUUGUCAGAGCAAAAUAUAUUAAAUUUUGAUUAGUUACAACGUAUUUUUUUGGGCAAUAAUAAAAAUAGCUAUGACAUUAUUAGUACCCUCUUCAAUUUUGCCCUAAUUUAUUGUUGUAAUUCAAUGUACUUCCACAGGCACACAUAUAUUCUAGGAUUAAUUGCACUGUUCCUAUUUCUUUUUCUUUCAAUUUGAUUCUUAAUCUUUAAAAUUAAUUGCACCACUGGUUCCUUAUUUUUAUCCAUUUUUUUUCAUUUUGAUCUUUAAUUUGUUCGCCCAUAUGCGCAUCUAUUGUGUCAAGCUCAACCUAAUCACCUUCAAUGACAUCCUCCACGCGUAUGAUCAUCUCAAUCCGACAAAUGAUGUCGACUGCCAGUUUUGGAGUAUUAGGAGACGUGCUCUUCCAAAAACUUUAGAAAAAUUAGCACACCCAAUUCGACUUGCUGGUACUUGGUAUCCGUAUUCUCACUACGGGUAGUUGUUAGAGAAUAAGGGUAUCAAGUAUCACCAAUAUGAGAAGUCAUUUGAAUGUCUACUUACUCGUCAGUGACUUAUUUAAUGUUGCAGUAGUGUGACUGGUUCUUUGAUCUACGGUGUCUCGGCUAUUCACAAUAAGAUUACUGUCGUUUGAUUGUACAUACACUUGGUCUCCAGCCAUUCGGGUUCUUGCGUUGUAUGUUGAUUGCAGUAGAUUCGUUAUAGGAAUAGAAUGUGUACCUAUAUAAAAUCUAUCUCUCUUGAUAAAUAGAGGUGUUAGUCCUAUAUGGUUUAUAAAACCGAGUUUAAAAGAUUUUGGCCAAGAUAGAGUUUAAAAGAUUUUGUCGAUUUAAAUUAAGAUUUAAUCGGUUGAACCAAUUAAGGAUAAAAUAAAAUAAAAUUUAGAUUUGUUUUUGUCUUUAAUGGUUAUUAUAUUAUUAUUAAAAAGAAAUUAUAUCUCUUUUUUAUAAAAUACGGAAGUUUCCCUUGCUCUUUCUCUUCUUCUCUUCGAUUCUGUAGGAAGAAAGACGUUUUCUGUAAGGAAACUCAUACCCCUGUAAGAAUAUCGAUCAGAUUAGCAAUCUCAUGUAGAUACCUAUAGAUGUCGGACGUUUGUGCGACUUCAAGAGAACCAAUUUGACAAUCAUCAGAUUAUGGUGAAGAUCUAUUCGCGCAAAAGUGAAGAUUAGAUUUUUUUUUUCUCCUUUAAUCUCUUAAAUAAUAUGAGGGAUCCGGUUUAUGUGAUUUUAAAAUUGAAUCUCGAGUUUUUAAAAAUCGAAUUUGUUUGUUUUUUUUUUUUUCGCUCCACUUAAUCGCACGCAAUUUUCUAACAUUGACAUGGUUAUUCCAUAAAAAAUAAUAGAAAUUCAGAUUUAGAUACAUGAGACCAAAUUGAAAUAAAAUAUAAAAAUUGAGGAUCUAUUAGCCGAAAAAAAAAAAAAAAGGUUAGCCACCAAGCUAAAAAGAAAAGGCAAAAUUCAGAAGCAAUGGUGCAAUAACGCUAUAUUAUAUGUAUACUACAAGAGAUGCACAUUAGCAAAAUAAUAAUAGUGUGCAGAGAAUUGAGAGGGUUCAUUUUUAAGUUACCAAUAUGUAAGUGUUACAUGCAUAUUGCAAACGUGGUAAAAACAAGUUAAAGCUCCUUAAUUUGCUAUAGGAUGUGAUGUUAAUUAAGUCUUUUCCAUCUAAUGCUCCCGUCGGAUUGUUGUCGCUAACCAUUAAUCCCAAAAGUUUGAGCUGUUAAAAAUACGCAACUAAUUCACUUGAAACGUAUAGAUACAAUGCCCCACAACCAGCCUCACGCCACUUCGAUUAUGACUCGGCCCAUCCAACCUCGUGCCAUUUCGAACAUGACUCGGUCCAAUAUGACCUUCCACCAUAGGGCAGAAUGCUGGCCCAUUUAAGCCAACAAUCUCCGCUCCAGCACUUGCACACAUUUGCAGCAUGUGAAAAUCGAACUCAUAACCUCUGGCUCUGAUACCACUUGUUGUCUCUCUUAUGAAAGAUAACCCGUAUAUUUAUAAGAAAUUCCAAAAUUCUAGAUACAUAAGUGAUAAGGCGAAAUCGGUUUAUUAUUGUUAUGCUAAUAUAUAUGGUUAGAAUUGAUCUCAAAUUAGUUUUUCAAUGUAAAAGCGAGAUUAACCCCAAUCCAAUUAAACAACGUAACAACCGUCGGAUCGAGCCCGAUUAUGGGCGAACCCGAUUCGAUUUAACCAUAUGCCAACAGCUACAAAAAAAAAAUUUUAAUUAGGUUGAUGGCUAAAGAAAUUGGUUAAAUUUGUCAAAUUAUAAAUGCCCCCAAUAAUAUUAAUUAGUAGCAUAAACAGCUCCAAUUAAAAGAACUUAGGGUCUGUUGGGAAAUAUUACAAUAGCGAAAUAUUUGUUCAAAACGAUAUUUGAAGUAGUGUUUUUUUUUUCACAAAACUGUUUAUGAUGCUUUUGUAAAAAUGCUGAGCUCCUCAAUCCAUGGUCGAAAUCGAAACUAUAGUACUAUACCCCGUUUGCUAUUCACAUGCAGAUAGUCCCACAUAUAUUAUCAACAAAAAUAAAUUAAUGAAAAAAAUAAUAUAUAAUAUAUUUUUUAAAAUUUUUGAAAUAUUAUAUAUGUCUUUAUUUUUUUGUUUCAAAUACAGCCCUAAUAUAUUUUUCCAUUAAUUCCGUUGUCAGUACAUGUGAAUUCAUCUCAGGUUAAAUCCGGAUUAAAUUUCUAUCAGAAUUAAAAAAAAAAUUAAAAUAUCUCUUCUGCCCCUGAGUUAAGGAUAAAUAAAAAAAAAAUUGAUAACGAUAAAAAAAAUAUUUGAAAAAAAAAAAAAAGUUUGUUUCUAAGUUAAGAGUAAAUAAAAAAAAGUUGAUGACGGCAGAAGAAUAACAAUUUCGAAGAGAGAGUAAGAGAGAUAUUCGGUCAAUAGCAUCUCUUUACAUAUGCAUAUAAGAAUGACUUGUUUCUAACUUAAGAGCAACCGACCGUCUCUAAAGCAAGUGACAAAGGGCUUGGUGGUUGGUACCCGAGGUCCUAAGUUCGAAUCCUAGUUGAUUCACAUUUCUAGCUAAGUUUAUUUUUAAAUAAAAUAAACGAAGCGGAUAGCGUACAACCUAUCUCUUAACAAAAAAAAAAAUUAAGAGCAAACAAAAAAAAGUUGAUGACGGCAGAAGAAUAACAAUUUCUAAGAGAGAGUAAGAGAGAUAUUCGGUCAAUAGCAUCUCUUUACGUAUGCAUAUAAGAAUGACAAUUUCAGAUUGGAUUGCCAACUUCAAAUGUUUGGCAUAGGCUUUGAAAACGAAAAAAACCAAAAAAAAUGCAUGUAUACAUUUCAUGCAUGCAUAAAUCAUGCAUGUUUCCACAGAGUCCAAAAAAGAUCAACUCAUUAAUACUUACAAAAGAUCUAUCUUGCUAUGAGCCAAAUAAAUAUUUUUAUAUCCUAUAUAGCUAGAAUAGACACAAAUUCUAAUACAUCCAAGAUAUAUAUAUAUAUAUAUAUAUAUAUAUAUAUAUAUAUAUAUAUAUAUAUACACACUAUAACUAAUUUUUCUUAUCUGUCAUUAAUGUCUCCUAUUUUUCUUAUUUAUUCUUACAACGGUCAUCUUCUUCAUCGAGCUGAAGAACUUCUUUCUUCCACUGUGCCCUUAUUCAUUGGUAUGUCUCAUUUAACCAAAAUCACAAAAUCAAGCUCUAAAUAUACAAAAAUCCAUUGCUAGUCCAAAAAAAUUAAAAUAAUAGAUACGUAUACAUGAAACAGAUCAAAAUAUUCAUAUAAUUUUUGUUAGAAAAUCAGAAAAAUUAAUUAUUAAAGAAAUUCUUGAUUGGGGGAGCUCCGCUAUCACCACUACCGCUAUCCAGAGUUUAACCCGAUACGAACUAACGCUACUAACAGUGAGGGCAGAUUUAAAUAACAGAAAAGGUUUAUAAGGAUGUUCUUGAAAUAAAAAAAUUUCAGGAAUAUAGAAGAUAUUUUUUAAAUUUCGAGAAGUAUGUAGAUAAUUAUUUCAAUUUAAAAAAUCCUCCUACGAGCUUGCUCUUGCACGCGUUUGUAAGAAGAACCCACGACAUUCACGCAUGCUGCAGGUAAGAAUAUUUGUCCUAUUACGACUCCAAUAUAGAAUCAGUUAUUUUAUUGAGGUACUAAUAUACCGAACUUAUCUGCACUAUAAAUUAUUUUGAAUCCAGUAAUUUCUCUCUUAAAUUGUUAAUUUUGUUGUUUCAUCUUUCAAAUUAUCUGAUUUGAGCAUAUCAAUGAAAUUUUAAUUUGAAAAUUUAAAUGUGUUGCUCAUCUUUAUAGAUUUAAUUAUUUAUUUUCAUAUAAUUUUCGUAUUUAUAAAUUUAUUAGAGUAAGAAAUUAGUUAAAAUUUUAGAAUUAAAGUGUUGUUGAACGGUUCGAAUCAACUAAAUUAAAAUAUUAGAUAGUAAAAUCAAAUUUUUAAAAUUAAAAUAAUAGUAAAUUUAAAAUGAUGCGUAGCUCGGAUACGUUCUAUACUUUUUGACCUUUAUUAAUUGCUCUAGUACUAUAACCCUUGUGUUUUGAGAAAAAGAUUGCAAACUACCUACUUCGUUCAUUAGGAAAAUAAACUUGACUUAUAAAAUGGAAGCAGACAGGACCUCCGAAAAAAAAAAAAGAGACAGAAAAUGUGGACAAAAGAAUAAAAAUAAAAUAAUAAAAGACAACAACGGAACAAGUAAGCAAAAAACAAAACAAAAAAAUAGGAAAGGGCCAAAAAGGCCGAAAAAGAAGACGAGGCAGUCAGAGAUACGUGUUCCAGGCUGACAUAAGGAGUCUGACGCGAUCAAAAGCUCGGGUACUAUAACCCUUGUUGUAUGUAGGGUUUGCAGUGUUGUUUGGUUCAAUCGGAUUCGAGUAGUACUCUAUAUAAGGAGAAACAAAACCAUUGUGCGAAAGCAAAGAGGAGGUGCAGUAAUGGAUCCUCCAGGGUACAAAACCAUAUACUUGGAUUGCAUCCGAAACCACGCGGCGACCUUCGGCCUCGUCCACUACGACGGCUGCUGCGAGUACGUCGAGGACCGGCAUCAGCCGGGCAGCAGCCUCUGCGAGGCGUGCGGCUGCCACCGCAGCUUCCACCUGCCGAUGUUGAUCCAAACCAGCGGAAGGAGCAAUAACAACAAUGCAGCUGGCGGCGGCGGUGGCAACGGCGGCGGCAGCAGAAAGGGUGGUUGUGCGGCCGACGGAGGCAGAAAGAGUGCUGCACCGGGGCACAGGGAUGGCAGAAAGCCCCCGACAAUCGGCGGCGGUGGUGGCAAAAAGGGUCGUGCUGCGGGUCGCCAUGGCACUGCAGAAGAAAGCGACCAAAACUUUUCUUAAGUCAGUUCAGUAAUAUGGCAGUUAAAAGCAUCAUUUUUAUACUAUAUAAGAUUCCAAAAUUUAAAACGCUUUAAAAUUAUCGGAGUUUUUUAUAAUAUAAAAAAUUUGUAAGUGCUUUAAAAUUUUUUUAUCUUUUAUUAAUAUAAAAAUAAUAUUUUAGCUACUAUAUUAUCAAAAUAGGUCUUAGGAGAUGGGACUAACGAGCCACAAUCUUUACGGAUAUUUACGGUAGGGCAAUGAAAACGUACCCCUCAAAUUUUUCUAUUUUAUGUUCGCACCAUUGUUUCUUUGUGUCUCUUUUGUCAUAUGUCCUAACUAUAAAAGUUUGAAUUUUUCUAUUUUUUUCCAUGGAAGAUGUAGAUGGACGUGCAUUUCUACAUUUUCGGUAUAUAUAUCUAUCUGUUUGGUUUACGAUUUAUAAUAUUUUUGUAAUUUUCAUAUUAUUUAUUAAAAAUAUUUAAAUUAUUAUUGUUCAACUCAAACUUAGAUAGUCGUAAAAAAUACGUUAGUACAACAGUAAAAUUAUUGUAAAUUUUUAGAUAAUAAAAAUACAAAUUAUCUAUCUAUCUAUACUUCCAUCUCUAUCUUCUCCUAAACUUGCCGCAUAUUAACAUUCCGUUUACUAUUGAAUGUGGGAUCCGCCCUGAACCGGUUUAAGUCAUUUCUCUUUCUUUAUUUGAAUCAAACCGAUUAUUGUUCAGUGUGGGCUCCUCCGAACGGCCGGCUCAAGUAUUCCAUAUUUUUUUUCGCUUUCUUUAUAUGAACCGAAUCUGGUUUCUCUCCUUUUUUACUUGAACCGAAUCGGAUCAACCUAUUGCAUUGUGUCGAACUGUCCCAACCGCUCCACAUGUUUUCACAUGUGAACCGAAUUUUUUUUUUCUUUUUUACUUGAAUCGAAUAGAUCACUAUCCAGUGUGCCGGCUCAAUUUUUUUUUUCUCCUUUGCUUGAACCGAACCGGAUUUUCUUUUUUUUUUUUUUUGCUUGAACCGAAUUGGAUCACACCUCUAUAUUAGGCUCAACUAUUUUUCUUCCUUUUACUUCGAUUGUUACUUUCAUUCAUCGACAAGAUAAAUCCUAGUCCUCAUCAUCGCUUCUUCUAUCGUCGUUUUCUCUUCUUUUGUCGUUAUUUUUUAUUUUUUUUCUAAUUAUCUAUCUGUCGUAUCGCACGAGUUACUAUACUAGUUAUAAAUUAGAAGACUUUUUUUUUUCUUUGUUGAUAGAAAUCAUUAGUAAUGCAUUUAUAACAGCAUAGUAGCCAAUAAAUUAGUAACAAAUUUGCAUUUCCAAAUAUAAAAUAUAUAACAAUUUUAAAACAGUAAAAAUUUUAGACCAAACAGCCCCUAAAGGAAAGGAUCUGCACUCUUCUUACAAUAUCUUGCUAAGCUUAAUUUGCACAUUUUACUUGAUUGAUGGUGAAUUUGAUGAUCUUACGGUGGACACUAUUUGCAUCAAUUUUUUGUUCUGUGAUCAUCACUCGAUCUUUAUUUAUUAUGGGAAGUGUUUGGCCACGUAAAUAAAUUGAUGCGCAUGCAAAAAGGUUCGAUCGAUUUUAGAGUGUGCGCGAGAUGUGGCUCACAUAAUAUGGACAAAAUAAUUCAGGUUGAAAUAGACUUUUCGAUGAAUUAAUUAAAAUUUAGAUAAAAAUUAUUUUUCAAUGUUUAUUUAGUGAAAACUAAAUAAUAUAAAAACUAAAGGUAGAGAGUUGAGUUAAUAUUUUUUUUUUUCCCUCACGCUUGUUAUUCGUAAUUGGCUUCUAUGUAAAAUGAAUUAAAGUCAAUUAUAUUAUUUUGAAAUGACUGAAUUUUAUUUUACAGAAAAUGUUUUACCAAGUAAUUAAAUUAAAAACCGCAUGAGAAAGGGGAUUGGUCGAUUCCAUAUAUCAUUGCAUUGACCUUCUAAUCACGUUGUGGAACAUUUCAUCUCUAUUUCGUGGGAUGUGUUUUGCCACGUAAAUUAUUUGUAAGACCAUAAACAUAACAAUUUUCUAAUCAUAAAAUAUAGUUUAACAUUAUCCUCCAAAUAUGAGAACACCGAAAAAGACUUUGUUGAUAUCACCUACAAUCAAAAAACCAAACCAAUGAUUUUAAGUCGAGUGGAACCAGCAGGUUCAACUGGUCCGAUCGUGACACAAUUUUUAAAUAUUUUUAAUAACGUAGAUCAAGUCUAGUGAUGAUAUGCUUUCAUAUUUAGAAACCAAAUUUUAUAUUUUUUUUGAAUAUUAUUUGACUACUGAUCAAAAAGUCUCAAAAUUGAUAAUUUUAAUGACCGAUGUGAUGCGUUUGUGAAUUUAACGGUAUAAAUUAACUAAUCCAAAUCCAAUAAAUUUUUUAUAAAAAAAAAAAUUUACUAUUUAAAGUAAGAUCAGUAUCUCUGACCUUAAAUUCAAAUCUUUUGUCAUUAUUUUUUAUCAGAUUUUUAUUUUCAGUGAUUCAAUUUUAGACUACUCGUUUGAUUGAUAAAUGAUGCCAAAAAAUUUUGAAAUUUGAUUUUCAAAUACUUUCAAUAGUGUAGAUCAAAUCUAAAGAAAUUGAUUGUCGAUUCGAAAGCAACAUCAACGAAAAUAACUUGGUAGCAUAAAAUCCCCCGUGCCACCUAUAGUAUAAUAGUCAGACUCUCUCUCUCUCUCUCUACAUAUAUAUAGAAUUGGAUUGGAAUAUUAUUAAUAGUAUUUGGGUUCUUUUGCUAUUGAGUUUUCAACCCUUGGAUGAAAAAUCGUAGAAUUCAGAUGAUAGUGGUCUCCUAGGGCUUAGUGAUGAUCCCCUUAAGAUCGAAUGGGUUUUUGGUUGAAUAGUAUGAUUUAAAAGAGUGGAAUUGAUUAAAAUAUAGAUCUAACUGCUAAAAACUAAGUAGGAAAAAAACUCAAAUACUAUUAAUAAUACUAUUAAUAAUAUUCAAGCUCAACUCUCUCUCUCUCUAUAUAUAUAUAGAAUUAAGUUAGAAUACUUUUAGAAGUAUCAUUCCCUUGGUGCUUUUGAGUUUCUAGCCCUUGGAUCUACUCCUUGAUUACUAAUAACCUUUGGAUCAAAUACUAUUCCACCUAUCACCACCUACCACCAUCAUCUCAACCCUACAUCUGUCCAUCCAAUGGCUAAAAAUCCAAAAACACCAACCCCUUAGUGCUUUUGAGAGUAUUUUUUCAUCCAAGAGCGAAAAACUUGGUAGCACCAAGUGCUUGGUGCUAUUAAUAGCAUUCCAGCCUAGUUCUAUAUAUGAGUUCGGCUGAGAUACUAUCGAUAGCACCAACCACUUGGUGCUACUAAGUUUUUUGCCGUUGGACUUAACCCUGUGACUAUUUUCACCCGUUAGAUUAUACUAUUCAAUCAACAACUCAAUCAACACUAGGGGGCCCACAUCAUCCUAACCAUAUAUUUUUUCAUCCAAGAGCGAGAAACUUGAUAGCACCAAGUGCUUGAUGCUGUUAAUAACAUUCCAGCCUAAUUCUAUAUAUAUAUAUAUAUAUAUAUAUAUAUAUAUAUAUAGUGCACACAGUCGCAUCUNAGCUCAAUUCUAUAUAUAUAUAUAUAUAUAUAUAUAUAUAUAUAUAUAGUGCACACAGACGCACCUAAAUUUAGGUUUGAUUCAAGUUUGGGAUGGAUACACUCUCUAGAUUAUUGCUAAAAGAGUAUACAUAAACUAAUAAAAAUACCCUAUGUUAUAUUUAUAAAUCGGCCGUCUAUAAAAAUAAUAUUCUUAAAAACCUUUUAGAUAUACACCAUUACGAUUGGUUUUUUUUUUUUGAAAAUGAUUAAGUAGUACUUACACAACAAGACAGCAGCAAUGAUCUUGAUAAAUAAAGUUAAUUUCCUAUAGAUCCCUACAAAUAUAGUGAAUUACAAAUAUAUUUCUACAAAGCUCAACUCUCAUAUGUUGUCUCUACACAAGUUCUAAUAUUUUCAAGUAUGUCCUGACAUUAUGAUCCGUUAGAAAAAAUUAGUUAACCGUAAGUAAAAUAUUUAAAUCUAGUUAGUUAAUAAGAUGAAUUGACCUUUUUAUCUCUCUUUAAUUAAUAAUUGAGACUUUUGGAGGGAUAUAUUUGUGAUGCCACACUUAUAAAAUAAAAAGUGUUUUAAGAGUAACAAAUUAAAAGAAUAUAUUUAAAAAUAUUAGAACUUUUAAAGAAACAAUAUAUGAAAGUUUAACUUUAUAGAAAUAUAUUUACAAUUCGUUAUAUUUCCAGCAAUAUAUAUAAAAUUAAUCCUUAUAAAUAUUUUAUAUAUAUAUAUAUAUAUAUGUUAUCACAGUUCAAUCCAACGUGGCUGCACCAUCUGUAUUUGGCGGUAGGAAGAGUUGGGUGGGGCCCACUUUUUUUUUUAUUUUUCCGACCCAAAUCAUUUUUGUUUCUCAUUUUCCAUUAAUCUCUCUCACAUAUAUUUUGGCGGAGAGAACAAAAAUUAUCUGAAAAGGAUUUUUCAAAUUAUUCGUUUAAGAUUAUGAGACCUAUCGCCACGUAGUUAUUAUUAUAUAGAUUUUAGAUAUAGAUUUUAGGGAAAACUUCAAAUACCCUCCGUGUGGUUUCGCACUUUCUCACUUUAGUAUCCUGUGGUUUAAAGUUUAUCAAGUUAGUACCCUGUGGUUUCGCACUUUUUCACUUUAGUACCCUAUGGUUUCAAGUGUAUCAAGUUAAUACCCUAUGGUUUUAUUUUUGUAUCAAGUUAGUACUGUGGUUUUAAUUUUCUUUUUUAUUAUUCAUUUCGGACUAUAUAAUUUAACAAAAUAUUAAACUACAGGAUACUAAAGUGAGAAAGUGCGAAACCAUAAGAUACUAACUUGAUACACUUGAAACCAUAGGGUACUAAAGUGAAAAAGUGUGAAACCAUAGGGUACUAACUUGAUACACUUUAAACCACAGGAUAUUAAAAUGAGAAAGUGCGAAACCACAAGGGGCGUAUUUAGAGUUUUCUCUAGAUUUUAUAUCUCAAAACAAUUUGGUAAGAUAAUUGAAAUCUCCCUUCCUUUUUUCAACUAUUAGCAGGUACAAUUUUUUUUUAUAUCUAUUAACUAAAAAAAAUCAUAAUAUCUACAAUAAAAAUUACAAUAAGAAUUUCAAUUUCUUUGGUGAAUUCCUAUUAUAAUCAUUUUAGCAAAUAAACUGUAAUAUUUAAUAACAAAAACUUUUAAAAAAUUGCUAAAUCUAAGGAUGAAAAUUUUUAUACAUUUUUAUCUUUUUAAUUUAUAUAUUCAAUAAUUGUUACUCCUAAUCUUGAUUAUAAAAUACCCAUAAUGCCAAUACACUGUUUCAACCACAAAUCCCUGCAAUUUACACGCAUCGAAAUUAAAUCGUUUUUUGAAUAAGAAAUUGAACCCUUUUUUUUUUGAAUAAAUAAAUAGAAUCAGAUCCAAUCCAUUAAUUGGCCCAUUUGAGGCGUAUCCAGUACACAUGCGGUGGAUCCCCAUACGACAAAAAAGUAGCCGUUACUCUUUUUUCUUUUUUAAAAAAAUUUGAAAAUUAGUUCAUGGGAGCGUUGCUACAAUCUCUCUCUCUAUAUAUAAAAAAAAAACGUAAUCUCUCUCAUACGAAGAGACGAGCACAAGCCAAAAAGGCGAAAUUUGAAGCUCUUCUCACAGCUUUUUGCAGAGUAAAAAAAAAAAAAAAAAAAAAAAAAAAAAAAAAGUUGAUUGUUUUCAUGAGACCCCUCUCUUCUCCUCUGGUACUGUCUCUCUCUCUCUGUUUUAUGAUCUUAUUAUGGUGUUGGUAUAAAUAUAAAAGCUUUAUUUAUUCUGUAGGAAAUUUUAGAUACUAAGGAAGAUGGAGAUGAGGAGAGUGAUGUCAAUUGUGGCAUGGGCAUUGAAGAAAAUGAAAAUGAAGUUUUAGAAGAAGAAGAAAUCGUGUUCGCACCGAUAGAGCAUCCCGUCGAACCUCCCGACGACGACCGGCCCGCCAAGUGCCCGAUGCCGGAGUCUUGCCCCCUAACUGUAAGUAGUUUUCGGAAUGAGCGGUAUCAUCGGCGAAGCUGGUUUUGAUAUUCACAUGUAGAUUCACUGAAUCUGAUCGCUGGUUUACUGAUUGAGUUGUUUCUAGUAAAUUUAAUUCGUAAAAAGUGUUGGUGAAGUAGCAGAAUUAUUAUAGAUCUUCAACUAAUAGUAAUACUACAUUACCAUGUGUUAUUUUCAUUUUCAAACUUAGAUAAAAAGUAUUCAUAGUCCAUUUAUAAGAACAUAUAAAUUCUGAAUCAACCUCCGAACUCAAGUCGUAUGAUAAGUUAGCAACAUACUUGUGAUUCAAAAUAUAGAAUAUAGGAAUAAUAACUUACAUAUACUCUUCAAAACUUCAAAAAUAUUUCAUAUAGCUCUGGUUGAAUAAAAUAUCCUUAUUAACUUUCAAAAAUCCCUUCAAAUACCGAAAGUUAUUUUGGUAAUUUCAAAGCAAAUCUAAAAGUUUUUAAUAGUAGUUAGGGAUAAAUAAGCAAAAACUCAACGGCCCCUAGAAUAUAUGACAUUUCUAGAAUAUUACAAACUUUGAAUCAAACAACCUCUAAAUGUCAUCUCAAGAAAAUGUCUUUAUAUUUAUAAAUUUUAAAGGUUGGUAGAAGUAGAAGCCCUAAACUCUUGAGGUUUUAAGCCCUAAACUCUGUGAGGUUUUUUUUUUUCUUUUGAAAAAAGGUAGUGUGAAUAAUUAACAAUCAAGUUAUUAGACAAUGCAAAUUUGAAAUUGACACUAAAACAUAAGUUGACUAACUCUCAAGUUGAUAUUAAUUUUCUUUGAUAUAUGUAAUCACCGACGAAAAUCGGUUAAAAUUGGUUUAUGCCAUCUAAAAUCAAUCAAUCAAAAGUAUAUUAAGGUUUUCAUAUCAAAAAUUAGUUGAUUGAGUCGAGUAGGGUAAUGGCAUGCAAAUUCACUAAAUUGUAGUUCUUACUUCUCCUUCUAGCUAAUUCGAGUAGGGUUCUCCGAUCAUAAGAUCGAUUUAAGUUGAUUAAGGAGCUCUUCAACUCGGUCGAAUCGAGCUUCACCUGAACUAAUUUUGGGUCUAGUUGUGAUUGGACUCGCGGGAUCGAAACGAGUUAGAAAGCGGAAUUUGGAAUAUGCAGCUUUAUUUCUUCUGAAAACCUCCGAACUCAUUUACAUACAGCUUGUGAUUUAGUUAAUUUUUUCCUUCUCUUUUUAAAUCUGUAAGGAUGAAGGAGAAUUGAAGGAAUCAUUCAAGGAGAUCUUGCAAAAGGAAGCAGAAUUGUUGGUAGAAAUUGAAGAAAGUGCGGAUCAGCGACGUUCUGCGAAGGCCGAUCGGAAAAGGCAUCAUAGUGGUGCCACUGGAGAUCCUCCAAAGUUUCCGCAGUACAAUAUUUUUCAAGUGUUUCAACAAUGUAAACAACAUUAAGAUCGAAAAAAGCGCUUCGACGCAUCAUUGUAUUUAAAUGAUUGGUUUGGUGCUUUCUUGUAACUAGAUAGAUUGGUCCAAUGAUGAAAGUUGUGUCAUCUUUAAAAAGGUGUACAUGUAGAUAUGCAGAAUUAAGUAUUAGACUCUGCCCCCAACUAAAGCUGGGAAUUGGCCUCUCAAAUUUUGAAUGGUAACAAAGCCCAAUGGUAAUUCUUUUAAGCCUGAGAAGGUUUUUGAAUUUCUUUUCUUUUUUUUCUUUUUUUUUCCCUUUUUUAACUGUGUCUGCAUAAUUUUUUAGUACCUGGAUGCCGAGAAUUUACUAUUUGUUGGUAGCACUAUUGUGAUCCAAGAGCUAAGAAGUUAAUAAUAGACACUAUUCUCUAUUCAUCGACUAUCAAUAGCAUUUCAACUAUGUUUAUUAGCCUGAAGCCGGAAACACGACCCCCGAAUUUAAGCUCAGACGGGUCUUAAACCCUUGACCUCAAAAUCGGCAUGCAAUUACAUAACUAUUAAACUCCCGACGGUUAGAUAGAUAUAUAAGAAUUCGUAAGUUUCGGUACUACGGACUUGUCUACAAUUCACUUGACUGCACAACGGGGCGAGGAGAAAAGAUGGUUCAUGCAGCAGUGUUUGUUGAAUCCCAAAUCGAGGCGAGAGCGAAGAAGCAUGCUAUCCUCGCGAACUUCAGUAGCCUAUUCUGCUUUCUAAAUCAGCAAACAAAUAUGCCCUUCCAACUCUGGCAUGCAAAACCACUGGCUUUUCUAAAUACAUACUUGUGUGUAAUAGAACACAAUGUUGGAACACGAGUUGCAUGUGAUCAUUUCAUCCACACAAUUUGUUCCGCAAGAGGGAUGUAAAAGCAUACUGCCACCGCUGAUUUUGGAAAUUGAUAUUGCCGAAGCAAAAUUUGAUAACACCAAAGAAAAUUCAUUGUAUGGAACCAUCUUUUAGGCUAUUUGGUUAUGGCAACAGUGAAAAUUGCUCUGACAACAUCGGUGCCCGUUUUAGCAGCGGAAAGAGCGUCUCAGCGAUUGACCGACAAAACCCAAACACAAGAAAAUCUCAUGUUGGCCCAGAUUCACUGAAGCCUAAAUCAUAGAUAUAUUUAUGUUAAGACUACACAGACAUAGACUAAUUAAUUACAACAGUACCACAAACCAGGCCUGGAGCAUUCAGAAUCAGUUUGAAUGAACACUCGUGGCUUCUAAACCAGAUGCUAAAACAGUUACUUUGAACUUUACUACAUCAUUGGAGGAAAAGGUAAAAGGAAAAAAAGAAAAAAAAAAAAGAUUUGCUCAUUUCAGAAUUAGAACUUCUCAUCAGGCAAAUGUUGGAUGCUGAUGAGAAGGCUCGAAAACAGCUGAAGAUACCAAAACUAAGCACAUCAUCCCAACUGAAAAUGGAAUCCAGCAACUCCGAAAUAUAGAGGAAGACAACAACAUUCACAUCUAACAAUUCAUCUAGCCGAACAUCGAAUUUGUUUACAAGGAGGUUGGGACUAAUAUAAAAAUUUACGCCGCUAGUUUAGCAAGAAUGCCCAUGUCUAAUAUUUUCACAUCAUAUGUGUCGUCCAAUUUCACUAUGCCAUCGGUGCCAUCGAUUCCAAUGAGCUUCCCGGUGACCCCUCGGAGCGAGCUGCUCAGGAUCUUGAUCCUGUCGGAUUUCUUGGGCUGCACCAUCUCGAUUUCCGUGGGAAGAGCAAUGACAGUCUCCCCGUUUCCUGCCGCUCCAAGGGCAACCUUGCAAGAUCCGUCCUGCGAAGCAUAAUGUUUCUCUAUGUGAACAAAGCAGAAUACUAGAGAAAGAAAACAAAAUACCAGAGGAAGAAACAGAAGUGGCUGUUUAGCAUGGCCGCUAAAGCAACUAUUACUCCAAUCAGCAGUAUGUAAAAAUGUACAGAGACCACCUUAACAAUACAGUAUAACAAAAUAUACGCUUUUCUUAAAUUGGCAUCCCCUCAAUUUUUUGCAUUACAAAAUAUACCCUUUUCUUAAGAGUGGCAUCCCCUCAAACUUUUGUUUGAGGUGAUUAGAGUCAUUUUAAAUUGAGCUAGGGAUUCCAGUAAAACUAAAGGCUCCAACUGCCUGCCGUUAACUUAUUGAUGAAUACCAAAACAAAAGGCAGACAGAAACACUAAUAUUAUUUAACAAACUCCCCAAUUCAAUUGAUAAAAGUAACGCAAUUCAAAAACAGCAAAAAAAAAAAAGCUGCUGCUAUCCACAAAAAUAUAAAUCUGAGGGAUCUAUAACAAAGUGGCCUAUAGUUCGCAGGGUCUCCAUACAUUUCUACCAAGAAGUGUCGGGUAUCGAAAUGAGCUUCUUAGCCAUAAAAGCAGAAUCUCGAAUUUGAAACUUCUGCUUCUGCGGAAAAGACAAGUAGUGGUAGUGAUUUCAUAUUAAAAACUCUACUAAAACACACAAAGUUCGAACAGCUCUACUCAGUCAAAGAAGAUUAAGACUUGAAAUCGCAAAUGGAUUCAUCUACACAAUCAAGUGUGUGCAUACCGUCAGCACUUCUCUAACUACUCCAAUAUGAGGAUCCUCUCCAGGCCUAACAGUAUUCACCAAAAUGUCGGGCAUGUACCAUAUGCCAUCACCUUCGCCACCUGCACGCAUCAUACACAUAAAAAUGAGACCACUCAUCAGUCUGCAUAUCACAUUGGAUCAUUAAGAUAAUUCAUUUGGGCUAAACCAGUAAAAGAGUACACUCAUUUGAAGAAUUAUAAACGAUUAGGAGUAAUAAACUGUUCAAGCAGACAAAAAAAAGGACAAACAGACCUAUUAAAGGAGACAUCAUAUCCAUUCCAACAUUCCCAGGUGUCAUCGGCUGUCCGCCAGGAGUUCCAGGGAGAUAAGAUGCAGAAGUAGGGGUCAUCGGUUGUCCAACAGGUGUUGAUGGCAAGUAAGGGCUUGGAGCAUUUCCUGGACAAACAAAAAGAAAACAAUGUUUUUUUUAUAUAGUCCAGUUAUUUCUCAAAGCAUAUACAGGAAACCAAAAUUCUCAGAUUAAGCAUCAAGUUCUGUUACCAUAGCUGUUAUCCCUGGGAGUUGGAGAGUCAUUAUAAUUGCCACCUGGAGUGUUAGCCCAACCUGAACCAGGAGUAGGUGCUUCAUAUGGCCGGGCCGGAGGUGUUCCUGGCUGAAAUUAAUUAGCAGAGGAUAUAACAGUGAUUAAGCUUUUCAAAUCCAAGAAGAAUAAUAAUGCAUGUAAAACAAAAUAGUUUUUUCCAUGCAAUACUUUUAGCUACAGAACAAAACAGCGAAAAAAAACAGAGAGAUACAAGAAAAGGGGAGAAACACUGCCGUAGGACAAGGAUAUCAAACCUGAUAAGGCGGACUGCUUCCCCAAGUGGCAGGAUUUCCGUCUUCCCAGCUAUCCCUGGUAUAAAUUAUUGAGAUCAUGUCAGUCAGCGAACUUACAGGCUGAUAGUGGCAAUGUGGAAAAUUUUCACGAACGAUCUGAUUAUUGCGAAAUUCCUGCUUCCACGUGAAAAAUGUAGAUUUGGCUCAGCGCUACACAAUAACAACAUUAACAGUGAUGUUCAAAUCAAUUUCCUCAAUAUGGAGGAACCUGCCCCUAAUUAACACGACAAACAGGGAUAAGAAUAUCGGGAGAACCAGAGAAGUAGUCUUUUGCUGAACUCCAAUACUUCUUAGUAUUUCGGGGCAUGUGACCUUGGGACAGUAGUUUAAAAGUUGAAAAAGGUAAUGAAAAUAGCAAAGUGCAAAAUAGCACAGCCUAUCAGCCAUCAUUGCCUUCAUUUUUAUUUUAGGGGGAAAAGAUCUCAGAAACAAUUGAACUUUACCCUAUUGUAAUUAACCACAUUAACUUAGAAAGCGUUGAAGUUCAUCACCUGAGCAAUAAUUCCACUACAAUCUACCGCAAUUCCAUUAAUUAGAAGCAUCUGAGUCAAAAUUUCAGUGAAAAGAUCAAUGUACCAAUCCACAUUUCAGCUCGAUACUUAAUUUUCCUGACAAAUGUCUCAUUAAUUUGGUAGACAUAGGGUUUUCGUGGUGGAUUGCAGCAAAAAUCAUUGUUUCAUAGUAAAUUGCAAUGUUUCAAAUUUCAAGUGGUGAAUUGCGAAUUGGACAGAGUGUAAGACUUGCAUGCAAAGAUUAAUAGGAGAAACUAUAAAGGUUGUGUGACUCCAUUACGCAUAUGUUAAUUCUUCAAGUAAUAGAGAUGCCUCAUUUCAUUCAAUUACCAAUACGCAAAGCACUAUGUUACUCUUAAUCAAACUACUGGUAAAUUCAUUACUUCUUAAAACCACACUAAGAUUUCAGAGAGGCUUCAUAGGCCUAAUGCUCCAUUGUAAGAAAACAUCAUAAAAAAGAGUAAAUCAAAGAUACUUCUAAGUUCUGAUCUUAUAAGAUAUGCUCAUAUGCCAAAUAAGAGUUUUGCUAGAUUGCUUCUACUUCAUUUUUUUAUGACGGGACAUCUAAGUUGACGAUCAGCAUGGGUAGAUUUGAUCUUGAGUAUUUGAAGUCCAUGGGAUUCAAGUUUUAUGAUUUUUUGCCAUGAUCAUAAGAUAAAUGAUCAGGUGGUCUCAAAAUGAAUAGCUGAAAGUGAAAAUAUCAUAAAAAAGAUGAUACAAUUCUGAAAUUUCAUACUAGAGAUGCCAAUCUUGCUGUGCGGUGUGAAAAGAAUUUUCUACCAAAACUCCACUCAAUUUGAGAAGUUCAACACCAUCAAAUAAAUUUCAGAUCUGAGGUGUUGAACAUUUUGUAAAUAGUGAGAAGAAUUUUCUAUCAAAAUUUCUCUCAAUUUGGAUAUCUCUACACUAUUAAACGAUCAAAGGGCUCAUUAUUGCCACUAAAAUAGUUGAUUUUGGGACCCUUUGAUCACUAGGUAAAUAAUGUCAAAGAAUUAUGAAAUUUGGUUGUUGAUACUUCAAAGAGUGUAGAUCAGGUACAACAGUGUCAAUCGCCAAGUAAUGCCCCAUCAUCAAUAGUGAAGUGGAAGCACAAAGACCCCAAAUUCCUGAAAAUGAAGUGGAGGAACAAAGGCCCCUGCACUUCCAAGAGAAAUCUAGCCCAACUGGUUAAAUUAUCUUAAUCUUCAAAGGAAAGGGUUAUGCAUUUGGAUAGGCUGGGUCCUGUUAAAACUGUAUCGCAACAAAUCCCUCCCUCUUGUAACACACCUUCUCUAAGGUGCACCCCUGCACUUUUUUCUAGCAGUUCAUGUAUUUCGUCUUGUGACAAACAUAACAGUUUAAAGUGAAUGAAUGGUGCCUUUGAAUAAAAGCACACCACCAAACACCACCAUAAUUAGUAUCCUUUUCCUGACAAGGUGUCAAAGAUACGGUUCUCAUACGGCUUUGAAAAAUCAACUUGCAUAACUUCUGUCAUUGUAUACUCCUCUGACUUCAGUGGUGGCAAUGGUACGUCAGUUAGGAAUAGAUUCAAAGAUGCCCGACGGUUUAUUAAAGCAUCUCGGGCUUCUUUGUAAUCAUCAGUUGUCGGAUCCCCAUCGUUUUCAUUGCCCAGGAUUUUCUUGUUUUGUAUAUGUUUCAAUUUCCACAACCAAUGUGCCUCUUUGAUUAAACAUCUAUUUUGUGAACUCAUGUCAUUAUAAUCUGAUUCAGCAUCCAUAUUAAGUUUCGCACCCAUAUGCUUGGAUUAGAGAUUAAUGUUGAUAGCGUCUAACUUCCUCAUCAUCGGUCUCAUGACUCGACCCCUGAUCUUGUUGCUGCAUAUAUGCUUGUAUUGUGUUAGCUUCCAUGCCCAAUUGAAUUUGCAGUUGAUUAUGGCUUUCUUAGAUGUGGUCAGAGGUCUGUUUGCAUCUUUCGUGAGCAUCAGUAAAGUCUUGAAAGCAUUGGAGAAUAUGGAAACUUACGGAACUUUUCUACACCUUUCUAAGAUUUCAUAGGAACUUUCCAAUGGGUUCUGGAAAAGUUAAUGGGAUAUAGGCGAGCCUUAAGAGUUAGAAACUGACUAGCGCAUUCUCGUUUUCCCUUUUUUCAACCCCAAAACAAUAAAAGAGUUUAAAAAAAAAACAAAAAAGAACAGGAGAUAUUGGAGAAUAGUAUAAACAAAAAUUUUAAAACUAAAAGAAAAUAACUAAAUUCCUUACGAACAAAAACCUUGAAAAUAUGUUAUGCACUUAACCUUUUCGUCCUUCCCAAAUGGUGGUGUGGAUGACUCUUCACUGAUAAAAAUUGGUCUUACCUUUUUAGUUUUUAGUUUUUUACUCUUCUUCGUGAACAACAUCAUAAAUAAUUGCCACUCCCUAACGCACGUGUUAUUCUUCAAGGGAUCAAGAUGCCUCAGUCAAUUAAAUUACCACUUCUCCCAAUCCUACAUUACUCUUAAUCAAACUACUUUAAAUUUUAUUACUUCACUGAUGCGGACCGGGUCCCCUUUCGAGUGUACCAACGCCAUCAACGCUGCAAAGCAACUUGAGCAUGUGGCUCGAUCAAUUCGGAUUGGGUUCGGAUCGGGUGUUUCUAGAAGUAUCUAAGGUCAUGUGAUUUUGUUUAAAAAUCUGUUUCUUUGGAUGCAUUGAGAUUUAGUUAUUUUUUUAAGAUAGGUUGAGAUUUUGUGAGAUUUUUAUUCUAUUAGGAUAGGUUGAGAUUUUGUUACCAGAUUUUUAUCAUGUUAGAAUAGUUGUUUAAGUUGAUAUAUUAUUUUGAGCUUAUUCAUUUGUUAGGAAAGCUCUUUAAAUAAGCCUAUGUAUGGAACAAUGAAAACAAUGAAGAUGAAUAUUGUUAUAGUCAUUGAGAUGUGUUCUCUAAAUUCCUUCGCAUUUAUGCGUCGACCGGAGUGAAUCCGUGGAGAGCGAGUCCCUUUAUCUUUUUUUUUUUCUCCGCUGACUGCAUUCGUCGUCGCCAUCGUCAUCCACCAUCGACGUCAUCUCCACCAGUCUUGCCACGCCACUACCAAUUGUUGCGCUCGAGCCACCUCCCGAUCAUUUCGACGUCACUAUCAAACCGAUGCCAUAUAGCUUGUCCACCGGACUCCUAUCUCUCAAAUAACCACCCAUUGCUUUGUGUCCAUAGAAGGUGCCCAAGGAGAGGCUUGGAUCCGAUUGAUUAAGAACGGGCAGUUCUAUUUUGUUUGGAGUUACUAAUAUCGCCUGCGGAGCAUUGAAAGGUUAGAUUGACCAUCCCUAAUUUUAGUUUUGCGUCAUCUAUCGGCCCCUUCUUUGUUUUUUUUUUUUCUAGAAGUAUUUUUUUUUUCCUUUUUGGCGAGUCCAGAUUGUGGGUCCCACUGUGUUGCAUUUGAGUUGCAUUAAAGAACCCUUUAAUAAUAGGAUUUGAUUGCAUGCAAUAUUUCAUAUUUACAUUCAUCCUACAUCAAAUUUGGUAUCAGAACCCUAGGUUAAUGAAUGAACCUUAGAAGUGGCAAGAUUUAUCAACCUUUACCGAUGUCCUCAGACCCCACAAAAAUGGAACAAAUUUUACAGCAAUUAGCCGCUUUGAACGCUAAACUAGACGACAUAGGGAACCGUGUUACCAACCUAGAAACGAAUCCUGAUAAGGUCACAACACAAAACAAUGACACUACAGGAGUAGAACAAGAGGGAUCUGCUGCACACACUGCACAACCACGUGAUAUUAACGUUCGAAAUGUCUUUCAACAAAUGCCCCCAAGAUUCAAUCCUCUUUUACAAGGAAAUGAAAAUUUUAACUUUCAAGAUGACAUCACAUAAAAGGUUAAAAUUGAUGCACCAAGUGUUGACGAAAAACUUGAUUUGAAAUUAUUCACAAACUGGCUCGUCGACAUGGACCAGUACUUCAACUGGUAUGAAAUGUCUGAUAGUCAACAGGUUCGUUAUGCUAAAAUGAAACUCACCGGCGCCGCCAAGCAAUAUCGGAUUGGCGUUGAAAGACACUUAGAGCAGAUUGGCCAGGAGCCCAUCACUUUGUAGGCAGAGAUGAAGGCUAAACUGAGAGAGAAGUACUUGCCAUCUACGUACAAACAACAAUUGUACGAUCAAUUGAACACUGUAUAGCAAGGUUCUAUGUCAGUUGCUGAUUACAUGGCCAAGUUUGACGAGACAAACGUUCGUUGCGAUAUUCAAGAAGAAGAGGAAUGAAUUGUCUCCUGAUUCCGCCACAGGUUGUGCAAGUUACAGCGCGAAAUUGCGCCGCACAGGGCCGCAACCGUUGAGCAAGCUUUUAAACUCGCUUAGAAUAUGAGAAAUAUUUAAAAACACCAGCUCGACAAUUUGUUGGAAAAUUCAAUACGCCUAACGCAAAUCCAAAUUUUACUAAAGCGAAUAAUUUUCAAAAUCAUCAAAAUUCUAAUUCUAUGGGCAAGGGUUUAGCUAUAAACGACACUAAACAAGAAAACAUACAGGGUAGGUGUUAUAACUAUCGCCAUAUAGGUCAUACAUGAUGUAGGACAGAAUAUAGGGUCCUACAUUUUUAGAGGGCUCCAAAAUAUAAUUUAUGAUUUUGAAAGCUUUUUGAAAAUUUGAAAGCUUGUGAAAUAUUUUUUUUAGAAAUUUUCGAAAUUAAAAAAAUAAAAAUUAAAGAAAAUAGAAAAAUUCAAAAAAUAGAAAAAAUUAGAAAAAAUAAUCAGAACUCACUCCUGAACCGAACUCACUCUAGGGCGAAGCAUUCGCGAAGGAAAAAAGACUUCAUUGCCAAAUCAUUUAUCUUCAUUAUAAAUUCAUCCCCAUACAAAGAAGUCUUAUACGUUAUUUAUAUUAUGUUUAACCUUAUCUAUACAUAACCAACUUAGAAUUUAAUCUUAUCCUAAAUAACUAAAUAAAGCAACUUUACCUAGAGAUUAACAAAAAAAUGAAAAUUAAAAAUAAAUACGAUUGAAACAAAUAAGAGGAUAGCUAAAAAUCCUCAUUUAACUAACGAAAAAAUAUUCUCAACUAAUCUAAUCUAAUUUUAAAAACGAUAAACAAAAUCGGUUUAAUCCGAUCAAAAUAGGUUCAAGCUUGUUCUGCAUCAUUACGCUUAUGAAUGCCCCAAGUGGAACAUGUUUGUUCAGCCAGAUGGCGAUGAGUUGGAGAACUUAGAGGACGUCGCACACACAAUCGAUGAAAUUCCUAGUGAUGAAGAUAUGUUGAGAUCGAACGAGGAGUUUGAAGAAAACGUCACCUUACAAGUCAUGCAUUGUAUUUUGACCCAACCUAGGAAAGAGAAUGAUUGGAGGUGCACUUCCAUAUUUCACACCUAUACGAAAUGUAGAGACAAGAGUUGCAAGGUCAUCAUUGAUGGUGGUAGUUGCAUUAAUAUAAUAUCAGAAGCUGUCGUAGGUCGUUUAAACCUGAAAACAGAGCCUCACCCUAACCCUUAUAGUGUUGCGUGAGUAGACAAGACCAUUAUGCCGGUAAAACGACAUUGUUUGGUUCCACUUCAUUUUGCUACCUACUCCGACCAGAUUUGGUGCAAUGUCCUCCCUAUAGAUGUCGCUCAUGUUCUUUUAGGAAGAUCAUGGCUAUAUGAUAUGUCUGUCGUUCACCACGGAUUAUCCAAUACCCAUGUUUUUGCUCACAAUGGCAAGAAAAUUGUUUUGAGCCCAACAAACCCUUCUUCACAAAAAUUUUCAUCAAAAAACUCGAAUCCUACCAAAGAUUUUAAAAAUCCACCAUUAGAGAUUGAGAAAACAAAACCCCUUCAUAUUUUAAACAAAAAAAAGUUUUGUAGAGAAAUUGAUUCAAAAAUUGUGUACGCUUUAAUUGUAAAGGAGACUGCUCAAUUGACUAAUUCUUUUGAAACCCCUUUAGUAAUUAAGGAACUCCUUGCCGAAUUUAGUGAAGUCGCACCAAAAGAAUUACCUGAUAAACUUACCCCACUUAAAGACAAACAACAUGAUGUAGAUAUGGUCCCAGGGUCAUGCUUACCUUACCGCAUUAUAGAAUGAACCCUAAGGAACACGCUGAACUAAAGCGCAAAGUAGGAGAGUUGAUUAAGAAGGGCUUUGUACGAAGAGCAUGAGUCCCUACGCAAUACCGGCACUUCUUACACCAAAGAAGGACGGAAGUUUGUGCAUGUGUGUGGACAGUCGUGAUAUUAAUAAAAUCACAGUUAAGUAUCGAUUUCCGAUUCCCCGCUUGGAUGAUAUGUUGGAUAUGAUGGUAGGGGCAACUAUUUUCAGAAAGCUUGAUCUUCGUAGCGGUCACCACCAAAUUCGACUUCGGCCUAGGGAUAAGUGGAAAACUGCCUUUAAAACUAGAGAAGGGUUGUACGAGUGGCUAUUUAUGCCAUUCGGUUUGACAAAUGCCCCGAGUACUUUCAUGAGGGUAAUGAACCAAGUUUUUCGACCAUUUAUUGGCAAGUUUGUGGUAGUAUAUUUUGAUGAUAUUUUAAUCUACAGUCGUGCCGAAAACGAACACUUAAUUCACAUGCGACAGGUUUUUGAAAUCUUGAGUAAGGAAAAAAAAUUAUGCAUAUGAAAAAAUGUUCUUUUAUGCAACCCUGUGUUAUUUUCUUGGGUUUCAUUGUAUCCAAAGAUGGGGCAUUGGCUGACCUAAAAAAGGUCAAGGCUAUUAGAGAAUGGCCAGAACCGAAAAAUAUACAUGAUGCUAGGAGCUUUCAUGGCCUAGCAACUUUUUAUCGACGAUUCAUUACAGGUUUAGUACUAUAAUGGCCCCGAUUACAAAUUGUUUAAAGAAUGGUGAAUUCAAAUGGACAAAAUCGACCACAAAAGCUUUUCAAGAAAUUAAGGAAAUGAUGACAAAGGCCCUCUGUUUUGAAAUUACCAAAUUUUGAAAAGAUUUUUGAAGUUUCUUGUAAUGCCUCUGGGGUGGGAAUUUGUGGAAUAUUAACCCAAGAAGGUCAUCCCAUAGCUUAUUUUAGCGAAAAAUUAAAUAAGGCUAAACAAAAAUAUUCCACUUACGACAAAAAAAUUAUACGUUGUGGUUCAAACCCUGAGAUAUUGGCGACAUUAUUUGUUACCAAAAGAAUGUGUUUUAUUUUCUAAUCACCAACCUCCCAGUUACUUUUAACUCACAAAAACAUUUAAAUUUUCGACACGCAAAGUGUAUUGAGUUUAUUCAAGAAUAUACUUUCACUUUGAAACAUCGAGCCGGGGUAGAUAAUAAAGUUGCUGAUGCAUUAAGUCGAAUCGUAACAACCUUGCAUAAAGUUGGAGGGAGUGUAAUCAGGUUCGACAGUAUUAAGAGAGAAUAUUCCUCAUGUCCGGAUUUUAGCAAAAUCUACACCUUAGCUUUAGAGAACAAAUCCGCCGACCCAGAUUUUGUCAUUCGAGAUGGCUAUCUAUUUCGCGGUAGUCAUUUAUGUAUUCCGCAAGGCUCGUUGCAUGAUUUCAUUGUUUGGGAAUUACAUACAGGAGGUUUAGUCAGACAUUUUGGUCGAGACAAAACCAUCUCUAUGGUUAAGGACAAGGUUUAAAGUGUUGGGGCACGGGGGCGUGCCGUUGUCUGCCUGGCACGGUACGGCACCGGCACGCUUCCAUGCCGACACAUGGUACGCUUGCAUGCCGAUGGAUACGCACGACCUCCUACCAGCACGCUUUGGCACGGACUUAUUUCAAUUUUUUUUUGUUCCAAUAAGCUCUUAUAAUGUUAUUUUGAAAGAAUUAAUCAAAUAAUUAUGAAUAUAUGCUAUGUAUAGCUUACUAUACUCAUCAAUUAACAUAUUUGUAAGCUUUUUUGUAUGUAAAGUACAAUUAUACCUGAUGCAGAAUAAAAAUUUUUACAGGUUAGAAUUUUUAAAAUACAAAGACAUCUUUUUUUUCUUUUUUUCUUUUGACCAUAUUAUAGUUUUUCUUUUAUACAAUACAAAAAAAAUAAUUUUACAUUUUUUUGAAAAAAUUAUUUUAAAAAGUAUUUGAAAAAAUUUAUUUUUUUAAUUAUUUUUUUCAAAAAAUUAGUAGGUCUAUCAAAAAAAUUAAGCAAUAAAUUAUAUGACAAAUAAAUUAAAUAAAUUUAAGUAUCAAUUGAUUUAAUUUAGCUUUUAAUCUUAUCAGUAUUUUCAAUCUUCUAGCGCAAAAAUAAAAUUUAUGUUUGAUGUGGCUUAAAAUUUGUUUAUUGAGUUCGAUUUUGUUCCCUUAAUUCGCCAAAAAUUUCGUGGUGCGACAAAUUUUGAUAAAAUAAUCUGUGACUAAAAAAUAAAUAUCUGUGGUGGAAGCGGAGGGCUCGGACAAAUCUUUUGUCCGUAUAUUGAUAAAUAAAAAAAAUUAAAUUAUAAAUUUUUUGACUUAUCUAAUAAGUAAAUUUUCGAUUUGCAAUAUCUUUGGGGAGGUGUGGAGUACCCAGAAUGCUUUGGAUAUCCCAAAGAACAAAACAAAGAAAAAAAAAUAAGAAAAAAAAAUUUAAAAAAAAGCACAGUGCUAGCACAGCACUGUAACGUGGCACGCUGCACCGUGCCGCUCUGUCUCGUGCGGCACGGCGCUGCGUGCCGCGGCACGAAGGAGGGUCCGAGACCCCCCCUUACCGUGCCACCUUCAUGCGGCACGGAGCAGCAAUUUAAACCUUGGUUAAGGAUCGAUUCUUUUAGCCGAACCUCAAGCGAGAUGUUGCUCACAUCGUGGCACGAUGUGGGACGUGUCAAAAGGCUAGAGGCGGCCGAAAGAAUGAAGGAUUAUACACACCUUUACCCGUACCACAUUCUCCUUAGCAAGACCUAAGCAUGGAUUUUGUUUUGGGUCUACCAAAAACUAUUAGAAAACAUGAUUCGAUCCUUAUCGUAGUUGACCGCUUUUCUAAAAUGGCACACUUCAUUCCUUGUCGCAAAACAUCUUAUGCUACUCAUGUAGCGAAACUUUUUGUCGUUGAAAUUGCACGACUUCAUGGGUUACCAAAAUCAAUCGUGACUGAUAAGGAUGCUCGCUUCGUUAGUUAUUUUUGGAAAACAUUAUGGAAAAUUAUAAGUACAAAAUUGCUUUUCUCGUCUUCACAUCACCCGCAAACUAACAGUCAAACGGAGGUAGUCAAUAGGAGUUUGGGAAACCUACUUCAAUGUCAAGUUGGUGAGAAUGUUAAGAAUUGGGAUCUCAUCUUACCACAAGCUGAAUUCGCAUAUAAUAGCUCAAUUAAUCGAACAACCGGAAUGAGCCCAUCUAAGAUAGUGACAGGAUAUAAUCCAAACAAAGACCUAGUGAACAUGCAUCUUCAUUUGCACAACAUAUGCGGGACUUACAUUACGAGAUUCGACGAAAAAUAGUUUUAAGUAAUGAUAACUAUAAGAAAGUCGCCGAUAGACACAGGCGCGUUGUUGAAUUUAAUGAAGGAGACUCGAAAGGAGACUCGAUGAUGGUGCGGAUUAGACCCGAAAGGCUUCCGCAUGGUACUAUUAGAAAACUAUAUGCAAGAAAUAUGGGUCCGUUUACAAUUCUUAAGAAAAUUGGUUCUAAUGCUUAUUUAUUGGAUUUACCGUCUAAUAUGAGAAUUAAUCCUACUUUUAAUGUUGAAGACCUCAUCUUAUACCAUCUAGAUACACUAAAUUCAUGUCCCAAGUCCCCACCUCAACUUGUUCCGAGUAUCCCAUUACAGGAAAAGCGAGAUGACAUUGAGGCAAUCCUUGAUGAUCAGAUUGUAUCGACGAGGGAUGACGGAGAGCCCAACUUUUUGGUCAAGUAGUAAUAUCGACCGGAAGAAAACGCAACGUGGAUUUCGCAUGAUGAGCUUCAACGACUAGAUCAAAAUCUAUAUGAGAAGUACAUCUCGAACAAUUCGACGGAGUCGAAUUUCUCGAAGGCGGGGAGAGUUGAUGCGGACCAGGUCCCCUUUCGAGUGUAGGAAUGCCGUCGAUGCUGAAAACGCAACUUGAGCAUGUGGCUCAAUCAAUUCGGAUUGGAUUCGGAUUGAGUCACACUCGUUUGUUUCCAGAAGUAUCUAAGGUCAUGUGAUUUUGUUUAAAAACUUGUUUCUUUGGAUAAGUUGAGAUUUAGUUUAAAAGGAUUGGUUGAGAUUUUAUGAGAUUUUUUUUCUAUUAGAAUAGGUUGAGAUUUUGUUAUCAGAUUUUUAUCAUGUUAGAAUGGUUGUUUAAGUUGAUAUUUUAUUUUAAGCUUAUCCAUUUGGUAGUAAAGCUCUUUAAAUAAGCCUAUGUAUGGAACGAUGAAAACAAUGAAGAUGAAUAUUGUUAUAGUCAUUGAGAUGUGUUCUCUAAAUUCCUUCACAUUUAUGCGUCGACCGGAGUGAGUCCGUGGGGAGCGACUCCCUUUAUCUUUUUUUUUCUUCUGCCACAUGCAUUCGUCACCGCCAUCGUCAUCCACCAUCGACAUCAUCUCCACCACAGUCUUGCCACGCCACUACCGAUUGUUGCGCUCGAGCCACCUCCCGAUCAUUUCGAUGUCACUAUCAAACCGAUACCAUCUAGCUUGUCCAUCGAACACAAUUGUUUUUCCCUUUUAACCUUUCAAUUACCUUGUCUUAUUUUCAUGUUUACUUUUUUUCUUUUCUUCCCGACUCCUAUCUCUCGAAUAACGACCCUUUGCUUUGUGUCCAUAGAUGGUGCCCAAGGAGAGGCUUGGAUCCGGUUGAUUAAGAACGGACAGUCCAAUUUCAUUUUGAGUUUACUAAUAUCGCCUGCGGAGCAUUGAAAGGUUAGAUCGACCAUCCCUAAUUUUAGCUUUGCGUCAUCUAUCGGCCCCUUCUUUGUUUUUUUUUUUUCUAGAACUACUUUUUUUGUCCUUUUUGGCGAGUCUGAAUUGUGGGUCCCACUAUGUUGCAUUUGAGUUGCAUUAAAGAACCCUUUAAUAAUAGGAUUUGAUUGCAUGCAAUAUUUCAUGUUUGCAUUCAUCCUAUAUCAUUCACAAAAUCAUACUACAACGAAAGAGAGAACUCUUGUUUAUGGGCUCAAAUCCAUAAAAUACCCUAAUGACAAGAAGAUACUACUAGCCUAAAGUUAUUUCGAAUAAAAGUUCUUUUCCUAAUCUCAUAAAAGAAAUAAUCCUAAAUCCACUGAGGAAAAGGCCAUGCAUCUGGUUCAGGUACGCAACUGGGUCUAGUUUGAAGGCGAUUGUAAAACAAACCUUGGAGGACUCAUCGGCGCCCAUGCUCGGUUGCGCAAUGGUGUUCUCAUACCAUCAUGUAUGGGAGUUGCUGCAAAACAAAAAAUUAAAACACGAAGUCAAAAUUUAUGUAUCGAGAACAUAUUUAUAAAUGAUACACCAAGUAAACAUAUUUAUAAAGAAGUUGCAGUGGACCAUUUAUCCCCUGAUCUAGACAAGCAAACUAGACACACUACGUGAAAUGACAUAUAGAUAGAAUCAAGAAAAUAUCAGCAACAUACCCAAGAUGUUAAGUAUUAUAAGUACAUUUUUGGCAGACAUCUGACUAAAAUUUUCACCGAGCAAUGAAGAAAGAGAACCGAAAUUAAUCACUGGACGAAACCACACCUGAAGGAUCUCUCAUUGGCGUCUGAAUUGGAUGAAGUGGCGUCCGGGAUGGAUGCAUUGGAGUUUCACUACCCGAAGCAAAUCUUGAUUCACUGAUGUGUAUAAAAUGUCAGCAUAAGAAACAAAAUUUUGAGCCUCAAUAAAAAUAGAUGCAUCACAGGAUCAUUACCGGAAUGGUGUUGCAGCACCAGGAGUAUCAGAAAUCUCGUCUCUUUUAACUGCAAAUUCACUUCUUAUAUUAAACUAUGGAAAAUAUUAGAAUAAAAUAAGCUGUAAACACAAAGCUUACCUGUGACAAUCUUCAUCUGUGAAUCCAGCUCUACGCGCACAAAUCCACUGGUGAUCUCCUUAACACGGCCGCGAUACCCCUUAAAGGGACCAGAUUUAAUUUUAAUGCAUCUACCUACCAAAGAAUCAUGCCCUCUUCCACCUCCGAACCUUCCACCUCCGAACCUUCCACCAACUGCACCAAGUAAUUUUCUCAUAUGAUUAUGGUAAUUCUAACCACAUAAAACAUCAUAAUUUAGGCUGGCAAUGAAACUGAAUAAGAUCAUAUCAAGAUUUUUUAUAGAAAUUUAUGUUUAGAAUCAAAAGUUCUUCCAAAACUAAAGUCAUACAAUUUGUAGGAGGUCCUCUUGGAGGAAGCCUUCUUGGGGACUGCAAAACAUUCGAUGAAGAUCUCAAACCACCAAAUCGAGAAUCUAAUGCAUCUACACCCUGUAGUACAAUAAUCAUAAUGAAUCACAGCGUCAACCAUUAUAAAGAUUUAUAAGAAACUAAAAUGACUGGCAAAAAGUAAACAAAAGCACAAAAGCAUUUCAGGCAUACAUUCAUGCCGUGACCCCUAUUUGAUCCACCAACAACUACACAAGACUGUGCUUUAGCACAUAUAAAACCAGCAUGCUCCAGGUGGUGUCGAUCAUAGAUGAACAAGAUCCCUUUAUGUAUGUGCUCAACAGGCCCUUGCUUCCCCUAAAUGGAAGAAAAAAUAAACAAACAGUUGUGUCAAGCCGAAAGCAUCACAUAUUCAUAUACAGAAAAAGGCACCAGAAAUUCACUAAGUAGAAAAAUUAUACUGUAUCUCACCUUACAUGGUCCUUCAAUUACCCUCACAACAUCCUUAACUGACACAAUAUUAUUCGAUCGAUCUUUGGCAUUGGUUCGUCUGUCAAUCUUGCUCUUUAUUUCCCUCAGUUUAAUAAGCACGACCUCAGGUCUAUCAGGUACACCUUUGAGAACCUAAAGACAAACAACUAUUAAUUUUUUUUUUUUACCAAAUAGAAAAGGCCCAUAAUCAACUUCUGGAAUUUUCUAACUUGCCUGAAAUGCUUCACUUUCCACACGUAUAAUUACACCAAAUGACAUGUUGCUGCAGGGAAUCCAACAAAAGCAUAAGACAGAGUAAGACUGAAAACCAAUGACAAAAAACAAUGUCCGAGCAAUCUCAAAAGUAAAUCUUACUCUAGCAUCACAAGAUCAUGCAACUCGUAAUCCCCAAUUCGUGUAACCCCAGUAGUAAUUUCAGAACUUUCGACUACAUGGUCCGCAAAUACACGGAUCUGAGAUCAGAAGGAAUUAAUCUCCUGUUGAAGUAAUUCUCAUUUUCUUAAAAAGGAAAGGAAAAAAAUUCUGCUUACAUGCUCUUUUGUAGUGUCUGAUAAGAUAAUCAAAACAUGCCCCUCAACUUUUACAACCAUACCAGUUGCACCUUCUUGAACACCAGAAACUACUUUUACAUGGUCUCCAGGUUUAAAGUAUUUGCACAGCUCCUUCUCAUUGAAAGCCAAUGUUUUCUGCAAAGACAACCACAUUAAGAAUUCCACUGGAUUGAACAACUUGCAAAAAUAACUGAUUUAGCAUGAACAUAUGUUUGUUAGGUAAUUACAGGAAGGUCCGGCAUUUUCGGUCUGAUAUGGACAGUGUCCUCCUCUACUUUCUCAACCCAGCCUUCCAGAUUCUUGAGAUCUCCUCGAACAACAAUGACAGCAUCACCUUUCAUGAAAUGGCCUUUCUUCCUGUUUGCAAACAAAGUGGACAAGCUAGCCACGUCUCCAUUAACAUCAUCACCAGGUUUCCGAAAUUUCUCAAGCUCAUCAAAGGUUGGCUGAAUAUUUUGUGAGCUGAUUGACUUAAAUGAUACUGUUUUGUAAAGGAAUCCAUCUUUGAACAUUAAACCAUCAACCAUCUCGAAAUACUCCCCUGAAUCUCUGUCCCUCCUCCUCUCCACACGGAUACGCAUCUCCCUAAUUGCAUUUCAAAGAAAAAGAAGAAAAUAAAAAUUAAAUUAUGAUUUUAUUACGUAAAACUCUAUUUCAGUAUAAAUCGGUAUUGGAGCAAAAUAGUACCUUGCUUCAUCAAUGUUAAAAAACCUUGGUGGAGGUACAAAUGUCUUCUUCUUUCCAAUAUCCCUACCUUCCUGAAAAAUACUAACCUCUUCAGUACGAAAAAGCAUGAACACAGAUACAACCUCAAUCAACUAACAUUCAUAAAACAAGGUACAUACAAAACUUGUAUAAAUAUAUGUUGUUAAAAAGCAUAUCAGGCUGUGAAGAGAAAUUUUGUGAACAUAAUGUCUGGAAUUAAAAGCAACUGUGUUCUGGACACCAGAAUCACUGUUAAGGGCUCCAUCAAUAUGAUGAAUACAUAUAAUCCAGAAAUGAGCAAGUUCUGACGGUUUAACAUCAAUGAAGUAAAAUAAUGCAAGCAAUAAUGAUUAAUGAAGGAUAUAUAUAUAUAUAGAGUAGAAAGUCAGCUUUAUAUAGCAGAAAGAACAAAGCAAGUUUAAUUCUUCUUAUAUUAAAAAGUAGUAAAAAGAAAAAAGAAAGAGAACCCACCAGUUUAUUGGCAAGAGUUUGUAAAUCAACUCUUGGAAUUAGCUUAACAGUUACUCUCUGGCGCACAUUGUCAACAUCAACAACCUGCAUAAAACAGCUUUGGUUAAUAUAGAAAGGAGGUAGGAAAAGCAGAAGCUAGACAGCCCAAAAAGAAAUAGCCGUACUUUAGCAAGAUCUCCUUUAUAUAUGCCUAUCUUCAUUCUAACCCACGUAUCCCUAGCAAGAUCAACAGAUUUGCUUUCAACUGACAGAACAUCAGUCAUCUCCUUUAUAGGCACGAGCAUAAUUUUUGCUGAAGAAUAUAUAUUUCUUAGACCUUUGCAAGCCUGAAUACACCAAAUAACCAGUAAUCAAAAUCUCAAGGAUAAAGAACAAAAAAUUGCAAAAAAUUGCAUGACAAAUUGAACAUAUCCAAACCUCUUUAACAUGAGCUUCCUUUUCAGCUUCAACAUAAAUGUAGUUUUUUAGAUGGUCCAACGCGAUAGCUGACUUUAUCUGGAGAUCUGCCCUAUCUAUGAACUUUUGCAUGAGACAUAUAGCUGUCUCGCGCUCAUGACCAAUCUGAAAUCAUUAUUUUUUUAAAAAAAAAGUUCACACCUCAUAAAGCAAAAGGACACAGAGAUAAUUAGCACUAAGCAGUAUUCAUGUUAAACUGGAAAGGGAUGACACAAUCUAGGCUGUUAAUAAUUAUCUACGUGCAAAUAUAUCUGUGAGAGUAUCAAUUUCCAUAAAUGCCCCUAAAAAAAUGAUGUCGUACAUAUGUCACUGUAACCAUAAUAAAAAAAAAACUUUAAAUAACUUUCUUUAACACAAAACCAACUUCCCUUUAUGAAUUUGGAUCACUUCCCAACCUAAGAUAAGGGCAUUUUUGCAAGAAACUGCAUUUUCCAGGGUAUAUAUAUGAAAGUUUUUCGCAGGUAAUCGGGAAUACAUAUGUUAAAGCCUGAACAUGAAAGGAGUACGCGGAAACAUCAUACCGCACAUUUCACCAUCCACAACUUUGGAUCCUUCACAGAUGGCAAUAAAGCUUGUUGUUCGACUUCUGUCGCGUCAUCGCCAUAUUCCACAUGGCUUGACUUUGCAUAUCUUUCAUAUACUUGUCUCUCUAUCUCAUCGACAUCUUCCUGAUCCUCACCCAUAAGGAUGGACGGACGAUGUAACCGUCUACCCUCCUCCUCAUCAGGUAGAUCAGCUCCGGCAUCAUUGAUGAAAUCUGCAAGUUUUCUUUUACCACUUAAAUCCAUAGUUCUAGAGAUAUGUGGGAUGGAGAGAAAAGAUGCUAUAUGUAGAAGGGAUAGUGCGAAUGUAACCCUAACACUACUUUUCCUAUUAUCUCCUUCAAAUGAUGCGCUCUCACGCGAGAGCCAUGCGUGCAGAUGUACACAGAGGGCAAUUAGCAAUAAAGAGAUUAGAAAUCGACAAGCUAAUGUUUCCUAGACACUUGGCAGGGAGUAAGUACCCAAGAAGGGAGAAUUAUUAGACAUCUGUAGACUACUAAAACUAUAUAAGUAGCGAAAUUUAUAUUCAAACUGAUAAAUGCCUAAAUUUCUUGGGGAAUUAAGAAUCGAAUUUAUAUAUCAUUUAAAUUAGUCUUUGGCCGGUUUAAUUGCAGAAAAUUGAGGAAAAGGAAGAAAUUUUUGCAUUAACCACGUAGAAUAGGAGAAAAAAGUCCCCAGAUUCAAUAGAACUAUUUUGAUUGGAAACAGCAGAAAGAAAUAAAUAGAAAACUAUGGCGUAACUAUCAAUGACUUGUCUCCCCAAUCCAAUGCAGUUCUUCGCUCGAUUUUGCUUCUAUAACCAGUCCCAUUCAAUGUGCAACCAACUAUACAGGAUUAGAACCAAAGCAUGGCAGCAUUUAUCUAGACAAAGUUGGCGAAUCGGCUAUAUCUGAGUUCUUGAACCUGGAAAAAACUAAAAUUUUGAAAUUUGAGUAAUUAGAUGCAAGAUAAUUAUGCUCUCGGCAGAAUCACCAAGAUCGCUAUAAUUGGGAAUUUUGCCCCUCUACUCAAUUUCUCCUUCUAAUCGUUCAAUUUCUUUCUUCUUCUUUUCUGAAGUUGAACAAAAGGACAACAAGAUGAAUCAAGAACCGUUUUAUCAUCUUGUAAAGGAACUAAAAAAACAAAGAUGAUUGCGAAUUACCAUCCUCCCCCUCUUCAUCAUCCUCCUCCCCUUCGUCGCUGUCGACGGCCGCUUCGAGCUCGAAGAACUCCGACCCCGACCGCCGCUUCUUCCCGCGGCCGCCGCCGCCGCCGCCGCCGCCGCGGCCAAAAUCCUCAUCGUCGUCGUCCUCCUCGUCCUCCUCGUCCUCAUCGUCCUCCAACGCAGUAUCAUCAAUAAAAUCGGAUCGCCCCCGCUUCCGCCCUCCGGCGCCCUUCCCCCUCCUCACCACCUCCUCCUCCUCCUCCUCCUCCUCCUCCUCUUCCUCCUCGUACUCCUCGUCGUCGUCGUCGUCGUGGCGUCGGUUCCGAGCCAUGGCUUCUCCGAUCGGGGAUCACCUCCUCCGAAGGCUAGGUUUUGGGGAUCGACAAAGAUGGAGGAACGUGGGGCGAUGCUCUAAUUCACGAACUACAACAAUUGCGCAAAGGAACUAAAUCGUGAACAGCGAUAAAUAUCUUCGCAUGCAAAAUCGAGAAGGGUUUGGAUUCGAGAGAGGCGGGGUGGAGAGAGAGAGAGAGAGAGAGAGGAAGGGGAGCCUAAAUAAGGGGGAGUGGAGAGAUGGGAGAUGAAGCUCUAAUGAUGAUCGGAUCAUUAAUCAUGUCGUAACGGGCCAUUAGAAUGAACGGUCGAGAUUAAAGACAGAUUAAAUGGGUCGGGUUUGAUCGAUCCCGAAAUAUGUAGGGUUUGAUCAAGCCCGGCCCAAAAGAGGAUUUUUCAGAUUAAAAAUAACUUUCACUUGAACUAUAAUUAUUCUAUUUUUUUAUUUAUUUUACUGAAUUUUUUUUUUACACCAAUAAGGAAAAGAAUAAAAAAUAGUAGUUUUUUUAUUAUUCUUUCCUUGCAGAGGAUGAAGUCAAUUAGGGCGUUUUGAAAAAAAGUAUAGCACAUGAACAAAUUUAAUUUACGAUAAACUAAACAACGAAAGUAAAUAUUCACAGCUAAAAACAACUUUUAUAUUUUUUGAUUUUCGGUGAAACGAAUAUGGCCAAAGUGUUGCAACCGGCCCUGACUUUAAAUCAAGGAAGUAGCACUCGUGUGAGUUUCUGCAGCCACUUCAACUAGGAAACGAGAAAAGGUAAUUCGUGAUAAGAAAUAGGCUUAUAUAUGAAUCCUAUUUAAUCUUCCCUGUUGGCUUAUUUAUUCCUGUAAACUUAAAUCAAAAGCGUGGAAUGUUUGUUGAAACUUUUCAUAAUUCGAAUAGCCAGUGGAAAUUGCAGCAAUUCAAUUACCGACGCUUUGAAUUUUGUGGAGGGCUCUCCUCGUUGGCUUCUCUUUUACUUUUUCAGUGAAGCUUUCUGAUAAUGCUUAUAUAAAAUCACGAUAAACUAUCAAGUAACUUGAAAUAUUAUCAUUUUGACAUGACGCAAUCGAUAUUUUUAUAGUGACUCCUGCAAAAGCUUCUAAGAAGAAUUUUUUUUCUCAUAUUAUAUAUAUAUAUUUAUAUAUAUAUAUAUAUAUAUAUAUAUAUAUAUAUAUAUAUAUAUUAUAUAUAUAUAUUAUAUACAUAUAUAUUAAAAGCACGUAUAUUCAAAUUUGGGUCUGUCGCAGAACCCUUUUUCGGCAAAAAAAUUGGGCCCAUUUUUUUCUUUCCGUACGAAAAUUUUAAAUAUAAGUAUAAAAUAGAAAUAAAAACAGCAAUGAAUAUAUAAGUUCUCUAUAAUGAAAUCCUAAAUAAAUUUUUUUAUUUAAUUUCAAAAGUAAUUUUCUAUAACAGAUUACGGGUGUGAAAAUCCUAUAAAAAAUAUUUUUCUAUUUUAUUUAAAUAUCUUUUUCAGAUACUAUCUAUUUAAUUUCAAAAUAUAUUUUCUUUUUAGAUAACGGAUUUAUUUUUCUAUUUAAUUUCAAAAAUUUAUUUCCUAACAGAUUUUAUUUUUCUAUUUUAUUUCAAAAGUAAGUUUCUAUAACAGAUUACGGGUGUGAAAAUCUAUAAAGUUUUUCCAUUUUAUUUUAAAAUAUUUUUUUUAGAUAUUAUCUAUUUUAAUUUCAAAAUAUAUUUUCCUUUGAGAUAACGGAUUUUAUUUUCCAUUUAAUUUCAAAAAUUUUUUUUAACCGAUUUUUAUUUUUCUAUUUAAUUUCAAAAGUAAGUUUCUAUAACAGAUUACGGGUGUGAAAAUCCUAUAAAAGAUUUUUUCCUAUUUUCUUUCUUAAUAGCGUGAUUUAUUAUUUUAAAUUUUUUAGAUACAUAUUUGGCAAUCAUAUAAAAUAUGGCCUAAAAUUAAAAAAUAUUUUUAAAAAAUUAUAACUUUUUAUAAUAAUUAUUACAUACAUUUGCACGUACAUUUUACUAGUCUAUACUAUACUAUACUAUAUAUAAAAACACGUAUAUUCAAAUUUGGGUCUGUCGACAGACCCAUUUUUUGGCGGAAAAAUUACCGCCAAUUUUUCUCUUUCCGUACGAAAAAGUUUAAAUAUAAGAAUAAAAAUAAAAAUAAAAACAGUAAUAAAUACGUAAGUUCUCUAUAACAUAUUAGAGAUGUGAAAAUCCUAAAAUAUAAAUUUUUCUAUUUAAUUUCCAAAGUAAGUUUUCUAUAACAGAUUACGAGUGUGAAAAUCUUAUAAAAGGAGUAUUUUCCUAUUUAUUUUAAAAUAUCUUUUUAGAUAUUAUCUAUUUAAUUUCAAAAGUAAUUUUUGCAUUAGAGAUUAUUGUUAAUUAUUUCAUUUAAAGCAUAUCUUUCUUAAUAGCGCUGAUUAUUAUUUUAAAUUUUUUAGAUACAUAUUUGGCAAUCAUAUAAAAUAUGACCUAAAAUUAAAAAUAAUUUAAAAAUUAUAACUUUUUCUAAUAAUAUUAUACGUGUAUUUGCAUGUGCGAUUUUACUCAGUCAGUGAAGUUAGUAUAGGCUACGCUAAGGUAGUAUAUAGUAGUAUAGGUUACUAGGGUAUAUAUUUACGUGUAGAGCUACUAUGCUAUCGGAAGCAUAAAGUAGUUGGUGCUUUUGAUUUUUUAGCCAUUGGAUCAAACAUUCUACGAUUGCGAUGAUAGCGGUCCCCUUAGGGUUGAGUAGUCCCCCUAAGGUUUAGUGGUCCCCAUUGAUUAAUAAUAUUAAUCCAAUAAUUAUAAAUGAUCAAUAGGGUUGAUCUAAGGGCUAAAAAAUCGGAAGCACCAAUCACUUUAUACUUUUGAUAGCAUGGUAGCACUACUCUAUAUUUACUAUUAUGGAAUGUCAUCUAAAAAGAAAAUCCUAAGAUAUUUGAAUUGCUUUUGAAACAAAAUAGUGUUGUAUUGAAAUUGAAAUAAAUAUUUUGUUUUUGCAGAUUCAGAAACUAGUGUGUGUGUGCGCGCGCGCGCGAGAGCAGGAUCAAUCCUUUUGGUAAAUGAUAGAUAAGUAGUGAAAGGCGAUAAAAGUAAUUGAAAGAAGAAAUCAAUGAGAUGAAGAGCGCAACAACUCUCUGUCCAUUGUAUAUUUUUCAUUCAUCCUAAUUUAAUAUAUAUUUAUAUGAUUUAUAUGAUUCUUCUUAAACACAAAGUUGCAACUUUUCCAAACAUAGAAUAGAAUAACAUACAAUUACCCUACAUGGUACUAUUAUUAUGUCGCACAAAUUAUACCAAGCCUAUCUUCUUCAUAUAGAAGGAUAAUAGUAGUCAAUAUUUUCAAAUGGAAAGACAAUAUUUAAGACAAUAUCAAUUGCACUAAAAGAUGGAAAGUGCAAUCCUAAACAAUGGAGAAUAAAUCUUCUAAUAUUUUAUCAAUAUUUCUCCCACAUCCCCAUUAAACUCAAGGUGACAUCCUAGAUGCCAAUUUGAGUUUAAACAAAAAAUCUCUAAAUCGUAUAGCAAAAUGAGAUUUGGUGAAAAUAUGAGGAGAUUGAAUUAAGGUGGAGUGUACUCUACUAGGAGUUUCAUUAAAAAUAAUAAUCUAUUUCAAUAUGUUUAGCCCUUUUCAUUAAAAAUAAUAUUGUGUGCGAUUUGAAUAACACUUUGAUUACGACAAUAUAAUGGAGUACUUCAAUGUUGAAAGACAUUCAUGUCAAUAAUUUGCUGUUGACUACCGACCGUCCCUAAAGCAAGUGGUAAAGGGCUUGGUGGUUGGUAUCCGAGACCCAAGUUCGAAUCCUAAUUGAUUCACAUUUCUAGCUAAGUUUAUUUCUAAUGAAAUAAAUGAAGCGAGUAGCGUGAUACCUAUCUCUAAAAAAAAAAUUAAAAAUAAAAAAAAAAAACAAUUUGCUGUUGACUACACCAAAAGAUGAGAGAGUCACCUAAUAAGGAAGAAAGCUAGCGGUGGAUUUCCUACCUAUUAGAUCCCCUGUCUAAUCAGCAUCAGAGUAUGCACGAUUCUCUAGAGAAAAAAAAAAAAAAAAAAACUUGAGCCUAUGAAAAAGAGUUUUUUUAAUAUAUCUUAGAGUGCGAAGAUUAGUAGUGUAAAUUACGCAUAUGAAAUAUUCAAUCGAGUGAUUGUGAGGUAGAUAAUACUAUCCAUUAGCGGGAUGAAAUUUAUUUAAUAGUGUAUCAGCAAUUUUCCUAUCUGAGAAUCCAGCCAGAGACAAAUCUUAAUGUUACCUCAAUGCCCAGAAAUUAACUAUGUGCCCAAUCUUUCGUUUCAAAUUGUUGACUAAUAAGAGAAUAUUUGAGAUCCUAAAUACUCUAUAUAUCAUCACCAGCAGUAGGAAGUCCAUUCCUAAUCAAUUGCGAAUAAAUCUUCUUAUAUUUAGUCAAUAUUUUUUCGAGAAAGCAAAAACAAGGUAACUUUAAUUUAAUCUUGACCCCAUCAACUUCGGGUUGAACAUAUGGUUAACUUAAAGCCAUUUUUAAUUAAUUUUUAGCAACUUAACUCAGUAAAAACAUACAACUGUAAUGCAACAAAGCACGUUGAACCAUUUAUCUAUUUCUAUAUCUAUACCUAUACAUUAUUUCUCCUAAAGUUGCCACAUGGCAACUUUUCAUUCAUGGUUGAGUAUGAGCUCCACUCCAAGCCUGCUUAAGUCUUUCCUUUUCUUCUUCCUUCGGUUGUUAUCUUCGUUCAUCGGCAAGAAGAAUCUCAUUCCUCAUCAUCGCUUCUUUUAUCGCUGUUUUCUCUUUUUUUGUCGUUGUUGUUUAAUUUUUUCCCAAUUAUCUACCCGUUGCAUUCGCUUUUAUCUAUAAAGCUUUUUGAAUUAGAGAAGAAGUCAUUCACCAUAGUAACAAAUUCUUGUGUUUUUUCAUAUAACUGUUACAUUUUGACUCCAAGUCUCUAAGCACCCAUUUGGUUCGGGGUUAAGGAAUGGAAUAACCCCUUAACUCCGAAGUUAUUCCCAAACAUCCAAUUUGGGAGGUGGGGUUAGCUAACCCCACUCCAAAUGGAUUAUUCUGGGAUAGCCCAUUUGGGGUGGGAUUAGCUAAUCCUACCCCACCCCACUACUCCAACCAAACAAAGUACUAUUUUACUCACUAUUCUUCUUAUCUCAUCUAUUUCAACCAAACACUAUUUUAUCUAUACCUAAACUAAACCUAAUUCUCAACCAAACACAAAAUUAUUCUGACCUCACAUUAACCCUGAACUUAAUUCUAUUCCUGAAAUAACAAGUUUUUAUUUAACCCCGAACCAAACGGUGACUAACUUUAUGACUUAUAGCGACACUAGCAAUGGGUCGAACUCCCGACCUCUUAUUUUGGUAUUAUCCUAGCAACUAGCUAGCUGUUGUUAAAUUCGUUGUCGCAAGAGUAAUCUAAUGCUUGGUAAGCAAUAUCUAAAUCAAAAUAAAAUGAAAGUGACAAAAUAAGCAAAAAAAAUAAAAAACCUAAACAAAGAAAUAAAAUGUUAGUAUACUAAGCUCCAAAAUAGCAAUGAUUUAAAUCCGGAAUCUUUUACCAUCCAAAAAUAUUAUUGGGUUGCAGUUCACUAGUCCAACCAAUGGUUCAACAACUGAAUUGAAUGUGACAUUAAUAUUAUAUAUAAUAUAUAAUAAAGAACACUUACUAAGUAUAGUAUUAUUCGUUAUUAUCAAAUAGUAUUAUAUUACUAUAUAAUUAAUUAAAAAUGUAUCCAAAGUGUAGAUUAUACAAAAAAUAAUAAUACAUAUGUUUAAUUAAAGUAUUUAAAUAUGAAAUUUUAAAAAAAUUUGAUCAGUUUUUAUAAAAAUCAGAUUGGUUCAAUAAUUUACUGGUCGAACUACUAGUCAGAACGGAUCGAAGUGAGUUUUAAACCAGUAUGAUUUUAAGGAUAGAAUCGAAUUUGGUUUGGGCACCGAGUUUUAAGUGACUUUUAAAAUGCCAAAUAGGCCUCUCACAUUCCCAAUAUUGGGGCCACAUAAUCAAUUCAUUUUGUGUUGGGCCUGUCAUUUUUGGAUUUUUUUUUUAUUUGGGCAAUUAUUUUUCUGGGCCACAUGAAACAGGUCGAGUUAGUCCAGUGCAAAUGACUUCACUUAUCUCAUAAUGGGUUUGGAUACUUGAGCCCAAUUUCGCUUACUAUACUGGAUAAAACUUCACCAAGGAGCUCCAAAACCCGCUCUCGAUCCAUUAUUGUAUUUUAAUUUUAGAAAAAAUUUCAAAUACUAUUUCUAUGAUUCAGCACUUUUUAUCUUGUGGUUUAAACUGUAUUACUUUAAUACCUUGUCAUUUCGUCUCUUUUUUUUUUGUUAUCUCCUCCGUUAAUUUUUUCGUUAAAUCGAUAAGAAAAUUAAAGCUAUAGAGCACUAAAAUAAAAAAAUUUGUAAAGCAUGGAAUACUAAAGUGAAUAUUCGAUAAACUAUAGAGAGUAUCUGAAAUUUUUUCUAUAUAUUUUAACGGAGAGUUAACAAAGAAAAUAACAUAAAAAGAAAAAUAAAACCAUAAGUUACUAAAAUGAUACACUUUAAACCAUAAAGUACUAAAGUGAGAAACCGCUAAACCAUAAGGGGGAUAUUUUAAGUUUUUUCUUAAUUUUACUCACAUCCAAGGAUUCAUAUAUAGGAUAUUUUCUAAAACUAAAAUUUAUAAAAAUAAUAUUAGGCCUAGAGGGUAGAAUUAUAAUUUUUGGUAGAGAUAAGUGUUAGGAUUUUCAUAUAUUGUGGUCCAAUUAAUUAUAUUUAAAUUAUGAUUUGCUAUAGAUAAGGGUCAAUCCUAACAGAUAUAGAACUACUUGAUAUGGUAUAUUGGUUCUGCUACCUUCUCAUACGUAUUCUGGUGAAGAAUUAACAUCGUUUCCACACCAUACGGUAGAGUGCCUGAGAUAGGAGGAGAAAUCAAAUCACCAAAGUUCGGUUCGUGACUUUCAGAUCAUAGCGAGACUUUACUCUUCCGCAAGAUUGAUCAAGAAUUUCUUCUCUAUGGCGCUCUGUGAGUUAUUUUAUUUUAUAAUGAUCCUGAAUUCUGGUAUGCAUUUAUUUCUCUAUUUAUUUUACAUAUCUUGAAAUUCUAUCAAUUGGUAUCAGAGCGAAACGAUAAGUUGAUAUUGUAUGCAUUAAAUAGUUGGAUCGAAUUAUGAUGAAUUUUAGAUUAAUUAAGUACACAGUGUUUGAUCUUUAAAUCUACUUAUAUUUAUUUUUCCUCGUGGCAUGCCAUAUAUUUUCGUGCUAUGUGCUUGGAUGAAAGCCAACUAAUUCAGAAGAUAAUAAUUGUGGAGGCCAAAUUAAUUAGCAUUUCCGGGCUAAUUAAUCAAGACGGUUGGCCCGGCCUAGAGUAUGUACGGCAGCCGCAGGGGGCGCAUGAAGGUUUAAUUAAUUAGCAUACCGUGAGCCUAAUUAAUUAAGGCGCCCUAAGUACACAUCCGUACGGCAAGAGAAGGUGCCACGGUCUUGCCUAUGACGUCUGGAUCAGAGUCGGCGGAGCGGAGAUUCUUGGCCAAUUGCUUGAACGGUUCGAAUUCUUCAAAACAAUAGCAUAAAGAAUUUUAGUCAAAAUCUUCAGUAUUUCUCUAAUUUGGUCUUCUCAGUUUUACGAAAGUUUUUUUUUUUUUCAACUUAAAAUUCUUUAUUCAUCAUAAUUCGAUAUGCUAGAGUCUUUAUCUUUAUUAAUGUAUCGUGAACAUAAAAAAUCCGUUCACAUAAGAUUUAAUUUUGCAUACAAUAUUAAUUUAUUAUAAAUCUAUUUCUCUUAUAUUUGUGGUCAAAUUAGAAUAUAUAAAGUUUAAAUUUGAUUGCGAUAUUAUGUUUUAAAUUAUCGUAUCUAUAUUCUUAUUUUGACCAGAUGAACAUGAAAAUUAAAUAAUCAUAAUUAUUUUCGAUUAUUUAAUGUUUGGCGCUAAGUUAAAUUAAUUUAUUAUUUUGAUUGGUUAGGUGCAAGCCAAAACGGUCCUAAUUAAAAGAAAUAAUGAUUUAAUUUACUUUAAAGUAGCACUUUCGGAUAAUUUUCAUGUUAAUCAUGCAGCACUAAGUCAGAUUAAUUUAUUGAUUCAACUGUUCGAGUGCAAGCCAAAGCGGCCGCGACCGGAAGAAAAGAUAAAUUAAUUGCUUUAAAGAUGUGUAUGCAGAAAUUGCACCCUAAUAUUAUAUUUAGUCUGCUCCCAAAGGAGGUAUAGACAUGAAGGUAAAUGGGUGGUAUAGGAUGAUAAUUUUUUUUUUUUAUAACUCGUUUGAAGAAAUUUGCCUGGCCAAAGCUGACAAUUUCUUUAUAUGGAAAAUUUGAAAUUAUCAAGACCUACAGAAAGUUUAAAUUAGUCUCUGAUAAAGAGAUUGCAUAUUUAUGCUCAUAACUCUGCUCCCAAAUGAAGGGUUGUUAUGUCAUAUAAAGCAUAUGAAUAAAUAACGAAAAAUACUUAUGCUCAUAAUUCUGCUCCCAAAGGAGGGAUUGUGAUGUCAUAUAAAGUGUAUUUUUCUAAAGGUGUGGUAAUUUAUGAUGUGGUAUUUUAUUGAUAAAGCAUGCAUUCUAUUUCAAUUAUGACUUUAUCCUCUGUUUCUAUUUGUGAAUCUGUUCGUAUACUUAAUGGUUCUAAUUAUUCGUAGUGAAAAGAACAGAUCAUGUUUACAUUAGGGUGUAUGAAUUUAGAGUUUGCUCUGCGCGUUGAGCAACCGCCUAAGAUAGUGGGGCCAUUGACUUCACAGCAGGAAUCUGCGCAGGAAAAGUGGGAGCGAUCCAACCGCUUAAGUUUGAUGCUCAUAAAGUCAAGGGUAUCAAAAAGCAUAAGGGGAUUAAUCCCAGAAUGUGAAAAAGCUAAGGAUUAUCUAAAGGUCAUUGAGGAGCAGUUUGUCAGCUCCGAUAAAGUCUUGGCGAGCACCUUAAUGAAUAAAUUGUUUUCCAUGAAGUACUCCGGAAAUGGCUCGAUUCGCGAGCAUAUUAUGGAAAUGCGAGAUAUUGCAGCGCCGCUCACUGCACUUGAAGUGACCAUCUCUGAUUCAUUCUUAGUACACUUUAUUUUGAACUCUUUGCCAUCUGAAUACGGACCAUUUCAAAUCUCUUAUAACAUACAUAAAGAUAAAUGGUCAAUUAAUGAAUUGCUGACCAUGUGUGUGUAAGAGAAAGGUUGAUUAAUACAAGAGAAAUAAAAUACAAUUAACUUUGUUUCUAAAAAAAAACUACAAAUAAAGCGUGUUAAGAAUGGUAAGGGCAAGAAUGACUCAAAAGAAAGAAUAAGGAAGUUCCAUUUGGUUCACAAGGCUAAUCAAGUAAUUGGACUACCAAGUGCUUCUUUUGUAAGAAAAUGAGUCAUAUAAAGAAUGACUGCCAAAAGUAUCGGAAAUGGCUCCAGAAGAAAGGUAAAUUUCUAGUUUUGAUGCAUGAGUUGCAUUUAGUUACUAUUCCAUCUAAUACUUUGUGGAUUGACUCUGGGUACCACAUGCCACGUGGCGAAUUUCGUGCAGGAAUUUCAGAAUCACAGAAAAUCCAGAAAAGAUGAAGCGACUUUCUAUACAGCUGAAGAAAAUCCAACUAAAAAUAGAAUUUAUAAAAACAUUUAGAUUAGUUCUUUCUACUGAUCAUAUUUUGGAUUUAGUUGAUACAUUUUAUAUUCCGAAAUUUUCUAAGUAUUUAAUUUCUAUUUCGAAACUUGUUGNAAAUCACCCAAGUUCGAUUCAUGACUUUCAGAUCAUAGCCGGACUUCACGCUUCCGCAAGAUUGAUCAAGAAUUUCUUCUCUAUGACGCUCUGUGAGUUAUUUUAUUUUAUUAUGAUCCUGAAUUUUGGUAUGUAUUUAUUUCUCUAUUUAUUUUAUAUACCUUGAAAUUCUAUCGAUAAAAGGUGACAUGCUUCAGACUCAAGUUUUUUACUAAGUGUGUAGCAUUGAGAGUCAUCUAAUAUUUUGCUUACUAUUCUAAAAUAAACAUGGUUAGGACAAAAAUAUUCAUACACAUUCAUCUUAUUUCAUCUUAAGAUAUAUCUUAAGGUAGCGUUUGGUUGGGGAACAAGGGGGGAAAUAAGCCCUUGUUUCCCCUUUUGUUCCCAAACGCAAUGUUCGGUUCCCGGGAACAGUAGUUCCCGAGAAUCUGGAACUAGCUGAUAUAAGGCUGGAAUUACUGUUCCACCCGUUUCCUGGAGCAAGCUUGUUCCUUGAUGAGAACAAGAUUAAUUAAAAUCUAAAUUUAAUUUUAAUGGCAGUAAAUUAUUAAUUAAUUUAAUAAAUAUAUUUAAAUUAUUAUUUAUUAUUUUAAUAAUUAAAUAAUUAAAUAAUUUAUUAUUUAUAAUUAAUUAUUAAUAAUUAGAUAAUUAUUAUUAUAAAUUUAUUAUUUAUAAUUAAUUAUUAAUAAUUAAUAAUAUUUAUUAAUUUUUUAUUAAUAAUUAUUAAUAAUUAUUAUUCUUAAUGAUAAUCGAUAUUAUUAUUAAUAUAUUAUUUAUAAUUAAUAAUUAAUAAUUAAUAUUAUUAUUUAUUAAUAAUUAAUUAAUAAUUAUUAUUCUUAAUAAUUAGAUAAUCGAUGUUAUUAUUAAUUUAUUAUUUAUAAUUAAUUAUUAAUAAUUAUUAUUAUUAUUUAUCGAAGUAUAAUUAAUAUGAGCCAAGUGGGAAUUGCUAGGAUUUCCAUAUUUGUGGCCCAAUUAAUUAUAUUUAAAUUAGGAUUUGCUAUAGAUAAGGGUCAAUCCUUGUUAGAAAUGCGUACGGUAAAAACGCACUCGGAAAAGGAAAUCAAACAAUUUGAUUUGAAAAACUCUCGAGAUCUAAUCUUCAAAAACCACGCAAUUAGGAUCCCUCAUGUUCUUUAAGAUUAAACGGAUUUAGAGGAACGGAUUUAGAGGGAACCCUAUAUUAAAAAUAAGCUGCGGUAAGACAAAGCAUGUCCCCAAAGAAAUAAAAGGAAGAUCAGUGAAGCUCAUCAUAGAUCGAACCAUAUCCAAUAAGGUUCGGUUUCUCCGUUCUGACACCGUUGAGCUUGAGGUGUUCCCGGAGGAAGUCCACUGUGAGACAAUGCCGUUCUUUGAGAUAUAUUUAGGACUCCCACUAAGUAUUCUCCUCCUCGAUCUGAUCGAAGAACCUUGUGGGAUUUUCAGUUUGUUUUCAACUUCAUAUCGCUGAAUUCUUUGAACUUUUCAAAAGCCUCAGAUUUGUUUCAUAGAUAAAUCCAUACCGCGUGAAUAAUCAUCGGUAAAGGUUAUGAGAGUAGAGAUAACACUCUAGCAUGCACAUCAAUCGGCCAACACAUCCAGUGUGUAAUUAAGGAAGUAUCUCAGUGGCCCUUUCCCCUUGUUCCGUAUCAAAGGGUAAUUUAGUCAAUUGUUCCUGAAACAAGAUUCACCAAACUGGAUAAGAACUUCGUCUAAGCAUGAGCGAGAAAGCCUCUUUAUCAAUUUAUUUAUCCUCUCUUCUCCACAUAUGGACCAAUCGCCUGAGGUGCCCUAUACUCUCUAGCGUCUUCCUCCACCUCUCUACGGUCUCUAGACCCAACCAGCCCAGUCUCCUACCUGCCUCAGAAAUAUUCUGCCAGAUACAUUCAUAUGUAAAUCCUCCAAGCUGUCAAUCAUAUAAACGUACGACCAACUUAAUGAUUAUUUCUAAACAUAAUUUGCUGCAGUAGUCUUAUGUCAAAAUUAAAAUUAUAGACCGUCCUGUGCUAAGAGAGAAACAGAAAGUUCAAAUUGCCUGCUAGCAGGCAGGUACUUAAUAACAGUCUUUAAGUAAUAAAACAUAUCCUGCGGUAGUCGCCAAAGGCAUAGGUGCCAGCAAUGCCACAGUCAGCAACUCUGCUCCGUUGCCACGCCGUAGGGUGCACUUCCACCCUUCCCUAAGCCCGUCUACUUUCCCCUUAUGACCCUGGCAUUGAGGUACACAGAUGAGAACUAGAACCAGAGUCUAUAACGCCAACUAUAGAAGUAGAGGAAACCGUAAGGUUAGUUCUAUUGCGAGCAAUCUGACAUACUUUCCGAAGGUGUGUCUCCUUUUAUUCUUCAAGCUCUCUGGUAAGGCAGGACACUUUGCUCUUCCAAUGACCGUCAACGUGCGUGGAAAUUUUCCUUUGUCCAGCCUUUAUUUCUAGAAGCUUCCUUCUUGGGCUUGUUUUUCCGUCUUUUGUUUCUUCGCGGGCUUUUCUUCCAUUAGACUUUCAUUUGGAAGAGAAACUCGCUCCCACAGCCGAGGAAUCAGCCUGUUGAACUUUUCAAAUUGCCUCUGCUCUGUAGUUUAUCAACAUGUUCAAUAACUCUUUGCGUUGUGCAAUCAAAUUUUAUCAUAUGUAGUUUACAAUAAACUGUCCAUUAUGAUAGCAAGAAGCGGAUUGCAGGAUCAGAUCAAACUUUGCAAUUCCUUGUCCAUUCACGCCAAGAGCUUCUCAAGCGUCUCGAGGUCUUUGAUCAUUGUCAAAACGAGUUAUCGAACAGACUGACCCAUCUUGCAUCUUGCUUUAAAGAGUCUUGUUGAACAGCUUCAAAACGAGGCAGUCCGCUUUUGCUCACCCAACAAACUCUUGAGGUGAGCUUAUGCAUUUCCUUAGCGCUCUUCAUAUCCUCAUGUUGGGUGAAGUUCAUUGACAUCUGAGCGGCCAGUAAAGAUGUGCACUUACUUUUUAUGCGUCACGUCCAUUUUCUUGAGCUGUCGUGUUGCUGCAGGUGUGGAGCGUUUCGUGUACACGUGGGGGGUCCUGGUCGAGAACAUAACUGAAGCUUUCGGACUCAAAACUUUUUUAAGUUCCUUAGGCCAAUCUUUAAUAAUUAGUUCAAUUAAAGCGGUUUGAUUCAAGAAUUCGAGAGAAGAGGAUUGAAGCGGACACUUAUUUGUUCCUGCAUAGAGUAAAGUUCCAUAGUUCUUUUUGUAUUUGUUUUAAAAAAAUUGUUUAGGAUUUUAAAAACAAUAAAUUUACCCUCACUUAUUUUCUCAGCUGCUCUCAACACUCCCUCGGUUAGAGAAACGGGAAAACACGCAACAAAAGAUUUCAAGUGGGUAUCCUGCGGUCCCACCAAUUUAACGUACCACCUCACUAACAGUUAUUCGUGAUAUGCAAACCUUAGCGAUAGUGGAACAUCCUCUUGCUCCAAGCUUCUCAGCAAAUUGAGUCGAUACGCUCUAGUCCUGCGGUCCUCACCUGACAGUUAUUGGCCCCAUUCCUUAGUUAAGUCAACCAACCGUUCAAAACGCGUAACGCAAAGUCGUCAUUGGGUCCCUGCACCUGACAGUUAUUGGGCCCAACACCCAUCUUUACUGCUUCCGCAGCCAAUCUCAUGCUAAUAGUAGUGGUUGCGCAAUUCCGAUGCACACUGACCACUGGCUAUACCAGCCGUGCAAUCACACCAGGACAAGCGGCCGCACUUUACAACCGACGGAAGACCCGCCUGCUCGGACUUAAUAUUUAUGAGGAGAUUUUAUUUCAGGUUCUAAAAAAUAUUUUUUUUAUUUACAUCUAAUGUAAAUAAAAAUCACAUCCGCACAACAUACAGAAUUAAACAGGUGAUGAUCAUGGAUCCUUAGAAGUGGAUUCGGACAUGAGCCACUGAGUCGGAAUCGGGCUCAUAGGGUGCAUAAAUUACAAGCACAACACAGUAUGCGGAUUUGAUGCAUCUUCAACUUCUUGAUCGAUCUGGAGCUUCAACUUGUUUUGAUCUUAUCAACACCUGAUGAUCCGACAGCCAUCAUGUAUAUUUUCGCCUUAUCCGGGACCUUGCGAACUUUAGCUUGCAACCGAUCAACCUUCACAUGACGUAGCAACCCAUACAUUAUACAACCACCUCUCCAAAUAAUAAAAUGAAAUAAAAUUAAUUAACAUUGAUAACCUUUUAUCUCAACACUUUUGAGACACGCAUGGUCUCUCAAAUAAAUGGCGCUUGUGCACGCAGCGCACAACUAUAGCCAGUCUCUAAUACAAAAGUCCUUAAAUUUAAACAAAUUGUAAAAUUACAGGUUCUGCAUACACAUACAUACUAUCAAGCUUAUGUCUAGAAACACAAAAAAAAUAGGUUGUGAUCCAUGAUCAAUCACCGCGUAUCUAUAACCAUCACCAUGCAUUAAUAAUAAAUUUUUGAGAUAUUCCUAUAACGUUAAGCCAUGAUUCGAACAGAAUAAAUUAUUAAAAUUAUCAAUCUAUUGAUUAUUAAAUUUUGAUCAAUAACUUAAUCUAAAAAAAAAAAAAAACAUCUUGAUUCAUCAAUUUUGAUCAAUCAAAUUAAUCCUUUUCUUUUAGCUUUUUUUUUUCUUUUUUUUUUUUUUUAAUUGUGCUUGAAAACAAGACACCGUCUCGUUAAAUUUGUUGAUUCACUUUGAUUUUUCGAAUAACCAAAAACCGCAUCGAUAAUCCGUUUUCUCGGACAAAAAACAGGUUUAGAAUACCCAAAAAUCAUAAUUCUAAUCUUAAAACAUGAGGAUGGCUCUGAUUACCACUCUUAGAAAUUGGUACGGUAAAACGCAGCGGAAAAGUGAAAUCAAACACAUUUGAUUUUGAAAAACUCCGAGAUCUAAUCUCAAAAACCACAGCAAUUAGGAUCCCUCAUGUCUUAAGAUUAAGAGAAAAGGAAGUCGAAUCAUUACCAUUUUUCGGCUGGAAUAAAUUUCUUGCCUCAAUUUGAUGAUGUGGACGUGGAAUCCGGGUUUCUCUUGAAGCGGCACUACUUGGUCGGCCUCUAUAGUUCACAAAUGGUUCUAUGUUGAUCUGAUGUCCUCAACCGGGUGCUAGCUCCCUUGCAAACGGAUCCUCUUUCUUGCGUAGAAGAUGGAAGAGAGAGAGAUGAUAGAUAGACGGGCGUUGGGUUUUCUAAAAAUCCCGUAUAUUAUAAUAUAGGAAUAUAAUCCUAUUCCCUAUAAUAUAAUGUCCAUUAAGGAUAAGUAUAAUCUAGGAUUUAAAUUUAUUUUUCCUUAAUUAGUAUAGAUCGAUCAAAUCCUAAUUUGAUUCGACUUAAUUAUAUUUAAUUAUGAUCUUAUCAAAUUUAUAAUGCCAAAUACUUUUGCACAUAAGUCCUCUUAUAAUUUACUACUAUUAGUAAGUCCUCUUUAGUAACAUUACACUUUAUACAUUAAUUUUAACAAUAUACAAAGUAGUCUCAAUUAUCAACUAUUGACUAAUUAGGUCCUCCGGCGAUUCAAUAAUCGUCCGAUCUAGCUAUUCGACAAUCACAACCUCUUAUGUGUGUGACCCAUAGUUCUAUUCUAUCUGGUAGUGAGAUAUAUUUUGGAUCAUCUAUCAACAUAUAUGAAACUACUUUUCAGCUGAGAUCGACCAAUUCCAACCUCUAGCACCCAAUAAGAAUUAUCGCAUAUCUAGAUAAUCUCAUGAGUCUCACCCAUCCACCCGUGACGCCUAGCAGCAUGUGAGUGGCAUUUCAGCAGAAUGAGAUACUGAACCUAUUGGUGCAGUUAAUCGUGUGAUACAAUCCUUCUAUCAAUGGUCCGCUUGACGGAGGUUAUGGAAUAAUCGGUCAAACCCCAAUCGUCUGUCAUAUGGUUAAAUUAUUCGACUCGAGUUUCUAAUUCGGAAAACUCUUUUCCGCUAUUUAUUUCUGCACCUGGCAAGGUCUUCUAACUCGGUCUCAUAAUCGCCAUAGCGACUAACACCCCUAUCUACCAAGGAGAUAAGAUUCCAUCUGAGGUGCGCACCCUAUUCCUACAAGAACCUACGCAGUCCAACAUGCACCGCAAGGGACCCCGAAUGUAUUCGGGACCAAGUUAAUGUUACAUGUCAAAACUACCAAGUAACCUCAUACCUGUGAAUAGCCGACGGCACGCAGCGUCCAAAGGACAGUCACAUUACUGCAACAAUUGAGUAAGCACUGACGAGUGAGUAGACAUCCAAGUGACUCUCCGUUGCGUCACGUGCUCGGUACCUUGUUCUCUAACAACCACUGCAUAUUCGCUUCGAGUGUCCCCAACCACUUGCUCGACUCGAAACUCGUUCUACACUGAAAGGGAAGCGACUAGUGUCACCUUUAUUCAUCGGUCAUCACAGUCCCCGUGAUGGAUCCAUUGUGAUCGAGACAUUUGCGGAAUAAUCACCAAUGACACAUGUCUCAAAUCUCAAACACUGGAACUAUAUGUCAUCAUCUUAUUAAUUCCCGCUGGACGAUUCAUGACCAUACACCAACAUUAACGAAUGGAAAUAAUAAAACCCAAAGAUAUUUCAUAAUAUUUUUAGAAUCAAAUACAUAUAAUUACUGCUAGAAAGAAUACAUGUGUCGGCCUGAGUUGGCUUCACGUAGGCGUACAUCUAACAAUGCCUAAACGAUAUGAACUACUGAUAUGAUUAUAGUUUUAUGCUAUCCCAUUUAUUUUAAAUUUAAUAGAAUCCUAUCAGACUUGAUGGGAGUCGAUCUGGACUCUAUAUAAAUGGGUAUUGGUUCCUCCACCUCUAUACGCAUUCUGAGUGAAGAAUUACAAUCGGUAUCCACACAUCGUAAAGUGCCUGAGAUGCGAGGAGAAAACCGAACAGCGAGCUAGAUUGCUACCCCUAGACUGAAGUAGAGAAUCAACUCGAGAAAAGGAUAAAAGUAGUCAGAUCAGAUAGGGGUGGUGAAUAUUUUGGUAGACAAACAGAUAAAGGCUAAAUCCCUGGGCCUUUUGCUAAGUUUCUGGAGUAGUGCGGAAUUGUUCCACAGUACACCAUGCCAGGGACACCUGAUCAGAAUGGUGUUGCUAAAAGAAGGAAUCGUACAUUAAUUGAUAUGCUCAGGAGUAUGAUCAGUAAUUCUACCCUUUCGAUAUCAUUGUGAAGUGAGGCACUCAAAACUGCCCUGUAUAUUCUUAAUCGGGUCCCUACUAAGGCUGUCAGUAAGACUCCUUUUAAGAUUUCGAUAGGUAGGAAACCCAGUUUAAGACAUUUUCAUACAUGGGGUUGUCAAGCUGAGGCCAAAUUAUAUGAUGCAAAUAAAGAAAUUGGACCUCGAACCAUAUCAGGAUAUUUUAUUGGUUAUUCAGAAAGGUCCAAAGGGUAUAAGUUUUACUGUCCAUCACAUCCUAUAAAGAUUACAGAAACUAAAACAGCACGGUUUAUUGAUGAUGGUGCAAUUAGUGGGAGCUCUGAACCUCGGUUUAUUGAAUUUGAGGAAAUUUAAGAGCAUUCGGAUUCUGUACAUGACAGACCUACUAUUUUCCGUCACGAUUUGAUGGUUCCUAUUCCAGUAGAACAACAAAUCGUUUUGGAACCACAAAAUUAUUGUGAACCUAUCAUUGAUAAUUCACAUCAAGAUGUACAAGUGAAAAAUUCACAUCAAGAUGUACAAGUGAAUAAUCCACAUCAAGAUGUACACGUGGAUAAUCAGAUAGAUUUAAGAAGAUCCUCAAGACAGAGAAAACCGGCUAUAUCCAAUAAUUAUAUUGUCUAUCUUUAUGAGAGUGGCUAAAGUUUAGAUGAUCCUCUUAGUUUUUUCGAAGCCAUAUAUGGUAAUAAUUAUAUGGAAUGAUACAAUGCCAUGAAGGAUGAGAUUGAAUUCAUGAACCACAAUAAGGUAUGAGAUCUUGUUGAGUUACCUAUAGGAGUUAAACCCGUAGGAUGCAAGUGGGUUUAUAAAAUCAAAUGAGACUGCAAAGGUAACAUAGAGAGAUACAAGGCCCGUCUUGUGGCAAAAGAUUUACUCAGAAAGAAGGUAUUGACUAUAAAGAGACUUUCUCUCCAGUAUCUAGAAAUGAAUCUUUCCGUAUUAUUAUGGCUCUGGAUGUCAAAACUGCCUUUUUUAAAUGGGGAUCUCUAUGAAGAGUUGUAUAUAAAUCAACCUGAAGGAUUCUCGCAAAAGGGAAAGGAGCACUUGGUAUGCAAAUUAAAGAAAUCAAUUUAUGGACUAAAACAUGCCUCCCGACAAUUGUAUUUACAAUUUAAACAAACUAUUUUGACUUUCGGUUUUAAGGAAAACAUUGUUGAUCAAUGUAUUUAUUUAAAAGUUACAAAUAAUUUUCUUAGUCAUGUAUGUUGAUGAUAUUUUGCUUGCCAACAAUGAUCUUUGGCUAUUGCAUAUAAGCCCAGUAUUGCUCCUGUCCGGAAAGGGGAUAAGCUUAAUACUUUUCAGUAUCCCAUGAACCAAUUAGAAAUUAAACAGAUGAAAAGCAUAUCCUAUGCCUCUGCAAUUGGUAGUCUUAUGUAUGCACAGACGUGCACACGUCCGGAUAUUGCUUUUGCUGUUGGAUUACUUGGCAGGUAUCAGAGUAAUCCAGGUAUGGAGCAUUGGAAGGCUACUAAGAAGGUUAUGAGGUAUUUGAAAGAAACUUUGGAUCAUAUUGCAUGUUACAAGACCACAUUACAAGCUAUUUGACUUAGGAAUUUUAUCACAGACUUAAGAAUUGUGGACUCCAAUGUUUAUUCAAUAAAGAUUUUCUGUGAUAGUUCAGCUGCGGUUUCCUUGGCCAAUAACAACAAGAUUACAGUAGGGUGUAAAACACUUGGACACCAAAUAUCUUAUUGUGAGAGAGAAGAUAGAUGAAGGUUAUUUUACAAUUGAAUACAUCAGUACCAAGUGUAUGAUUGCAAACCCAAUGAUCAAGGGGUCGGCACCUGGGUCAUAUACAGAUCGUGUUAAAAGUAUGGGUUUGAUUAGUUCUUUUGAUGUAUAAAUUUGUAACAUCUAUCUUUUUUCAAUAAAGUUUAAUGCAGCUGUGUUGGACCAUUUAAUAGACAUAAAGUUUUGUCUAUUAACGAAUGAACAUACAGCUUAAGUUCAUUCAUAAAGUUGUGCCAUAUAAAGUACUCGGUUAGGAGGUGAAGAUGAUACGGUAAUUAUAGAAGAAAAUUUUCGUUAUGAAGAGGUGGACCGCGCGCCAUAGUUCCUAUCAUUGUAGUCUUUUAGUUUGAGCUAAAAUCAAGUGAGUUCUAAGAUAUUUGACCAUAAAGUUUUCAAUAAUGCGCAAUAAAGAUUAGAGCAUAGAAAAUCCGUUCAUGGAAUAUAAUUAAUAUGAGCCAAGUGGGAGAUUGCUAGGAUUUCCAUAUAUUGUGGCCCAAUUAAUUAUAUUUAAAUUAGGAUUUGCUAUAGAUAAGGGUCAAUCCUUGUUAGAAAGCGAUACGGAAAACGCAGCGGAAAAGGAAAUCAAACAAAUUUGAUUUUAAAAACUCUCGAAUUAAAUCUUCAAAAACCACGCAAUUAGGAUCCCUCAUGUUCUUUAAGAUUAAACGGAUUUAGAGGGAACGGAUUUAGAGGGAACCCUAUAUUUAAAAAUAAGCUGCGGUAAGCAAAGCAUGUCCCCAAAGAAAUAAAGGAAGAUCAGUGAAGUACAUCACUAGAUCGAACCAUAUCCAAUAAGGUUCGGUUUCCUCCGUUCUGACACCCGUUGAGUUGAGGUGUUCCCGAGGAGUCCACUGUGAGACAAUGCCGUUCUUUGAGAUAUUUUAGGACUCCCACUAAGGUAUUCUCCUCCUCGAUCUGAUCGAAGAACCUUGAUGGAUUUUCAGUUGUUUUUCUACUUCAUAUCCUGAAUUCUUUGAACUUUUCAAAAGCCUCAGAUUUGUGUUUCAUAGAUAAAUCCAUACCGUGAAUAAUCAUCGGUAAGGUUAUGAGCAGUAGAGAUAACACUCUAGCAUGCACAUCAAAUGGCCAACACAUCCAGUGUGUAUUAAGGAAAGUAUCUCAGUGGCCCUUUCCCUUGUCCUACAAAGGGUAAUUUAGUCAAUUUUUUGAAGACAAGAUUCACGAAACUGGAUAAGACUCUACGUCAAAUGAGCGAGAAAGCCAUCUUUAUCCAAUUUAUUUAUCCUUUCUUCUCCAAUAGACCAAGCCUGAGGUGCCCAUAUACUUUAGGUUUUCUCAUCUCUACGGUCUCUAGACCCAACAGCCAGUCUCUACUGCCUCAGAAAUAUUUGCCAGAUACAUUCAUAUGUAAAUUAAGACUGUCAAUCAUAUAACGCACGACCAACUAAUAUUAUUUCUAAAAUAAUUUUGCCAGUAUCUUUGUCAAAAUUAAAAUUAUAGACCGUCCUGUGCUAAAGAAGAAACAGAAAUAAAUUCCUGCUAGCAGCAGGUACAUAAUAACAGUCUUUAAGUAAUAAAACAUAUCCUGACGGUAGUCGCAAAGGAUAGGUGCCAGCAGCCACGCAGCAACUCUUGCUCCGUUGCCACCCGUAGGGUCACUUCACCUUCCCUAAGCCCUCUACUUUCCUUAGACCCUGCAUUGAAGUACACAGAUGGAACUAGAACCAGAGUCAUAACCCAACUAUAGAAGUAGAGGAAACCGUAAGGUUAGUUCUAUUAGCGAGCAAUCUGACAUACCUUCCGAAGGUGUGUCCUUUCCUUUUAUUCUUCAAGCUCUCAGGUAGGCAGGACAAUUUCGUCUUCCAAUGACCGUCAACGUUGCAGUGGAACAUUUUCCUUUGUCCGCUUUAUUCUUAGAAGCUUCCUUCUUGGGCUUGUUUCCGUCUUUGUUUCUUCGCGGGCUUCUUCUUCCAAUUAGACUUUCUUUGGAAGAGGAAGCUCGCUCCACAGCGAGAAUCGAGCCUUUGAACUUUUCAAAGCCUCUGAUCUGUAGUUAUCAACAUGUUCAAUAACUCUGCGUUGUGCAAUCAAAUUUUAUUCAUAUGGUAGUUUACAAUAAACUGUCCAUAUGAUACAAGAAGGGAUUGCAGGAUCAGAUCAACUUGCAAUUCCUUGUCCAUUUCACGCCAAGAGCUUCUCAAGCUCCUCGAGGUCUUUGAUCAUUGUCAAACAGUGAUCAUGAACAGACUGCCCAUCUUGCAUCUUGGCUUUAAAGAGUCUUUUGGACACUUCAAAACGAGGCAGAUCCCGGCUUUUGCUCACCAUACAAAUCCUUGAGGUGAGUUAGCAUUUCCUUAGCAGUCUUCAUAUCCUCAUGUUGGCGUUGAAGUUCAUUUGACAUCGCACGGCCAAAAUGUGCACCUUACUUUAUUAUCGUCAUCCGUCCAUUUUUCUUGAGCUGUCGUUUGAUCAGCUGUUGGACGGUUUGUGUAACGUGGGGGGUCCUGGUCGAGAACAUAACUGAGCUUUCGGAACUCAAAACUAUUUUUAAGUUCCUUAGCCAAUCUUUAUAAUUAGUUCCAAUUAAACGGUUUGAUUCAAGAAUUCGAGAGAGAGGAUUGGAAGCGGACAUUUUGUUCUGCAAGAGUAAAGAUUCAAGUUGGAUUUUUGUAUUUGUUUUAAAAAAAUUGUUUAGGGAUUUUAAAACAAUAAAUUUAGCUCCUCACUAUUUUCUCGAGUGCUCUCAACACUCCUCGGGUAGAGAAACGGAAACCAACGCAACAAAAGAUUUCAAGUGGGUACCUGCGGUCCCACCAAUUUAACGUACCACCUCACCUAACAGUUAUUGUGAUAUGCAAACCGAUGAGUGGACAUACUCUUGGUCCAAUGCUUCUCAAGCAAAUUGCAGUGAUCGUCUCUAAGUCCUGCGGCCUCACCUGACAGUUAUUGGCCCCAUUCCUUAGUUAAGUCAGACCCACCGUUCAACGCGUAAGCAAAGUCGUCAUUGGGUCCCUCACCUGACAGUUAUUGGGCCCAACCCAUCUUUACUCCGCAGCAUCUCAUGCUAAUAGUAGUGGUUGCGAAUUCCCGAUGCAACUGACCACUGUAACCAGCCGUGCCAAUCACACCAGAAAGCGCCCGCACUUCUACAACGCGCGGAAGACCCCUGCUCGACUUAAUAUUUAUUGAGGAGAUUUAUUUAGGUCUCAAAAAAUAUUUUUUUUAUUUACAUCUAAUGUAAAUAAAAAUCAAUCCGCACAAACAACAAAUUAAACUGGUGAUGAUCAUGGAUCUUAGAAGUGGAUUCGGACUCGAGCCACUGAGUCGGAAUCGGGGCUCAUAGGUCAUAAAUUACAAGCACACACACGUCAUCGGUUUGAUCAUCUUCAACUUCUUGAUCGAUCUGGAGCUUCAACUUGAUAUUUGAUCCUUAUCAACACCUUGAUCGAUCCGCCCAUCACAUAUUAUUCGUCCUUAUCGGGCCUUGCGAACUUUUAGGCUUGCAACACCGAUCAACCCAAUGACGUGCAACCAUACAUUAUACAACCCCAAUAAUAAAAUGAAAUAAAAUUAAUUACAUUUGAUAACUUUUAUCUCAACCUAUUGAGACACGCAGGUCUCCAAAUAAAUCGGCGCUUGUGCACGCAGGCACAACUAUAGCCAUCUCUAAUACAAAGUCCUUAAUUUAAACAAAUUUAAAAUUACAGGUUCUGCAUACACAUCAUACAUCACAUGUCGAAACAAAAAUAAAUAGGUUGUGAUCCAUGAUCAUCACCCGUAUUCAUACAUCACAUGCAUAAUAAUAAAUUUUGGAUAUUCUAUUAACCGUGUAACCGAUGAUUCGAAAGAAUAAAUUAUUAAAAUAUCAAUCUUAUUGAUUAUUAAACUUUUGAUCAAUAAUUUAAUCUAAAAAAAAAAAAAAACAUCUUGAUCUCAUCAAUUUGAUCUAAUCAAAUUAAUCCUUUCUUUUAGUUUUUUUUUUUUUUUUUUUUUUAAUUGUGCUUGAAAACAAGAAACCGUUCGAUUAAAUUGUUGAUUCACUUUGAUCUUUUCGAAUAACCAAAAACGAUCGAUAAUGUUUUCCUCGGCAAAAAAACAGGUUUAGAAUACCCAAAAAUCAUAAUUUUAAUCUUAAAACAUGAGGAUGGCUCUGAUUACCACUGUUAGAAAUUGCGUACGGUAAAACGCAGCGGAAAAGAAAUCAAACAAAUUUGAUUUUGAAAAACUCCGAGAUCUAAUCUCAAAAACCACGCAAUUAGGAUCCCUCAUGUUCUUUAAGAUUAAGGAGAAAAGUAAGAUCGAAUCAUUACCUUUUUCGGCGGAUAAAUUUCUUGCCUCAAUUUGAUGAUUGCUGGAAUCGGGUUCUCUGAAGCCGCACACGCGUCGGCCUCUAUAGUAUCACACGAACGGUUCUAUUGUUGAUCGAUGUCCUCACCGGGUGCUAGCUCCCUUGCAAAGGACGUCUUUCUUGCUAGAAGAUGGAAGAGAGAAGAGAUGAUAGAUGACGGCUUGGUUUUCUAAAACUCCCGGUAUAUUAUAUAUAGGAAUAUAAUCCUAUUCCAUAAUAAUAUAAUGUCAUUAAGGAUAAGUAUAAAUCUGAUUUAAUUAUCUUUUCAUUAAUUAGUAUAGAUCGAUCAAAUCCUUUUGAUUCCGACUUCAAUUAUAUUAUUUGAUCCUUAUCACAUUAUAAUGCCAAAUAAUUUGCACAUAAGUCCUCUUAUAAUUUACUACUAUUAGUAAGUCCUCUUUAGUAACAUUUACACUUUAUAAUUAAAUUUGUAAACAAUUACAAAGUAGUCUCAAUUAUCAACAUAUUGACUAAUUAGGUCCCUCCGGCGAUUCAAUAGAUCGCCGAUCUAGGCUAUUCGACAAUUCACAAACCUCUUAUGUGUGGACCCAUAGUUCUAUCCUAUCUGGAGUGAGAUAUAUUUUGAUAUCUAUCAACAAUAUCAUGAAGACGUCUUUUCAGCUGGAUCGACAAUUCCAACUCAGCCCCAAUAAGAAUUAUCGAUCAUCCUAGAUAAUCCUCAUGAGUCUCACCAUCCACCAGUGACGCCUAGGCAGCAUGUGAGUGGCAUUUCAGAGAAUGAGAAUACUGAACCUAUUGGUGCAGUUAUCGUGUGAUACAAUCCUUCUUAUCAUUCGAGUCCGACUUGACGGAGGGUUAUGGAAUAACUCGUCAAACCCCAAUCGUCUGUCAUAUGUUAAAUUAUUAAUUCGACUCGAUUUUCUAAUAUCGGAAAACUCUUUUCCGCUAUUUAUUCUGACCUGGCCAAGGUCCUUCUAACUCGGUCUCAUAAAUCGCGAUAGGAUAACACCCCUAUCUACCAAGGGAGAUGAGAUUCCAUCCUGAGGUGCGCACCCUAUUCCUACAAGAACUACUCAGUCCAACAUGCACCGCAAGGACCCCGAUGAUUCGGGCCAGUAUGUUGACCAGUGUCAAGUAUCUAUCAAGUAACCUACAGUAACCUGAUUGGAAUAGCCGAGGCACGCCAGGUCAAGGACAGUCACAUACUGCAACCAAUUGAGUAAGUCCACUGGACGAGUGAGUAGACCAUCCAACGUGACUUCUCGCGUUGCGUCACGCUCGGUACCCUUGUUCUCUAACAACCCUGCAUAUUCGCUUCGAGUGUCCCCACACUUGCUCGACUCGAAACUCGUGUCUACACCUGAAAGGGAAGCGACUUAUGCACCUAUCUCAUCGGAUCAAUCACGUCCCGUGAUGAGAUCCAUGUGAUCGAGACAUUUGGGAAUAAUCACCAAUGAAACACAUGUCUCAAAUCUCAACACUGAGACUAUAUGUCAUCAUCUUAUUAUUCCCCUUGGACGAUUCAUGGACACAUACAAAACAUGAAUGGAAAUAAAAAACCCAAAGUAUUCAUAAUAUUUUAGAAUCAAAUACAAUAAUUAAUGUCUAAAAGAAUACAUGUGUUUUUUCCGGCUGGUUGGCUUCACGUAGGCGCUACAUGCUAACAAUCCUAACGAUAUGAACUACUUGAUAUGAUAUAUUUUAUCUAUCCCAUUUAUUUUAAAUUUAAAAGAAUCCUAUCAGACUUUGAUGGGAAGUCGAUCUGAGGAACUCUAUAUACAAUGGUAUUGGUUCCUCCACCUUCCUAUACGCAUUCUGAGUAAGAAUUACAAUCGUAUCCACACAUACGUCAGUGCCUGAGAUACGAUGAGACAAACCAAAUCACCCAAGUUCGAUCUCAUGAAUUUCAGAUCAAGCCGGACUUCACGCGUUCCGCCAAGAUGAUCCCCCCAGAAUUCUUCCUCUAUGACGCUCUGUUGAGUUAUUUUAUUUAAUUAUGAUUCUGAUCCUAAUUUUGGUAUGUAUUUAUUUCUCUAUUUUAUUUUUAAUACUUGAAAUUCAUAUCGAUAUAAAGGUGACAUGCUUCAGACUCAUUUUUACUAAGUGAAUGUAGCGUUAAGAGUCAUCUAUAUUUUGCUUACUUUCUAAAUAAACAUGGUUUAGGACAACAAAGUUCAUACACAUUCAUCUUAAUUUAUCUUAAGAUAUUUACAGGUAGCGUUUGGUUGCGGAACAAGGGGGAAAUAAGGCCCUUGUUUCCCCUUUUUGUUCCAAAGCCUAUAUUUGGCCUCCCGGGAAACAGUAGUUCACCGAGAAAUCUGGAACUAAGUGAGUAUAAGGCACUGGAAUUACUGUUCCACCCGUUCCUGGAGUCAAUGCUUGUUCCUGCAUGAGAACAGAUUAAUUAAAAUCUAAAUUUAAUUUAUGGCAGUAAAUUAUUUAAUUAAUUUAAUAAAUAUCAUUUAAAUUAUUAUUUAUUAGUUUUAAUAAUUAAAUAUUACAAUAUUAUUAUUUACGUAAUUACAUUAUUUAAUAGAUCUAUAAUUCAUUAUUAUAGCCAAUUUAUGUAUUUAUACAUGUAAUUAUAAUAAUAAUAAUUAUUAUUAAUUUUUAUUAAUAAGUUGUUAAUAAUUAUAAUAAUUAAUUGAUAAUCCAUAUUCUCUAUUUAAUAUAAUUAUUAUAAUAAUAAUUAAUAAUUAAUUAUUAUUUAAUAUAUAAUUAAUAAUUCUUAUUCUCAAAUUAGAUAAUCGUAUUAUUAUUUAUUAAUAAAUAUUAAUAUUAAUUAUUAUUAAUAAUUAGAUAAUCAAUAUUAUUAAUAAUUUAUUGUUUAUAAUUAAUUAUUAUUAUUAUUAUUUAUUGAUAAUUAAUAAUAAUAAUUAUUAUUAUUAAUUAGAUAAUCGUUAUUAAUAAUUUAUUAUUUAUAAUUAAUUAUUAUUAUUAAUUAUUAUUUAUAAUUAAUUAUUAAUAAUUAAUUUUUUAUUUAUUUUUAAGUAAUAUUUUUAUGUUAAUUAAUUACAUAAUAUAAUUUUAAUUUCAAAUUAUAUUGUUUAUUCCUCUUGUUCCAAUCUAAUCAUCCAAACACUAUUUAUCUUAUUCCUAGGAACAACCCAAUUUUCAUCCAAACGCAAAAUUGGUCUAGUUCCUGCUUAUACCUGAACUUGUACAUAUUCUUAGAACUAGCAGUUCUUACUUAUACCCGAACCAAACGCAGCCUAAGAGUUGCACCUAUACGCUCAUGAAAAUCAUAGUCAAUUAUAACAAUCCUUUAUUCCAAUUUUGUUGUAGCUCUUAAUUCUCAAAUUUUUGUAAUAAAUAUCUAAUUUUUAUUAUUUAUUUCAUUUAAGUGUCGGCCGUCAAAAAUCUCGUAAAUUUGUUAAUACAAUGCAAUGUUUACCACAUUAAUUAGCGCCAAAUUCUGCUGCAUGGUAUUAUUACUCACCUAAGUUAAGAUGUGAAUGAUACAAAUUCGACAUCUGAGUGUAAAAAUUAAACGUUGUGCACUAAAAUAAGAAAUGAGAAAAAGUUUGGAGACCAACGGAAUGAUUAAUCUUGAAAAUAAUAAUGUGUCUAUAACAUAACAUAACAUAACAUGACGUAAAGUUACCCUGACCCUACUAGGCCCAUUUAUGUUGUCUAUGGAUUCGGGCCGAUAAGUGCCCGAACCUUCUCGAAUCCAAACCCGGCCGUUCACUACAAUAAAAAUAGUAUAUAACGACAUUUUGAAAUGCGGGUACAAGUCAAAAAAAUACUAAUGACUAAAUUAUCGACACUUUUUAAAAGUAUUGCUAUAUGUGAAAUUGCUAUAUAUAAGCCUGCCCUGAUAUUUGGCAUCUACUCCUCCAGCGACCUGUGGAGGAGGGAUACGUAGCGAUCGUAGUUCUCUAUGUUAGAAAAUUGCAUACGAUAAAAACGCAGCGGAAAAAGAAAUCAAACAAAUUUGAUUUUUGAAAACUCUCGAGAUCCAAUCUCAAAAAUCACGCAAUUAGGAUCCCUCAUGUUUUAAGAUUAAAGAAGAAAAACAAGAUCGAAUCUUUACCUUUUUCGCGCAUAGAUCUUCCCCUCAAUUUGAUGAUCGUGGAAUUCGGUUUUCUUGAAGCCGCACACGCGUCCGGCCUUUAUAGGUAUCCACACGAGGUUCUUGAUUUGAUCGAUGUCCUCACCGGGGUGCUAGCUCCCUUGCAAAAUGACGUCUUUCUUGCUAGAAGAUGGAAAAGAGAAGAGAAGAGAGAUAACAGCUAGGGUUUUCUAAAAACUCCCGUAUGUUAUAUAUAGAAAUAUAAUCCUAUUCCUAAUAAUAUAAUGACAAUUAAGGAUAAGUAUAAAUCUAGAUUUAAAUUUAUCCUUUCCUUAAUUGGUUAGAUUGAUCAAAUCCUAAUUUGAUUCGAUCUUUAUAUUAAUUUGAUCAUAUCAAAUUAAUAAUGCAACAUUUGCAUAUAAGUUCUCUUAUAAUUUACUAACUAUUAGUAAAUCCUCUCUUGUAACAUUUAUACCUUAAUACCACUAAUUUGUAACAAUUACAAAUUAGUCCAAUUAUCAUUAUAUUGACAAUUAGGUCCUCCGGCGAUUCAAUAAUCGCGAUCUAGCUAUCCGAUCAAUCACAACCUCUUAUGUGUGUGACCCCAUAGGUUCUAUUCUAUCUGGUAGUGAGAUAUAUUUUGAUCACUAUCAACAAUAUCACUGAAACUCCUUUCAGUGGAUCGGAACAAUUCCAACUCAGCUCAAUAAGAAUUAUCGAUCAUCUAGAUAAUUCUCAUUAGUCUCACAAUCCACCAGUGACGCCUAGCAGCAUGCAGUGGCAUUCCAGUAGAAUGAAAUAAUGAACCUCUUGGUGCAGUUACCGUGUGAUACAAUCCUUUUAUCAUGAGUCCCGACUAUACGGAGGUUAUGGAAUAACUCGUCAAACCCCAUCGUCUGUCAUAUGUUAAAUUUAUUCGACUCGAGUUUCUAAUAUCGGAAACCCUUUUCCGCUAUUAACUCUGCCUUGGCCAAGGUCUUCUAAACUCGGUCUCAUAAAUCACAUAGGACUAACACCCCUAUCUACCAAGGGAGAUAGAUUCCAUCUAAGUGCGCACCCUAUUCCUACAAUGAACCUACUGCAGCCAACAUGCACCGCAAGGACCCGAAUGGCUAGGGACCAAGUGUAUGUACAGUCAAACUACAGUAACCUCAUUGUGAAUAGCCGAGGCACCGCAGGUCAAAGGACUAGUCACACUACUGCAACAAUUGAGUAAGUCACUGACGAAUGAGUAGACAUCCAAGUGACUUCUCACGUUGGUCACGCUUGGUACCCUUGUUCUCUAACAACCACCUGCAUAUUCGCUUCAGUGUCCCCACACUGUCGACUCGAGACUCGUCUACCCAAAAGGAAAGCGACCUAUGCACCAAUCUCACUGGAUCAAUCACCGUCCCCGUGAUGAUCCAUUGAUCGGGAGCAUUUAGGAAUUAACCACCAAUGACACAUGUCUCAAAUUCUCAACACUUGAGAAUAUAUGUCAUCAUCUUAUUAAUUUCUUGGAUGAUUCAUGGACACAUACACAAUAUGAAUGAAAAUAAUAACCCAAAUUUAUUCAUAAAUUUUAAAGUCAAAUACAAAUUUAUGUCCUAGAAAGAAUACAUGUGUCAGCCUGGUUGGCUUCUAGGGCAUACAUCUAACACUCUACGAUCCCUACGAGAUCCUCGCGGUGAAACUCCAGCCAUCAGAACCCUACUUCGUCGGCUGCGGCGGCGAAGGGGGAAAAGGGAAGAUGGCAACCAAAUUUUUUUUCUUUUUUAUUUGUAAUAUGGCCGAGUGGGCGGUAUGAAAUUGGUUGAGUAGAGUGACUUUUUAUUUUUUAUUUGAUCGGGCUUUAUAUUUAAGCCUUAGUCGAUUUUUUAAAAAAUUUUUAGCAUAAAUAAAAUACUUACAUGAAAGUAUUUUAAAAAUAUGUUUCUGUAAUUUAAUUCUGUUGUAAUGAUUUAUCUUCUUUUCUUACUGAUAAUGUCCGUUGGUUUCUAUUCUAAAACUCCUCAUAAUACAUGUACUAUUUUACUAUAAGGAAUGUCGAUAACUCAAAUCUAUCAUAAUCUAAUUUAUGGAUCCAUCCUAAUAUCAUUUGGAGCCGAAUACAAGCUAAUUUACGAAUAACAAGUUGCAUUGCCGGACUUAACUGGGCCACAGUUGAUUCGCAAGAGCAUAUUGGAUCUGAAUUUUAAAUAAUUGAUUAAUAUUCACGUGCUUGAGUUGACGCACUGGCUGUGUCUCCAUUUGUAUUGUUCUCACUUUCGCUGAAAAAAUUCUAGAAUGCAACGGGUAUAUUGAUGGCGUGGCGUAACAAAUAAAUCAAAUAUUUUUUUUUAGAGACAUUUGUCCCAUCAUGAUUGUAAAAAAAUAUUUUUAUUAUAUUAUUUUUUGAAAAGAAGGAAUGUGAUUGGUUUGUUAUUGAUAACGUAGUGCAAGUACGAUAGUGUAGAAUUCCUCCACUUUUCUGAUAACCUCUUGCAUUUUUACGUUUUAAUCCCUCAAGCCAUAUAUAAUUACUAGAUAGGCGACAGGAGUUCCCCACCGUCUAGGGUUAGCAGUCUAGCUCGCUAUUCGGGAGGUAACUCAUAUUCGACUCGAAAUGAGUUCGAGAUCGAUCGCUCAUUUAAAUAAACGAAUCAACUAUAAGUUAAAUUUUUCAGCUCGAAACACGAGCUUGAAUCAAAAAAAGCCAAACACGAGUUGAUUCUAUUAAACAGCGAGUCAAAAAAUUUAGCUCGUGUUCAACUCAUUGGGUGCUCUAUUACUGUCUGUCUCGUUUUCUUAGCUGAUUCGGAGGGAUUUGAUGCGGAUCCGCUAAGGGCUGGUAGGGACCAAAGCAAAAAAUAAAACAUUUGGCUCUCUUAGCGCCUCAUCUGGGGUAAGAGCUAUACCACUACAACAGAUCCACAGUAGCCAUUUGCAUCUCUUAACUAUUAUUACCCAAUCAACAUUCCUUCAUUUGCUACAUAUCAGAUUUUCUUUUCUUUUCUUUUCUUUUUUGCCAAAAAGGACCAACUUUAAAUUAACUUUUUGUGGUUUAAUUUAUUUUCGGCUACUCUAUAGUUUAACUUAUUUUACUUCACCAUUAUGCGUAGUUUAUAAAUUUAUGUUUAACUACUUUAUGAUUAUCAAAACCUUUUUCACUUUAUUGUCCCGUAUGAAAAUAGUUAAAUAUGCAUUUUUACUGUAAAGAAAAUAAUAUAAAUAGCUAACAAAUUCGUGGGAAAUUUACAACUGGCCCAUGCAUUACAUUUCAUCUCAUCACUUGACUCUCCAACAGUUGCCCCAUCACAUGCAUGCGCAUAUGUCACAGAACACGUGGCCCCAUGCAUGCAUGUGCACAUGUCGCCCAUGUGUAUAUAUUAUUAUUCAACCCUUAAUAGCAAGUGAUAUGAUCAUGCAUGUGACACAUGCUCCACAGAUCCAAGUCCCCGGAUAUAAACAUUUCAUGCACCCAUAAACAACACAUGAAUGAUUCCAUUUGCAGAGAAUAUAGAAAAAGGGUCAUAGGCACCAAAAAUUUAAUAAAAACUUAAUUUGGACUUUGAUUAUUAUUAUUAUUAACAACAUUAGAAGGGGGAACAAGAGUCAAAAAGCACAAACAACACAGUGGGGUCACAUGGGAACAACUAAAAUUCAUUAAUAAAAGUAGUAAUAGUAGUUACAUUACAAGAUUAUAAAAAGCAAAAAGAUAUAUCUAAGUAAAUAAUUAAGAAAAACCUAUUGUAGAUCCCAAGAAGGAAGAAACCAUCCAACGUUCCAGAUCAAAGCAGGAGUCAGGAGGAUCAGUAAAUAUUCCCACUCUCUCUCUCUUUUUCUCUAAUUCAAUAACCAGAUGGUAGUACACAGUUCCCAAUUUCUGCAACAUAAAACAAAAAAGAUUUACUACUCAGCGAAGCAAAAUUUUUACUGAAGCAUUGAAUGGUAAUUAUGAUAAAUAAAAAUAAAAGUAUAGAAUAGUUAAAUAUACAUUUUUAAAUUUGUCUUUCUACGUGUGACAUUAUUUGGUAAAAAAAAUAGAAAAAAAAAAAUAUAUAUAUAUAUAUACUAUUUAUAUUUAUAUAUUAAACAGGUACAACACACAACGACAACGAGUCCUCAAAUUUGACUAAGUAGCGUACGUAGGGCGCCGUAACUCCUCGAGCGCAACGUUCGCACAUAUACAUAAUAAACAUAUAAUAAUAUAUAUAAUAUAUAUAUAUAUAUAUGAUGUACCCGUGGGGCCCACGUGUCAGCCUUGGGAACUGUGACAUAUACCGGUUACAGCGUAGAAACGCUGCUAUACGACAAUGUCCUUUUCAUUGAUAAAGCGACGAGGGAAAAAGAAGGGGAUGGGUCACAUCACGUUGGCACCGUACAGUGCGUGAGAUGCAAUGUGCACCGUUCAUCGCUCUGCUAAAACCCCGCGUAUAAAAAAUAUGCGAAUCCUAUGAACUCCUCAACCAAAUCCACCGCAAAAUCCACCACCCAAAUCCAACGGUCCGUUCAUCAGAUCGAACGGUCGGCAAAACUAGGGGAGAAAGAGAAGGCUAAAUUGUACGAAGACCCCUUACCUAUUGCCACCGUCUUUUUAGCCAUUUCUCUUUUAAUAUAUAUAUAUUAAUAUAUAUAUAUAUAUAUAUUAUAUAAUGAUAGUUAUUAAAUCAAUUAAAAAAUCCUUAACGUUUAAUUGAUAAUAAAAUUUAAAAAUCAGUUUCAUAAUUGAAAGAUAAAAGUUCAAAGUUGUUAGGUAGAAAUUCUUUUUUCCAUUUCACCUACCUUAUCACUCUUUUUAAAAAUAAAAAUUCUUAAGGAUUGCGAACGCACAAAAUGCAUAGAGGUUGGUAGACUAAGCUCAUUUUUUCUUAUUUAAUUACAAUCGUCUGCUACCAAUCUAACGUUUUAUUAACUGUAUGUUCAUACGCACUUCACGGGGAAUUUGGUUCAAGUAAAAUGGAACUAAAAUCAUUUCGACUAUAAAAAAUUAAUUUUUUAUUAUUAAUUCGAGCCAAAAGUAAUUUUUACAAAUUUAGGAGAAAUUACUUAAAGUUUUCAUUUUUUGCUGCAUUUUUGUUGCUAAAAAACCGAAACGUUAUUCAUUCAUUUUUUUUAUCUGAAUGCAAAAAAUUUAUAUAAUUUUUUCCGGCCAAAUAAAAUAUUAAUAAAAAUUAUUUUUUUCCUCACAAACCUAAACAAUAUAAAACAUAAAAAAAAAAAUCCACAAAAAGUUAUUUUUUCUUGUUAUACGUUGCUAUCAAACAAGAUUCUUAAUUCCGGGCUACUUAUACAAAUCAAUAACUUUAAGUUUUUACAUUAUCAAAAUUUCGUGCCUUGAAUUUUACCAUGUGAUUAUUUUCAUCCGCUUAAAUUAAUUUAUUCAACAACAACUGGUCUUAAACUCUAGUGAAAAAUUAUUAUCAUCCAACCGCAUAUCCUAUUUUAUCUGUAAAAGAUCAAAAACUAAAUAAUAUCCAAACUCUCGAUAGUCUAUAUAAUAUACAUAUAUCCGGCGACUAUACUAUCGAUAGAUCAAGCCCUGUACUAUUGGGUUUUUAAACCGUUUAGAUCUACCUUUGGAUCAUUUCUAUCGAUUAAUUAACUAUUAAAGACCAACACCCCAUCAAUCCACAGGGGACCACUAUGCAAUUUAACGGAAACCAUAUAUUCCUAACUGUACAUCUAUUCAUCCAACGGCCCAACAGACUCAAUAGUACCAAGGGCUGGUACAUUGAUAGUAUAGCUAGCUAAUUCUACAAUAACAAUCAAUAAUAUAUAUAUAUAUACUAUAUAUAUAUAUAUAUAUAAUAUAUAAAAGCGAAGAACAAUGUUUGGGAGGGGUGGGGGAGAAGAGGGGGUGAGGAAAGGACAGAGGGAAUAAGACUGACCGGGGGCUGGGGCAGACGAACGUAGGCGGCGACCCUGGAAGUCGGCAGGUGCCGAUGCCGAGGCCCUUGCUCUCGGUAUCUAGCUGUUGAAGCGUAGGAGCGUUGCGCCUCCACCAGUGUUCGGCUCGUACACACCCCGCCCCGGGCUGUAUCGCCCUAGGCAGUCCGCCCUCCAUCCCACCUAGUCCAGCCCCUCUGCAGCCGCUCCUUCCCACACCCAUUCGCACCACAGCACCUCCCCCGUCCCCGUCCCCUUUCCGCCCUCACUCCUUCCUCCCACCUACACGCCUCCCCCACUGCUGGCUGCUGCUGCUGCCCAUUCCCGCCGAGGACUAAGUCGGACUGUUCGUAGACCUUGUCGCUCGGAGGGUAGAAGAGGCCGUAGUUGCCUCACGAAGGUGGGGCGGCUUUCAGAGUCCUCGUUUGAACAGGCCCGAAGCAGGAACACGUUCCACGUCCCCUGCGGCGCCGCGGUGCGUCCCGCGUCUCCCCGACAGCCACGCGCCGCACCAGGUUCCGUUUAUCGCCGCGUCCCCGCCCCCGCCCCCGUCUCCUUCCCGUCCCCUUCGACGGCCACCCCUCUCCGACCCACCACCCUCACUUCUCGCCCCCCCCCGCCCCAUCGCCGCAUACACCGCAUCACACCUAUUAUAAGUAAUAAUAAUAACCUCAAUCAUCGAUCAUCAUCAUCAUCAUAUAAUACAAACGUACAACACAAAACUCAUGUAGUAGUAGUAUAUAUAUAUAAUAUAUAAGGCACGCACACCUGGGCGUCGUAAGAGCCUGUGUACUUGAGGCCGCUGCCCGAAGUCAGGACGCCGGCGUUGGCGGAAGAGGGCGUAGUCGAGGGAGAUCGAGGCGCGCGUUGCGGGAAGUAGGCGAAAGAAGGGGUAAGCGGUUGACCAUGAGAUAGAGCCGGUCGCGGCCGAGGAGGUCGAGAUCGGCGCAUCACGGGCCCUCCGCGGGUCGCUCCGGAACGGCCCGCGGGAGGGCGGGUACGACGGCGCGGAGGCGGUGAGGGCGAGGGGAAGGAGACCUUCACGCGUCGCGACGAGCACGAGGCGCGCCCCCGAGCGCGCGGCGUGGACGUUGGUCAUGGCACGGGACGCGCGCGCGUGAGUUGCGUUCGGCGCUCCGCAACACCUCGUGCCACGCACCACGGCCGCGAUCUGGGCGCGGGUAGUACGCCGCACGUUGCGCUGCACCCACCGAGCGCGUAGCCGGGCGCGACGCGGCCGGGCGAGGAGCUCGUGUGGGGCGCCACCACCACCUGAUCCGCGGACCCCGCGAAGCCGAGCACGGCGGCGGUCCGCGUGUACAGCUUCACCGGCUUAUGCCUGGACUUGAGGAGCUCCACCACCUUGGGCAGGGGUGGGAGGUUGUUGGCCACCGCCGUAGUUCACUCCUAUACGACCCACCCUCUGCAAGUAAAAAGAAAAAAAACAACCACAACUCAAAAAUAAAAAAAGCAAAACAUGGGGACUUAAGCAGCAAAUGUGGGUGUGAUGGAGGAGCGAAAAACGCGAGGAUGGUUACUGCCCAAAAUGGCGUCUGGCGUUGGGUUUUGUUACCUGGCGUGAGUGUUUGGAGGAGAGGAGGGAGAGGAGGAGGAGGAGCGAAGAGGAGAGCGAGCGGCUUGAGAGUCCCAAUGCUCUCCGACGAACAGAGCAUGCGGAGAAGGGCAGGGUUGGAACGAGGAGGGGUAAAUGUGGGAUGAGAAAAGAGCUCCUUUAUUGUGUAUCUACCACUAUAAUGUUCCUUAUAAGAGGAGAGAGAGAGAGCAGAGAGCAGAUGAGAGAGGAAGGCAGAGGUUGCGGAGGAAGGACGAGAGUGGGGAUGGUUUAUAAGCUUUUUUUGCGUUCCGAGCGUUGCAAGUGAGGAGUGGGGAGUAGUGAACCAGUGGUGAGUGAGGUGAUGGGAUUGGGGAAGCUGGGCCCGGCCCACGUAGGAGUUUAUGUUUGGGUAGAGAGAGAGAAAGAGAGAGAUCGAGAGGUGGGAUUAGUGAAUGCGAUCGUAAUUAGCGCUGAGAUAAAUAGGAGAAAUUAAUUUUGCUACACUGAUAAAAAUCUUAAAAUAUUAUCUAAUUAUUAAAAUUAUAUCUCAUAAAUAAUGAUUUAACUCUCGAUAAUAAUAUAUAGUAUAUAUAAUUAUUAUAUUAAUUUAUUAGACUAUAUAUAAUACCGCACCGGUAAUUUUUGAAAUGUUUGUGAUAUUUAAUAUACAAAUUUUUUAGACGGUGCAAAGCACAUUUAUCUUUAUUUCAGAAUCCUGAGAAUCAAAAUUUGUAAGCGGCUGACAUGAUACGUUAAUGAUACACCGGUGUGCCAGAAAAUAAUGUUUUUCAAAUACACGGAGUUUGGCGGUCGUGUCGGAUAUGUAAAGAAGGCGGUCCGUAGCGACGUUUGUGCGAGAGUGGGACUAGACGCAUCGGGGGCNNNNNNNNNNNNNNNNNNNNNNNNNAUAAUAAUGUAGUUUAAAUCAAUUAAAAAAUCUUAACGUUAAGUUAGAUAAUAAAAUUUUAAACAAUCAGUUCAGUAAUUGAAAAGAUAAAAGUUCAAAGUAUGUUAGGUAGAAAUUUCUUUUUUCUUCACCUACCUUAUCACUCUUUUUUAAAAACUAAAAAUUCUAAGGAGUUUGCGAACGCUACAAAAUGAAGAGUUGGUAGACUAAGCUCAUUUUUUCUAAAUUUUAAUUUACAAUCUCUCUACCAACUAACUGUUUUAUUAACUGUUUUCAUACGCACUUCACGGGGGAAUUUGGUUCAAGUAUAAAAUGAACUAAAAAAAUCAUUUUCGAUAUAAAAAAUAAUUUUUUAUUUAUUUAAUUCGACAAAAGUAAUUUUUACAAAUUUAGAAAUAGCUUAAAGUUUUCAUUUUUUUGCUGAUUUUUUGUUGCUAAAAAAACGAAAACUCUACUUCAUUCAUUUUUUUUUAUCUGAAUCAAAAAAAUAUAAAUUUUUUCCGGCCAAAUAAAUAUUAAUAAAAAAUUAUUUUUUUCUCCAAACCAAACAAUAUAAAACAUAAAAAAAAAAAUCCACAAAAAGUUAUUUUUUCUGGUUAUACGUUGUAUCAAACAGAUUCUUAAUUCCGGCUACUUAUACAAUCAAUAACAUUAAGUUUUUACAUUAUCAAAAUUUUCUGCCGUUAGAUUUACCAUGUGAUUAUUUUCAUCCGUUAAAUUAUAUUAUUCAACCAACAACUGUCUAAACUCUAGAAAAAUAUUAUCAUCCUAACCGCAUAUCCUUUUAUCUAAAGAUCAAAAACUAAAUAAUACCAAACUCUCGAUAGUCUAUAUAUAUACAUAUAGUCCGGCUACUAUACUAUCGAUAGUAUCAAGCCCUUUGUACUAUUGGGUUUUCUACCGUUAGAUCUACCCUUUGAUCAUUUCUACCCAUUAAAUUAUACUAUUAAACCAACCACCCACUCAACCCUAGGGGACCACUAUCAAUUUAACCGGNNNNNNNNNNNNNNNNNNNNNNNNNNNNNNNNNNNNNNNNNNNNNNNNNNNNNNNNNNNNNNNNNNNNNNNNNNNNNNNNNNNNNNNNNNNNNNNNNNNNNNNNNNNNNNNNNNNNNNNNNNNNNNNNNNNNNNNNNNNNNNNNNNNNNNNNNNNNNNNNNNNNNNNNNNNNNNNNNNNNNNNNNNNNNNNNNNNNNNNNNNNNNNNNNNNNNNNNNNNNNNNNNNNNNNNNNNNNNNNNNNNNNNNNNNNNNNNNNNNNNNNNNNNNNNNNNNNNNNNNNNNNNNNNNNNNNNNNNNNNNNNNNNNNNNNNNNNNNNNNNNNNNNNNNNNNNNNNNNNNNNNNNNNNNNNNNNNNNNNNNNNNNNNNNNNNNNNNNNNNNNNNNNNNNNNNNNNNNNNNNNNNNNNNNNNNNNNNNNNNNNNNNNNNNNNNNNNNNNNNNNNNNNNNNNNNNNNNNNNNNNNNNNNNNNNNNNNNNNNNNNNNNNNNNNNNNNNNNNNNNNNNNNNNNNNNGCCCUGCAGUCCGCCCCUCCCUCCCCGCACGCGUAGUCCAGCCCCCUCUGCAGCCGCUCCUUCCCCACCACCCCAUUCGCCACGCACCACCUCUCCCCCGUCCCCGUCCCCUUUCCCCCUCUCUCCUCCUCCCACCUCAACCCUCCCCCACUGCUGCUGCUGCUGCUGCUCCCAUUGCCGCCGCCGAGGACGAAGUCGAUGUCGUAGACCUUGUCCUCGGAGGGGUAGAAGAGGCCGUAGUUGCGCUCCGAGGUGGGGCCGGGCUUCAGGUCCUCGUUGAACAGCCCGAACAGGAACACGUCCACGUCCCCCUGCGGCCGCCGCGGCGUCCCCGCGUUCCCCGACAGCACGCGCCGCACCAGGUUCCCGUUGUACGCCGCCGCGUUCCCCGCCCCCGCCCCCGUCUCCUUCCCGUCCCCCUUCGACGGCCACCCCGUCUCCGACACCACCACCCUCACCUCCUCGCCCCCCACCGCCCCCAUCGCCGCAUACACCGCAUCCACCUAUUAUAAUAAUAAUAAUAACAUCAUCAUCGAUCAUCAUCAUCAUCAUAAUAAUACUAACGUACAACACAAAACUCAGUAGUAGUAGUAUAUAUAUAUAUAUAUAUAAGGCACGCACACCUGGGCGUCGAAGAGGCUGUAGUACUUGAGGCCGCUGCCCGGGUCGAGGACGCCGGCGUUGGGGCGGAAGAGGGCGUAGUCGAGGGAGAUGAGCGCGGCGUUGGCGGAGUAGGCGAAGAAGGGGUAGGCGUUGACCAUGAGAUAGGAGCCGGUGCGGCCGAGGAGGUCGAGCAUCGGGCGCAUCACGGGCUCCGCGAGGUCGCUCCGGAACGCGCCCGCGGAGGGCGGGUACGAGGCGCGGAGCGCGGUGAGGGCGAUGGGGGAGGAGACCUUCACGGCGGCGUCGAGGCCGAGGCGCGCGAGCGCGGCGUGGACGUUGGUCAUGGCCGGGACGAGGAGCGCGGUGAGGUUGCGCGGGCUCGCGAACACCUCGUUGCCCACGGCCACGGCCGCGAUCUGGGUCGCCGGGUAGUACGCCGCCACGUUGCGCUGCACCCACCCGAGCGCGUAGCCCGGGCGCGACGCGGCCGCGGCGAGGAGCUCGUUGGGGAGCGCCACCACCACCCUGAUCCCGGACCCCGCGAAGGCGCGGAGCACGCCCGGGUCCGCGUCGUACAGCUUCACCUGCGUUAUGCCCUGGGACUUGAGGAGCUCCACCACCUUGGGCGGCGGUGGGAGGUUGUUGGCCACGCGCCCGUAGUUCACUCCUAUAGACCCACCCUCUGCAGUAAAAAAAAAAAAAAAACAACCAAACCAAAAAAAAAACAAAACAUGGGGAAUUAAGCAGCAAAAUGUGGGUGGAGAGAGCGAAAAACGCGAGAUGGUUACUGCCCAAAAUGGCGUUGUGCGUUGGUUUUGUUACCUGCGGAGUGUUUGGAGGAGAGGAGGGAGAGGAGGAGGAGGAGCGAGAGGGAGCGAGCGCUGAGAGGUCCCAUGCUCUCCGACAAACAGAGCAUGCGGAGAAGGGCAGGGUGGUGAACGAGGAGGGGAAAUGUGGGAUGAGAAAAGGAGGCUCCUUUAUUGUGUAUCUACCCACUAAUGUUCCUUAUAAAGGAGAGAGAGAGAGAGAGAGAGAGAGAGAGAGGAAGCAGAGGUUGCGGAGAAGACGAGAGUGGGGAUGGGUUUAUAAGCUUUUUUUUGCGUUCGAGCCGUUGCAAGUGAGGAGUGGGGAGUAGUGACCAGUGGGAGUGAGGUGAUGGGGAUUGGGGAAGUGGGCCCGGCCCACGUAGGAGUUGUAUGGUUUGGCGUAGAGAGAGAGAAAGAGAGAGAUGAGAGUGGGGAUAGUGAGUGCGAUCGUAAUUAGCGCUGAGAUAAAUAGGAGAAAUUAAUUUUGUACACCUGAUAAAAAUCUUAAAAUUAUUAUCUAACUUAUUAAAUUAUAUCUCAUAAUAAUAUUUAAACUCUCAUAUAAUAUAUAUAUAUAUAUAUUAUUAUUAUUAAUUUUUUAGACUAUUUAAUACCGCACCAGUAUAUUUUUUAAAUGUUGUGAUAUUUAAUAUACAAAUUUUUUAGACGGUGCAAAGCACAUUUUCUUUUAUUUCAAGAUCCUGAGAAUCAAAAUUUGUAAGCGGUGCAUGAUACGUAUGGAUACACCGGGUGCAGAAAAUAAUGUUUUUCAAAUACACGGAGUUUGGCGGGUACGUGUCGGAUAAAGAAGGGGCGUCGUAGCGACGUUUGUGCGAGAGUGGGGACUAGACGAUCGGGGGCCCAAGUUUCCAACACGCACUGCGCGCCGAAGAAGGGCGCGGGGCCCAUCCACGCGGUCGACCGUUUGUAGAGAGAGAGAGAGACAGAUGAGAGAGAGAGAGACGUGGGAGACUUUCGAGAGCCCGACUGAACCGGGCCGGAUUCAAGUUGUGCUACGUUCAAUCCGAAUCCAACCCAAAAUAAUUUUCUGAGCUCUCUGUGUCAGAAUUUAGGCCCAAAAUUAUUGAAGAAGAGAUAGUCCGAUCCAAAUCCAGGCCCGUAGCGCGAUACUCAUGGGACUUAUAUAGGCUCAUUUUCAAAGCAAUAUAUAGUAAUACAUAUAAUAGUUACUAAUAAUAUAUAGUCCAGACAAAUAGAUCACUCGGUAAUCAAAGUCAGGUCCUAAAGACAGCUAUACGUGUUACUGCUAAAUAUAUCUAUGUUAGCACUCAAUAAGCCAUGCACUACCUACUAGCGAGCGGAGUACAAUUUUCACAACCCUUAUAGAUACUAUCAUCACAGAUAUAAACACAGACCAGGCAAACUAUUAAAAACGAGAGAGAAAAAAUAACAACCUGCACAUCUGCUUGAUGAGAUGAUAAAAAUUUAACGAUCAUAUUAUUUUACACACUAUAUAUUCUCUAGCGGCAAAUAGAGGCACUGGAAAAUAUAUACUACAAACAGCCCAAAAAGAGGCACCACUUGGUACUCUAUCAUUCGAAUAAAAGAUAGACUAAUGGAAACUCCAAUAUUUGAUAAAAUACAUAUUAUUACUACUAUAUCGGCAUUCAUACAGAUUAUGGAAUUCAUUUUAUAUAUCCUUUCAUUUAGUAACAAAAUAUUAGUAACAUAAAUCUAGGAGCCUAAUAAUAUACUCAAUAAAAUAUAUUUUAGAUUGACUGAUUAUCUAGCCGCAAGAUUCAUUGGGCUCAGUAACCUACAAAGUUUAUUCUAUGGAGAUUUCAAACUAAAAUUGUGAUAAUUAAGAGAUGUUCGCUAGAUGUAUGUAUGCACAACGGUUACGUGAGAAAUCUUGACAUAUGUUUUGGAAUUUUAAAAAAUAUAGAUCUUAUACAGAUCGUAUAAUUAUAUAUCAAAAAGGAUCAGUAAUUCCUAUCUAAACGCAGAGAAUCAUAAGAUUGGUGCGAGAUAUCGACUAAUGUCGAUCUAAUACUUAUCUUAAGAUGUUGAAUGUCUCCGAGGGAAUUGGUGCCACCUCUCUCUCUCUUCUCUCGCGUCAUCCUCUUCACUAUAUUUUUAAAUAGAGAGUAUUUUUGGCAAUUAGGUUAACGGGACCAUUGAGUAAACAGUGAGCGAAGAGUCCUCAGCAUCACUAUUAUGAUAAAAGAUUACUGUCGUGGCUGUCUCGACUUUUUGACCUUUAAAUCAGUCCCUUUAAUCAUUUCUAACAUUUAGAUUAAUACUAUUACCUUGUGGGGACCACUCAACCUUCGGGGGAACCGCAAUCAUCCCAACCGUAUAAUUUUAUACUGUCAAUAGUACACUUGGUGCUAUCGAGUCUUCACCAUUGGAUGAAGUGAUGUGCAGUUAACAUGAUAGCAGUUUCUUAUGGUUGUGUGGGUGGUUGGUUAAAUAAUAUAAUCUAACAGCGGAAAUGAUCAAAGUGUAGAUUUUAUGGCAAAAAACUCAAUAGUAUCAAGAGCUUUGUACUAUCAAUAGUAUAAUAGCCGGACUCGAGGUAAAAUGUAUGGAGAACCCCUGUGCUUCAGCUUACUUGCAAACAAGGGACUGAAUGUUUAAUUUUGACAAAAAGAGCCCUUAAACUUUAUUAAAUAGUUUAAUAGAUCUUUUUUUUCAAGUGAACUAAUUAAUUACAUGAUGGUUGUGAUCGAAUAUCGUGCACAUAAUUCUUUAAGACAUAAAAAUAUAAAAAAAUUCUACUUUUUUGUUUCAAUUUUGAUGACUAAAUAUGACAAUCAAAGAAUAAGUUCACCCGAACUUCAAUUUUGUUCUGCUGUUCUUAUAGGCCAGUUAGAAUACAAAAAAAUUUUAUUUUUAUUUUUUAUUUUGAAGAUGUAGACAACUAUAUGCAAUUUAUUAUUAUUUUGCCUCAAAGCUUAUUCGCUUGAAAUCCACUAAUGCGCAAGUCAAUUUAUUACCCGCUUCAUUUAUUUUAUUUAAAAAUAAACUUAGCUGAAAAGCUGAAUCAACUAGGAUUCGAACUUGGAUCUCGGGUACCAACUACUAAGCCCUUUGCCACUUGCUAUAGGAACGGUUAGUAAUUUAUUUUCAUCUUGAUUUGGGACUAAACAUUAUAAGCUCGUAUGAUACUCUCUAACGUUGGGCCAAAAGAAUAGAGCGAAAGCAUAUAGAGAUAUGAAUCUCACAUUCUUCGGGUAAAAUUAUAGAUAUUAUAACUUAAACUAAUUUAGUGUAAUUUACAAAAAUAAAUGAUACAUUUCUUUUAUCGCACUCUCUUUCCGCACGUAAUAUUUCUUUACUUACUAUCUUAACAAAAAGUGCUCGUUUCUUAUUGAGGUCUGUCCAACUCUAGUAGACAAAAUGAAGUCAAGGCAAAAGCUUUCUCCGCCUUUCGAUGAAACUGUAUAAAAUAUAUUAUUAUCAACUCAUUGUGAUGUCCAAGACACUAUAUUAUGUAUGAAAAUAAUUCUAACGAUUUUUUCAACAUUUUACAAAUCGGGUCAAAUAGCGACUCGAAAAUGAUACUGGAUCAACGGUCACUGAUUAAACCAGUGGGUUAAUGACUGGUUGAACCAAUAAUAUCAGCAUAACAUCAUAAAUAUUUAAUUAUUAUUUUUAAUCUUAUUNNNNNNNNNNNNNNNNNNNNNAAUUCUGGUAUCAUAUUUAAUUGUAAAAUAUUAAUUUCUAGAUCAAAUAAAGUAGGCAUGUAAGUUUUUUUAUGAGAUUAAUCCGUGCCAAUAGAAAAUAAAAUUAACUAAGUUAAUUUUAAGCCAAUAAAUUUUAAUAUGACUUGAUAAAUAAUUAAGCCGAUUUGAUUAAAACUGAACCGCUUUAUUAGUUCAAUGGUUUGAACCACCGGUUUGAACCACCGGCUCAAACGGUUCAAAAAGUCCUUUUUAAACUCAUCCAGUUCAAAGGAUUUCAUCAAACAACUUUAUAGAUUGAUUCACGGUCGGCCAAACUGGCCCGUUCGAUCUAAUUUUUAAAUUAUUUAUUUUUUAUUUUCUCAUAAUUUAUAAUAUGAUCUCUCGGCAAUCCCAAAUGAAUAAUUUGGAGAGAGUUAGACCCAGUGGCCACAGAUCCGGGAAAGUAUGGAUGUAGAUUACUUGUUAGGCUGCAUUGGGCCAAGUUUUCUGUGUACUGGGGUUCAAAUUAGUUAAUUGUUUCUAAGAGGCCAGAGCCUGAGCCUUCUUUUGUUUCUUUUUUUUUUUUUUUUUUGAGAGAUAGAUAGCACGCUAUCUGUUUUGUUUAUUUUAUUUAUAAAUAAAUUUAGAUUCGAACUUGAGUCUCGGAUACCAACCACUAAACCCUUUGCCACUUGCUCUAGGGACAGUCGGUUCUUUUGUUUCUCCUUUUAAUGAGAAAGCAAGUAGGCUUCCUAAAUACCCAAACCCAAAAACCCAUUUUGUCUAAUCUCGUAUCUACUUCACAACCAUGACUACCCAUUUUGUCUAAUCUCGUAUCUACUUCACAACCGUGACUUUCAAAAUCAGGGCCCAUCUAUGUUAAGGUGGAUUGGUCUGAACCAUAUAAUUAAGAUAUUUAAAGCAUCCCUUGCAUCUUUCGUGCUCUAACCAGGUUAUUUCUCUUCCUCCUUAAAUGCUAAAUAAAUAUCUGGUGGGAACUGUUACUCAAAUAAGGCUUAACAAAUACUAGUAGGUCUCAAUAAUAAGCUGCGACCAGAUUUAGACUUCGUUUGGGAUUACAAGGAGAUUGCGUUACGUGCAGUGAAAAAGUAAAAAAAUGAAAAAAAAUAUCCUAUUUUUUUUGCCAUGCGUAAUAUUGCGCGCGUUCUGCAUAUCGCGAUGAGUCAGUUAUGAUAUAUUUCAUGCGGUCUCACCGGAGAACGCUGAAGUAUAUCCCUAUAUAUUUCUACUCUAACUCUAUUUUAUCUAAUAACGUCGGAUGGAGCUUAAUACCAAACUAAUAUUUAAGUAGUGCCCCCACGCUUUGGCCAAUGGAAGUUGCAACAGUGCUUUUGCAUAAAGCGAUUUAAGAAGAGCUUUUCAGAGUUGUGUUUAACAGAGCCAUAAUUGGAGAAGCAGUGGAAUCUAAUGCAAUAAAGGGCAAUUUUUGAGCAUCAUGAUUAACGGUGAUGUACCAUAGAGGAUGGAGCUGAGAAAUUUAGGCUUCGUUUGGAAUUGUGGAGAGAUUGUGUUACGUGCGGUGUGGAGAGAUUGUGUUCCGUACAUAAUAUUGUGUUCUGCAUAUCGCAAUAAAUCGAUUACGAUAUAUUUACUGCGGUCGCAUCGGAGAACACAGAAACAUAUCCCUAUAUACUUUUUCCUCAAUUCUAUUUUAUCUAAUAGCGUUUGAUAGGCCUCAAUACCAAAGUAAGUCUUACAUGUACCUCCCCACAGCUAAUAAGAUCAUCUAAAAUUAAAGUGAUGGCCCUUGUGAUGCCCAAAAAAGCUGAUGCAUCCAAAUAAAUUAGAAUCUGUGAGAUUCAAUAAGUCACUCAUUAGGACAUGAAUUCAUUGUAGGAUCAUUGCAUGAAUUAUCCUAAUAACAAAAUAAUUAAAAAAAAGCAGAUAAAAAGCUACAAAUAAUCAUAUCGGAUCCUUUUUUUAGGUGUGUUACGUUUGGCUUCGCGGGAAUCCAAGGAGAAAGCGCAAAUAAGAGCAAAACUAAUGAACAUCUUUGUUUCACCCAACGCAAAUAUCUAUUUUUAUUGUACGGUUCACUGUGAAUUAAACUUUCGCAUAAUUCCAUUUUUCAAAAUGUUGUAAUUGACUUCGCCUUGGAAAGUGUGGAAGUCAAUUACAAGAAAGAAAGAUGUAGAAAACAAUAAUAAUAAAAAUUUAACUUUUUCAAGUGUUUUUUUUUUCACCCUCUAUAAGCUGUAGUGUAAAAAUUUUUAGUAAAAUAAACAAAAAAAAAAGAAGAGAUAACCACAAUUUCCAAAUCAUUAAAUUUUUAUUAAACUGAAAAUUAUUUUCAACUGAAAAUUAUUUUCAACUCGAAAAUCACCUACGAGUAAAGAAACAGGCUCAAACUGAAAUGGUUCAACAACAUUGAAAUUCUUUGGCUUAAAUUUUCUGAAUAGUUUUGCUGUUAAAUAGAUUUUAAACUAUGUUCUAAAGGUAUCAUAGUGGAUCCUAAUCUUUUCGUCAUUCAAAUUAAUGGAUUAUAUUAUGUACAUGAACAAGAGUGUUAAAUAUGUCUCGAUAACAUUCUGUAGUUUAAAAGGCAGCGAGCCUUUGAAAACUGAACAGUAUUAGUUUUUUGCAAUGCUGGAAAAUUGAAAUGAGGUUUAGAGCCUCCAAAACUGAUACUCAAUCUGAUACGAAGUUUCAUUUAUUCUGGACAGUUUUACUUGGAAAAAAAAAUGAUGCUUCUUAGAAUAAAUAUACUGAAAAUUUAUAAAAUGGGUGCAAAAAAUAUUGGGAGAGAACAAGAAGUGGCUGGAUAAUUUGAAAUUUCAUAUUCAUAAAUAAUAGUUAAUUAACACAUUCUCAUUUAAUUUGUAAAGUAAUUAAAGUACUGGGCCAGGCCCAAACUGCACUGUAACAUGUUGACUUAUAUUAGGCCUAGGGCCCUCUAAAAGCCCAAUACAAAUAUGUAAGCCAUUGCGGUUCAAAAUAGAAAUCGAAAUCGAAAUCGAAAUCGAAAUAGGCAUAGAGAAUGGCCGGAAAUAGAACGAUGAAAACUCCUAAUUUACUUGGUUCAUACGAGGAGUCGGAAUAUAAAUCAUGUUCAAAUUAAAAUUCAAAAAAUUUAUUUAAAUUUACUUUGUAAAUUCGUAAUCAAAAUUUGAAUGUGAAUUUGAACUUCACAAUUUGAAUUUAAUUAUAAUUUAAAUUUGGACCCAAGAUCAAAUAUCAAACUUAUAUUAAAAUUUAAAUUUGAAUUUAAGAAAACUAAAAAUCAAAUUUUGAAUCCAUAAUUUAAGCUUAAAUUAAAAUUUAUAAUUUAUUCUAAAAUUAAAUAUAGAUUAAUAUUGGAAUUUAGAUAAUUGUUAAUGAAUUUUCUUCUGAAUCCCGAAUCAAGGUUGAUUCCUAUAUUUGGAAUCAUUUCGGGGGAAUUCGAUUUUACUCGGAAUGAAAAUCGGAAUAUCAGUCUCUCAAACCAAACACUAAUAAAAGGAAUGAAUCAUUCAAAUUUUUAUUUCAAACCAAACGUGUUCUAAAAGUUAAAAAAAAUUAAAAAUCAAAACAGAACAAAACAAAAUGUUGGUUUUACAAAUUAUACUCUCUUUUUUUUAAGCUCUAUAGGUUUGAUGUUAACAAAUUUAUACGUGUCGACUUCUAUAUAUAUAUAAAAAAAAAACCUUCAAAUACCGCCCGUACGGUUUCACACUUUCUCACUUUAGUAUCCUGUGGUUUAAAGUAUAUUAAUUUAGUGCCCUGUGGUUUCAUUUUUACCUUUUUAUUAUCGACUUCACUAAUUUUUUUUCGUUAAAUCAGUGACAAAGUUAAAACUAAUGCGCACUAAAGUGAAUAUUCGAUAAAUUUAGAUGGGGUAUCUGAAAUUUUUUGUAUAUAAUUUAAUAAAAUAUUAACGGAGAAGCUGGCGAAAAGAUAAAAAUAAAACAGCAGGAUACUAACUUGAUACACUUUAAACCAUAUAAUACUAAAAUGAAAAAGUGUGAAACUAUUGGAUUGAUAUUUGAAGCUUAUUCUAGAAAAAAAAAGAAAAAGAAAAAGAAAAAGAAAAAGAAAAAAAAAAAGGGUCUUAUCCUGUUUUAGUUGAAUUCUCCUCGUUAAGUUACUUGACAUUUACAGGUAUCAGAUUAGUAUAUUUUUUGUAUUUUCUUUUGAUUUUGACUGGUCGUGGUAACAAGUCCAUCAGAUAUGUUCUCCCAUAUUUGGAAAUUAUAUUCCCCCCAGAAAAAUAAAAGUAAUAUUCUUAGGUCAAAAGGUAAUAAUUUUAAUACGGUAAAAAUGUAUUGAAUUUACGUAAUCUGUGGAAUAAAAAAUGUAUUGAAUUUACGUAAUCUGUGGAUAGUUAAAAUUUACUAUCCACCUUUCAAAAUUUUAAUUUUAGUAUUCAAUCCUUUAGCAAGUUUGAUUUGAGUCUGUCAAAAAUACUUUAGUUCAAAUUUUAAACUUUUAGUUGUGAGAAUUGUAUAAAAUGUACUAAAUAAAUUUGUAAAUAUAAAGAACGUAUUCAUUCAAAAUUUGAAGUCAAAGUGCUGAUGACCGACUCCAAUUAAUCGAACAAAUUAUAAUGUUGUGUAGUAAAAUCAAAAUAUUGAAAGAUUAAAUAGUCCAUUCAAAAUGUUUUAUAGUUCACCGUUCAGAUAAUUAAAUUCUAUAUAUUUUUACCUUCUAAGUUUAAGCUUCUAAUGUAUUAUAGAAAUAGACCUGUAUUGAGAAUUUAUUCACUGGUGAAGGAAAAUGUUGGGUAUUAUUGUUUAAAAGAUUAUUUUUGUAGCAAUUUGAUUAAGCUUUUAGACAAGAAUUAUUAUAAUUUCACAUCAUCAAGCCUGAGUUUGAUUCAUGCCCCCUUUAGCUUGCAUAUAGGUUAGCUUAUAAGAGCCACAGCAUCUGCAUUGAGAUUCGUGCAAGUGCAUCUCAGAGCGCAACCAAAUCGUAAUUUUGAUGCACCAUAUGACACGCAAAAAAUUUCAUAAAUAUACACCCAAAACUUUGCUAAAAAAUUCAUUCAUACAGUAGCCCUGUAAAAUCAAAAUCCAAAUGUUUAUAUUUGAUAUUCAAAAGCUUAAUUUCUUAGUUACCGAUCACAAUCAUACUCAGAAUCUGGCCCUACGAUACACGGAGAAGCAGAUCUGGGCGAAAUCUGGUCCGAAUCAAGUCAAUUGAGGUCUGGUCGAUACCGUUCCGACUUGGGUACGUUAAAAGGGCUAUGACUUUGCGCACGGGCACAUGUAUAUAUAUUCGGCAUGCAAUCUUAAUUCAAAAACAAGUUCUCGAGACGCAAGUAUUGAACUGCUUCGUCGUUCCGGCUCAAUUUGGUGCCCAAAUUUAAUCGAUUAGGCCUUAAAAUUUGCAGUUUUAGAUUUUCUUUAACUAAUUUUGAGAAUGUUACUUUGUUUCUUAAUUUUAUUAAUUACUUCAUGUUAGAUCUAAGUUUUUUUUUAAUAUUUAUCGCUGAUUAGAAUUAUAUUAAUUCUAUUUUUGUGCUUAGAUGAGCAUCUCUAUUUAUAUAAAGGCCGAUUAAGGUUUUGCAAAAGUAAUUUUUUUUAAAAAAAAAAAAUACCAGAUGUCUUUCAUUUUAGAAGAGAUUCUUCGAUCUAUCUUUCUCAUCCAUCCUCACACUUAGGGACCGUUUGGUUGGAUGUAGUUGUAGAAACAGUAUAGUUGGAAAUACAUGCAGUUGCAAAUGCUGUAAUUAUAACUACACCUAGUCUGCUUGAUUUUAUACAGUUGCAACUGCUGCAGUUAUAUUUUUUCUGUUUGGUAAUACGAAUCUGAUAAUUGUAUAGUAGGGAUGCGUGAAAUCCCACUCUAAUUAAUAAGUGGAUCAAAGUACUCCUCCCUUUAAAUUCAAUAACUAAAGUAUAAGGUUUAAUAUAUUAGCACUUAAUUAUAAUUAGGUUCUCCAAAUAAAUUGGUGGGUUAUAUGCAUGCAUUGGGGGACUCCAACAAAGCAUCCAAUUAAUCUUAGUCAUAACCAUUGUUUGGGUUGCAUAAUUAACUCUAAACAUGCAUGCAUGUGCUCGAUCGCCUACGCACAGUGUACGUACGUGUUCUCCACUUGAGAAUCGGAAAAUAAAGGAGAAAUAAAAAAUGGAAAAGCAAAAAAAAAGAAAAAGAUGUAACUAAAAAGGAUAGAUUAAAAUAAUUCUCUUAUGCUACUUUAAUUUAGCUGGUAUGUCAAAAUUUUGCACUUUACUAUUGAUUCAACUCGAUGUAAAAAAUAUAAAAUAAUUAUUACAUAAAUAAAAUUUUAUUAAAUUUAUACGAAUGGUCUUUGUUAAAUAUAUAUGACCAUAAUCUAUCUUUUAACUCAUUUCCACAAAGUUCUACAUCUUAACGACCCGAUUUUUAAACUAUUUGAGAUACCAAUAAAGAGUGGAAUUAAUAUUAGGGAUCGUUUGGUUAAAAAUUCAUAAUAUUUAAUAUUGUAUAUUUUAUAUUUGAAAUGACAAAUUUAUAUUAACUUACAUAUAUAUAUACCAAGUGACUUGAAUUGAAAUGUUUUUAAAAACCAGUAUAUACUUAUUAAUAAAUUAUUAAUAAUUUUUAUAAAGCAUUAAAAUAAGAAUAUCUGAUAAUCUAUGAUAAUUUAAUUUUUCUAGCACUUAAAAAUCUAUAAUAAUUCUACUACUUCACUACCAUUUUCUACAACUACAUAAUUUAAAUUGAAUGAUAAUAAUUUAAAUAUUUUUAAUCAAAAUAUAAAAAAGUUAUCGAAAUAUUAUAAAUCGUGAACACGAUAAGCCCUUGAUAUAAUCUUUUAGUACGUGUAAGUUUGAAUAUGCAUGUCAAAUGCNCUUUUGUUUUUUUUUUUUUUGGUAAAUUGCAUAUUUGGUCCUCAAACUAUAAGACCAGUUAAACUUUGGUCCUCAAGCAUUAAUUUAUUAUAAUUUUUUUACUUGAUUGUUAAAACUGUUACAAUCAAAUUCUAUAACCCACUUUUUUGAUUAUCAAUUCUAUAUUAAUAACAGUUAAAAUUUAGUCAACUGAAUUAAAUUAUAAAAUUUUAACUAUUUUCACCUGUUAAAUUAUACUAUUUAACCAACCACCAAUUCAAUCCUAAAAAACUACUGUCAUCCUAACUACAUAUACCUUCAUCCAAAAGCCAAAAAUCUCAUAGCAUGACCGACCGUCUCAUAGUAUGAUAUCAAAAAUUAAAUUAAAUUUACGAUUUAAACUCAAAUUUAAAUUUUAAUAUAAAAUAGAUGAAAAUAAAUUCUAUUUUUUAACGGAUUGAUCAUAACCGUUCAUUUUUAUUUGAAAUAUUUUUAACAAAUUAACCAUAACCAUUCACAGAAUUAAAUGUAUAGAUGGAUAUGAAUACUUUUUUUUAAUAGAUUGAUUAUAACCGUUCAUUCUUAUUUAAAUUUUUUUAACAAAUAUUUCAUAACCAUUCAUAGAGAAUAUUCUUUUAUUUUUUUUUGAUUCUGUUUGUCAUUCCUAUAAGCGUUUAUAUAUAGUAUAGAUAUAGAGAGAGAAGUAGGAAGUUAGCAGUUUCAAAUUUUUUUUUUAGAAAUAAAGUGAGGUAAAAAUGUCAAACAACUAAACUUUGAACUUGAAAUCACUCAUUUGUCGAAUUGCACUAGCGGCCACAUAUAUGUUUCAAAAAAAGCUGUCGUUUUGAGUCACUACACUUUUGUUUUUGAUAAAAACUUAUGUGAAUUGUGAAUUAUUUUGAAUCUAUAAAUUUUUUUUAAAAAUUAAUAUUAUUAUAUCUGACCUUUCAAUUCAUUUGAUUUGAAUUAGUCAACAAUAAUUUGACUUCAAAUUUUAAGAUAAUUUUUUUUACUUUAAUAAAUCAACUAAAUCUGUAAAUAUAAAUAAUAUAUUCAAGUUUUAAAAUUUAAAAGUUAUUAAAAAACACAAAUAAAAUAAAAUUAAAAAUUUAAAUAAUAGAAUUAAAAAUUUUGUACGUGAUGUGAGCAACAGCGUUAAUGGUUAUAGGGGUUCGCGUAUCACGAGGCUCCGGCGAUUCUCCACCGCCCGUUCCACGCCUCGCUGAUGCGAUCGUCAUCAUUGAGAAAGUUGGCGUCUUGCUGAGGGUGGGCCACCACCGUACCCCUACUUUUGCCCAAACGGUAUCUUCCCCUGUCGAAUUACUUUCCAAAUAUUAAAAAAAAAACUUCAAAAAAAACCCCUGUGAUUACGUAUUUUUUUUGUUUUAGUACCACGUGGUUUAAAAUACAUUAAGUUAGUAACCUGUGGUUUCGUAUUUUCUCACUUUAGUAUCCUGUGGUUUAAAGUGUAUUAAGUUAGUAUUAUGUGAUUUUAUUUUUGUAUCAAGUUGGCAUCCUGUGGUUUUAUUUUUGUAUCAAGUUAGUACCAUGUGAUUUUUAAACCACAUGAUACUAAAGUGAGAAAGUGCGAAACCACGGAGUACUAACUUGAUACACUUUAAACCACAGGGUACUAAAGUGAAAAAGUGCAAAAUCACGGGAUAUUUACUUGGUAUACUUUAAACCACAGAAUAGUAAAGUGAGAAAAAAUGAAACCAUAAUGGGAGUAUUUGAAGUUUUUCCAAUAUUUAACCUAAUCCGUUCGAAUCAAUUAAACCAAUUUUGUUCAAAAAACCGACGGUUAGGAGCCAGUGUUAUUCAGUUCGAAACAAAUUAUAAAAUCAAAUCUAUCAAAAAAAAAAAUUGUUCAAUUUAAUUUUAGGGUAAACUUCAAAUACCACUCCUGUGGUAUAGUAUUUUUUUAUUUUAUUAUUCUAUGGUUUAAAGUAUAUCAAGUUCGUACUCUAUCAUUUUAUUUUAUUUUUUUUUCGUCAGUUCCUCUGUUAAUAUUUUGUUAAAUUAUAUACAAAAAAAACUUUAAAUACUCUAUCAAAAUUUAUCGAAUAUUCACUUUAGCACUCUUUAGUUUUAACUUUGUCGCUGAUUUAAUGAAAAAAAUUAAUAAAAUGAAUAUUAAAAAAAUAAAAAUAAAAUCAUAGGGUAGUAAAUUGAUACAAUUCAGUUUGGUUCUCCUCUAAAAAUUUAAAAAACUAAAAUAAUUAAAUAACCAGAUAAUAAGGAAUAUCUGCUAUUAUUAUUAUUAUUAUUAUUAUUAUUUUAGAAUAAUAACUUUUAACGUAAAACUAAUCAUAUAAUUUUAUCUUAUGUUUUGUAGUUUCGAAAGAUCGGUUCGGCUCUUUCCUCUAAUUCGAUUAUACAAAAAGCUGUAAAUAUCGAACUAAACCACCGAUAAUUUUUUUUUUAAAACUAAAAAUAUAAAAUAACUAAAUUCAAACAUGAGAUCUUGGAUAUAAAUUAUUAAAUUUUUAUUCAACUACCCUAGAUAUGAUCGGUAUCUCUAUAUAAUAUUUUUUGCUAAUUUUUUUUUGUUAGGGAACAAUAACCUACAUACAAAUUAAUUGAAAAAAAAAAAGAAAAAAUCGUUUUAUGGGGCGGUUGUUGUUUAAACAUUAAAAAGGGGUUUUUAUAUAUCUAAGUUGUAUCCACAUCCCCGGUUGCCACGUCGGACAGGAUCUGAUACACGGCAAGUGGACCAGUGAUUGACAUGUCGCCUUUCUACAGGUCUAAAAAGUGGGGCCCGAGAACCAUCAUCCAAUAACUCACCGACACGUAGCACAACAGCGUACAUUACUCCGACGGGGGAAACAGCGGGUGCUUCCGAAAAUAGUAAUUAAAAAGAAAAAUUAAAAAAAGCGAAAAAAGGGGAGCCGCAAAACGACGGGCGAGGAAAAGCGUACGUGGCGCGUGGGCGAUGUGGAGAGGAGGGGCAAAAAAGUAAAUAAAAUAAAAUAAAAUAAAAUAAAAAAUAUAAAAAAGAAAAAAAGAAAAAAAAGGUUGGGCGCGCUUUUGACGUCGAUUGGUCCGAUUUAAACCCGCAUAUUCCCUGGAAUGUACUUCCCCAUGCAUCACCCAUUUGCCUCUUCCCCCUCUUUACUAUUAUUUUUUAAUUAAUUAAUUAUUUAUUUAUUUAUUUAUUAUUAUUAUUAUUAUUUUUUAAUCUACCAUUACAAACACUUUUCAAUGAACCUAGCACAUGGUAUUAUUUCAUGCUUCUAAUAAUGAUGAUAAUGAUGAUAAUAAUUCAUGCAUUAGAACAAAAAGAUGUUGCCUACAUUCAACUUCCAAAUAAUUCAUGCUCAUAGCCUUUUUCUAAAUGAUGUGCAUGUUAGUGUGUGUGUAUAUAUAUAUAUAUAUAGAGAGAGAGAGAGAGAGAGAGAGAGAGAGAGAGAAUAGGGCUAGAAUACUAUUACAAGUAUUGAGUUCUUCAUACUCAUAAGUUAUUUUAUGCUCGCUUGAUAAAUUUUAUUAUGAUUUUGAAAAAUUACGAAAUUUAUUUUUUAGAAGUUUCAAAUACUUUAGAUCAUAUUUAACUAAGUGAAUCGUCAAUUUGGAAGCUUCAUCAUCAAAAAUAACUUAUGAGUAUGAAGAACUCUAUACUCAUAAGAUUACAGUAGCUAGAGAUGUCAACGGGUCGGGUUCGGGGCGGAUUUUUAAAAACCCGAACCCGAACCCGACUCCAAACCCGAAUCCCGAACUCGAACCCGAACCCGAACCCGACGGAUUUUAAAAAUCCAUAUCCAAACCCGAACCCGACCAAAAAUCCGAAAUCCGAACCCGAACCCGAACCCGAAAAUUUGAACCCCGAAACAAUUAUUUCUUUUUUCAAUAUUUAAAAAUAUAUUAUAUUAAAUCUAAAUUUUUAAAAUACAAAUUCAAAUAUAAUAUNUGAUGGAGCUUCCGAAUUGAUAAUUAAUCCACACUGUGAAAUAUGAUCUAGAGUAUUUGAAAUUUGUAGAAAAUAAAUUUCGUAAUUUUUUAAAUUAUGGCAAUUAAAGUCCAUCAAGUAGGCAUUAAAAUAUACAGUCAAAAUUAAACAAUAUUCUAAAAAAGAAUGAUCGGAUCCUUCAAUUCAAGAUCGGAGUUAUUGAUCUUUAUCGGGAUAGUAAGUAUUUUUCUAUCAAAGAUUCAGCCAAUUUUGAUUCUUUUAUAUUGUUUAACUAGCAAGUAUUCUAUACGGCCGUUAAAAAUUAUUAAUUUUGAGAUUUUUUGAUUGUAAGGUAAAUAAUGUCAAAAAAUUAUAAAUAUUGAUUUCAAGAAGUUUCAAAUAUUUUAAAUCAUGUUUAAUGGUAUUGAUCUAUCAUCGAAAACAACUUAUAAGUAGGAAGAUGAUCGUUCUAAUAAAAGUAUACGCUACAACAAAACGAUUUAUAGCGACAUUUUUUAAUGUCUGUAUAGGUCAAAAAAAAGUGUUGCUAGCUAAAUUACCGACAUUUUAAAAAAGUGUUGCUAUAUGUGGGGUCGCUAAGUAUAUAGUGACAGUUAAAAAGUGUCGCUAUAACCUAAAAAUAGUGCUGCUAAUUUACCAAUAUUUAUUUAAACAUUUAGCAACUGCUGGAACUCUAUCUCGUUGGCUGUGGUGGCGGAGGAGGACGAGAGGGAAAGACUUUUGGUCUAGAAUUUCAGUAGAUUGAGUGAGGGGAGAAUGGAAGAUUGUAAUCUAUUUUCUUUUUUUUUUUCUUUUCUGUUUGUAAUUGGGCCGAAUAGGCUGGAUGGGGAGCGUUGAGUAGAGUAAUUUUUUAUUUUUGGUUGGAUUGAGUUUUAUAUUUAGGCAUUAGUAGAUUUUUUUUAAGUUUUGGCAUAAAUAGGAUGCUUACACAAAAGUGUCCCAAACAUAUGUCCCUAUAACCUAAUUAUAUUGUGGUGAUAAUAGCCGGACUCUCUCUCUCUCUCUCUCUCUCUCUUGUAUAUAUAUAUAUAUAUACAAGAUUGUUUUUUGAGAAAUAAACAAAAAACUACAAGGUAUUAUGCUGCGUGAGAAUUUGAGUGGCUUAUUAGAUUAGUUGUUAAUCUCAUGAUCUUUAAUUUGCUUGGUAUAAGAUUAUUUUUGCAACAAAUAAAUUUGAACCAUGUGUCUCUUCAAAGAAUGAUCAUGUACAAAUAUUGCUAUUUGCUGUAUCCAAUAUAUCUUUGUCAAUAGGUUAAUUUGUAUAUAUAAGAAAAAAGAAAAUAAAAAGUAUUUAAUAAACUCAAAAGUCUUAAAUAAUAAACUAAUUUAUAAAUGAUUCUAUAGGCAUAGUGGAGCAUGCAACAAGUUGUUUGAAAAUGACCUAUCAACAUUUCAACACCUUGCAAUUAAGUAAAGUGCAAGUACUCUUUUACCUUUUUCAAUUUCUUUUUUUCCUUCCUAUCAUCUUCAUGGACUAGCUUGCUUAUUGCUAGAUUCCCUAUAGCUAUUACAAUGAUUCCUAAUUUUGGCGAAAACUACAUGCAUUAUUUUCUCUUUUCGACUAGUUUCGAUGAGAAUUUCAUGAUGAAAGAGAUUGUGAAACAUUUUACGGGCUUCGUCACGCUGAAAAAUAUUGCGGUUACGGAGAAGGCACUUCGUUUUUCCAUCGAAACGUGUUUGAGUUAAGCACUAAAUUUUGGCUUGGUCAUGAGAUCGCCAAACUCUAGAUAAUUCGCUCAUUUCGAAUUCCUAACACAAAGUUCGUACGCUAAAGGGGUAUUAUACAACUAAUGUUGAAAUGACCAUGCGUGUGCUUCGACGAUUCUUAAUUUGAAGAAGAAGAAGAAGAAGAAGAAGAAGAAGAGUGUAGUAUUAGAUAUGUUGUUUUUUUUUUGAACGAGUAUGAUAUUUAUGUGAUUAGAUGGAUAAAUAGAAAGAGAAAGAACAAUAUGCAAGUCAUCUCCUUAAUCUUGUGGACUAAUACUCUUUUGACUUUUUUAGCUAAGUUGUCUAUUAAACUUGGCAACUUAAUUCCGAGUACAAAUUAAAUUACUAUUUGAUUUUCUCCUUUUUCAACACUAAUUAUUAAUGGAACAUAAAAUGGAAAAAAAGAAUCCUUUAAGCUUAACUAAUAACUAACUUUAUGUAAAACCAACUAUUUGGAUAUCUUGUAAUCUUAUUAACCAGUAAAUGUAUAAUAUGAUAUAUGCUUGAUAAAUUCCAGCAUUACAACAAUAAGCAAAUCUAGACAUUAUGUUUGCACCGAAUCCACAAUAUUUUUAUAGUUUUCUUGUUGUUCUUUAUACUGUAAUAAAAAAACAUCCAAACACUUCAUUGUGAAUAUAAACUUUGUAUUUUGCAAAACAAUAAAAAUGCUCAAAUUUUAUAAAAUUGCACAGCAUUGAAAUAAAAAUAUUACUCAACCAAAUUAUUUAGGAUUGUUACAACCAUAUAAUUAAGGAAAAAUAUGUAGCUUCUUACCAAACCAAAUUGGUAUCAAAAUUGGUUUUGGGUGUACAAAUAGGAGAAGCAUUUUAGUUGAUAUAUAAAACUUGGUAAAAAGGAAAAAAAAAAAAAAAAAGAAACAAAAAAGAAAAGAAAAAAGAUUCUUCAUGUUUCUUAGUGGGGUUGCAAAAGGUACGGAGUCACCAAAUGCGGCUUACACCAUUCAAAGAUCCACGCAUAGACCAAUAAAUCCACGCAAUCUUAAAGUCAAAUUGGCUUGCAUUGAAUCCACUGAUUAUGUUGGAAAGUUAAUAAUAAUAAUAAUAAUAAUAAUAAUAAUAAUAAUAAUAAUAAUAACAACAACAACAAUAAUAAUAAUGGACUCAUCUUUAUUUAGGAAAUAUAUAGAUUUAUUAAAUGCAAUCAAAUAUGAAUGAUAAGUAAUAAUUAGAUUCAAUAAUAAUACCAACACAAGGUAGAAUUGAUUUCCAAUCUUAAUUCCUUUAUUUGGAGUGAGUUUCAUUAUUUACUUUUGCUGCAUGAUUUAUAAAGAAAGAAAUUAGAAAGGUUUUUUUGUUGAACUGAUCGGUAACAUUUAACUAUUCUGAUUUAUAAUUCUAUGCAAACUUGGUAACUUAAAAGAUGUCAAACAAGGAGUUAAUAAGAGCACGUUAACGUUAAACUCGUGAAAAUUAAAAUUCAUGGUUAAAAAUAGUAAAAUUUUAUUAUACUUUUAGUUAGAUAAGUUGAAAAUUUUAUUGAAUUCAAUAACUGAAUUAGUUUCUAACAUUUAAUUAAUUAUUUUACUACUUUGGAUUAUUUUGAAUUGAUUAUUCGAGCUUUCAAAAUUUUCGACGUUAUUGUGCUACCUUUUAAUUUUUUUAGUUUUAGUCCGUUAGCGAUACUUUGAUUUUAAAGUUUAAAUUAAAUGUUUUAUUUUAAUAAAUUUAGAAUUGCGAGAAUUAUAUGAAAUAUACUAAGUAAAUCUGUUAAAAAUAAAUGACGUAUUUAUAUUUUGAAGUGAAAACGCCGUUGACUAACUCAAAUUAAAUAAGUUGAAAGGUUGGCUAGUGAAAUUUAAAUUUUAAAAGGAUGAAUCAUCAA